Molecule: long non-coding RNA, 229687 nt
Filed under: Coffea arabica (coffee)
Lineage: Eukaryota; Viridiplantae; Streptophyta; Magnoliopsida; Gentianales; Rubiaceae
Description: long non-coding RNA (CARA_LNC002661)
Source: RNAcentral
CAUAGUACAAUACGUUCAUAGAUAGGAUGUCAUAGAUUACACAUCUUGGUUUACAGAUCCACUCAAACUCAAACAUAAUUACAUUACAUCAGACUUUUAUUCCCACCAUCUUGGUUGGUAAAAGCACACACAAACCAAAUAGAAACACAUGAACACUUAAUUAAGCAGAGAAUAACAGCUUCUGCAAUCUGCGUAUCGCAGCUUGAUAGUCUGAUUAGUUCUUUCCUUGAGAAAUGAAAAUGAGAUCACUUUGAGACAUCCAAUGGCAUGCUUCACUUUGGCCAGGAGAAGUUUUCAAUAUCUUCAAGGCCACAUGAUCAGGGGACCAGCCUGAAGUAUCCAUAUGACAUACCACCGUGACUGUAUUAACUGGAACUUUGGUCCUAGGUUCAACAACAUCUACUGCAUAGACUUCAAUAUUGGACAGCAAAUGGCAGAAAUAUGUUGCAAAAGGAAGAAAUAAUUGAUGACAUGCCACAGUUUUUCCAUAUUUAAGCUUUUCCACGCGUCCAACCAUCAAUUCUUUUCUAGAACCCUCUGUGUUUUUCGAUGCCAAUGCCACCAAAUUCUUGUCACCUAUGGCAGUUUUUGAAAAUUCAAUCAUUUCCUCAAGGGAUUUUGCACAGCUCUGAGGCUCUUCCUUAAGAGCAGGAGUAUUGCAAUAAAUAAGGGUGUAUUGAAUGGCAUCUUUUGUUUGCGGGCUUUCAAAGGAUUGAGGAAAUAAUUUUCGUAGGUCAUUUUCCGUAACAGAGAUCUUUGAUGCCGUUUGAGAAGGAAGAAAUGACUGUUGGGGCAAUUGGUUUUCCAAGCUUGAGAGAUGCACCAUGUUUCCUUGUUUGAGAAGUGAGAGUCUGAAGAAAGAAAAAGGAUCAACAUGUAGGACAACAUUUGGGCUAAUUCUGCCAUAGCCGUAAUUAUUCUUGUCCAAGAAACUAUCAACACGUGCUUUGGAUAAACAAGCUAGGUUUGCAAGAGAGCAAAGAUUUGCAUCAAAUGGAAGAUUUUUCUCGGACGCUAAUGAAGUGAAAUGUUCAGCUUGUUCCUUGCUCAGUGGAGAUAGUUUGGACAGAAGAUUUCCAGGCAUGGUGCCUUGGACAUUUUCUGACCAAUAUUUGAGCUGAUUCAAUGCAGUGAAUGAAGAAGAUGAAAUGUGUGCAGCAAAAUGGGACGUAGGAAACGUGAGGGCAAUGACAAAGAGAACGAUAGCAAACGUUGAAGAGGCCAUUGGUUUCAUCGACACUAAUAUUGAGCUAAUUUUCUUCAGUGGAUGAAGUGCUGAUGACUUUGCUAGUGCAGCUUCUAAUUUAUACUAGUGCUCGAGCCUGGACACAGGGCCUCACCUGCCCAUUUCAGGAUAAAAUGGUUACUCUAAAUUUUUUUUACAUCUUGUUUUAGUUGGUAUAUAUCUUUACUUCAAUUUAUUUACAUCCCACUCCAACUUAUUUGUACCUUAGUCUAAACCGGUUGGAAAUGGAACUUGUGAGGCCUCAUCCCCCACUCUAGCCUUGUGUUUGCUCCAGCUAUAAUCUCUAAAGGGAAACCGUUCAAAAUGUUCCUUAUAUUUUGUCAUAUAAAUUUUUUCCUUCUUGUUGUCCCUAAAAAUUAUCAAUCCUCAAUCAUUAUUGUCCCUAAAUAAGUAGAAUCUAAUCCAUACCAUGUUCAUUUUUCUCCAUAAAAAAGUGGAAUAUGACCCAAUCCAUAUUUAUUUUUGCCACAAAAAAAUGGGAUCUACCCUUUUUGGACAUAAAAAAUAACUGUAUAUAGGUCACAUGGUGAUUUUAAACUAGUCAGAUAUUUAGGUUGGAACUAAAUUUUGCUAAUUUGAAUUUUUAAGUGAUUUAAUUUGAAGUUUAUAUUUUAAAAGUGAAGAACGAAAAAAUUUAUUUGAUAAAAUGUGUGGCAUGUUUUGAAUGAUUUUCUCAUCUUCACAUGUAUAUAUUGUACAAUUAAUCCAAAACAAAACUCCAAAUGUACCUGUGUUUACUAAUCCAGAAAAAAAGAGACAAAAUUGAAAAAUAAAUUUAUUUGAAUAGACAAUUUGCAACUUGUUCCACGUUCGCAUUUGAAUGGGUUAAAUACACUAAUCAUACAUCCACGUUAGACAAUUUGCGGUUGUCCCAUUUUAUGCUCUCAGCUUGCGGUCCAUAACCUGAGAUAUGUGGUAGUUAAAAAGACAAUAUUUGUAAUCUCGAAAGUGACGGACAAUACAGUCCCGCACAUUUAGUGCGUCUUGUAGGUAUAUAUGGACAACCGCAGCAAGGAAUUACAUCUCCAAAUACGAAAAUUUCAUGAAAUGAGAUGUAGGUGUGUGUAUAUGUAUAUAGGUAUAUAAAUAUGUAUGUAAGUUUGGUUUAUAAAAUAUUAGUCAAUACUAAUCGUUCAAAAUGACCAACAAAUUUCUUAAUAAAAAAACAUUGAUAUCCUUGGGGAUACUUUUUUAUCCAAUAAAGCAGCUGAAAAUUGUGUAAAAAAUGCAUGCUUCCUAUAAACAAGAUUGGAAAAGAAAACGAAAAUGAAUAAGUCACAUGCUAUGAAAGUCAGUUGAAAAGGAAAAGAUUGGCUCGUGUAGCCAAAAAUUCAUAAGCAUUGCAGUUACCAGCAACACGUAUUUCCGAUUUUCAGAUGUCCACGAUUUGUAUAAGGGUUCUAGUCUGUUGCAUUUGCAUCCCACAUACAUUGAUAACUCCAUUUGAUUUGAAGAGGAACACCUUGCGCAAAAGAAAGAUGUUGCAGAAAUUUGAGACAUGAAAAAAAAUUUAGAGACUAGCAUUGAAACUUUUCCAUUAAGGAAAUAGAAAGUUUAAGAGCUAUCAAUUGCUACAGCUAAAAUAAAAUAAGAAUGAGACAGAGAAAUAGGUUUUGAAACACACUGUGUGAAAAAUGGAUUUAAAAUGUGGUCAAUUGUUUGUACUAGUAGCAAAGGGUAAUUCCAACAGUCCCAAACGUAGGGGCAAGUGUAGGCAUUUAACAAAAGAAAAUUCUAUAUUAAGUGAUAUACAAUAAUACAAUAAUCACAAUUUAAAAGAUGGCGUACCUCAUGAUAUCUAAGAGUUCUCAUAUUUAAAUUUGAUAAAUGGGAACGUCAUGCAAGUUGUUCUUAUAGCAUGCAAGUGUUUUUGGAGUAAAUCGAUUUUAGAAAAGUUUAGAACAGUACUAAGAAAAGUUGCUUUCUAUAAUUGGUUAUCAGUUUUAACAGCAUUGAUUUGGUUUAGUUACUAUUACACUAUAAUGUCUUAGGGAAACAAUUAUCUGUUCACAAAAAGAUAUUAAAGUGCUACAAUUAACGAACUCUUUAAUAGGCUUUGUUGAUUAAUUCUAGAAUUAGAUGAUUGUAAAAAACAAUUAGACUAUUAACAUCGAACUUUUAUUUUUUUUCUUCUAAGAACAAUAGGAAGGAAUAGCCUUACAUUCUUUGACAAAAAGAAAGAAAGUAAAAAUCCCUAGCUACAUUAUUUGAGUUCUCAAGUACUACUGAUUAUGGAUGGAGAAAGAUUGCUCAAAAUUGCUGUCCUUUUGAAAUUCAUGAAAUUAUUAAUCAAUUGGCAACUUUGGUUGACUGGUCUUUUAUUGGGCAAUUUUUUGACAGAAGUUUGUCGGAGAAUAUCCUCUCCUUCAAUUUAAAAGAAGAAAAUUUUGAAGUAAUUCCUCCUACACUAGCCAAAAAUCUUUUCUAUGUUCUUCAGCUUGGGCUGGAUAGUGACCUGAUCGAGUUUAGGUAUUAAGAGCCAAUGAGUUCGAUCGAUUAGUUCGGGAUCUAGCUGAAUGAUGUCAUAAUGAUGCCAUAAAUAUAUUUUAAUUAUCUAUAAAGUAAAAAUUAUAUAUAAAUUACACAUUAGCUUGACAUAUUUGGUGAGUUUAUAACAAAUAUGAAGAACUCAUUCAAAUAGUUGUACAAAUUUAGGCUGGAAAUAUAAUUUGAUAAGUAUUUGUGGUUUAAUAUAUAAUUUUUUUGAAACAAUUCAGUGUCAAUUCUUGAACUUAAAGUCCAAAUACACAUUGAUGAGCCUAAAACUUUUUAAUAGGACAAUUCUUCAACAAAAUUGAGGUUUGUAUGUAAAAAUACAAAAGUUAGAGUUGCGUAGAGUAAUUAUAAAAGAAGUUUGGGAGUAUAUUUAUGAUUAUAAAAAAUGGAGGGUCAAAACAAAAUACUAGAAAAGUUUUAUAUUUAAUUGGCAAUUUCUUCUCCACCAUGCAUCUUCAUCAGCCAGGAAUCGGGAGGUUUCAACCUUCAUCUGCAUUCCCCUUUUUUUUGGUUUCUUUUUGUAAUGAUUUCAUUGUUUUUUUGUCCCUUUUCUUCAACUGGGUAAGAAUCUUCCCCUUAUUCUUUAUUUUCGUUCUCUCCUGUUUUCUUCUUUUUCUAUUUAGAUCUAUAAAUCUUUGAGAGAUGACAAUGAUAGAUUUAUAGAUCUAUUUUCUCUUUUCCUUUUUUCUUCUCUUGCAGUAAUUGAAACUUUUUAUUAUGAUUUGUCAAAUAUCUUACCACCUUUUUUUGGAGAGAUAAAAUUAGGCUUUAGAAAUGAAGAAAAUUUUUGGAAAAAAAUCACAAAUCAGCAAUGAAGAAAUUCAGGUAAAAUGAGGUUUUUCCCGAUUUUAUUGAUUCCCAGUUUAACACUCGAUUUUUUAAGGUGACUUGGACCGAAUGCUUGAUCGGUCUUGGUUUGCCCGGUCAGACUGAUUAGUCUAAUCCAAAUUUUAAAACAUAGGAUUUAAAAGGACAUAUUUGACUUGGGGAUCUAGCAGCAGAGCAUUUGAGACUGAAAAUAUAUAUGGAUGUUAAACAAGGGCGGCAAUGGAAAGAUAGUCUAAUGCUAUACCAAAGCAAGGAAACAAAAAGAAAAAGGAUUAAAAGUAAAAUUAGUUGUGACCAAAUAAAUGUAGCCAACUUGAACAUGGUAUAAAAGCAAUUGAGCAAAUGCCUUGUUCAAUUCAAGAUAAUUGAGGUACAAAAUCUAGAUUAACACAGCAAAUUAGGUUGCAGAAUGUUGGGUGUGGGCCAGCUCAUUUGUGAGCCAAACUAGAAAAUCAAAUAUUUUUAGGUUUAAGUCAAAAAUUUGACUUAAAUAAAAAAGGCGAGCAGCCGCAUGAAGUAUGAUUCUUCGGUCCUUGUGCGAGAAAAAAGAUUUCAGCCGCCGCUCUUGCUGGCUUGGUGAAGAAGGAAAAGAGAAAAAUAACUGGGAGAUCUUGAUUGGAAGGUGAUUCGAAUCCCGAUUGAAAUAAAAUUUUACAUACGCGAUCCUCUCAUCAAUCUCUACUCAUCUACUGGUCCAGAUUUUAGAUUUCCUCUUCGUUUGGUGACACCUUUCUAAACUCACUUCUUUGAUAGUUGUAGUUUUUGGGGGUGAUUUUGUAGUAAUUUCGUUUGAUUGGUAUUGGUGAUAUUAUUGUCAACCGAAUAUUUUGGGUAGACCUGUGUAUUCCUAUUGUUGUGAUAGUGAAGAUUUUUGACUGGACUAGAUCCCGUGGUUUUUCCCAAUUUGGAUUUUUCACGUAAAAAUCUUGGUGUCAUGUGCCUUUUAUUUUUCUUGCAUUUUAUUAUCACUACUGGUAUUAUUACUUGGUGAUUUGAUUUAUUCCUAUUUUUAACCGGUACAUAGAGAAAGAGAAAUUUGUCUUGGAUUAACUCUGAUAUUGUGUGUCUAUACCCAUACCUCUUUCCCAACAAAUGGUAUAUUAGACAAUCUUCACAUUUUGCACUUUCAUAAAGCAAUUACACCACAACUAUUCAGUUUUAGAUCGACAACUUUGUAUGCUACAGUUCCUUAGGCUGUCAACCACGUAAAAGAUGUCUUUCCGCAUCAUAUUGAAUGCGUUAGUUACUUUGUUUAGCAAAUUUAUAAUUAUUGAGAUGCAUGAAAUACUUUUUUUUCUGCAAGAAGAAUGGUUAAAUUCUCAAUUACAAUGAAAACAGAUAAUAUAGUAAUCCCACCAAUAUUGUUUCUUUAAACAUUUUGUUGUAAUACUCUCAACCUUUUGCUUUUCUGGUAAUAUACUUUCUUUUCAUUUCCUUUCCUUCAAUUCAAAAGGUCACUAAAUUUUUUUCCUCAAAUGGCGCCUAAAUUACUUUAAAAGCAAAGAUAACUAGUGAGAUGCCAAAAAUUUCCAAUCAAUUAUAUGCUUUACUUUGAAACUUACCGGUAGUUCCACUUGUUUUAAAUUUGUAUUAUUUAGGUAGGUUAAAAAUCGAACCAAACUAUUCGAUAUUUGAAAUAAGUUUGGUUCAGUAAAAACUUGUUCUAACUUGAUUUAUGAAUUAAUCAAACAAAGUUUGAACAUCAUUUUGUGUUCAAUUAACUUUUAAACUCUAUUUAAUCCUGGUACAAUUAGCAUAAAACUUGAUUUUAUAAGUAAAAAAUUCAAGCUAUUUGAGCUCAACUCAAAUCUGGCUUGAUUAAAGUCAACAUUAAAUAUAAUUUCAAAUUUGCUAAAAUAAUUAAACAAAAUUGAACGCUAACUUGUCCUCAAUCUUACUAUUGUCCUUAAAUGCAGCCAUGCUGCAAAAUACCUAUGCAUUAUUAGUUGGCCACUUACUUCGACAUCUUCUUAUCCUCAACUUCUUUUGCCUUUCUUUCCUUUUUUGUCUUCUUUUGUUUUUAUGUUACAGUACGGUACACCUACAAAAUUAUUUUGCUACCCACUUUACCCCGCUAUACAACACGGAUGAAGGUUACUAAAUACAAAUUAGGGACAUGAGACUUAUGAAAUAGAGGCCGUAGAAAACAAAUGGGAGAACAAGAAAUCUAUAUUCUUUCUGUCAACUUGCAAUACUCAAUCUCCUUCAACUUCAAUUUCCUUCAAAGUUUCUUUUAAUUUUUUCUUGGUGCUUUAAACAUGACACAUUUCCUACUACCUUUUCUUUAAAAAAAAAAAAAAAAAAAAAACAUUGGCACGUGAAGUUGGCAAUUGGCACUUAUCAUACAAGUGGCUCCGGAUGUGCGGUAUCGUUUGUUUCUUUUGUUUCCUGGGGAUGAGUUUUUGGACUUGGACCACUCAUAAAUAAAGUUGUUUCCUCCUGUGCGGUAUUUCUUGUCAUGGUUGCUCUUACAAUACAGCCAGCCAAUGAAAGUGAAUGUGACAGAGAGAUAUACGCACGGAGACAAAGACAAGGCUGCUCGUGUCUCAUCGUACGAUCCAAUAAUUUGGGAAUUCGAAAAAUCUAAAACCAAAGGAGAAAACAAAUGUAAAUGUGUAAAUUUACAAGUAACCAGUAUUGGUGUAAUCAAUGCAUAAAUGUGUACAUUACAACUGAUAACAUGCAUAAACAAGAUAAACUCACAUUUAACGAGACUUGACUCAACGGUUAUGAUUGUUGAAUCUCAACCUUGAUUUUCUAGACGAACAUCUCGCUGUACAAAUUAUUUAAAUUGCUAUUUUUAAAAUUUUUGUAAAAAAAUAUAUUAUAGUGAUUUGAUAUAUGUGAAAUAAAAGGGUGAUUGAAAAAUUUAUUUAUAAAAAAUCUAAAAAAUUAUCUAUAGAAAAUAGUAAUGGAAGCAAAGGUUUUUGAAUUAUUGGAGCACCCCUAAAUUAGGAAGGACGAAAAUUCAUUAUCACAUCAUAGGACCAGCUAGUCUAUUAUUCUACAAGGUGAGAUAAUUAUGAAAUUGACAUGAAGAAAUACUUCCCACACGAGUCAUGAAUCGAUCAGAUGUGGGACUGGUGGCGGCCGCCAUCUCAAAAAUUAUCAUACGACAAGACGUGUUUCAACACCAUAAGUUGCUUUCGAAGAAUAUUAAAAAUAAUGUUCUGCACAAUAUUUGGACAAGGUCACAAGAAUGGCUCAAAUCACUGAAUCAAAAAAUCCUUUAGCUGCUCAGCUUGAGUUUCACUAAAUAUUUUGAAUUGCAGAGACCUAGUCAAAAAUCGAGUUUGAUCAUGAAAAACAAGGAAAAAAUAGAAAAGUUUUUCAUUUUUUGGUGAACCAUUUUCUUUUUUCUAUUUUGUUAAAGUUUUCCAUAAAAUAUGUUUACCAUAGUUUGAUGGGUUAGAUGCAAAACUUAGCUCUUAAUUAUAACAAAUUUUGCACUUUACUCCUUAAAAUUAUCUUAUUUUGACUUUACUCCACUAUUAGUCAACUCAAACAUUAUAUACCCAUAACCUGAAAAAAACAUUCAUCCUGAGGGUUAAUGACAGUAAAUCCCCUCAAGGUAUUGCAUGUUUUAUACUUUACUCUAUAAAGUCAUCUUUUCUCAAUUUGUAGGUUUGUCCCAAGACCAUUAGUUAACUCCAAUAUUCUGUAACACCCAAGAAAAAACAAUAGCUAAGAGACAUUUAUAUCCUUGACAGGAUAGUGAACUGAAUAAUAUUUUAUGGAUAUGAGUCUAGUUAAAUUUCAUCUCGUAAUUACACUUUUUUAAGACAGGGGGAAAUUUCUCGAUCAUUUUAUGCCUUAAGGAGGAAAAAUAAACAAAAUAUUAUUUAAAAAUAAAAUAUGAAAACUGAAAAUAUUACUAAAUUUGUAAAACCCGCUUAAAAACUGUCAAUCUCUCUUUUCAAAUGUGCAUAUAGGUUUGCUUUUCAUUUAAUGGCUACAUUUUUGCUUUGCAUAAAAAAUAUACACUUUUCGUUGUUAGUAACACUACAAAGGGGCAAAAACAUGAUGGAUUUGGCAUUCCAAAGCUUUAUUGUCACUUGUGCUCAGAGCGCACCCGACGUGUGUACAAUCAAAAAAUAUAUAAUAUUAAUAGUCAUAUAUUUUAAAUAAAAUUUUUAUUACUAAAGCAAAUUUUAAUCUUUUAAAUAUUUUUCAUAAAAUAAUUUUAUAUUGGUAGUUAUGUUGAAUACAUAUACUUAAAAGUAAAAAUAGUCAUGGGUGGUUAUAGAUAGUUAAAGUAAAAGUAAUUUUUAUAAGGGCAAAAAAGAAAGUUCAUAAAGUGACGAUAAAAGUUAACCCUAAUUUUAACCCCAAAUCUCUUUGUCAAGCUUUACAUAUAACUAGUGCCAAAGGCACACCCACAUGUAUGCAAUUUAAGAAUAAAUUAAUUUUUAUGAAAUUUUCUUUAAUGAAUUGAUAGUUAGUAUUUUGGUAGUUAUGUCAAUUGGUAGUUAUCUUGGUAAUUAAACUUUUUUUCAUAAUAAAAAGUUUGGAUGUUUAAAUUUUAAACAUAUUGGUAGUUGCAACAAAAAUUAUGUUGGUUAUAUAUAAUUGGAUAGUUAGGAUAAAAUUUAAUUUUGUGAGGAUAAAAAUGGAAGUUUAAAAAGUGACAAAAGGUAUUUACCCCACCCUUUCAUUUCCUAGAGUAAGUAAGGGUAAAUUUGAAAACACACAAAACUAACACCAAGUUAACUACCUACACAUGUUUUAUUAUUUUAAAGAUAUAGAUUUUGUAAUGCUAAAAGGCACUUUUCUCAAACUUCAACGGUUUACUACAGAGGCAUUUUUUUUACAAGUGCUCAAUACACACCCAAUGUGUGUGCAAUCAAAAAAUACAUAAUUUUUAUGGUCAUAUAUUUUAAAUAAAGUUUUUAUUACUGAAGCAAACUUUAAUCUUCUAAAUGAUUUUCAUAAAAUAAUUUUAUAUUGGUAGUUAUAAUGUUUAGGGGUAGUUAUGUUGAAAACAUAUAUUUAAAUAGUUGAAAGUAAAAAUAAUCAUGAGUAGAUAUAGGUAGUUAAAGUUAAAGUAGUUUUUAUAAGGGUGAAAAAGGAAGUUCAUAAAGUGAUCAUAAAUGUUAAUCCCAAAGUUAACCACAAACCCUUUCCUUAGACUUUAUAUGUAGUAUAGAUAUUGGUGAAUUUAACUAAUGAGGGAACAAAGUGAUAAAAAGAUAAUAAAAUUUGGAAUUCUAUGGGGGAAUUCUUAUAAAUAACCCGAGUUUGAUACUAAAAAAAUUAAUGCCUUGUUUAGAAAGAGAUUUUUUAUCAAAAAAUCUAUACGUUUUUCAUAAACACAUUUUUUAAUCACCUUUUUACCUCACAUAUAUGAAAUCGCUACAGUUUAUUUUUUACAAAAAUUUCAAAAAAUUGCAAUCCAAACAUAACCUAAACUUUUAUAGUGCGCCCAUGGAUAAUUAGGAAACUGUGAUGAUCUAAUAAAAGUUUUCCAGGGUUAAAAGUAAUAAGCCCCCAAAACUUUUGGGAUGCUUUGCACUACAGUCUCUAACGUUGAUUUUGUGCCAUUUAGUACUUUUGUUUUUUUAAAUGAGAUGUCUUAAAUUCAAAACUUCAUACUUACAAUUCCUUCCACCUCACCACUUAACCAUACCCUCCACCCCAAACUCCAAUUUUAGUACUUGUGUUAGUCAACCUCAACAUUUGCCGUUAAAUGGUACUAAUUUCUAAAAUUACCCUGAUUUCUAUGACAAAAAUACCUGUUGUCCUAAAUACAAUAAAAAGAUCUCCACAAAACCCUGCAAUCCUUUUGUUUAAUAUAAAAAAGUUUAAAAAAAAAACCGCAAGCAUUUUGACAGUGCCAAUACAACAAAACCACAAUCUUCCUUUAAUUAACUUAAAUGCAGCGAAGUAUUUCUUCCAAUCUUCUACUCCAUAGUCUUUUUUUUUUUUUUUUUGGAUUAACCGUAGGAGAGCGAAGUACUUUUGUCCUUUUUCUCCUUUUUAUCAAUCUCACAGCUGACAAAACAAAAAUUUUCAAAUAUAUCUAAACUAGCAGUUCCGUCUCUCACUUAUCUUUUUGCUUUCAACAGGUUUUGUACCUAAACAUUAUGUUUUUUUUUUCCCGCAAAAUUAUGUGCUAAGUACAUUCAUUUCCAGAAUAGACAAUUAGAAACAGCAAUGCUAUUAUUCAUGUUCAACUCGUUUGAAUUUGGAAAAGGUUUAAUCACAGAAUAAACAAAUAAAACUCGAAAACAAGAUUGAUUUGGAACCAACACACAAAUUUGGGUGCAAGCGGAUUGAAUAUGUUAUUGAACCCCACAAAAAAUUAUAUUGUUGCCCCACUUUGCCCCCUUAUUCUCCUUACCAGUAUUGCAACUAGAGGUGUUAAAAUGGAUGAUUUGGACGGGUUUGGAUUGGCAAAAAUGGAUAAUAGGUAUAAGUAAGUCAACCCAUUUAUACCUAUUUAAUUAAAUGGGUAUAAAUAGGCAAGCCAAAAAUGAAUUGGAUAACCCAAUUACUCAUUUAUAACCCAUUUAUUUUAAUUUUUUAUAAACUCAUUUAAAUUCAUUUUGCAAACUAGGUUAUCAAUUUAUACCACCCUUUACACCCAUCAUUAGUUUUAAAUAUUUACUUAUAAUGCUCAAUAAGCCUAUUUACCAAAUUUUUUUCCAUCCGUACUCUAUGUCGUAAAAUUACAUGCUAUUUAAUAAUUGAACAAUCAGAAUAUAAAAAUUUGAACUAAGUACUAUAAAAGUUAAACAUAAAAAUUUAAUCCAAAAAUUUUAAACUCCUAGCAUUUUUUUCAUGUGUAAAUUUAAAAUUUCAUUUUGAAAAAGUAGGAAAAGAGGCUAAAACUUGUCAUAAAUUGGUAACACUAAAGAGUAAGUUAACAAACUAAGAGAAAAAAAAAUGAUAAGAUAAAACCAACCAAUGAUAAUAAUAAUGAAACAAAAAUAGUUAACAUCAUAACAAAAUGAAGAAUCUGAAAAAAAAAAUGGGUGGGAGAAGAGAGAAUGCUUGGGGGAAGAUAAUUCUAAAUGGAUUAAUUGGAUUUGAUGGGUUAUCAAUAAUACCCAUUUAUUUAAAUGGGUAUUAUUGGAUAAUCCAUUUAUACCCAUAUGCAAAAACUUAAGAUACCCAUAUCCAUAUAUUCAUGGGCGGGUAUGGGUAAAUUUAGUUAAAUGGAUUCAUUUGCCACCUAUAAUUGCAACCAAUGCAAGUAAAAAUUGCGAUACUUGUUUACUACAAAAUAAGGACGUGAAUUUAUCAAAUAGAAAGUGGAGAGAAAAAAAAGGGCAAAAUACACUUAACUCUCUUGUGAUUUAUUGAUUUUUUACAUAACCUCCCUAUAGUUUCAAAUACUAUAUAUAACCCCCUCAUAAUUUGCAUUAAAGUUUCAAAGUGACAAAAGUGAUUAUUUGCAAUGAAACCCAUGAAAAUAUCGAAAUUGCCUUUGUUUAAAACCUAAAAUGACUGAACUGAUCAAAAAAUAUAAAUAUAAUAUGCAUGACACUCUAACAUCGUAUAGUUUUAUAUUUUACUAUAUAGUCCCCUUAUAGUUUAGUGUUUUACCAUAUAAUCCCCUUAUAAUUUUUAAAAUAUAUACAUAAUCUUUUAUGGUUAUAAAUAAUUUUUAACUUUACAUAAGAGUAUUUUUAACAUUCUAGUUGACUCCAUUAUGGAAUACAAAUUCAGUUAUUUUAAGACUUUAAUUCAAAUCAUGAGAGGGGUAUGUGUAUCUUUUGAAACUAUAGGAGAAUUAUGUGAAAAAAUAUUAAACCAUAGGGGGUAAAGUGUAUUUUUCCAAAAAAAAAAAAGGAAAAACAAGGAGUGAGACCAUUUUCUCAUUUUAUAUGUGCACUUUAGUAAAAUAGUUAAUCAUUUUUCUUCUUUUAAAUUGUAAAACUCAACCUCUUUUAAUUUAAAAUUUCAUUCGAAUGUUAUUUUAAUUUUGAUCUUAGUUCUUCAAAAUUGGCAUAUUAAUUUCCUACAAUUUUUGUAAGGAAAAAAAAAGCAUAAAACAUGGCACUUGAAGUUGGUUGUCGGCACUUAUAGCUUGUAUCAUUUGUUUGCUGGGUACAAGUUAUUGGACUUAGACAACUCAUGGAUAAUUAAGUUGAUUUCACCAGUGGGGUUUAUGGUGGCUUAUCUCCUUCUUAUCAUGUUUGUUCCGACGAUGCAGCCGGCCAAAGAAAUAGGAUGAGAAAGAGAAAUGGGCGCAUGGAGACGAAGGGCCGGCGGCUCCUUUUGAUAUAUCAUCGGUCCCAAUUGUUUGGGAAAUCUAAAAGCGAAGGAGAAAACAAAUGCAUGCAAUUAUGCGAAUCGGAAGAGAUCUGAAUUUUUUUGGAUCAAUUCAAGAACUCUCUAUAUUAGAAAGGGCAAUAAUGCAAUGUCACAUCCACAGGACCAGCUGGUCGUUUGUCAAUUAUUUUACAGUGGGAAAUUAUGAAAUUCGCAUAGGGAAAUACUUUCCUGCUCAUGAGCCGAUGAAACAGUGGAGUGGCGGCAGCCGCCGCCCUUCGAAAAUUUAAGUUUGUUUUUGGAUUGUAAUUUUUUUUAAAAAAAAUUCCUACGUUUUUUGUGGAUAUAUUUUUCAAUCACUUUUUUAUUUUACAUAUAUUAAAUCGCUACAGUAUUUCUUUUACAAAAAAUCCAGAAAAAUGCAAUUCAAACAAAGCUUAAAAUUUUAUUUAUAUCAGAUUUUUUUUUGUAAAACAUUAUAAUUUUAUUAAAUUUUGUAUUAAUGGCAAAAGUUACAUCAUCUGAAAAGUGGAUACUAUAGAUAUGAAAAACAGAUAAAAAUUACACUGUAAAAUUCUAAAAAAUAGUUUAAAAAAUGAGAUAAAAUAAUUGUAACCUCACGAAUAUCUAUGCAUGCUUGUGAUCGUCAAAUCUAUUGAUUAAUUUUUUCAAUUCUGAAUAUUAUGGUGAGAUUUACCAAAUAAACUCAAGAAAUUCCAAAUUUGAUAAAUAAAAUCUAAAAAAAAAGAGUUAGAUCGAAUAAAAGAAAAUAAAAAAAACUACCUAAAGCAUUCAUUAGAAAUCUCUAGGAAAGAAGAAAACUCUCACUAGGUAACACUAAGAGAGGAAAAAAUUCUCACUAGAAAAUUGUAAGAAAUUUUAUUUGUACAAAUGAAAAAAAACUAUAGAUAAAGCUCCUCCUAUGGAGAAAGAUUGAAAAAAUGUGAUUUCUCACCCGAAAGAAUUGAAUGAAGUUUUGGUUAGAGAAUUUUCCUAAAGAGAAACUAAUUCUCUCUUUCUUCUCUCAAGAAUUGGUGGGAGGUUUUUUUUAUGUCUUAUACAGUUCUUUCUUAUUUAUAUCAGAAUUAAGAGAAUGGAAAGUGAUAAUUUGGAGAAAAAAAUUUGAUCAAAGCCUUGAUAAUUGUAAGGUCCAAUUAAUAUUCUAGAUCUUGGCCAUAUUAGCUCGAGCUAAUCUAGGUCAUCCAUCUCUUUUCUAAAGAAAAUUUAUAUUUUUUUUUUGUUGUAAAAGUUAAUGGCCAGAUUUGGACCACAUCAGCAAAACUUGAUUUGAACCAUUAAUUGUACGUAUGCCAGGCAAUCGUGCAUUCUCCUAAAAGUAGCCAAUUGCCAUGGAAGGUUGUAAAUGACCAUCUUAAUCCCUGAAUUAAGAAACAGUCAUCCCAUAAAUCCUCUUCCUCCUUCCACAUUCGAAGACCGCCACCGCAGCUUACUCCACCCUUCAUUCACAAACCCAGUCAACAAUUUUUGCCUACAUAUCAAUCUUGAUUACCUUGCUAUAUCCCCUUACUCUUCCCUUCACGCUAUCUUCUUCCCAUAUUGAAGAAGCAAAACCAUGAUGAAAUAUUGUUUUGGGACAGGAAUAUGUCCAAAAGGGUGAUUUUAGGGCUAUCAAUGGGUCCGGACCCAAAUCUGAUCCAAUAUGCUCGUUUGUUCGAACCUGACCAAAUCCAAAUUAUAUGCAUUCUAAAUGGAUCGGGUAUGGAAUGACAUGUUCCGAUUCAUUCGGAUCCGAUCCAAUUAAUUGGACAUAUAUAAGUAAUAAUUAUAAUAUUCAUUAUAAAUUGUUACUAACCCACAUGUUUUCUCUUUGAAAAAAAAAGGAGGUACUCUAAGAACCAAAUAAUCUUUGGAAUUUUUCUCAUUGUGUAGUUACUAUUUUAUUAACAAAAUUUGUGUAAAAAUAGAAUUCAAAAAUUAUCAAAAAUUUUGUUAUACUAAAUUGAUUUUAUGGAUUGGAUAUAUCCGAAAUAGAUUUGAAUCCAACAGAAACUGGAUCCAGAAAUACAUAUUAAGACUUCAUUAGGUAAAUGGAUUGGGAUCCAAAAUAAUUAUUACCUGUCGGAUUUGUGUUAGCAGUUAUCAAUUUUACCCAGAAUCAACCCGAUGAGUUCUUAUUUUGUUUCUUUUUGGGCAAAGCUCAUACUAAUGGAGAGGGAUGCCAGUCCCAAAUUUAUUACUAAUAGAGAAAGGAAGGGCCAGGCAUUAAUCUAAACUCUAAUACAAGAAAAAGAAGCUAAUGAAAUGGAAAAAGGAGUACUACUCCCGUGCCGAUCUUAAUCUAAUGUUUGGCAAACUAAUACUAUCAACAGAAAUAAUAGCUUUUACUGUGAAGCAUGGUUCAAAGUCUCGGCCGACUCGUCACCGUCUCAGACCCUUCGAUACGUCACUGUGAACGGUUGAAACGGUCGAGUUACACUGAAUCACUCCGAGUCAUCCUAAGUCAACUCGAUUUUUUAUUAUUUUUACUAAUUUUUUAAUUAAUUUUGUUUACCAUAUUUUUUAUAAAUUUUAGAAUAUUAAAUAUUUCAAAAAUUCGCGUCUCACCGAGACUGCAUGCCAAGAUCGAUGUAGAACGGUCUAGGCCGCGACCGCGACUUUGAACCAUGCAGUGAAGGCAAUUCCGACGUAGAAGUGUAAAUCUGCUGCCGAGAGAGAGUUAAAGAAACAAGAAAGUAAACUGAAAAACUUGCUCCACCAUAAAUGUGAUGAACAAAAACCCGAUAACACCUUGAAGCAAAUGACGAAUUUGAACUAGGGCACUACACAUUGGCCAAUUAGCUAAAGCAUUGGUUGAUAAAGGUGCACAGGUAGCUUAGCAUCCACCUGUACCAGUACAUCAUCAGUAGUGCAUUAUUUUCUACCAGCAAAAAAUUUGCCUUGUCAAAUUCUUCAUAAAAUACAAAGACAAUCCUAUCAAUAUUAUGAUGCUAAAUGAGAAAUUUUGGGUUCGAGUCCUUCCAUCUAAAUUAUUUUAAAAAAAGCAAAAAAAAAAAUCCAUGAUGGUCUUGUAGAAGACUCUCUCGAGAUGAAGUUAACCUUUUAGUACUGGUAAUGGUAUUGAGUUUAUAAUGCUUUUCCAUGGUGGAAACCAUCAGACAGCCAUUACCGAUGUCCUCAUGGAAGUUUCUAGCCUAAAAAACUUUGCAGUAUAAGUAUUCUAAUCACUUAUUACAUAAAAUCCUAUCACCAAGGAACGUGCUCCUAACACAGCAAGACAAUUAUCAACCUUCAAAAUAAUCUUAAAAGCGAGCGAAGAGAUUCUUUGAAAAUGUGUUUCGUUCUUUCCACACCAUGAAAACCACAAAGCUAAUAUAGGUAAAAUACAUCUAAUGUGAUCAAGAGGUGCUUUAUCUAGAGACAAAUUAACAAGAAGACAUCAGCAAAGAAGAGAUACAUGUAUGAGGCUAGAAGGGAAUUCUGAAAACUGGGAAGUAAUGCCCGGCAAACUUGAACUGGAAUCGAGCCUUCUGUUAAAGUAUGCGGCAAAGAUGUUGUAAAAACUUGAUAUUUCAAAAGAUUUUUCGUUUGUUUCGGACUAGAGCUUUAUCUGAUAAUAUUUCAUCAGAUAUGGUUGUUUCUAUUUUGAUGGAGAAGUUUUCAAAGAUAAGGUUUUGACUAAAAGGCAAGUUCAAGUGCUAGAUAGGAAGUUAAGCUUCGGAUGGCCUUUUUUCAAAUGACUUGACCUUUUCCAAACUUAUCACCACAGAGGAUAGACCUCUGACUACUUCAAAAGAUAAAGUCUGGCACGAAGCAAGCCUAUUCUCACGGAAAAUUAGCUUUCAAAAUUCUAUCUUCUUCCGUCCCGUGAAGCUUAUAAAUAGAACCAGUUGCCAGGCUCAUUUCGCACUGCAAAAACGAAGUCUACACUUUAAAACACUCUCUACCUCCUCCUUUGUCUAUCCUUCACAACAUUCUUGCUUUUCUGCUGGGUUAGAAACAAGAUUUUUUUUGCUGGUUCUAUGUCCCUCUCACAAAGUAGAGGAAAACUUGUUUAAUUCUGGGGAAACGUUUCAAUACCCUGAAAUAGUUUCUUAGGACAGUGCUUUCUAGCACGACUCAAGUAUCCACGUGUUGACAUUGUUCGGGCCGCUUUAUCCAACAAUCUAAGAAACUAUGGCAUCUAACAAUGUUAGCACCCCACAGCCUUCAUCAGCAACUGUUGCAGUGGCACUACCAUUCGCCAAGCUCUUUCCGGAUGUAUCCAAAAUUGAAAUUUUCGCCAAUGAAAAUUUUAAAAGAUGGCAAGAACGUGUGCACUCUCUACUUGACAUCCAUGGAGUAGCUUAUGCGCUCACUGAAUCUCAACCUUCUGCAACUGCGGAUGCCAAGAGUCAAGAAGCAUGGCAAUAUGCCAAUAAGGUAUGUCGACACACUAUCCUUCAAACACUCUCUAAUGAAUUAUUUGACGUCUACUAUAGCAGCAAAGAAGCCAAGGCAAUUUGGGAAGCCUUGGUAACAAAGUUUACUGCCGAAGAUGCAACCAAGCAAAAAUUCGUCGUAGGAAAAUACAACCAAUGGCAAAUGACUGAUGACAAGGAAAUGAAAAUUCAAAUCACCGAAUAUCAAAUGCUGCUAGAGGACUUGAAAAAUGAAGACAUCAAUCUUCCUGAGAAAUUCGCUGCAAGCAUGCUGAUUGAAAAACUACCAGAGUCAUGGGCCGACUAUAAAAACAACUUGAAACACAAGGAGAAAAAUUAUACCAUGGAUGAGCUCGUGAAGCACAUCCUCAUUGAAGAUUCAAACAAAAGGGAGUUAAGAGCUACCAAGGCAAAGGAGACGGCUUUCAAAGCCAAUCUGGUACAAGGUAAUAAUAAAAGGUACGCCAAUAAAUCCCAGAAUUACAAGCCCAAAAAUUUUAAUUUCAAGCCUAACAAUCCCAACUUUAAGAAAAGGAAAGGCAAUUGAUUUUAUUGUGGAAAACCAGGACAUCAUGCAUUACAAUGCAGACAUAAUAAAGGUGACAGAGCAAAUGGUAAUCUUCCUAAGGUGCACUUAACCGAAGGAGAUGAUAUAAUUGCUGCUGUCAUCUCUCAAGUGAACAUUGCAGCCAAUGUCAAAGAGUGGGUGGUAGACUCUGGGGCUACUCGGCACAUAUGUGCAAAUUGAGAAGCAUUUUCCUCCUAUACUCCUAUAGGGGAUGAUGAGGAAGUUGUCUACCUUGGUGACUCACGAACUGCUAAUGUUCUGGGUAAGGGCAAAAUAUUCUUGAAACUCACUUCAGGAAAAACUUUGGCUCUCAAUGAUGUACUGCAUGUGCCCAACAUUCGGGCAAAUCUGGUUUCCGUAGGAUUGCUAGGAAAAGUUGGAGUGAAAGUGUCAUUUGAAUUUGGAAAGAUCAUAAUGACCAAAAAUAAUGUAUUUGUGGGCAAGGGCUAUUGUAAUCAGGGACUCUUUGUACUUAACAUUGCCAAUGUGAUCAAUGAGAAUGCUUCUUCUUCUGCUUAUAUUAUUGAUUCAAUUUCUUUAUGGCAUGCAAGAUUAGGACAUGUUAAUAUGAGUUAUAUAAAGAAAAUGCAAUCUUGUGGCCUGAUUUCUGGUGUUAAUGAUAAAAUGGAUAAAUGUGAGAUAUGUGCAGAAACUAAAAUGACAAAGAAGACUUGUAUAACUGUUCAAAGAGAAACUGAACUAUUAAAUUUAAUCCACACAGAUUUAGGUGAUUUAAAACAAACUAUGACUAGAGGAGGAAAAAGAUAUUAUGUCACUUUUAUCGAUGACUACUCUAGAUAUACUAAACUUUACUUACUUAGAAAUAAAGAUGAUACUCAUAAUGCCUUUUUAUCUUAUAAGUCUGAGGUAGAAAAUCAACUUAAUAAGAAGAUAAAAAGAAUUAGGUCUGAUAGAGGAGGCAAAUAUUUAGCCCUAGAUAAAUUUUGUGAACAUGAAGGCAUAAUACACGAAACAACACCUCCUUAUUCGCCAGAAUCUAAUGGAGUAGCUGAAAGGAAAAAUAGAACAUUAAAAGAAAUGAUGAAUUCUAUGUUAGUUAGUUCUCAUGCUCCUGAUAAUUUAUGAGGAGAAUCUAUUUUAUCUGCAUGUCAUUUACAAAAUAGGAUACCUCAUAAGAAAACUGGCAAAACUCCUUAUGAGUUAUGGAAAAGUUAUAAACCAAAUUUGAAAUAUUUAAAAGUAUGGGGAUGUCUUGCUAAAGUAUUGUUGCCUGAACCUAAGAAAAGAAAAUUAGGUUCUAAAACUUCUGACUGUAUGUUUAUUGGAUAUGCUGAACAUAGUGCUGCAUACAGAUUUCUUGUUUUAAAAAGUGAUACGCUUGAUUGUAAUACAAUUAUUGAGACAAAGAAUGCUGAAUUCUUUGAACAUAUUUUUCCAUUGUCGAGUAAAAUUUCUCAUGCACCUGUUGAAAUAAAUAGAGAAAUAAUUCCGAAUGAGGAAUUAAGAAGGAGUAAAAGGCCAAGAAAAGAAUUUUCUUAUGGAAAUGAUGUUCAAACUUUUCUUGUUGAUAAUGAUUCUUUAACAUACUCCGAUGCUAUUUCUUCCCCUGAUUGUAAAGUUUGGAAAUAAGCAAUUAAAUCUGAAAUUGAUUCUAUCUUGUCAAAUAAAACUUGGAUUUUGGUGGACUUACCUCCUGGUGCAAAACCUAUUGGUUGCAAAUGAAUUUUUAAAAGAAAAUAUAACUCUGAUGGCUCUAUAGAAAAGUACAAAGCUCGUUUAGUAGCAAAAGGAUUUUCUCAAAAACAAAAUAUUGACUAUUUUGAUACAUUUGCACCAGUAACAAGAAUUGCGUCUAUUCGAGUUUUAUUUGCUUUAGCUUCUAUCCAUAAACUUGUUAUUCAUCAAAUGGAUGUCAAAACAGCAUUUCUAAAUGGUGAUUUAGAGGAAGAAAUUUAUAUGUUUCAACCUGAGGGGUGUAUUGUAUCUGGACAAGAAAAUAAGGUUUGUAAACUAAUUAAAUCUCUUUAUGGCCUAAAACAAGCUCCUAAACAAUGGCAUGAGAAAUUUGAUCAAGUAUUGAUAAAAGAUGAAUUCUUGUCUGUAGAAGUGGAUAAAUGUGUGUAUGUCAAAAUUAUAAAUGAUCAAUAUGUGAUAAUCAGCUUAUAUGUGGAUGACAUGCUUAUAUUUGGUACUAGUCUAGAUAUUGUAAAUAAUACUAAAUAUUUUUUGUCCUCUAAUUUUGAUAUGAAAGACUUGGGUGAAGCCAAAAUGAUAUUGGGUGUUAAAAUCAUAAGGAGAGGUGAUGGUAUAAUGUUGUCACAAGAACAUUAUACAGAGAGACUUCUUAGGAAGUUUGAAAAUUAUGAUGUGACACCUGUGAGUACUCCUUAUGACGCUAACAUUCAAUUGAGGAAAAAUAAUGGCGACCCAAUUGCUCAGUCUAAAUAUGCUCAGAUCAUUGGGAGUCUGAUGCAUCUGAUGAAUUUCACUAGACCGGAUAUAGCUUAUGCUGUAUGUAGACUGAGUAGAUAUACUCAUAAUCCCAAUCGUGAGCAUUGGUUUGCAUUAGUCAGACUAAUGAAAUAUUUGAGAGGUACCAUGAAUUUUGGUAUACUAUAUAGUGGAUUUCCCACUGUAUUAGAGGGUUACAGUGAUGCUAACUGGAUCUCUGAUCCAAAUGAUACAAAAUCCACUAGUGGUUAUGUGUUCACCCUUGGUGGUGGUGCGGUAGCAUGGAAAUCAGCCAGACAGACAAUUAUUGCUCGGUCAACUAGGGAAUCGGAGUUCAUAGCUCUGGAGUUAACUGGCUCUGAGGCAGAUUGGUUAAGAAAUUUCUUAGUCAAUAUUCCUCCUAUUAAGGAUCUGUUGUCUCCUGUGUCUAUACACUGUGACUGUCAAGCGGCUAUUGCUAUUGCAAAAAUAAAUCUUAUAAUUGUAAAAGUCGACACAUGAGAUUAAGACAUGAUGUCGUAAAGCAGCUGCUUAGAGAUGGAAUUAUUUCCAUUGAUUUUGUGAAGUCAGAGUUGAAUUUGGCCGAUCUUCUGACUAAACCUGUAGGAAGAAAAUUAAUUCUUCAAACUACAAGGGAGAUGGGACUUAGGCUAACGGUUGUCAAUAGAGAUGGUAACCCAACCUAUGUGAUUAGUGAUCCCAUGAAAUAGGUUCAUAUGGGUAAUAACAAGUCGAUAUUGACUGUAAAAGCACUUGAAAUUUAAGUCCCUUCAAAAUUAAGUGCUUUGACUGCCAAUAAUUGUGAGGCUGAGUUUAAUACUCUUAAUGAAUUUAUAUUCCUUCAGGAAGGUGUAUUUAGGGCAGUAUACACUUGAUAAAUUCACCUAUAUGUGAGUGGAGUGGGGCCGCUCCUAUAAGAUUUUUUGGCCGAAUCUUUAGAGCUCUCAUGAACAACCAGGCGGGCGCACGACCUAAAUGCGCGAAACUGCAUUGAACAGCAAAAUUAUGGGUUAUAAUGUGAUUGAUAAGAUCUCUGUCAUACAAUAAGAAUUAUUGGUUCAUAGAAAGAUAUGUUUUCACCAAUAAUUCUGUAAGACAUAUUUUAUCAAUUUAAGUUUGGUUCAUAGUCCAAAAGACACCAAACUCAUUACAUUGAGCUCAGACAAAUCCAGCAGAUGUUUAUACUCUUUUGUCCAAAAUCUUUUGAAAUAGGUGGGAGAUUGUUGUAAAAACUUGAUAUUUCAAAAGAUUUUUCGUUUGUUUCGGACUAGAGCUUUAUCUGAUAAUAUUUCAUCAGAUAUGGUUGUUUCUAUUUUGAUGGAGAAGUUUUCAAAGAUAAGGUUUUGACUAAAAGGCAAGUUCAAGUGCUAGAUAGGAAGUUAAGCUUCGGAUGGCCUUUUUUCAAAUGACUUGACCUUUUCCAAACUUAUCACCACAGAGGAUAGACCUCUGACUACUUCAAAAGAUAAAGUCUAGACGAAACAAUCCUAUUCUCACGGAAAAUUAGCUUUCAAAAUUCUAUCUUCUUCCGUCCCGUGAAGCUUAUAAAUAGAACCAGUUGCCAGGCUCAUUUCGCACUGCAAAAACGAAGUCUACACUUUAAAACACUCUUUACCUCCUCCUUUGUCUAUCCUUCACAACAUUCUUGCUUUUCUGCUAGGUUAGAAACAAGAUUUUUUUUGCUGGUUCUACGUCCCUCUCACAAAGUAGAGGAAGACUUGUUUAAUCCUGGGGAAACGUUUCAAUACCCUGAAAUAGUUUCUUAGGACAGUGCUUUCUAGCACGACUCAAGUAUCCACGUGUUGACAUUGUUCGGACCGCUUUAUCCAACAAAAGAUUCAAUCGAAUAGCUACUAGCCAAAUUAUCUGAACAAGAAGAGCAUUAUUUGGAAACCAAAAUAAUACCAUGGACAUGAAUAUCCUCAUCUCAACGGCUAGAGGGAAUUCCAUGUGAUCUUCAAAACAAUGGAAGAAUUCUUCUUCUUUCUCACCUCCCCCCUCCCAAGCCGAAGCUAGAGUAAAACAACCAAAGGUAAAUAGCUGCCACACCAACAUAUCUUCUUGAUUUGAUCAAACCCUUAACUUCAAAAUUGCAGCCACUAUACGAAGAGGAAGCCGGUCAUUCAGCCGAGCAACAUUCCAAUCGAAAUUCAUAAGAAAAACUCAGCUACUAGACAAUAUGGUGGAUAAUCCAUAUCACAAACAACAGCAGAGGGUUCAUCCAAGACCCAUCUAUCAAACCAAAAAUCUAUCAUUCUCUACUCUACGCACCAAUCGAUAUUCACUUCAGCAACUCCUUUAAUGUAAAACAAAUGUUUUCAAACAACUUAACCCACGCAAGAUUGAACUUGCGUUGGAUGAAGAGCAUGAAGAUAUUUCCGCUACGUAAACUUUGCUUAAACUGUUUUUUUUUUCUAAAAUUCUAUCGUAGCUUAAUACUGAAAGCAUGGAUCUAAUCCCUUGACUUUCUCUACUAGAAAACGUAAGUUUUCCCAAGAAGACCAGUGAAUAUGCCUCGAAUUAUCUUUAACAUCUGACAGAAAGCUAUUAUACGUACAUUCAAUAGUUCUAACCACCACUUUUGGAGGAGAUAGCACUUGCAACAAGUACAUAAGAAUUUAAGAAGGGACAUGUUUCAGUAUAAUUAUUUUCCCACUAGCUGAUAAGAAUUUAGAAUGCCAACCAGAAUUCUCCCUCUGAUUUUCGAUACAAUGCUUCAAACAUUACUCUCUUUGAUCUACUCUCAUAUAAAGAAACUACCAAAUAGGAAAAGGGGAGACAUUGAAGUUGAAAUCCCAAAUAGAACAUACCAUACACAUCUAGCAGUCAAGAUCUUAUCGGAACAAAUAAAUAAGCUAUUUGCAACCUUGAUCCACUGAUCAGAUUAGUAGUGAGAAAGAAAGUACUUUAUCGCCUUCAAACACCUCUUCAAGCAAUGUGUAAAAAUGAUUGUAUCAUUAGCAAAAGCAAGAUGCAAAACUUGACCUCCUGAUAAUGUAAAAAACAUCCUCCUCCCAUUUUCAAAUAAAUCAAUCAAUCCAUGACCAAGAUAUUCAGCAGCUAUCACAAAUAAAGUUGGUGAUAAUGGAUCUCCUUGACGACGAACACCACGAAAGGACUUUAAGAAUCCCACAACUCCACUAUUUAAACUAAAUGAAAACCAAUUGUUGGAGACAAUGCGAAACACAAGAUCAUUCUUGUAUUCGCUAAACCAGAAAUCUCAAUAUUUGCAUAAUGAGAGACCAAUUCGCCUAAUCAUAUGCUUUCUCUUAACACAUUCAGUUCCUGGAGUUUCUUAUCAAUCUCAGCCACAAGCUCUUGAGCUAACAACAUGAAAUCAUUAAUUCGUCUUCCCAGAAGAAAUCCCGUCUGCAAUGGGGACAGAAAGAUAAUUUAUGGGAGAAUUGUUGGGUUUGUGAGUCCAACCCAUUUGUUGGGCCAAGUCACAAUUAGAGCCCAAAGCCCAUGGUCAUUUGGUUUCCGAGUCAAUAUUUGACUUGAGAUUAUAGGAAGUGACUAGUCAAUUAACUAAAACUUGAAGUCGCACAAAAGGGAAUAAAUAUCAACCUAUGAGAUUAAUUGCAACGUUAUUAAACUCGAACGGGAUAGCGACUUGGCUAAACUAUUGAAUCAAGGGUCAACUAGUCGGAUCGGUUGGACCGCUUUUAAAAACCCGCUCAUGUCAACAUGUCGUCAUAGUUAUUUUAUUUUUUUUUAUAAAUUAUAGAAAUAUAGAAAUUAACUUCUUAGUUAUAUUCGAUCAAUCAUAGAAAAUGUUCCAAAAAUAUUAGACUUGCAAUCAAAUAUACACCUAAUAAUUAUAUAUAAAAAUGUAAAUUCAUGGCUAAAAUAUGUCCAUUCUCCAAAACUACUUGAAAAACUAAAUUAAAACAAAUUAAUGCAAGUUGGAAUCACUGAUGCUAAAAUGAUAAGAUCAUAUGGAUGAAAACAUUUUGAUUUAGAGAUCAUUCAGGAAAGGGAAUGAUUUUUGUAUUUACACUAAGUGGAUGGCGUUUUCUUAUUCCUAUUAAUAAAUAAGACUCAAAUUAUGUUUGGGAAAAAGAAGCAAGAAAAGUUUGAAAAUUAGGUCAAUCAGUUGAACCGGGUCACUGGUUUAGUCAAUUUUUGACGGUUUUGACCAAAGCGAUUUUGUACUACAAACUAGCUCGGAAAGAUGGUCGAUUCAUAGUCGGACAGGUUGUCAGGACAGAAGAAAUAAGCUAAAUUUAAGAAUACUUUGUAACGGUGACGUUUGGGGAAUAAUUGUAGUGCAGCGAUGACGUUUUGUGAAAUGUUAGUAAUAAAAAGGGAUAAGUGGAACGGUGUCGUAUGAAAGGCUGAGUUAGUUAGAACAGUCACGUGGGUUGUGACAGAAAUUGGGUAGCGGUAGUUAAUUCAUCCUAUUUGUACACGUUUGAUUGGCUAAAGAGGCAUCAGAGAAUAACAAUUGCAUUUUCCCUCUUUUCCUACUUUCUCUUUCUACUCCCCUUACUCUCUGCAACUUCUUUUCAAUCUUCUCUCUCACGAAGCUCUUCUGAGCUUCUCUCCUUUCUCCAAUUCAGGGAUAUGGUCGUAGGAGCCUGACAAGUGAUAUCAGAGCUUGUCGAAUCCUUGGAAUUGAACAGCAAUGGCGGAGAGUACCAGAUUCAAGACUCUGGAAGAACAGAUCAAGAAAUAAGAUUCCAAGCUCCAGGAGGUAAUAGAAAGUCUGUAGGCUUCGCACCACCAACAACAGCAGCUUCGCGAGGAGCUGCGAACAGAACUCGAGGAGAACAACCAGAAAAUGGAAGGUCUGGUAAUAAGAUUGAAACAAGAGUUCAGCGCCUUCAUGAAGAUGAUGCUGGAAAGAGAGAAACUGAAUUAUGAACCAGGAAGAACCCUGAGUGAUCAACCACCUCUGCUGCCAACACCACCGCCUAGUCAGAGGCUGCAAGUUGGACUCGAAGGUAUCAAGAUUGGGAGGAGAGAAACAAACAAGGCACUGAUUCCAAAUCCCCCAAAAAUUGACUUGCCUCUAUUCGCUGGGGAAAGUCCAAGGGAAUGGAUCAGGAAGUGCAACAAGUAUUGCAUAAACUACCAAAUUCCUAAGGAACAGAAGGUAAAGGUGAUCGAGAUGUACUUGGAAGGGAAGGCGGGCAGGUGGUUCCAGGGAGUUAAGGCGGAGAAACCUGAAAUCACGUGGCCAAUGUUUGAAGAAUUAUUGGGCAAAAGGUUCGAUAACAAGGCAGGUAAGGAUAUUGUGGAGGAAUUUAACAAAUUGCACCAGACAGGGAAGGUGGAGGAGUAUCAGGAAAGGUUUGAGGAGCUCAAGGUCCUCAUGACAAUGAAGAAUCCGCAUCUGAGUGAAGAAUAUUUUGUAUCCAGCUUUAUCAGUGGAUUGAAAGAUGAAAUCAAGACUAUGAUCAAAAUGUUGAGGCCUACCUCUCUGUCCGAGACUUUUGAAUUAGCAGUAUUGCAGGAGAAUGCACUGAACCUUGUGAGGGCCUCAAAAUUUAUUAUUUUAAUAAGAAUAUUAUUAUUACUAUUUCAUUUAUUUAUUUUAUUGUUUUAUUUAUUUUAUAUAUAUAUUUUUUGAAAAGUUAAAUAAUAAAUGUGAAUACAAUUAUAUUAUGUAUUUAUAUAAAAUUACAUGAUCUUUAUGUGCAUAGUUCGCAUUUUCAUAAUUAAAUUAUUUUCAUUCGAACAAAAUUCCAAUGUUUGACUGACUAGUGCUAAGUUCAGUUUUUAAGCCGUGUCGAGGAAUUUAACUUUGGUGAAAGAUUAGUCUAUGAGUAGCUUUAAAAGAAUUAUAAAUGAGAUAGAACUAAGAUAGAUAAGAAAAGUGUAGUGGACAAAUUUAAGUGGAACAUAAGCAUUGGUCAAAGUUGGACAAUUUCCGCUAAAACUAAGUUUUAAUCUUGCCAUUGUUUCUUCCAUUUAAUUUCCUCCAAUUCACUUCAAUUUCUUUUCCUUUCUUCCUUAUUAUAGUCGAGAAUCCCCCUCCCUCAUUAGCCAAGAUAAUCACUUUCAUUCCCACUAAAUUUACUCUUAAGACAUUAAUAUGUAAGAGGGGACAUGAUCCUUAAAAUAGGGCUUUAAGUCCUAUCCUUCUCUUCCCAAUAUAAUGCUCCCAAUUUUUCAAACAUUUCAUUCCUUUUCUUCUUCCCUUAUCAGCCGACCACCCUCACACACUCUCUCCCUCUUUCUAGCCAAAGCUCUAUCUUCUUCUUCCUCAACUCAAACUCCAUGACCAACCAACUUCUAGCUUCACUCCAUCUCCUAUUUUUUUUUCUUGUUGUUCUAGCCGAGAGAAUGAGAGGGAGAAACCGAGAGGAGCUCUUUGUGGUGGCUGGCCAGAUUCUUGGAGAAGGAAAGAGAUCUCUUCGUGGUGAAGAUUGGACAUCCUAGCCUUGGGAAAAUCAGCUAGAACCUGAGGUAGUUCUCUAACCCAAAAGCUAGAGCUUUCAUGUUAUCUCUUGAAGAGUGAAUCUUGAAACUUCAUUGGGUUGAAUUCUUGUUGGAUUUGGUUAAUGUACGGGUUCUUGGGAUUCCCACAAAUGUAUGAUCUUGGUUGCUAGCAUGAUUUUUGAUUGGUAUAUGUGUGAAUAUUUGGAGUUGUGGCUUGAACUUUGGAAGGGAAGAACCUUAACAGAAAUCGGGAGAAAGAGGGGGAGAGAGAGAGAGGGGGGACCAAAAUGGUUUCUGUUUUCUCUAUUUUUCUUGGCUGUGUUUUCACAAAUUUAAAGAUUGAUUUGGGAGCUAAAAAUUUAAGCUUUAAGCUGUCAUUUUCUCUUACAAAAAAAAAAAAAAAACCCCUUCAAAUGGCGUUGCAAAAUGGUUCCAAAAGAAGGUUUCAAACCUGGAAAUUUCAAAUGAGAGUACGGUCCGAAAUUUCUGUGAUUAUUCGAAAAUGUUUGGGGCUCAAUUAGCCUUAGCACAUAACAUGAAAGUUGUAGAGAAUUGAGUUUAAAUUAUGCCUGUAAAGUUUCAGCUCAAUCGGAGCUGGGUAUCCUGUGAAAUGACAAAAUUGCCCCUGCUACCCUGUUUCUAUCAGAAAUGAUAAUCAGCCUCUGUAAUUGGUUAGUUUGACCGGGAAUAUUACUGAAUUGGUUGUCAAUGUCUUCUUAAGAAUUGUAGCCUUGUAUCUUAGCUUUGAAAUGGCUUUGGAAUCACCUGAAUCGGAGUUGUGUGUGCUGAGUUAAGAUUAACUGAAUCAGGACUAUCAGUAAUUGUGUCAGUGAGAAUUGAACCAAGAAACUUGGGCUAUUUCGGUAAAUUUGAUCUAGUUAGGGUGAGAACUGGGUUGAGAUGUCUUCACAAGAAUGGUAGAUCUAUGUCUUAGCUUCGAAACGGUAUAUUUUUUGUUUCAAUCCGAUAAGUGUAGCUCGAGUUGUGCUUAAAUUCCUAAAAGGAUUUGGUAAAUGGAUUUACGAACUGUACUUUCUUAUUAGGUGAGUGUGUACGUUAUCACACUCGCCAAAGGACAUGUGACUUUUCACUAUUUGAGUGACCUAUUUACCAAUGUGUUUAUGUGGUCAAUGUGGUUACUGGACGCUUGGUUUGAGGUGAUUAUUGUGAUUAUUGUGGCUGAACCCCUUGAGCAUUUGUUCGGGGUGACUAGCUUGAGGAUUUUAAUUGCUUUCUUGUUUUUGGCUUGAUGAUAGGUAGAGGUCUGGAGGUAUAUUGAGCUUUAGAUGCAUAUAUGUGAUAAAUCUUGCUUUAUUACAUGUUUGGCUUGUUAAUUAUUGCCAGAUAUUCCUUUAUUUGGAUAGAUGAACUUGUGUGUGUUUAAGUAUAGCAAGAGGAAAAAUUUUUGUUUUGAAUCUUUCAUGUUGGCCGAAAUUUUUGGGACAAAAUUUCAGAUUUUUGGAGCUUUUAUUUGAGUUAAAGUUGUGCCAAAAUAAUGGAUUCUAAGUGUAUUUGGGUUGAUUAAACCGAUUGGCUCUUCAAAGGAAAAAAAAGGAGUGAACUUGCUAAAGUGAAAACUGGAAAUCUGCUUUCUGGAACAACAGACCAGUUUCGGAAAAAAAAGUUAUAUUUUCAUGUAUACCACUCCAAAUCGAGUCCCAUUUGUUUUUUUUUUUUGAAACUAGACACAUAAGGUUACAAAUCAUGUAAAUUUCAGGGGCUAACUCAUUUUCUGUGAUUUUUGGUGUUUUUUUAAAGUCCGUUGGAAAAACGGAAUUUUACCUGCCCUGCAUUUUACUGUAGCAGUCUAUUGACGGAAACACUGGGCAAAAUUCGUAUGGAAUGUCAUCAAGGUGUCUUCUACAAAGUUUUAGCCCUUUCAAUUAGGUUUCCAACGGUAUCAACUAUGCAAAUUUUGGACUCGUAAAUAUUAAGUUACGAUUUUCUAAAGAUUUCUACCAUAAACCUCCAGUUUCCUGAUUUUUACAAUAAACAUGAAAACGACUUGAUAUUUUUGCUUGGCCUUGAAUAUGCACGUGAAUGAUCGUGAUUAUACAUGUCUCAGGUGAAUACGAGAACUCCGAAGAACCCGUUUAGCCGCUUAACUUUUUCUCUCUCAUGACUUUUGGUGAGUGUCAAAUGCAUGUUAAGUGUUUAAAUGAAAUGUUUCUCGUACUUGCUAGUUCAUGAGGGUAGAGUGUACUUUACCGCCCUUGUCCUCUAUUUCAUGAAAUUGCUUGCUUGAUAAGUGAUAAGUGUUACAUGUGAAUGUAAAUGAAAGUGUUUUCCGUGAGCAUUGAGCAGCAGAAUGUAUCACACCCUUUUAGGGUUGGAGGUACCGCUCAUCCCGUCUCAAUGCUAUGACCAAAUCUUGUCGAUUGGAGAUUCGUCUCAUCGACCCAAAAGUGAAUGGGGGGGGGAUGCCCCAACCCAUUGGCUAGCCUUGUAACUCGAGCCGGCAAGGGCUUGGUCGAGAAACUUGGUGAACCUUAGGCAGUGUUAUAACUUGAUCCAAAUAAGAUGUCUUGCUAGGUAUCCUUGUUAAGUGAUACCACCUACAAGCUUGUUUGGUUACGGAUCCAAGAGGGUGUCAUGGUGGCUGGAGGUAGUAAGUGGAGUUCUACAUGGAUAACUGUAAAAGUUGACGGAGGGUCAACUACCUGAGCUUGGAUAGCGCGUGGAUUAGCUCCUGAGAGCUCUCGUAUCCUUUUAAUUGUGAUUAAAUUCCUUACUUGCUAAAUGUUUCGAAGUUACUUGUUACUCAAGUUAUUGCUUUAUAUUGUGUCUUUGCUCGCAUGCUUGCAUGUUUUUCCCUUGGCCUCAUUGAGCGUCAGCUCACCCCAAUUUGUUUUCCUUAACAGGUUUGGAAGUGGAAGUUCUGAGGCUUAAUUAGUGACAAUCCCUUUGGGUAGAACUAGUCGUUAUCUUUAAUUCUGGGACUCCAUAGUGUAAAACUUAUGAUUAUUUUGGGCUUUCGGUAUUGUAAAAGUACAUUGAAAAUCUUGGAUGUAAUAUAGAAGCAUGAAUUGUUCUUUUAUAUUUUAGAGUACAUGAAUGUUUUAGUGGAGUAUUUCAUGUGAUAUUGGAGUUUAAUUUGUAAUUUACUUGAAGAUUGUAGUGAGUCCCGGCGAGAGUUGGGCAGGCGGUCUGCCGAACCCUUUGGUUCGCCUUAGGGGGAGGUGGGGUCGUCAUAGUUGGUAUCAGAGCUCUAGGUUUCAGAUCUCUGUAGUGUAUCCUAAGUUCUAAAAGUUGAGGAUGCCACACAGUGGGAUUCGGGUUCGUUUGAAUGUUAAGUGAAAAAGUGAAGUAGUGAGCAAUUGUGGUUUCGAUGGUUAUUAAGAUUCAAUAAUUGAGGAUUAUUGUGCUAGACUAGCAAGAGAGAAGAAGAUUGUAAGAGAUUAAACACUAUUUAAAAGAUAGUAAGUAAAUUUCUUGAAUAAUGGCAUUUGCUAGGAGGCGUUCUUGAUUUAAGGACUUAUGGGGAAAUAAAUGAUUAAUUUGUUUGGGAUAACCUUUAGUGCUUGAUCGUUGCCACUAGAUAUAUUUUAGAGUUGAUAUACCUUGUUCUUGCCUUGGGAACAUGACUGCAAUUAUGUCUUGGAAUUUGGAAGGCCUACCUUUUGUAGUACCUAGUUAAGUAUGUGGUGACUCGUGCUUGUUAAAGGAUAGAUAUUAUGAUGGAAUGCGGAACUUUAAUUGAAAAGAUAGUUGAUGUAGCUCUAAUGUUCAAAAUGAGGUUGGCCUUACCUAAGGGAAUUAAGCCCCCUCGCUCAGUUGCAAGCUAGACUAUGGAGCACGACCUUUUAUACCUUUUGUUUAUGAUAGUUGGGGUGAUGCUUGUGCUUUGGCCUGUAUAUUUUGUUAAGCAUGAUAUUUGUUCCCUUUUGAAGUAUUUGAAUGCUAUAAAUUCUAUACCUGAUCAUGUUGACUUGUUAAUUUGUUUGGUAGUACACAUGCAAAGUUUUAUUUUCAUUAUCGACUCAUGCAAUGACAUGCUCUCAUUUUGGUUGAUUGUUCUCCCUCUUGUAUGACCUUGUUCAUAAAAAAAAAAUUUGAUUUGUAUGUCAUCUGAUCUAUUGACUGUUCCUGUGAAAAUAUGAAGUGUGCUUUGAUUGCUUUUCAAGUUUUAAAUUCCAUUUUUCCUUCAUUGGACAUAUUUAGAUUUAUAUAUUUAUAUAUUUAUUCAUUUACUAGAGUUAUCCAUCUAUUAGUUAUUUAUUUAUUUAUUAUUUUUGGUCCUCCGUAAGAAUUAGAAAUAAAGGGUAGAAAGGAUCGAGACUGUGGGCCAGAGGGGCCAGGCAAACCCCAAAGCGUGGAAGAUAAUUGGGAAAUAAAGUUGAGGGUUAGUGAAUGAUGACAAAGAGAUAACUAGUGGAGUAUAUAUUGAAUUAUUAUAAUUAAAGAAAAAAAAAAGAGUAACUGCAAGGAGGUAAACUAGUGGAUAAGAUAAGCUGUUAUUAAGAAGUUUCAUUUAGUGCGAGUGUGACAAAAUUUAUGGUAAACUUUGGAGAUCUAAGACUUGUUAUAAUUAGGGUUGGAGUUUUGGAUGAGAUAGGUGUUUGAACUCAUUAGAUUUACAAGUUUAUGGUUAAAUUCAAUGAUUCCCGGUUAAUUGAGCUUGGGUUAUGGAAGAUAUUCCUUGGACUUUGAUUACUAGGCUAGAUGCCUCGGGAAUUCUCUAUGCUUCAUAGUGUAAAAUUGUGGUGAAUCUUGGCGGAUAAGAUAAGAGAGCUUGAUAUAUGUUGAUUAUUGGAUAUUGUGGUUAAUUCAUGAGAUUGAUGAAUUAUAAUAGGAAAGUGAUGAUAGGAUCGGUGAAAAUUUUUGGUAGUAUCUCUGCUGGCCGAACAUGUUUAGUUACCUUUAGCCCUGUUUUCUUACAAAUCAUUGGCAAAAUUUUGCUUAAUAUUUUAAACGUUGAUUCUUGAAAAUGAAAUUUGAAGUUGAAAGGAAAUAAUUUUUAAACCUGGUUUUGCUAAAAAUUUUUCCAAAAAGGAACACCGUACAGUUUUAAAAUUUGUGAUGCAUUGGUGUAAUAUAUAUAUAUAUAUAUACACAUAUAUACAUAUACAUAUAUCAUAAAAAAAAUCCAAAAUUUAGUUUCGUUUAUUAGAUUUAAAAGUUGACAAUGGCUCUUUUCACCGUGUAAAAUUUUCAAAUUUUCUUAAAUUCUAUGAGCAUCGGAAAUUUUCCUACGAUAAAUGAAAUGUCAAAUCCAUUCUUGCUUUUCCUAUUUGUUAAAGCUGUAGUUUAAGGUCAAGAUCCAUUUAUUUACAAAUUUAAUCUUGAAAGGAUGCCUUUUGGGACAAAUGUAGAACUUUUGAAUGGUAUAGGACUGGUGAUUUUUGGAUUUAUGGAACUUAAAAAUACAGACAAUUUUAGUUUGAAAUAAAAGUGUCCUUUUAAACCUUACGACCUUAAAUAUGAAAAUAUUGAUCCGAUUUGAACUUGAAAAGAGACACGAGAAAAAGUUAAGAUUAACUCGUCAAAGGAUAUUAAUGGUUCGAAACCGUUAAAAGAGUUAUACAGAUAAUAGAAGGAGAGAUUGAUAGAUAGUUUUGUAUAAUCCAAUGGGAUCCUAGUACUUGAUCUAAGUCGAAACCGAACGAGGAGAUGAGAUCUAUUGGUAUUUUGAUGGAUUGACCUAGUUGAGUAACUAGUAAGGUUCUCCCUUGUGAACUUAAUGAUUACUUUACAUAUAUCUUGUGAUUGGCCCUAUAGGCAUGUUUUAAACUUGUACGAAUAUUUGAACUUCCAAGUUUUGUAUUCAUUAUUUGUGGUGUGACCUGGAUGGAAUGAAAGUCCUUUCAAUUUUUGCUUAACCAUUACUGUGUAUAUAUCCAAUUACUUGUUGUUCCUUUUUACAAAAAAAAAAAUAUUUAUACAAAUGUAUAUACUCUGAACUCGCAUAAAAAUUGAAAAUCAGGCAGAGUUUGGGUUUGGACCUUUUCUUAGAAAUAAGAAUGAAUAUUGGUCGUGAAUUGGAGAGUAAAUAGUUAAGUUUUAUGUGGCAUAAAAGCUAAUUCUCAGAUUAGGUGUGAAGAGUAGAGGCGUUGGACCGAAGUUUAAGUAAAUAUGAACCUGCAUGUCUGCUUAUUUUCUUAAAAGCAUUUUAUUCUCAAAAGUGAUUUGUGGGGUUAAAUGAUUUUUCUUGAUCAAACGUCCAAAUAACAAAUGUUAAACUUCUUACCAAAAGUCGAAUGCAUUUAGAAAUUUUGACUAUCAAGAUCAGAACCAAUUUCUUUUCUUCUUGUCUUCCAUUCGAAUAGCCAUUUUAUUUAUAUAUAUAUAGACCACAAUUUUUCCAAAUGUGUAUUUGAUAUCCUGUUAUUAGUUUGGUUACGAAAGGUACGUGAAAAAGCUUUCCUCGAACAAAUAAGAUUUUCAGUUGGCCGUUUUGGGACAAAAGAAACUGGAUCAUUUCUAAAAUUGUUAAUUUUGAAAAUCGAAUACUAGUAAAUAAUUUUGGACAAUUUGAGUACAACCAUUUGGUGAGUGAAACCUUUUAUAGAAAAUAUAUCUUUGUACUCGAGUUUUGAACUACAUGAUUGAGUCAUUUGAUUUAGUCGAGAAAAAACAAAGUAAAUUUCGAGGACGAAAUUAUUUUAAGGAGGGAAGGAUAUGAGGGCCUCAAAAUUUAUUAUUUUAAUAUUAUUAUUAUUAUUACUAUUUCAUUUAUUUAUUUUAUUGUUUUAUUUAUUUUAUAUAUAUAUUUUUUGAAAAGUUAAAUAAUAAAUGUGAAAAUAACUAUAUUAUGUAUUUAUAUAAAAUUACAUGAUCUUUAUGUGCAUAGUUCACAUUUUCAUAAUUAAAUGAUUUUCAUUCGAACAAAAUUCAAAUGUUUGACCGACUAGUGCUAAGUUUAGUUUUUGAGCCGUGUCGAGGAAUUUAACUUUGGUGAAAGAUUAGUCUAUGAGUAGCUUUUAAAGAAUUAUAAAUGAGAUAGAACUAAGAUAGAUAAGAAAAGUGUAGUGGACAAAUUUAAGUGGAACAUAAGCAUUGGUCAAAGUUGGACAAUUUCCGCUAAAACUAAGUUUUAAUCUUGCCAUUGUUUCUUCCAUUUAAUUUCCUCCAAUUCACUUCAAUUUCUUUUCCUUUCUUCCUUAUUAUAGUCGAGAAUCCCCCUCCCUCAUUAGCCAAGAUAAUCACUUUCAUCCCCACUAAAUUUACUCUUAAGACAUUAAUAUGUAAGAUGGGACAUGAUCCUUAAAAUAGGGCUUUAAGUCCUAUCCUUCUCUUCCCAAUAUAAUGCUAUCAAUUUUUCAAACCUUUAAUUCCUUUUCUUCUUCCCUUAUCAGCCGACCACCCUCACACACUCUCUCCCUCUUUCCAGCCAAAGCUCUAUCUUCUUCUUCCUCAACUCAAACUCCAUGACCAACCAACUUCUAGCUUCACUCCAUCUCCUUUUUUUUUUUUUGUUGUUCUAGCCGAGAGAAUGAGAGGGAGAAACCGAGAGGAGCUCUUUGUGGUGGCUGGCCAGAUUCUUGGAGAAGGAAAGAGAUCUCUUCGUGGUGAAGAUUGGACAUCCUAGCCUUGGGAAAAUCAGUUAGAACCUGAGGUAGUUCUCUAACCCAAAAGCUAGAGCUUUCAUGUUAUCUCUUGAAGAGUGAAUCUUGAAACUUCAUUGGGUUGAAUUCUUGUUGGAUUUGGUUAAUGUACGGGCUCUUGGGAUUCCCACAAAUGGAUGAUCUUUGUUGCUAGCAUGAUUUUUGAUUGGUAUAUGUGUGAAUAUUUGGAGUUGUGGCUUGAACUUUGGAAGGGAAGAACCUUAACAGAAAUCGGGAGAAAGAGGGGGAGAGAGAGAGAGGGGGGACCAAAAUGGUUUCUGUUUUCUCUAUUUUUCUUGGCUGUGUUUUCACAAAUUUAAAGAUUGAUUUGGGAGCUAAAAAUUUAAGCUUUAAGCUGUCAUUUUCUCUUACAAAAAAAAAAAAAAAACCCCUUCAAAUGGCGUUGCAAAAUGGUUCCAAAAGAAGGUUUCAAACCUGGAAAUUUCAAAUGAGAGUACGGUCCGAAAUUUCUGUGAUUAUUCGAAAAUGUUUGGGGCUCAAUUAGCCUUAGCACAUAACAUGAAAGUUGUAGAGAAUUGAGUUUAAAUUAUGCCUGUAAAGUUUCAGCUCAAUCGGAGCUGGGUAUCCUGUGAAAUGACAAAAUUGCCCCUGCUACCCUGUUUCUAUCAGAAAUGAUAAUCAGCCUCUGUAAUUGGUUAGUUUGACCGGGAAUAUUACUGAAUUGGUUGUCAAUGUCUUCUUAAGAAUUGUAGCCUUGUAUCUUAGCUUUGAAAUGGCUUUGGAAUCACCUGAAUCGGAGUUGUGUGUGCUGAGUUAAGAUUAACUGAAUCAGGACUAUCAGUAAUUGUGUCAGUGAGAAUUGAACCAAGAAACUUGGGCUAUUUCGGUAAAUUUGAUCUAGUUAGGGUGAGAACUGGGUUGAGAUGUCUUCACAAGAAUGGUAGAUCUAUGUCUUAGCUUCGAAACGGUAUAUUUUUUGUUUCAAUCCGAUAAGUGUAGCUCGAGUUGUGCUUAAAUUCCUAAAAGGAUUUGGUAAAUGGAUUUACGAACUGUACUUUCUUAUUAGGUGAGUGUGUACGUUAUCACACUCGCCAAAGGACAUGUGACUUUUCACUAUUUGAGUGACCUAUUUACGAAUGUGUUUAUGUGGUCAAUGUGGUUACUGGACGCUUGGUUUGAGGUGAUUAUUGUGAUUAUUGUGGCUGAACCCCUUGAGCAUUUGUUCGGGGUGACUAGCUUGAGGAUUUUAAUUGCUUUCUUGUUUUUGGCUUGAUGAUAGGUAGAGGUCUGGAGGUAUAUUGAGCUUUAGAUGCAUAUAUGUGAUAAAUCUUGCUUUAUUACAUGUUUGGCUUGUUAAUUAUUGCCAGAUAUUCCUUAAUUUGGAUAGAUGAACUUGUGUGUGUUUAAGUAUAGCAAGAGGAAAAAUUUUUGUUUUGAAUCUUUCAUGUUGGCCGAAAUUUUUGGGACAAAAUUUCAGAUUUUUGGAGCUUUUAUUUGAGUUAAAGUUGUGCCAAAAUAAUGGAUUUUAAGUGUAUUUGGGUUGAUUAAACCGAUUGGCUCUUCAAAGGAAAAAAAAGGAGUGAACUUGCUAAAGUGAAAACUGGAAAUCUGCUUUCUGGAAUAUCAGACCAGUUUCGGAAAAAAAAAAGUUAUAUUUUCAUGUAUACCACUCCAAAUCGAGUCCCAUCUGUUUUUUUUUUUAAACUAGACACAUAAGGUUACAAACCAUGUAAAUUUCAGGAGCUAACUCAUUUUCUGUGAUUUUUGGUGUUUUUUUAAAGUUCGUUGGAAAAAUGGAAUUUUACCUGCCCUGCAUUUUACUGUAGCAGUCUAUUGACGGAAACACUGGGCAAAAUCCGUAUGGAAUCUCAUCAAGGUGUCUUCUACAAAGUUUUAGUCCUUUCAAUUAGGUUUCCAACGGUAUCAACUAUGCAAAUUUUGGACUCGUAAAUAUUAAGUUACGAUUUUCUAAAGAUUUCUACCAUAAACCUCCAGUUUCCUGAUUUUUACAAUAAACAUGAAAACGACUUGAUAUUUUUGCUUGGCCUUGAAUAUGCACGUGAAUGAUCGUGAUUAUACAUGUCUCAGGUGAAUACGAGGACUCCGAAGAACCCGUUUAGCCGCUUAACUUUUUCUCUCUCAUGACUUUUGGUGAGUGUCAAGUGCAUGUUAAGUGUUUAAAUGAAAUGUUUCUCGUACUUGCUAGUUAAUGAGGGUAGGGUGUACUUUACCGCCCUUGUCCUCUCUUUCAUGAAAUUACUUGCUUGAUAAGUGAUAAGUUUUAUAUGUGAAUGUAAAUGAAAGUGUUUUCCGUGAGCAUUGAGCGGCAGAAUGUAUCACGCCCUUUUAGGGUGGGAGGUACCGCUCAUCCCAUCUCAAUGCUAUGACCAAAUCUUGUCGAUUGGAGCUUCGUCUCAUCGACCCAAAAGUGAAUGGGGGGGGGGACGCCCCAACCCAUUGGCUAGCCUUGUAACUCGAGCCGGCAAGGGUUUGGUCGAGAAACUUGGUGAACCUUGGGCAGUGUUAUAGCUUGAUCCAAAUAAGGGGUCUUGCUAGGUAUACUUGUUAAGUGAUACCACCUACAUGCUUGUUUGGUUACGGAUCCAAGAGGGUGUCAUGGUGGCUGGAGGUAGUAAGUGGAGUUCUACAUGGAUAACUGUGAAAGUUGACGGAGGGUCAACUACCUGAGCUUGGAUCGCGCGUGGAUUAGCUCCUGAGAGCUCCCGUAUCUUUUUAAUUGUGAUUAAAUUCCUUACUUGCUAAAUGUUUCGAAUUUACUUGUUACUCAAGUUAUUGCUUUAUAUUGUGUCUUUGCUCGCAUGCUUGCAUGUUUUUCCCUUGGCCUCCCUGAGCGUUUACUCACCCCAAUUUGUUUUCCUUAACAGGUUUGGAAGUGGAAGUUCUGAGGCUUAAUUAGUGACAAUCCCUUUGGGUAGAACUAGUCGUUAUCUUUAAUUCUGGGACUCCAUAGUAUAAAACUUAUGAUUAUUUUGGGCUUUCGGUAUUGUAAAAGUACAUUGAAAAUCUUGGAUGUAAUAUUUAAGCAUGAAUCGUUCUUUUAUAUUUUAGAGUACAUGAAUGUUUUAGUGGAGUAUUUCAUGUGAUAUUGGAGUUUAAUUUGUUAUUUACUUGAAGAUUGUAGUGAGUCCCGGCGAGAGUUGGGCAGGCGGUCUGUCGAACCCUUUGGUUCGCCUUAGGGGGAGGUGGGGUCGUCACAAACUUACAGUCCAGAAAUUCUAAGGAAAAUGUAAGGACUACCUCAGAGAACAGGUUUGGAAUCUCUAAAAGUUCAUCUCAGCAGUUGAACCACAUUUCACACUACAAAGUAUCCCCUAUUAGUUCAUUCAGAAAUACUCAUUUCAAAGGUAGACCUGUUUCAACUACUGAAGCAGAACCUAGAAGAAUUUCAGCACAAGAAAUACAAUAUAGAAGGAACCAUGGCCUAUGCUUCAAGUGUGGAGAGAAGUUUGGGCAGGGACAUCAAUGCAAACUGGGCCAUCUGAACUUCCUGAUCAAUGAUGAGGGAGAAGAAUCUGAAUUCGAAGAUGCACUGGGAGAGCAGGAUGAAACCACAGGGAAUCCAGGGCAGAUCAUGGAGAUGUCCUUACACACACUGUCCGAGGCACUUAAACGAAAAACAAUCACACUGGUAGGAAGACUAGAUGGGGAAGAGAUGCUGAUACUGGUAGACACAGGCAGUUCUGAUAGUUACAUAAGCAGUGAGAAGGUAAUUGCCUUUGAUAUUCCUUAUAAAUUAGUCAAUCCUUUUUCUGUGGUUUUUGGGAAUGGGGCUUGUGUAACCAGCAAGGCCAUAUGUCCUAAGGUGGUAUGGGGAAUUAAUCAGCAUAGGUUCUGUUAUGACCUCAAAGUGAUGGAUCUAAGUGGAUGGGACAUAGUGCUUGGGGUGGACUGGAUGACUCAGUUCAGCCCUAUCACUUUUGAUUUCCACAAGCUGACUAUCUUCUUGCAAGAUCAAGGGGAAGCAGUGCACUUGCAUGGCCAAGCUGAAGACUGUGACUUAGAUCUAAUCAGAGGAGGCGACCUGAGGACAUUCAUUGAAUACAAGAGACAGUUGUGCAUGUCCAUGAGAUUGGGACAGGGUGAUCUGAUGCAGGGAAAUGACAUUCCUGCAGGAGUCCAGGGCAUCAUUGAAGAAUUUACAGAUGUGUUUGUAGCACCCUCUGAGUUACCACCAGCAAGAAGUAUAGAUCAUGAGAUACCACUAAAACCUGAGGUUCAACCCUUCAAGAUGAAGCCGUACAGAUACCCUCACUCCCAAAAGAGGGAAAUUGAACAACAGGUUAAGGAUAUGUUGCAGCAUGGAAUCAUAGUGCACAGUAACAAUCCUUUUGCCUCCCCAGUUCUGCUUGUCAAGAAGAAGGAAGGGACCUGGCAUUUUUGUGUAGACUACAGGAGACUGAACGAGAUGACCAUCAAGGACAGGUACCCCAUACCUAAUGUAGACGAACUGAUCAAUGAGCUAGCAGGAUCCAAAUACAAAUCAAAGUUGGACCUCACUUCAGGCUACCACCAAAUCAGGGUCAAGCCUAAGGAUACAUACAAAACUGCAUUUCAAACACACUGUGGCCACUAUGAGUUCUUGGUAAUGCCUUUUGUGUUAAGAAACGCUCCAGCCACAUUUCAGUCCCUCAUGAAUCAGAUAUUCCAGCCUUACCUGAGAAAAUUUGUUCUAGUUUUUUUUGAUGAUAUCCUAAUCUAUAGUCCUACAUUAGAGCUACACCAGCAACAUCUGAGGAUAGUCUUGACAGUAUUGAGGGAACAUAAGUUGUUUGUAAAACGUUCCAAGUGCUCGUUUGCACAGUCAACAGUGGACUACCUUCGUCACACUAUCAGAGAGAGUGAUUCAAGAAUAACCACACAAUGAAACGUAAUUUACCACAAACUUCAGAUACCAAAAGUAAUCAUGAAAUGCUUCAUGAUCCAAUCAACGCGAGAAUAAGUAAUUUUGACAGAAUAAUUAUUGACUUUCUUCAUCUCUUUAGUAUUAUUUAUUUUUCCAAUUUAUUGUUUAGAACAAAAAAAAAUAAGUCAAUUCAAGAUAUGAACAUAUGAAAGGCUCAACAGCUGGAUAAUACUCAUUAACGACAGAGGCUAUUAAUCCAAAAGGACUAAAAUGGAGUAAACUUUAUAUUCCAAAAGGCAUUUAUGGUGGGGGAAAAAGAUAGAAUCUAAUAUGGCAUUAUACGUCCUUUCAAACCUUAAUAACGAUUACAAAUAAUUCAUAAAGACGCCAAGACUUUUGAAAGGAUUUAGAUUUCGUUGCAAUUUAGCCUUUACUCAUGAAAGGGAUGGUUGGAUAGGAAUUCUGUAGCAUGCCGGUAGCAGCCAUCCAAAAAGAACUAGUCCAUUUGUGCACAAAAUAAAGUGAAUAUAAUGUGUGUGUGUGUGUGUAUUAAAAAGUAAUCAAUUGGGUUAGAUUUGAUGAUUUGUGAUUACAGUGUAAUCUUUUAUAUAUAUUUUGUAACUCUAUUAAAUCUAAUAUUUUUCAAAUCAAAUAUAUCUGUGACAUAUUCAAUGUAUUUUUUGACAUUGGUGCAGAUUACUUUGUUAAACAAAUCGUGCUGGAUGAUGUAAUGGCUGCUUCAGCAAGAAAUGAAGAGGGAGUUAGCAGAAAGGGAAAGAUGGGAGAGAGACUUGAGAGGGAAGAUAGAAAAUGCGGAAAAUGAGAGAACUGAAUUUGUUGUAUCUGAUAGCAUGCCCCUCACGUCUUACCUUUAGGCUUAUUCAUACAGGAUUCAUCCUCUAGAUCCUUCCAUGCCUUAGCUAUAACAGAAUGCUUAACAGAACGAUCACGCAUGCAUGCAUGCAGUGCAGUAACUAACUAGCCAACUAACUCUCUGAUAUGCUAACUGACUUCCAGAAAUGGAAACCAUGGCCACUACAUUAUUAGCUAUAAAUAACUAGGGAAUAUCUAAAAUAUCUAGAGGAAAUAUCCAGAAUAUCUAGGAUCAUUACAAUACCUCCCCCUCAAGAAUCCUAGUCACUAGGAUUGAGUUGGAAAUCUGGAAAUUGUGAUUGUAUCACUGUGAUAUCCUCCCAAGUUGAGUCUUCAGUGCCUAGGUUCAACCAUUUGAUCAACACUUGAGUUACCUUGUGUCUUUUCCUCAUGAUUUCACGAGUAGCAAUAACACUUUCAAGGGCAAUUUUAACCUGUCCAUCCGUAGUAGUCAAAGGUAGUUCUUGAGUAACUACAUGAUUCUUGGCUGAGGGCUUGAGUAAGGAGACAUGGAAGGUAGGGUGAAUCAAGGAGCCAGCAGGUAAUUCCAACCUAUAGGCUGCAUUUCCCACCUUCUAAAGAACUUUGUAGGGUCCAUAAUAUUUUGAAGACAAUUUCAGAUUCUUUUUGACUGCCACAGACGAUUGUCUAUAAGGUUGCAGUUUCAAAUAGACCCAAUCUCCCACUUGGAAACUCCUUUCACUCCUGUCCUUGUCCGCAAACUGUUUCAUUCGAUUUUGUGCUUUGAUUAAAUUCCCCUUCAGCAGCUCGUUCCAUUUUCUUCUGUCCCCUAGCCAUUGCUCCACAGCCGCUACUGGAGUCCCCAAGGCAUUGAUGCCUAGUUGAGAUGGUGGAUAUCCAUACAGAGCCUCGAAGGGAGUCAUUUUUAAGGCUGUGUGAUGGUUGGUGUUGUACCACCAUUCAGCAGCAGCUAGCAAGGACUUCCAUUUAUGGGGUUGCUGGAAACACAGGCACCUCAAAUUUGUCUCCACACAUCUGUUCAACCUUUUUGUCUGUCCAUCUGUUUGGGGAUGGUAAGCAAUAGAGUAGUGCAGCUCCGUGCCUAACUUCCCAAACAACUCCUGCCAGAACAAGCUGGUAAAUAGCCUAUCCCUAUCAGAUACAAUGCUCAGGGGUAAUCCAUGUAGCUUAUAGAUGUUUUCAAAAUACAUGUUAGCCACCGACUGUGCAGUAUACUUCGAUGGUAAUGCUAGGAGGUGAAAGUACUUGGUGAACCUAUCAAUGACAACUAGCAUUCCCUCAUACCCCUGAGAUUUAGGUAACCCCUCAAUGAAAUCCAUUGAAAUAUGCUGCCAUGCUUGUUCAGGAAUAGGUAGAGAUUGUAGCAGUCCUGGUGUCUUGCAAUUUUCUACCUUGCUCCUCUUGCAAACAUCACACUGUUGUACCCAUUGUUCUACUUCUCUUUUCAUUCCUGGCCAGAAGAAUGGUCCCUUUAAUCUUUGGUAGGUCCCCAGGUUGCCUGAAUGACCCCCAAUGAGAGAGUCAUGAAAGCAGGCUAUCAGUUUCUGUCUCAAGUUCCCUGAGGAACCAACGUACAUCCUGCCUUUAUACCUGAGUAAAUUCCCAGCAAAAGAAUAAUUUGGGAGAGAAUCAGGUGAAGUAGUCAGGCCUUCAGUCAACUUAGUCAUAGAACCAUCCCCUUGGUAACUCUCUAGGACUUCAGACAGCCAUGCCGGUUUCAUGACUGAGAUGCUAUGUGUAAAGCUGUCCUCUUCAUAGCAUCUUCUAGACAGUGCAUCAGCCACCAGGUUUUCAUUUCCUUUCUUGUACUAUAUUUCAUAAUCUAGGCCCAAUAACUUAGUGAGCCAUUUCUAUUGUAGGGGAGUAGUUAUCUUCUGUUCCAAUAGGUACUUUAAGCUCUGGUGAUCUGUCUUGAUGAUGAAGUGGCUUCCCAACAGGUAAUGCCUCCACUUGGACACAGCUGUAAUAAGGGACAACAACUCUUUUUCGUAUAUGGACAGUCCCAAAUUCUUAGGUCCCAGAGCUUGACUGAGAUAGGCAAUAGGCCUCUCUUGUUGCAUUAGGACUGCACCAAUAGCCUUCUGACUAGCAUAUGUUUCUAGAGAAAAAGGUAAAGAAAAGUUAGGAAGUGUUAGGACUGGUGUGCUACUCAUCAGCUACUUCAGUUUUUGAAAGGCUAGCUCAGCUUGUUCAUUCCAGUGGAAGUUUUCUUUCUUCAAUAACUCAGUGAGUGGUUUGGCAAUGAGUCCAUAUCCCCUCACAAACCUCCUGUAGUACCCUGUGAGUCCCAAAAAUCCUCUCAAUGCCUUUAGUGAUGUAGGGGUAGGCCAUUCUACCAUGCUCUUGAUUUUUGAGGGAUCUGCCUGCAUUCCAUCUCCACUGAUAAUAUGCCCCAAAUAUUCUAGUUGAGACUGUCCAAAGAUGCAUUUGGAAAGCUUGGCAAAUAGGGAGUGAGCUUUGAGUGUUUCUAGGAAAGUUUUGAGGUGCAAAAGGUGAGUGUCUGGAUCUGAACUGUAUAUGAGGAUGUCAUCAAAGAAAACUAACACAAACUUCCUCAGGUAAGGUUCAAAAACAUGGUUCAUCAGGCUUUGAAAUGUUACAGGUGCAUUGGUAAGACCAAAUGGCAUAACAGUGAACUCAUACAAUCCUAGGUAAGUUUUGAAGGCAGAUUUUGGGAUGUUAGUCUGGAGCAUUCUGAUCUGAUGGUAUCCAGCCCUUAAAUCAAUCUUGGAGAAGAUCUUAGCUCCAAACAGUUCAUCGAGUAAAUCAUCAAUGAUAGGUAUUGAAAAUUUAUCUUUGAUAGUCAGGUCAUUUAGUUGUCUGUAAUCAACACAAAAUCUCCAAGUUCCAUCUUUUUUUAACUAAUAGAACUGGAGAGGCAAACGGGCUAUGGCUAAACUGAAUAAUGCCACUACUGAGCAUGUCCUUCACUUGCCUUUCUAUUUCAUUUUUUUGGUUGUGAGGGUACCUAUAAGAUGCUAGCUUGAAUGGUUUGGCAUUUGGCACUAAGGGAAUUUGAUGGUCAUAGUUUUUGGAAGGGGGAAGGGAUUGUGGUUCUCCAAAUACAUCUUUGUAGUCUUCAAGUAAAGCACUUAGGGACUGUUGAAAACCAAUGUCUAGAUGAGUUACAGUGUUUACCUGAGUUCCCUUCAUUUUCAGUCUGCACGCGUGUUUCCAGAUUCUGGUGCUCAACCCCUCCUUCUCAGUACUAUUACUAGGAAGUUUGAGAACAGUCUCCUUAGACUCUCCAUGUAACAAGAUCCUCUCCCCUUUCUCAUCAAAGGACAUGUUCGGCUGCCUAAAGUCAAAGGUGAUGGGGCUGUGUGCAGCCAUCCAGUCUACUCCUAUAAUCACAUCAUAUGGCUCCAAGUUAAUGACAAACAUAUCAUGAGUGAACUGUUUACCUUGCAUUUCCCUGCUCAUAUUCGGAAUCAUCUUGUGACAAGUCAAGUGCUCCCCAUUAGCCAUCCUGACCCUGAAAGGCUUGAUAGAUUGGACCAGUUCUGGAUAGAGUUGUGCCACUGCCCCUUUGAUAAAAUUGAGUGCUUCCCCCAUCCACCAGGAUUGAUAGUGGAGUUUCUUUGAUCCUCCCCUGUAGCUUGAUGGUGUUGUAAGUCAUCUUCCCAGUCAGCGCAUGUAUCUCCAUUUCUACCCCCUUGGCCGACUGUGCUCCUUGGUACUCGAUCAUCUCCCCUUCUACCAGAUCCUCAGGACUAUCUUCUACUGCUACAAUCAGGUGGAUUUCCUUUUGCUUGCAUUGGUGGCCUGGUCCGAACUUUUCCCCACACCUAUAGCAAAGAUGGUGCUCCCUCCUGUACUGCAGCUCUACUGGUGUGAUUUUCUUGAAGUUCUGAGGAGUCUGUUUCUUUACAACAUUGGCAAUAAUAGGUUUGGUAUGUGGAAUGGUGUACUGCGCAACAGACUGUGGAGUAUUCCCCAAAGAGAGGGAUUUCGGAUGAUGUUUGUGCUUCUUGUGGUAGGCUUCAAAGGCAUUCUCUUGCAACCUGGCCAACUCAAAUGCUUUGGAUAAUGUCUUGGGGUCAUGAGUCUUCACCAUUGAUCUCAAUUCAUCUAGUAGUCUACUCAAAAAACAUGAAAUGUAAUAGUUUUCUGGAAGGUGUGGGGCUCGAAUCAUUACCUCUGAUAGUAGUUCCUCAAAUUUUUCUUGGUAGGCUAGGACUGUGGAGGAGAGUUGUAACUUAUUGAAUUCCUCCAUUGGAUCCAUUUGUCCCAAUGUUCCAAACCGCUUGCACAACUCUCCAGAGAACUCCAUCCAAUCCAUCUUGUUACCCCUAGUAGACUUGAAUCCCUGAUACCACACUUCAGCUUUACCUUCUAAAUGGAAUUCUGUCAGCUCCAUCCAUUGCUCCAUAGGAAUAUGCAGAAGCUGGAAAUACUUCUGAAGUUUUCUGAUCUACUUCCUAGGAUUGUUUCCUCUGAACACUGGUAUUUCCAGCUUAGGUGCACUAGCGUAGAAUGAACUUCUGACAUUCCUCUCUCCUUGCUCUCGAGUCACCAUAUCUGAGCUCCUGGAGUGACUUCCCUCUGGCGAUCCCAAUAUUCCUUUCUCAGGAUUUCCUCGGUUCAAACUGGAGAGCUGUUGAGAAAUGGCUACCAUGAAUGCAUCUAACUUAUUGUUCAGCUCCAUGCUUACUGCAUCCAACCUUUCCUCCAUGAUCUGUUUGUUUGCGGCCAUGGAUUCCAAAAUUCCUUGGAGUCUGCUGUCUUGCUUGCGUAGCUGUUCCUCCAUGGUCUUCAUUCGAGUUUCAUCUGCCAUUGUUAUAUUGAUUUCAGCUUCUUAGUCCAAGGACCGGAAGCUCUGAUACCACUUGUAAUGGCUGCUUCAGCAAGAAAUGAAGAGGGAGUUAGCAGAAAGGGAAAGAGGGGAGAGAGACUUGAGAGGGAAGAUAGAAAAUGCAGAAAAUGAGAGAACUGAAUUUGUUGUAUCUGAUAGCAUGCCCCUCACGUCUUACCUUUAGGCUUAUUUAUACAGGAUUCAUCCUCUAGAUCCUUCCAUUCCUUAGAUAUAACAGAAUGCUUAACAGAACGAUCACGCAUUCAUGCAUGCAGUGCAGUAACUAACUAGCCAACUAACUCUCUGAUAUGCUAACUAAUUAACUUCCAGAAAUGGAAACCAUGCCCACUACAUUAUUAGCUGUAAAUAACUAGGGAAUAUCUAAAAUAUCUAGAGGAAAUAUCUAGAAUAUCUAGGAUCAUUACAGAUGAUUUCUAACUAGUUUAUUAAUAAUAUUGACUUCUUUUUUAUAAAAAAAAAAGUAAUCAAGGAAAAAUGGGGAAUCUAACAGUCUAAUGCUUGCUUGCUUCUUUUUAUUGUUUGAAGUGAUUUUGGUGUCUUGCUAGUUUGUAAUUGAUUCAAGGUGGAUAGAAAGAAAUUGUUCAGAAAUGUGAAAUAGGGUAAGUAUCCCAGUUUGGUUUUGGAUUUUGAAAGUUAUAAAAACGAAAAUGAUGUCAGUGAUCCUCUUCAAUUUUUUAUCACCAACCAAAGCAAUGAUUUUUAAGAAUAAAAAUAACAUUUGAAAUCAAAUCACAAUCUUUAAAGAGAGGAAAUAGAUGGUUGAGGGCGAAAUGGCCAUGGUGAUGAAUUGACAUCAUGGAAAUCAAACUGUGCUUAGUAACGCCAAAACGUCACCAUAACUCACAAAUGAGUGACUAAUGUGAUGCCACAUUAAGGCUUCAAUCUACUAUUACAAGUUUUACUAUGGACUAAAUUGUGUGGUAAAUUUAGUACUACUAAUAUUAAGUUUAUGUUUAAAACAAGUAAAUUUCAAUAAUUUAGGUAACUUACUCUUUAAAUAACAAAUUUUACUAAAAUUUUAACAAAAAUUGCCACUUUUUCUUCGAAACUUACCAUUUUCUAUAUAAAACUUGCUAAUUUUUCAAGUAAAACAUAUGAUUUUAUUAGCAAAUCAUACCACUUUUUUUAGUAAAAUUCACUAAAUGGUAAGUUUUCAAAAAAAAACUUACCAUUUUUAAUGCAAAUCUUACUACUUUUUUCAAGCAAAAUGUAUGAUUUUAUUAACAAAUGUUACCAUAAUUUUCGUAAAGUUUACUAAAUCAUUAACAAAUCUUACCAUCUUUCAAGCAAAACUUAUCAUUUUCUAUACAAAACUUACUACUUUUUGGAGGCAGAACUUAUGACUUGAUUAUUAAAUCUUACCUUUAUUUAGGAAUAAUUUUGGAAACCUCCCCUGAGCUUUAUGCUAAUAUCACAUAACACUUCUAAAUUUUAAAAAUAUCACUAGCCUUCCCUUGAGUCAUAUUUUUUUGUAAGAAUUUGACCCCUAUAUCAAAAAUAAAUACUCCUAACAUAAUUUUUUAAAGGAAAAUAGAUAUAUUUUUCUUCUAGUUUUACACUUUUGUGUUGUCUUAUUUUUUAAUUUUCUGCCAAAUUGAUUUUAAGAUAAGAUUUGAAUGAGAAAGACUUAAAAUGAUUUUUUUUAAGGGGAGAAGGUGUUAAGUGCUAAAGCAAUUGCCAGAAUAGCGAUUUUUUUAUUUUUGGUUUAUCCUAGAUUUUUUCCUAAAUAGUUAUUAGAAUAACAAAGAAAUUAAAUUUAAUAUAAGAUUGGUAUAGGAAGAUCAAAGAAGGCAGAGAAGACAGAUAUUUGAAUACAAAACUAAUGGUUUUAGUAGGCAUUUCUAUGAAUUCAGAUUUAUUAUCUUCUAAUUUUUGUGGCAUAAAUAAUUAUUUGAAUAACAAUUAAAAUUUGAGAUAAGGUUGCCAUAGGAAGCUUGGGAGGGGGAGAAGGGUAUUAAAGGCAAAAAAUGAUUAUUUUAGUAGACUUUUCUUAAUAAUUUCCUUUUGUUCAAAUUUUUUUGCACAAGUAAUUGUUAAAAUAGUAAAGUUAAAUUAAUAAAUGCUUGGCAUAAUACUACAAAAUAAAGGGGUGUUUAAGUGAAAAUAGUAAUUGAUAGAGCAAUGUUUGGGCAUCUUAUGCGCUGUUAUGUGGUCAUAAUUUUGGCUACUUAUUAUGCUAAGUAUUGAGGUUUUGUUCAUGUUUGAUAUUUGUGUAAAUUGUAGGCAGUUGGUGUCAAAAAGUGAUCUCUGAAGGUGAAUUUCCAGAAGACUUUUAUUUCAGGGCGUGCCCACGCCAAAAACUGUUCAAGAGACGCCUCAAAGUCGGACCAUGGGACUAACUAACUAACUAAACUCAUCCUUAUUCCUGCGGGAUGCGGUUGGAAGUGCGUCAAAACAAAAAGGCAGCAAUUUCCAGUGGAUUUGGUAACAACCAAUAAGGAGGAUGCGGGGAAUUGGGGAAAUAUUUGGAAAAGCUACUAUUUUCUCGUGGGCCAAGAAGGGUGUAACAGACAAGUAGUUUUAGUCUUGCAGAUAGCUUUUUAGUUUCUUACGUUUUCUUUGGAGGGCUAUCUUCUGGGAACUGGCAAAAAGCCAGAUUCAUGUGGGAUUAGGAAAUUAUCUUUAGUUUUGUUAUCCCUUGGUAGAGGAUUUGCUCUCUGUUUUGUUAUUACAAUUUUCUUUAGACCUUUGCUUUACUUUUUCCGAAUGGACACAAAACAAAAAAAGAAGCAAGACAUUUUCUUUUGUUUCUUCAUCACUUCAUCUUUCCCAACUCUCUUGUGAUUGUGUGGAUGGAAUCAAUCAAAUCCCGCGAGAUUGAUAUGAUGAGGAGCGGUUAGGUUUCUCUUCUACCCAAAGGUCGACGCGAAGGCACGGUCCAUAACAUCUGUGAGAUUUAAUCGAACUUUCACUAGUUCUUCCAGUCCGUUACUAUUCGUGUGUUUCCUGGAUUAACUGUUUAUGAUUAUUUUAUUAAUUGAGUAUCAACGGCAGGACAUUUAAUUUAAUCUAAUAGCCUACUGUCACGUUAACUAAAUUGAAUCCGUAAUUAUUCGUUUAGUUGAUAACUAGUGACAACCAUCAUAAUUGGCUUUAUGUUAGGGAAACGUAAGAUCUAGUUUAAAUAAACCCUCUUAGCGUGUUUAUUGGUUAGGGUUGGGUUUUUCUAGUUUUAAUGCAACCGGAUAAUUAAAUUUAUUGGUUAGGGUUGGGUUUUUCUAGUUUUAAUGCAACCGGAUAAUUAAAUUCCUACGAUCGUACCUAAAGCUGUUUUCUAGUUAGAGAAACAGUCAACGGUCGUACCUUGGCUGUCGAAAAAGUAAGGAAGAACUGGCUGUCAGAGCUUGUUGAUAGCUAUAACUAACCUAGUGACGAAUGAAUGAAAUAUCUUUGUAUCGAUGAUCAUUUAAUUGGACCGCGCCUAAAAAGUUGAUCCUUUGGGUAGAAUUUUACUAAUUGCUAUUUUUAGUGAAUUGUACUUGGUGAGUUAGCUUUUGAAUUUUGUUUAUUCUAUUUUCUUUUUCAGUCCAUUAAAUAUUCCCCAAUUUUGUUCUAUUGACUUGGAAAGAAACAAGUUCCUACCCGUUCCCUGUGAAAUCGACCGUACUUGCCAUUGUAUGCAAAUUUAAUAUUUUUGUAGACAAAUCUUGUAUAUCGAAUCAAGCAUACUCUUUGGGGAGACAGGGUGAAUAUAGUAACCCAUUGCACAUCUAGAGUCACUGCUCCAGUACUUAGAUUUGUUCUAUAAUUAAUUAUGGUAGUAAUUAGGACUUUUUAGUAAUUAUUAUUGCACAGGUUCGACACCUGUCAAUUUUUGGCGGCAUUGCUGGGAAGAAAGUGUCGACAAACUGGUGAACAUGGGAUUCUGGCUUACAAGGCAUGCCCACGCCUUGCAAGACGCCCUUUCAAAAAAAAAAAGAAAGACAAAAAGAGAGAGAAAAGAGUUUCGACACUUGCGCAGUAGGUAUAGCAAAUGGAAAUGCCUUGCUUGUGGAAUUUCUCCAGUAAAGCGUUGAGGUUAUGUAGUAGAUAUCGGACAUUCUCUUGACAUAGUGCACCCUCUCUUUACCUCCUUAUCCCGCCUUUCACCCAAGCCCUAUUACAACCCUAUUAAAGUCCCUUUGAUUUAUGUAUUGAGUUCACUUUUGAGUGGUGGAGAUGUGAUAAAUGUGCAAGCCUAUGGUAAUGUCAUUCCGUGGUGUUGAUUUGAGCGUUCCUGGUAUCUAUACAUUUUCUUGAAAGUGAUGAGUAUUACUACUCAUACUCUUUGGAUAACUACCUAUCCAGUGUGCUCUAACUUUGGCGACAUUGUCAGGAAUGCAGGAUGCUUGUGUUAGUGUAGAUCACCGCAUAGUAGUUCCUUUCGUGAUUGAACUUCUGAGCUUCAAAAUGCUUGAGGACAAGCAUUGCCUAGGUGUGGGGGGAUUUGAUAGAGCAAUGUUUGGGCAUCUUAUGUGCUGUUAUGUGGUCAUAAUUUUGGCUAUUUAUUAUGCUAAGUACUGAGGUUUUGCUCAUAUUUGAUAUUUGUGUAAAUUGUAGGUGGUUGGUGUCAAAAAGUGAUCUCUGAAGGCGAAUUUCCAGAAGACUUUUUAUUUCAGGGCGUGCCCACGCCAGAAACUAUUGAAGAGACGCCUCAAAGUCGGACCGCGGGACUAACUAACUAACUAAACUCAUCCUUAUUCCUGCGGGAUGCGGUUGGAAGUGCGUCAAAACAAAAAGACAGUAAUUUCCAGUGGAUUUGGUAACAACCAAUAAGGAGGAUGUGGGGAAUUGGGGAAAUCUUUGGAAAAGCAGCUAUUUUCUCGUGGGCCAACGAGGGUGUAAAAGACAAGUAGUUUUAGUCUUGCAGAUAGCCUUUUAGUUUCUUACGUUUUCUUUGGAGGGCUAUCUUCGAGGAACUGGCAAAAAAGCCAGAUUCACGUGGAAUUGGGAGAUUAGCUUUAGUUUUGUUAUCCCUUGGUAGAGGAUUUGCUCUCUGUUUUGUUUUUACGAUUUUCUUUAGACCUUUGCUUUAUUUUUUUUGAACGGACAUGAAACAAAAAAAGAAGCAAGACUUUUUUUUUGUUUCUUCGUCACUUCAUCUUUCCCAACUUUCUUGUGAUUGUGUGGAUGGAAUCAAUCAAAUCCCGCGAGAUUGAUAUGAUGAGGAGCGGCUACAUUUCUCCUCUACCCAAAGUCGACGCGAAGGCGCGGUUUAUAACAUCUGUGAGAUCUAAUCGAACUUUCACUAGUUCUUCCAAUCCGUUACUAUUCGUGCAUUUUCUGGAUUAACUGUUUAUGGUUAUUUUAUUAAUUGAGUAUCAACGGUUGGAUAUUUAGUUUAAUCUAAUAGCCUACUGUCACGUUAACUAAAUUGAAUCCGUAAUUGUUCGUUUAGUUGAUAACUAGUGACAACUAUCAUAAUUGGCUUUAUGUUGGGGAAACGUAAGAUCUAGUUUAAAUAAACACUCUUAGCCUGUUUAUUGGUUAGGGUUGAAUUUUUCUAGUUUUAAUGCAACCGGAUAAUUAAAUUCCUACGGUCAUCCCUGAGGUUGUUUUCUAGUUAGAGAAGUGGUCAACGGUCGUACCUUGGUUGUCGAAAAAGUAAAGAAAAACUGGCUGUCAGAGCUUGUUGAUAGCUAUAACUAACCUAGUGACGAAUGAAUGAAAUAUCUUUGCAUCGAUGAUUAUUUAAUUGGACCGUGUCUGAAAAGUUGAUCCUUUGGAUAGAAUUUUACUAAUUGCUAUUUUUAGUUAAUUGUACUUGGUGAGUUAGCUUUUGAAUUUUUGUUUAUUCUAUUUUCAUUUUCAUUCCAUAAAUAUCCCCCAAUUUUGUUCUAUUGACUUGGAAAGAAACAACUUCCUACCCAUUCCCUGUGGAAUCGACCUUACUUGCCGUUGUAUGCAAAUUUAACACUUUUGUAGACAAAUCUAGUAUAUCGGAUCAAGCACACUCUUUGGAGACAGGGUGAAUAUAGUAACCCAUUGCACAUCUAGAGUCACUACUCCAGUACUUAGAUUUGUUCUAUAAUCAAUUAUAGUGGCAAUUAGGACUUUUUAGUAAUUAUUAUUGUACAGGCUCGACACCUGUCAAUUUUUUGCGUCGUUGCCGGGGAACGGUGUUUUGGUUAAUUUUGUUUCUUUUCAAGUUAUUUUCUUUGGAUUUGUCUGGCACUUUUCUAGUUUAUGCCUCGUUUUUCUCGUACAUGUGAAUUGAUUUUCGACCUGGAAGUAAAGAAGAUUGCGCGCCGAACUAGGAAAGAAACUAAACAGCUCAGAGAGGAGCAAUCUAGCAUUGCAUCUCAGAUGCUGGAUCCAGAGGUUGAGUCAACAGAUUCGAGUGGUGAUAAUUCAAGUGACUCAGGCCAAGAGGACAUCCCUAUGGCGAAUCCAAGAACACUAAAGGAGUUGGCUGCUCCGGAAUUGACCCAGCAGCUUUUGUGCAUUACAUUUCCAACUCUAGCUGAGAAUACCUCCUUCGAACUGAAGUCAGAGUUAAUUCAUCUCUUACCCUCAUUCCAUGGCCUCUUGAGUGAGGAACCCCAUAAACACAUCCAGGAGUUCGAUGUGGUAUGUUCUAGUAUGAAACCUCCAGGGAUUACUGAAGAGCAGAUCAAACUUAGAGCAUUCCCUUUCUCCCUCAAGGAUGUAGCGAAGGAUUGGUUAUACUACCUACCUGCAGGUAGUAUCAUAACAUGGGCCCAACUGAAAAAGAAGUUUUUGAAAAAAUUCUUCCCGGCAUCCCGGGCUGCAAGUUUGAGAAAAGAGAUAUGCAGCAUUAAGCAGUAUCCCAGGGAAUCCCUAUAUGACUAUUGGAAAAGGUUCAAUAAGUUGUGUACUAGAUGCCCACAGCAACAAAUUAGUGAACAACUAUUGAUCCAAUACUUCUAUGAGAGACUUCAGUCAUCUGAUAGAAAUAUUAUUGAUGCUGCAAGUAGGGGAGCACUGGCAAAUAAGACACCGAGAGAAGCAUUGCUGCUUAUUGAAGCAAUGGCAGAAAAUUCUCAACAGUUUGUGUUAUUCUUGGUUUUGAUGAUCACAAAAGUUCGUUGAAAUGUUUAUACAGACCAAGAAAGUGAACACUUUGAUCAGGCCUGAUGGAACAAAGUAAGCAUAUGUUCGAUUAACUCCAGACUACGAUGCUUUGGAUGUGGCAAACAAGAUUGGAAUAAUAUAAACAAAUUUAGUCAUUGUUUUGUUCCGAUCAAAGAUACUGUCUUUUAAGUAUGACAAUUUUGUUAGUCUUGGUUCCUUGAAAUGUUUUAUCUAACUUUCUUCAAAUAUAAGUGUUGUUGCCUAUCAAAGAAUCAGGUACGAAUAUGUCGUGAGCAAAAACAGGACACUCAUGUCGGACGGCCGAAAGGAAUCUGUCGGACGUCCGAAGGGAUGAAGAACAUCAGGAAGGAGUUUCUGUCGGACGCACAUCGAUCGUGUCGGACGUCCUAAAAAUUCCACAAAGCUUUGAUGACUCUCUGCCAAGACACUGUCGGACGCUCGCAAGGAAGCAUCGGACGUCCUGAAGGAUCGGACGCAUGCUUCGGACGAACAUCAAUAUCAUUGGACGUCCUAAAAAUUCCUCGAAGAUUUGAUAACUCUCUGGACGACGUUCGAACACUGAAGCUCGGACGAUAAAAUUCCAUCGAACGUCCGAACUUCAAUUUGGCUGUUUUUCGGACGAUUGGUUCGGACGAUAAUUUGAUCGUCGGACGUCCGAAAGCCCCAACGGCUAGCUGACUCUUCAUCUGCCUUCUAUCCGUUGGAAGCUUUAAUGAAGCCCAUUUCUGUUCCCCUUUAAAAACAAACUGUUCUGAACGAAGUAAGAACUUUUGCACACUUGGUCUACAAGAUCUCAAGAGAUAUUUUAGCUAGAAAAUAGUCUCCAAAGUUAGAUUUGUUCUCUAAGUGGUGUGAACUUCUGGUGAGCUUUUCUCUUGUGGUUGAAAGUUUCAUUAGUGUAGCUUUGUUGAGGGUUAUCUGAGUGUUUGUAAAACUUCUUAGCUUGACUAAGUGAGGUUUAGGGCAAGGAGGAAGUGCUCCCUCCAUUGUACAUCUAGUUGAUCAUAUUUCAUCAAAGAGAAGUUGCUCAACCUUGUGAUUGGUCUUCAAGUUUAAGGAAAGCUUGGUAGACAAUCGGUUUGAUUUCCUAUUUUACUUUUUGUUUAAUAAAAUUCUCAUUGCUUAUAUAUACUUAUUUUUCUGAUCAAUAUUGCUAUUGUCUUCUAAUCUACUUGGUUGAUCUUUACUAGAAAAGAAGGUAAAUUUUUAUUAAAGAAAAAGUGCAUAAAUUUGGUUAAGGUUUUAAUCAACCCAAUUCACCCCCCCUCUUGGUUGUCUUUGGGACUUACAAUUGGUAUCAGAGCUUGGUCUCCUUGAGAUUAAGCUCUAACGGCUUGGAGUAAAGAUGACAACCAGUCAUGCUAUGUUUGUUGAGGGGCAAUCUGUUACUAGGCCUCCCAUGUUCAGUGGCUCCAACUAUGUUAGCUGGAAAGAACGGAUGAUUAUCUUUUUGUAAUCUAUUGAUAUUGAACUAUGGUUUAUUGUGAGUGAAGGACCGCAUGAAGCUAACUUUCUUGAUGCAGAUACAGGGUUGCUUCGGCCAAAAAUGAGAGCUGAAAUGAAUGCUCAAGAUAGGACUAACCUCACAUUGAAUGCCAAGGCCAUGAAUGUUCUUUAUAGUGCCCUAGAUUCAAAUGAAUCAAUUAGAGUAAAAGGCUGCAAAUCGGCCAAAGAAAUGUGGGAUAAACUAAGAGAAAUCCAUGAGGGUGGUGACAACGUGAAAGAACAGAAAAAGGCUAUCUUGGUCACAAAAUAUGAAUCAUUUAGAAUUGAACCUCUUGAGGAUAUUGACAAAAUGUAUUGCAGGUUCACUGACUUGAUCAAAGAUCUCGAGGUGUUGGGCAAAGAGUACACCUUGGGAGAGAAGAACAGGAAAAUUCUCAAUGCGUUGGGCAAAGAAUGGGAAAAUAAAGUGACUGCAAUAGAGGAGGCUAAGGAUUUAAGUUCUGUGGCUAUUGAAUCUAUCAUUAACUCACUAACCUCUUAUGAGUUGAAACUGAAAUCUAAAGUGCAGGAGGAAGAGGAAGCUAGAGCAAAGAGAAACAUUGCUCUAAAGACUACUCAAGGUGAAGAUGAUACAGCUCACUUGGAUGAUGAAGACUCGGAUGGUGAUGAUAAUGAUCUUGCUCUCAUCACCAGAGGUUUCAAGAGAAUCUUGAAUAAAAGAAAGUUUAGAAGGGGAGGACCUAGCAAUCAAUUCCAGAAUCAGCCAUCUAUCGCAAAGUACAAAGGAAAACAGGAUUUCAACAAGAAACAGUUGGACAAAUGCUUCGAAUGUGGACAGCUUGGACACUAUGCAAAUGAAUGCCCCAUGAAGAAGAUGAAAGAUGGAAAAGCUGAUCGGAAGCCAAGAUUCAACAACUUUCAGAUUACUUGGAAUGAAUGCAACUCCGAAGGGGAAGUAGAAGAAGAAGAAGAAUCAGCUCAAAUGGCCUUCAUGGCUAUUGGAAAUAAUGAGGUAACUUCCACACAUUCUCAAUCUGAAAGUGAUGAUGAUGAAGAUGAUGAUCUUGAAUCCUUUGUUGAAAAACUGCAUAAUGCCUUGAAGGAAUCUUAUGAUAAAAACAAGCAGUUAAAACAGAAAAUGGCUUUUCUCAUUCAAGAAAAUGCAAGUCUUUUUCAACAAAAUAAACAACUAAAGACUGACAAUGAAAGUCUUGUAAGAGCCGGAUGUAAUGUUCAAAAUGAGCUUGAUAGAAAGACAAAUAUUUGUGAAAUGCUGAAGGAAAGACAUGGUGAUUUGAAAAAAAGAAUGGACAACUUGGAUGAGACUUUGAAAGCAAGAAAGCAGGAGUUUAUCAAAAGGAACAUGUCAUCUACACAUCCUACUACUUUUCAAAGAACAUUUGCACACAACAAAAAUGCACAUGGUUUCACAACAUAUAGAAGAGGUGGAUUGAGAUAUGUCAAACCAGUACAUGUUAAGGACUCUUCCAUUAUGUGUGGUUUUUGUUGUCAAAGAGGGCAUUUGAAAGGUGAUUGCUAUGUGAAAAGAAAUCUGAACAAAGGGAUGAAAUGCAUGUGGUUAGUUAGAUACAAUGCUAACUAUUGCGGACCCAAAAAUUAAAAUGGGUACCAAACACUUUCUCUUUUCAGGAAAAAUGCUCAAACAAGUCCAAAUGGUUUAUUGAUAGCGGUUGCUCAAGGCAUAUGACCGGUGAUCCCUCUUUGUUCAUAAAGCUGAAAUCAAAGUCAAGUGGAAAAGUGACAUUUGGUGAUGAUGUGAAAGCUAAGACAAUUGGAAUAGGUGAUGUUGGUAAGGAUGGUGAUACUUUUGUCCAUAAUGUGCUCUUAGUUGAUAACUUAAGUUAUAACUUGCUUAGUGUUAGUCAAUUGUGUGAUAAAGACUUGAAUGUGUUGUUUAAAAAACAUGAAUGCAUUGUGCUUGAUUCCAAAUAUAAUAUUGUGUUCAAAGGUAAGAGAUUCAACGACAUAUAUAUUGUGGUUCUUGAUAAAAUUGAUUCUUCUAGCUUAAAAUGUCUUAAAGCUUCAAAUGAAGAUCCUUGGUUGUGGCAUAGAAGACUUUGUCAUUUUAACAUGAAUUUACUAAAGGAAAUUUCGAAAAAGGAGUUGGUUAGAGGCUUGCCAAAAAUCAGUUUUGAUAAGGACAAAAUAUGUGAUGCAUGUCAAUUUGGGAAGCAAACAAAAAAUUCCUUUAAACCUAAGAUGUGUGUAUCUACUUCUAAACCUUUGGAACUCUUGCAUCUUGAUUUAUUUGGUCCCACUCAAAUUACUAGCUUGGGAGGUAAAAGAUAUUGUUUUGUAAUUGUUGAUGAUUAUUCUAGAUACACUUGGGUGAUAUUUCUUGCUCAUAAAGAUGAUGCCUUCAAGAAUUUUACUUCAUUGUUUGCUAAAAUGCAAAAUCUGCUUGGGUUAAAAAUUGUUAGGAUUAGAAGUGAUAAUGGGACGGAAUUCAAGUAUUGUGGUUUUCCAGAAUUUUGUGAUCAUAAUGGUAUAACACAUGAGUUCUCUAUUGCAAGGACUCCACAGCAAAAUGGUGUUGUAGAAAGGAAAAACAGGACUCUUCAAGAGGCUGCUAGAACUAUGUUGAAUGAAUGUAGGUUGCCUAAAUAUCUUUGGGCUGAAGCGGUAAACACUGCAUGUUAUGUGAUGAAUAGAAUACUCUUGAGACCUAUUUUAAAGAAAACUCCUUAUGAGCUGAUUUUUGAUAAGAAACCUACGGUUGGUUAUUUCAAAGUAUUUGGUUGUAAAUGCUUUAUUUUGAAUCUAAAGGAACAUCUUGGUAAGUUUGAUAAAAAAUCUGAUGUAGGAAUAUUUUUGGGGUAUUGUGAGAAUAAAAGACGAUAUAGAGUUUUUAAUAGAAGGACUCUUGUGAUUGAAGAAGCUAUACAUAUAACAUUUGAUGAAACCAAUGAUGAUAAUUCCAAAAGUUCGUGUGAGGAUGAUGAUGUAGGUGUUCGAGAAGCAAUGAAAAACCUAUCAAUUGGAAAUGAAGGAAGCUCUAAACCAGCAGCAACUGAAAUGGAAAAUGAAGUUCAUAAUGAUCAAGAAGAGGAAGAUGAAGACAAAAAUGAUGAUCCACUCAAAGAUCUUCCCAAGGCUUGGAAAUUCAGCCAAAAUCAUCCAAAAGAGCUUAUAAUUGGUGAUCCAUCCGAGAAGGUAAACACUAGUUCCUCAUCUAGAAAAUUGAUUGACAAUUUUGCUUUAGUUUCUCUUUUUGAACCCAAAAAUAUCAAUGAUGCUUUAAAGGAUGAAAACUGGAUUUUGGCAAUGCAAGAGGAACUUAAUCAAUUUGAGAGAAAUGAAGUUUGGACACUUGUUAAUAGACCUCAAAAUCAACCUAUCAUUGGCACAAAGUGGAUUUUUAGAAAUAAGUUGGAUGAUAAAGGUGUUGUUGUAAGAAAUAAAGCCAGAUUAGUUGCUAAAGGAUAUGCACAAGAAGAAGGAAUUGAUUUUGAUGAAACAUUUGCUCCCGUAGCAAGAUUAGAAUCUAUUAGAAUGCUUCUUGCUUUUGCAUGCUUUAAAGGCUUCAAAUUGUUUCAAAUGGAUGUUAAAAGUGCUUUUUUAAAUGGUUUUAUUGAUCAAGAAGUAUAUGUGGAUCAACCCCCCGGUUUUGAAAAUACAAAAUUUCCAAGUCAUGUGUUUAAACUAUCUAAAGCUUUAUAUGGUCUAAAACAGGCUCCAAGAGCUUGGUAUGAAAGACUAAGUGGUUUUUUGAUUGAAAAUGGUUUCAAAAGGGGUGUUGUGGACACCACACUUUUUACUAAGCAAGUGUUGAAUGACCUUCUUAUUGUGCAAAUAUAUGUUGAUGAUAUUAUUUUUGGUGCUACUAAUGAGUAUCUAUGUAAGGAGUUUUCCACCACUAUGCAAAGUGAAUUUGAAAUGAGUAUGAUGGGAGAAUUAAAUUUCUUCCUUGGACUUCAAAUACAUCAAGCUCUUGAGGGAAUUUUUAUAAAUCAAGCAAAAUAUACCAAGGAAUUGUUGAAAAGGUUUGGCAUGGAGGACUCAAAGCAAGUUGGAACUCCAAUGUGCACUUCUACAAAGCUUGACAAAGAUGAAGAAGGUAAUCAUGUGGAUGAAAAGCAUUAUAGAGGUAUGAUCGGAAGCCUACUCUAUUUAACCGCAAGUAGACCUGAUAUUAUGUUUGCUGUUUGCUUGUGUGCUAGAUUUCAAUCUUGUCCAAAAGAAUCACAUUUGAAUGCUGUAAAAAGGAUUUUUAGGUAUUUGAAAGGUACAUUAGACUAUGGUCUUUGGUAUGCUAGAUCUAAUGAGUUUGCACUAUAUGCUUAUUCGGAUGCUGAUUUUGGAGGUUGUCGUGUGGAUAGAAAGAGUACUAGUGGAACUUGUCAUUUUCUUGGAAAUUGUUUAGUCUCUUGGUUUAGCAAGAAACAAUGUGCAAUCUCUUUGUCUACAACCGAAGCGGAAUAUAUUGCCGCUAGUGCAUGUUGUGCUCAACAUUUAUGGAUGAAGCACACCUUGAAUGAUUUUUGAUUGUUGUAUGACUGCAUGCCUGUAUUCUGUGAUAAUACUAGUACUAUAAAUUUGACCAAAAAUCCUAUUCAUCAUUCUACGACAAAGCACAUAGAUAUAAAGCAUCACUUUAUUCGUGAUCUUGUUCAAAAAGGUGAAAUAUGUGUAAAUUAUGUUUGUUCUAAAGAUCAAUUUACGGAUAUUUUUACAAAAGCUUUGCCAUUAGAUCAGUUCAUUCAUCUAAGAUCAAAAUUAGGAAUAAUCGAAAAAUCAUCUUAAUUUUUGGGUCUUCGGACGUCCGAAAGAAGAUGAACGGACGUCCGAUGAUGUUCUUCAGCCAUUUUCCAGAUUGCGCCUGUUCGGACGCAGCUGUCGGACGCACAACGUCGUUCGGCCGUCCGACAGUGCAACGGAUCAAUUUUUUAAAUAACUUUCUUUCUCAUUUGCUUCAGACUCUUCCUAUUCUAUUUCCUCUCGGACGAAAACUCUCUCUUCCCUCACUCUCAAAUUCGUACCAUUUUGAAGCUCUCAUUCUCAAAUUGACUCAAACAAAACUUUUUCUGACUGAUUGCGAUUCAUUUCUCCUGAUCAUUUUCCCGAAUCGCAUAACAUUUCACAAAUUCCCAAAUUUCCUUCAAAACCCUACUUUCUCAUAACCGCUCUGCCAAAUCUUGUUUAAGGCCUUUUUGUCCCAAAAUUUCUGUGCAAAUCACUUCCCUACCACUGUGUGCAUCAUUUGCAUUCUUCAUUCCACACAUUUCACACAAUGGUGAAUCUGAGAGGAGGAAAGGUUACUGCCGGACGCAAGCAUCCACUCAGGGAUGAGGAUGAGGAUCUUCCUACGGUCAAACGUUCAUCCAAACGCUUCAAGAGAGGAGCCAUAAAGGGUCAAAUGUCACGGCCUACUCCUCAACCCACCUCUCAGCCUGAAUCUGGACAGGGAACCUCUGCUCAACCGCCUCCAAAAUCAGCCCCUCCCCCUACAUUCUUUGAUGAUACAGCAAGAGACAAACACUCCUUGAUAUCCCAGAAAGGUGUCAUCCCUCAACGUACUGUAAACCCUUCUGAAUUUCGUCUCAUAGGUUUAGAAACCAUUCUGAAGUUAUUUGCUUUUCAGAAAUGGUCGCAUAUCAUUUCUAUGCCAAAUGUUUACUAUCCUGAAAUGCUGCAUCAAUUUUUUGCUAAUCUUAGAAAAGGGUCUGACCAAACUGAAAUCUUUUCCAGGGUUAAUGGGGUAGACUUAAUCUUUGACUCUGAAAUUGUGAAUUCCAUUUUAAAUACUACCAUUGAACGUGGGUGCAAGGAUAAAAUUACAAAUUUCUUUUCCUAUGAAGAGCACCCUAAUGCUGAUAAUCAUUUUGAUGGGGCUAAAAUGAUGACCUAUUUUAAAAGAAGUUUUUCCUCCCCUGCUGAUGCUAAACUGAAUGAUCUUGCCCCUGUGAAUUUAAUUGCUUUUUCUAUCAUUUCAAACCUGCUUGUGCCUACUGAUGGCCAUAGAACUGAUGCAAACAAAAUGGAGUUGUACCUCUUUUAUUAUUUUCGAGAAAAAAUUUGGAUUGAUUUUGGUUUUGUCAUGUGCAAGUUUUUACUUCGCUAUACCACUGACUCUCGCAGAAAACUAUCCUAUGGAAAGUUUCUUCAAAAGAUUUUUGAGUUUUUCAAAGUUCCAAUUUUAGGUGUUUGUCCCAAAGAAGCAUCUUCUUAUGCCUUUACCAAAGGAUACUUUGAAAGGAAAAAUCUUGUUUUUAAAGAUAAUAUGUGGUCUUAUAAAGAGGCAUCGUCCAGUGAACGUAGGUCUAAGGCUGCACAUGAUCCUUCAUCUAUUCCACUCACUCCCAUUCAUCCUAGGAAAUCUGCCACUAAGGCAUCUUCCUCCUCCAAUGAUGGAGUGAUUGAGCUUCUUCAUGAACUCAAACAGCAUGUUCUUCUUCUAGAACAUGGCCUAAUGCUCACCAUGUCCUCUGAGCAACAAACUGCCUUUCUAGACAAAAAGAACCAUCUCUUUCCCCCACCUGUGGUUGAGGAAGUGUCCCAUGACAAAGAGCCACACCCCACUGAUCCAAGCUCAUCAAUUCCAGACCCUGGUUCAUCAACUCCUGUGACUCCUCAUGGUCCUUCCACAGCAGAUAAAGGCAAGGAACCAGUUGAAGUGGAUGCUGAAGCUGAUGAAGAAACUGAAGAGGAGGACCUCUCCCAAUAUCAGCUCUCUCGAAGAACUCCUGGAUCCACACAGUUCACUACUUAGGACAUUUGCAUUCUGUUUGUCUAUUUUAUGUGUUUGUAAUGGUCAACAUUUGUAACCUUCUUUUAAUGUUUCUCUUGUUGGUACUGUAUGUUUAUGUUAAGUAUUUUGAAUGAUGACUGUGUUUAUGGAUGUUUAAGUAUUUUGGUGCAAUGAAUUUGGUUUUCAUUGAUGAAUGUGUUUGUGGAUGUGUUGAUGUGAUUGGUUGCCCUUUUGUGAUGACAAAAAGGGGGAGAGGACUGGAUUGAUGAUUGAUGAUUGGUGUUGAGGACUGGAUUGAUUGAUGAUUGAUGAUUGGUAUUGAUUGAUGAUUGAUGAUUGGUGAUGUUGGAUAUGUUGGAUUGAUUGUUUAAAUUUGGAUUGGCUGAUAUGCUUAAUUGUCAUAUUUUUAGAAAAUUGUUUAACUCGGAUGGGCAGCCAAGUGAGGGGGAGCUUUUUCAAAAUUUUCAAAAUUUUAUGAUUCACUAAAUAAGGGGGAGUUCGUGAGAAAGGGGGAGCUUAUAAUGCAAUCAUCAAAUUUCAUUUCAAACUUUUGUUUUGUCAUCAUCAAAAAGGGGGAGAAUGUUAUUCUUGAUUUUGAUGAUCACAAAAGUUCGUUGAAAUGUUUAUACAGACCAAGAAAGUGAACACUUUGAUCAGGCCUGAUGGAACAAAGUAAGCAUAUGUUCGAUUAACUCCAGACUACGAUGCUUUGGAUGUGGCAAACAAGAUUGGAAUAAUAUAAACAAAUUUAGUCAUUGUUUUGUUCCGAUCAAAGAUACUGUCUUUUAAGUAUGACAAUUUUGUUAGUCUUGGUUCCUUGAAAUGUUUUAUCUAACUUUCUUCAAAUAUAAGUGUUGUUGCCUAUCAAAGAAUCAGGUACGAAUAUGUCGUGAGAAAAAACAGGACACUCAUGUCGGACGGCCGAAAGGAAUCUGUCGGACGUCCGAAGGGAUGAAGAACAUCAGGAAGGAGUUUCUGUCGGACGCACAUCGAUCGUGUCGGACGUCCUAAAAAUUCCACAAAGCUUUGAUGACUCUCUGCCAAGACACUGUCGGACGCUCGCAAGGAAGCAUCGGACGUCCUGAAGGAUCGGACGCAUGCUUCGGACGAACAUCAAUAUCAUCGGACGUCCUAAAAAUUCCUCGAAGAUUUCAUAACUCUCUGGACGACGUUCGGACACUGAAGCUCGGACGAUAAAAUUCCAUCGGACGUCCGAACUUCAAUUUGGCUGUUUUUCGGACGAUUGGUUCGGACGAUAAUUUGAUCGUCGGACGUCCGAAAGCCCCAACGGCUAGCUGACUCUUCAUCUGCCUUCUAUCCGUUGGAAGCUUUAAUGAAGCCCAUUUCUGUUCCCCUUUAAAAACAAACUGUUCUGAACGAAGUAAGAACUUUUGCACACUUGGUCUACAAGAUCUCAAGAGAUAUUUUAGCUAGAAAAUAGUCUCCAAAGUUAGAUUUGUUCUCUAAGUGGUGUGAACUUCUGGUGAGCUUUUCUCUUGUGGUUGAAAGUUUCAUUAGUGUAGCUUUGUUGAGGGUUAUCUGAGUGUUUGUAAAACUUCUUAGCUUGACUAAGUGAGGCUUAGGGCAAGGAGGAAGUGCUCCCUCCAUUGUACAUCUAGUUGAUCAUAUUUCAUCAAAGAGAAGUUGCUCAACCUUGUGAUUGGUCUUCAAGUUUGAGGAAAGCUUGGUAGACAAUCGGUUUGAUUUCCUAUUUUACUUUUUGUUUAAUAAAAUUCUCAUUUCUUAUAUAUACUUGUUUUUCUGAUCAAUAUUGCUAUUGUCUUCUAAUCUACUUGGUUGAUCUUUACUAGAAAAGAAGGUAAAUUUUUAUUAAAGAAAAAGUGCAUAAAUUUGGUUAAGGUUUUAAUCAACCCAAUUCACCCCCCCUCUUGGUUGUCUUUGGGACUUACAGUUUGGCUCCCGCGAGAGUAACCCUACCCAUAGGGUUAACGAGGUAAAGACGUCGUCCAUUCAGCAGCAGCUAUCGGAGUUAACAUCUUUUGCUCAGCAGUUAGCUGUGGGGAAUAUGCAUCAAGCAAAGGUCUGUGGAAUUUGCACAAACAUGGGCCACCCCACUGACUUAUGCCCUAUUUUGCUAGAGGAUGGGGCUGAACUAGUAAACAUGGUUGGGGGCGUGCCCACGCCCCGUAGGUAGUACGAUCUAUACUCGAACACGUACAAUUCGAGUUGGAGAGACCACCCCAACUUCAACUAUGGGAACAGGCCACAGAAGUCAUUCUCAAAUCGUCCAGCAACCAUGGCAACCAAAGCUUCAACCUUCGUCCUCCAAUUCAGGAGGCUCUUUGGAGGAUAUUGUCAAGAGCCUGGCCACGAGUACUACUCAGCUCCAGCAAGAAACUAGAUCCUUGGUCACGAGUACUGCUCAAUUCCAUCAGGAAACUAGAUUAGGCAUGAAAAAUCUGGAGACUCAAAUAAGUCGUAUGGCAACUGCAAUUAAUCGGUUAGAGUCUCAAGUUUUUGAAAAAUUGCCAUCGCAACCCGAGGUAAAUUCCAAGAAUGUAAGUGCCUUGACAUUGAGGAAUGGCAAGGAAGUGGAGGGGCUUAAGGCCACGAACCUAAAGAGUAAAAGUGAAGAAGAGAUCGAAAAGGAGAUUGAAGAAGAAGGACGCAUUCGUGGAGACCCUAAGGUAACUCUUACUCCAUCAAUUCCCAUUGAAUCUAAUUUACCUCCUUUUCCAUACAGGUUGGAAAAGACAAAGAAGGCGGAGAUGGAAAAAGAAAUCCUAGACGUAUUCUGAAAAGUAGAGAUCAACAUUCCCUUGUUGGAUGCAGUUAAGCAGGUACCAAAGUACGCAAAUUUUUUUAAGAAUUUGUGCACCUAUAAGAGGAAGUUGAGACGGGACAAAAGAGCAGCAGUGGGAGAAAAUGUAUCAGCUAUACUCCAAAGAAAACUCCCACCCAAGUGUGGAGAUCCAGGUAUGUUCAUGAUCCCAUGCAAAAUAGGAAAUACACCGAUUAGAAAAAUAAUGUUGGAUUUAGGGGCAUCAAUCAACGUAAUGCCAAGCACCAUUUAUGUUUCUUUAAAUCUUGGGCCACUAAAAGAAACAGCCAUCAUAAUCCAACUAACUGACCGCACCAAUGCUUAUCCAGAGAGGCUAGUUGAGGAUGUCUUGGUUCAGGUAAAUGAGUUAGUUUUUCCAACAGAUUUUUAUAUCUUAGGUAUGGGAGAUGAAAAAUUGUUAAAUCCGUCACCUAUUUUGUUAGGUAGGCCAUUUCUUAGCACUGCUAGGACUACAAUAAAUGUGAAUGAGAGUACUUUAUCAAUGGAGUUUGAUGGCGAAAUUAUAAAUUUCAAUAUUUUUGAGGUGAUGAAGUAUCCGGAGGAAUCUAACUCAGUCUUUGCAUUGAGUGUUAUUGAACCUAUUGUAUAGGAAACUUUCGAAUUAGACUGUGAAGACGCAUUGGAAGUGGCCUUUAUCAAGCAUCUUGAAAUGGAUGUAACUCUUAAUGUGGACAUGAGGGAUGAGUUGCACCAUACAGUUGAAGCAUUACAUUCACUUCCAACCAUUCCUUCGAGGUAUGAGCUUACCUCUCUUUUUGUGCCAAAAACUCAGACAAAGUUGUUGCCUUCAGUUGCACAGGCACCGGAGUUAGAGCUUAAGACUCUCCCGAAACAUUUAAAGUACGCAUUCCUGAGAGACUAAGAGACGCUUCCGGUGAACAUUUCUGCACACUUAUCUCCAAGUCAAGAGAGCAAACUGGUGCGAACCCUUAGGGAUCAUAAGGAAGCGAUUGGGUGGAGUAUAGCAGAUAUCAAAGGAAUAACUCCGUUCUUAUGCAUGCACCAGAUACGGCUCGAAGAUGAUGCGAAACCGGUAAAACAGGCGCAGCGGAAAUUGAAUUCGCUAAUGAUGGAAGUAGUGAAAAAGGAGAUACUUAAAGUCCUGGAAAUAGGAAUUAUCUUUGCUAUCUUGGACAGUCCUUGGGUGAGUCCCGUUCAAAUAGUCCCAAAAAAAAUAGGAGUGACUGUAGAGGAAAACCAGGAGGGUGAGAUGGUUCCAGUCAGGAAAGCUACAGGUUGGCGCCAGUGCAUUGACUACCGGAGACUAAACGCUGUGAUGAAAAAGAACCAUUUUUGAUGUGAAACCCCGGUCUAGACAACCAAAACACCAUGGCUUAGGCAGCGGAAAUUUGACCCAACUAAUCCCUAGAAGUCACGAACAAUUUUGAUAUUAUCUCAACCCGUAACUACUCGAAUUAACGAACCAAAUUGGAGGUAGUAGAACGCCACAAUCAAGGAGAUACUCGAUUGAUAAGUUCGGGUGAAUAACUUGAGAAGAUUCUCAAGUAUUCAAAGGCAACUCUCUUGCCAAAGAGAAAGUGAAAACUCACUAAUUGUAUUUAAUAGCCAAAAACUCGUCCCAAAACAAAGAGGAAGUGAGGCAAUUUAUAGCCCUUACAAGCAUUAACCCUAAUCCAAAAGUUGACCAAACUACCCUACAUACUUAAGAAAGAUUUUGGGCCUUACUUACUAACAAAUGGGCCGCAAUUAAACUAUCUUAAUUACCUAGAUUUUUAAAACAAGAAAUAACCAAAAUCAACGAGAAAAAUCAAAUAAUCCUACUAAACUCAAGCAUUCGUGCAAUCAACUAGUCUUCACUUGAAUCUUCCAAUUCCCCGUGUGCUUGAAUGGGCCUUGGUCUUUAUAUUCUCAUCAUUCCCCUCCUCUUAAAAGCAAUUUGCCCACAAAUUGAAGCACGAAUGGUGACAAGACGAGUUACAUGCCUUCGACUCAAUCUUGUUAUGAUGGCUACAGAUGGCAUCCAAUGCAAAACCCAUGUGCUAAGUUGGAAAAUAACCCUCGUCGAACCUUGAAUCUCACAGACCAUCUUCAAUGUAUGCUCAACUUUAUUGUUUGUGGUCAUGAGAUAAGGGUCCUCAAAGUGGUAUGAAGUGUAUCCCGUGAAAUCGAACUCCGGCUCGAACACACUUGCAAGGUACCAAGGCGGAUUUGGUGAUGUUGGAGCUUCAUGUGGACUAAGAGCAAGACGAAAAGCAUAAUGGUCAUUGAGGUACUUGUUCUUUAAACGAACCCUUGGUACACAACCAUUCCUAAAAUAUGGAGUGUUCCCUUCAAGAUGAGCUCGAAUCAACUCCCCUUUGGUGUGGACUGAUUUAAGUUGACAUUGUUCCAUGAAUGGAUACCAAGGGGGUUUAACUCUUGGAGUACCAACUCCAUGGAGGCUUGCAACGUCUACAAUUGAUUUUGGAAUGGAACACACCAAGAUCAGCUCAACUUGCCUUUGCUUGAUCUGUAUAAAAGAAGAAACACUAAACAAAGCAAAGGUAAGUUUGUUAAGAAAAUAAUAGGCCUUCACCGGGUUGCUCAAGAUCAGCCCACUUUCUCUUCUUUCUUCCUUUUUACCACCAAUCUCAUUAGAUUUUUCCAUCUCUUUUCCUAGUUCAACAGCUGACCCUUUUAUCUCAUUACUUUCAACUUCCUCGGGUUUUACCUCUGCAGGCACAAUUCCCUCAUCUAGCUUUUUCUCCAUUCUAUAACGCUCAAACUCACUUUUCAUGCAUGCUAGAUCAAUACAAAGUUGGUCAUAAGUAAGUGAUACAAGUGCAAGACGACGACUAUUAAAUAAGAAGGAAUACUUAUUAGUAUGUCCAUCAAUUUUAACUUCUCGCCUCGACAUCCAUGCUUUGCCCAACAACACAUGUGUCACUUGAAUUGGGACUACAUCACACAACACCUCAUCCACAUAUUUGCUGAUUUGAAUAGGUACAAGUGUGUGCUUAGUAACCCAAACAUCCCUAUGAGUGCUCGUCAACUUGUAAGGUUGAAGAUGAUCAAUGGUUGGAAGAUUUAAUUUCUCAACCAUGAUAGCACUUGCAAGAUUGACUUCACAACUACCAUCAAUGGCCAAGCUACAAAUUUUAUCUUUGACACCGCAACGAGUAUAAAACCAACCAAGCAACUGAGAUUUGACGAGGUCCAAUUGCUCAUCUACACCACGUAAUGCCACUUCUUUGACUCCCUUAGGAUCAGGAAGACAAUGUUGUGGGCUAGCUUUUAUGUGUCUUAUACUCGCCAUGACGUAUGAGGGAACCUGCAAAAAGUUAGCAACGAAACCGAAGAUAUUGCCUUUCACGCUCCCUUACGUGUAUCCACUCGCACUCGUGUAUAUGGAUGUCACUCUAAUGGACUUACCAAAUACCUUUACCUGUUGGGUUAGGUAGUUGAGAAAUGCUGCUCAAGUCCAACAACCGUUACCAACCUUUCCACAAGUGUAAUCACAAGAAUGUAGGAGAAAAUGUAUGAAAGUGUUCCUAGAAUCUAGGAAGAGAAUAUAGGAGAGUUUCAUAAAGUGGAUGAGAGAAUAUAGGAAAGGUCCUAAAAAUGGAUGAGAGAAUUUUAGGAGAGUUUCCUAAAAAAUGGAUGAGAGAAUUUAGGAAAGUUUCCAAAAAAAUGGAUGAGAGAGUUUAGGAAAAUUUCCUAAAAAGGUAGGAGAGAGAGUGUCCAAGUGAGUACAAAGAGUUAUCCAAGUGCUUUACUUAGUUUCCUAAUUGAUUUUGGAAACAAGUUAGUUUUUGGAAACCUUUUGAAAAUCCUCUUCCUCUUGAACAACUUUUGGUAACCUUCUUGAAACAACUUUUGGUAACCUUCUUGAAACAACUUUUGGUAACUUCCAAAUUCUACUCCAAGAAAGAUUGCACAAAUCAGAUUUGGUUCUCUAUUCAAAACAAUUCGGUUGCCCCUUUCUUUCCUUGCCUUUUUUUUUUUCUCUUGCCAACCAAUUCCUCUUUUCUUUCUUCUUUUUUUUUGUCUUUUUUUGACUACAACUAUCAACCACGACACAAAACAAGGAAGUCCACAAAUAAUAACAACCAAGAACUCCAAGAUCUUUCAAGAACGUUCAAGGAAGUUGUCAGGAACUUCAGAAAUUUCAAGAUUGUGGUCAAGAAUUCAAGAAGCUCAAGAUUAUUGUAAGUUCUCUUCACGAUUCACAAAAUUCCAACAAUUUUUGCCAAAAUUCAGAUUUGAAAACCAAGUAAACAAGUUGGAUAACACAAACAACAAGGCUGGACAGAUUUGUAUUCGGAUGAACAGAACCCUAUGAACAGUAUCAGUGAACAGUGUCGGUGAACAGUAACGAUGAACAGUAAUAUUUUUUUUUUUUUUUUGGUUCUGAACAAACGAACAGAUUGGGAUAAACACAUAUGACUCGAAAUAAACGAAAACAAAAAAAAAGAUAUAACCUGGUGGUUGUCAACUAGCUCUGGUACCAACUGAUGUGAAACCCCGAUCUAGACAACCAAAACACCAUGGCUUAGGCAGCGAAAAUUUGACCCAACUAAUCCCUAGAAGUCACGAACAAUUUUGAUAUUAUCUCAACCCGUAACUACUCGAAUUAACGAACCAAAUUGGAGGUAGUAGAACGCCACAAUCAAGGAGAUACUCGAUUGAUAAGUUCGGGUGAAUAACUUGAGAAGAUUCUCAAGUAUUCAAAGGCAACUCUCUUGCCAAAGAGAAAGUGAAAACUCACUAAUUGUAUUUAAUAGCCAAAAACUCGUCCCAAAACAAAGAGGAAGUGAGGCUAUUUAUAGCCCUUACAAGCAUUAACCCUAAUCCAAAAGUUGACCAAACUACCCUACAUACUCAAGAAAGAUUUUGGGCCUUACUUACUAACAAAUGGGCCGCAAUUAAACUAUCUUAAUUACCUAGAUUUUUAAAACGAGAAAUAACCAAAAUCAACGAGGAAAAUCAAAUAAUCCUACUAAACUCAAGCAUUCGUGCAAUCAACUAGUCUUCACUUGAAUCUUUCAAUUCCCCGUGUGCUUGAAUGGGCAUUGGUCUUUAUAUUCUCAUCAAUUUUCCUCUCCCUUUUAUUGACCAGAUGAUAGAAAGAUUGGCUGGUCGUGUUUACUAUUAUUUUUUGGAUAAUUUUUCAGGGUACUUCAGAUCUCGAUAGCACCGGAGGACCAGGAAAAGACCACAUUCACCUGCCCAUUUGGUACUUUUGCGUACCGUAGGAUGCCUUUCGAUCUUUGCAAUGCUCCAACAACUUUUCAAAGGUACAUGGUAAGUAUUUUCUCCGAAUAUGUAAAAAGAUUAUUGAUGUGUUCAUGAAUGAUUUUAGUGUAUACGGGGAUAGCUUUGAUGAAUGUUUCGAUAAUUUAGCUGUAAUUUUGAAAAUGUGCAUAGAGACGAACUUAGUUCUUAAUUGGAAAAAAUGCGCUUUAUGGUAGAGUAUGGUAUUGUCUUAGGGCACGUUGUGUCGGCUAAGGGAAUAGAGGUAGAUAAAGCAAAAAUAGAUCUAAUUUCUACUUUGCCUUACCCUGUAUGUGUACGGGAAGUACGUUUCUUUUUGGGCCAUACAGGAUUUUAUAGGAGGUUCAUCAAGGAUUUCUCAAAGAUUGGAGCACCCCUAUUCGAGUUGCUGCAAAAGGACGUGACAUUCGAUUUCACCAAUGAAUAUAAGGUGGCUUUUGAUAAAUUAAAGGAGUCGUUGACAUCGCCGCCCGUCAUUCAACCCCCAGAUUGGAGCCUACCGUUUGAAAUAAUGUGCGAUGCGAGUGAUUAUGAGGUAGAAGCAGUGUUGGGCCAAAGGAUUGGCAAGGUGGCGCAUGCAAUUUACUAUGCGUCGAAAGCAUUGAGUGGAGCUCAACUUAACUACUCCACGACGGAGAAAGAAUUACUAGCCGUUGUUUUUGCACUAGAAAAAUUUAGGUCAUAUUUAUUAGGUGCAUGUAGACACCAAAAAUUUCAUCGAUUCAGUUUUAGCUUUAUUCAUUCAAUUUUGACUUCCUUUGAUUCAAUUUUUAGUUUUAUUAUUAUUAUUUAUUCUUGUCUCAUAUUUAUUAUUUUUAAUUGAUUGGAGGUUGCAAAUGGUAAUUGAUGUUCAUUCUUAUUUUAAAUGCAUUAAAAUUCAUCAUUUUCUUUUUAAAGCAAUUUUACACUAAAUUUUAGGAAAAUCCCGAAUAAAGAUCCAUUUUAUCUUUUUAAAAUUUGAUUUUUUCUUGCUAAGGCAUUUUGCAAGGUAAUUUUUAAAAAUUAAGCAUGUUAAACAAGUGUGUCAAUUGCAUGUUGAACAAGUGUGCAAAUAAGCAUUAGACAAGUGGUUGAGGAAUGGUAGGACAAGUGUAUAGGGGGUAGCUGUCAAGGACACUUGGGGGGUUUUUUGGGGGGCAUCGGAAAAAAAAGGAAGAAAAAACCCUCGAAGAGGCUUGAAAACAGGGGGAAGAGAAAAGAGCUAAAAACAGGGAGGGGGCUUCGGAGGAAAGGGGAGAGGAAAAACGAAAUCGAAAAAGGAGGGGAGAGUAGGGAAAAAUCUGGGGAGAGUCUGUGGGCUAAGAAAAACAGCGGAGAGAUAGCGGAAAAAAAGGAGAAAAAGAACGGCUGAGGGGAAGGCUAAAAAUCUGAAAAGAGAAGAAGGCUUCGGCUGGGAGAAGCUGGAGUGGAAAAAAUAGAAAAAGGGAGAACGGCUGCGGUUGAGGGCCGAGAGAGUGGAGAGCCGAGGAGGAAAAAUCAGAAAAGGAGGAGAAAAAUCAAGGGCGGCGGAUGAAGGGAAAAGCUGGGAAAAUUAGAAACAGAGAAAGAGAGGAUAGCAGCGGACAAAGAGCUUGCGACUGAGGAAGCAGAGCAGCUGGAACUGCCGUUCGCGGGAAGCUGUUGCCGCCCUCUUCCGUCACGCGCGACGCCAGCUUCAUCGCUUCUUCCAUCAUAGUUCAAGCUCCGCCCUCUGCCGGCACAAACAAGUGGCCAACCGCCCGCCCAAGCAACCAAAUCCGAGAUCAGCACCCGCAAAAUUUUACCAAGAAACAAACGGUAAGCCACCAUCAUCCUUCAAAUUUCAGUUUUCAUGUAAGUUUUCGAAGCGUGUUUUAUUUUUCACGUUGUGGCUUGUAGCCAUUUCUCUGUUGAAUUAUUCACUAAUUGGAAGUAUGUAUGCUUUGAAUGUCGAUUGGACUGGAGUUUUCUUGCAUUUGAUGAAAUUUUGGGUGCUGAUUCAUGUCAAUUGAGCGAGAAAUUGGUGAAGUUUUUUAAUGGCUGUUUGUUGUUCGACAGAAUGCUUCAAUGAAAGUUCGGCCUGAAGAAUGGAUUAAUUUCUGAUUUAUAUACGUUCGACUGUUUCAUGCUUGUCAAAAUAAUUGAUUCGAAUGGGUUUGUUUGGGCGUCCGUUUGUUUUGGCAAUCUGCUCCGCUUCUCGUUUGUUUGGUGUUCCUCUUGUAUGGAUUUAAAUUCAUGACAUAAAAUGGCGUGCGAGGGGAUUCAUGUGAGAGUCAUUUGUUUUGCUUUUGUUUUGUUUUGUUGAUUGGAGUCCGAAGUUGAAUUUUCUGGUUGCAAAGAGGAAUGAAAUAGCAGCGAACGUUGAGCCAAUUUGGGAAGAAGAGGAUUGCUUGAUUAAAUUCAUGAUUCCAGUCCCUCAAUUUCCCUUUCCAUUAUGAUUUAACCCCAGAAUUUUAGGACUUCAUAAUUUUUCCUCCAACACCUUCAUAAGUCCUUCAAUUAGGUCCCUGCUCUUGUUGCAUUUUAACCCCUCAGCUUCCCCUUGUUCUGAUAUGACCCGAAAAGUGGAAAAAGUGCGUUUGUUUCUCCCUUCUAGAUUUAAAUCAUCUUCUAAUAAGCAUGAAUAGUCCUUUUACUAGAUUAAUUCUUGUUUGUAGGUUCUAAUUGUGGUUCAAUAAUUUAUUUUGAUUUUAUCAUGUUGGGUUUAAUGAAACAAGUGCCUUGGGCUAAGAGGUUAUUUUUGUUUGGGUUUAAGAAAGUCGUUUUAGUUUAUUUUGUUUGGUUUUUUGGUUCGGGCUAGAGGGUCAAGGCCCAUCUAUUUGGUUGGCUAAUUUUUGGGCCAGGAUAUUAUACUAGCCCACUUGUUUUCCUUGGACUUUCGAUUGGGCCAAGUUAUCUUGGCCCAAGAAAGGUGAAGAUGGCCCAUUCCCUUUUUGUUUUGGAUUUUCGGUUGGGCUUGUAAGGCUUUGGCCCAAACAAAUAAAGGAAAUGGCCCAAUGGCUUGGUCCAUUAAGAAACCAGAAAACGAUUUUGCAAAUCAGUCCCUGAAUUUCUCCCUAAUUGUAUUGUGGCCCUGGACAUUUUCAACUUCUUUCAAUUCGGUCCUUGCUUUAAUUGCAAAUAGGUCCCUGAACUUUAUUUUUCUUUAAUUUUGACCUCCAAACUUUGUCAAUCUUUGCAAUCAGGUCCUUUCUUCUCUUGACUUCUUAAAUGUGAAUUGUCGACAUGAUUUAAUUGAUUCAAAUUCAUGCUUAUUUUUUAUCCUUUGUGAUUAUUUGCCAAAUAAAUUGGUACCUUGACCUUUUUAUUGUUUUGAAGCUAAUAUCUCAUUUACUCGAUUUCCGUUGCGAGGGAGGUAACUUCUAUAUUUUUGAGUUUAUUUUUUCCUACGUGCUCCUACGUGUUAUGUGAAUAUGCCUGUCUACUUUGCUUUCUUUGCCUUUCUUUAAUUCUUUUCAUUUUUUUUUACUUACUUUUGCUUUUUAUUUAAGUUAUUCAUUAUGGGGUAUGUGUACACCUCUUGGCUUGUAAUAGUUAGGGAUUUAAUUAUUUUAUUCUUUUCCCCCUUUUAGAUUGUAGUGGGGUCUCCCUAAUGUAAUAGAUAGGGUUUGGAGGAGCAUUCAAUGAAGACCUAUCGAAGACUUGUGCCUAGCUAGCAAAUGUAAUAGUUAGGGCUUUAAUUGUCUCAUGUGCCUUGCAUGCUUAGUUGCUACGUGUUAAUUUGCUUUGCUAGGGCCUUGCAUCUAGUCGAGCAUGCAAAAUGUUAUGUGCUAUGUGUUUAUAAGUGUUUGGCAUGUCUACUCGCUUUCCAUAGCCUGAAUAAAUGUGAUGGAUGAAUGUACGUCACCACACUAGUCCAAUGCUAGUUGUGGCUCAUUAUUUCAUUAGGAAUUCAUAGAAAGGGCUAGUCCAACGCUAGACCCAAUAGGAUUUUUCCUUUGUUUUUCAUUAAUGCAUUAUUUGCCUGUUCACUACAUAUCAUGCAUUUUUCCUUAGUUUUAUCAUCUGGCAUGCUCCUCGAUUCCCCUUUCCCCUCACUUUAGGAUUUUUGCAUUUCAUGCUAGUUAUAGGGUUCAUUUGCCUGAAGAGUCCCCUUCUGAUAAGGGAAACGAGCGAGUGUGGCUACUCGAUAGCCUUAGCACGCUAGUUUCGCCUUCUAAUCAAAGGGAAGAUUAAGUCACAAAGUUAGGACUCCCCGUUCCCGUCUUGAUGCAUUCCUAUAGGAUUCAUGCAUUCUAUUCAUUCACUAUCACAUACACUUACUUUAUAUUCUAACCCUUUUUCCACAUUCUCACUUCACACUACUUUUACACGUUUUCAUUUAACUACUCACACUCUAUGCCAUAUCACUCGCACACAUGCACUUUAUAUUAUUUUCACAUUAUCAUUCUUUACUCACCUUACCUUGUAAAUACAUUUGCACACCUCCACUUUUCUCACUUCACAUAAACUUACAUUUUCACAUGACAUGCACCCCAUUCAUUUUUACGUCAUUUAGGAUUACGUGUGACCUCUCCAAAGGAUCAUUAUUGGGCUUCACAAUUAAUGUGAUUGGCACCACUCAACCUUUGAAGAGAAAUUUCCCCCAAUACCCCUAGGUCUAGGGUUUUGCAUUCAUAUAGACAUAUCCAACACGCGAUACAUACCUUGGGUAGAAAAAUUAGGAAAAAUUGGUUUAAGUCACGCAACUAGCCUUGGCUAGGUCGAAGGGGUGCCUUGGAUUUUUUAUCCUUGCCUUCCCCUUCGUCAAAUGUGACCCCCGAUCCCUCUUUUUGGUUACGUAGACCCAAAAGUUCUUUAAAAGGGUUUAUUUACUUUUUUUAUUCAAAAACAAAAAACCAUUUUUUGGGUGACUUGGUACACCCUAACCCUAUACCAAGUGGCGACUCCAUUUUUGAUACAAAAAACCCUUUUUGAACUUUAUAUGGCCAAACCGUCGCAUUAUCAAGUCCCAUGGCCUUUUACUUUUCAUUUACACACGUUCACAUUCCAUUACACCACUCACAUCUCACACCACACACACACCACAACUCAUCAUCUUCGAAAAGUGGGGCGCGACAGUUGGCGACUCCACUGGGGAAGCUCCUAAGUGGGUCCGAGCAUUUGACUUAGCCAUUCGUUUCCUUUUUCUACCCUUUUUAUGCAUUGCACUUGGAUAUUAGGGUUGCAUUUUUUUUAUUUUAGGCCUUUUUGCCUCGUGCGCGUAUCCAACUAUUCCCUCACUCACGUACGUGUGAUUGGUUGAUUGGAUGUAUGUUUACUUGUUUAUCUCGCGCUUGCAUUGCAUUUGGGAGGGGGCGUGUCACCUUUAGAGCCUCACGUUGGUUCUCAACCCCUUCCCUCAAAAUAGGGGAGCACUUCAUACGUGCACGUUUACUUGCUUUUAUCCCAUUUUAUUUUGUUUUUCGUGGGCGUUUCCCACACCGCCUUGUAGGAUUAGGAUCGAUUGCCUUGGGUAGGCGGCUGGUGUGCUCUGCGCCCAUAACGCUACCUAAGGGAUCACUCGAGCCACCGAUCAAAGGCCUUGGGAGUGAUGACCCUUUGCCUUUAGGUCUGAAGGCUUGGGAGCCGAAGCUUUAUCGAGUCUAGGCAUUAAUGAACCAAACCUCAUGCAUCCAUGUUAGCAUUUGCCUAGGGUAGAGUCAGCCUCACCCUUUUUAAGCACAAUUAGGCACGAGGGAAGGGGUUCCACCCCUUUUUAUUGGCUUUUAUUGUAUUUCUUUUUCUUAAUUGCUCCCAAUAUGUUAUGUGUAUUACCAAUUGCACUAACCAUUCUUUUGUUUUCUUGGCUUGCAUUCAUAUGCCCUAGCAAUAAGAGGCCCUUUUGGCACUCUUUUAGUGACCUAUCCACUAGAUAACUCACAUGUUUAAAUUUCAGUCAUUAUACUUAAUAAAUACAUUUCAUUUUAGACCUUUUUUCCCCCGAUGCAUUAUUUAUGUCCCUUAGGUCAUAUUUGUCACAUAUUUACAUCGCUUUAAUAAAUGACAUCAUGCAUAAACCCUAGAAAGGGAAUGCCAUUUAGGGGAUCCCGUGUCAGGAAUAAGCCACCUUGUGUCUCGGAUACUUAAUCCAGUGAGACUUGCACGUUUACAUUUUGUACCAUCCAAAGGGGGUAGUGCACAAGGUAAGGUAGGAUCCGAUCAUUUUCAUAGAGUGAUCUUUGGGAUAUGAGCAUCUAAUAAUCACUUUUUGGCCAUUUUAUCAAAAAUUGGUAAAAAUUCCUUGCGUGAAGGACAGUAAUUUGAAGAAAUUCACAAAUGAUUCCUUCUAUUGAGACGAUAAAUAAAUUGAGGCCAAAAUUUGAUUUUUAGAAGCUCAUAGACUAAUGCAUCUCAAUCAUUUUGAAAUCACCAAUGGCCGGACAAUUCAACCAAUCCAUUUUACCCAUUCAUUCAAUAAAUCAUCAAUUCAUUUGAUCAAUUUACCCUUUUUAGGGUCAUCCGGUCGAUUUUGAAUAAAUCGUCAAUUCAUUUGACCAAUUUACCCUUUUUAGGGUCACCUGGUCGAUUUUCAAUAAAUCAUCAAUUCAUUUGAUCAAUUUACCCUUUUUAGGGUCACCUGGUCGAUUUUGAAUAAAUCGUCAAUUCAUUUGACCAAUUUACCCUUUUUAGGGUCAUCCGGUCGAUUUUGAAUAAAUCAUCAAUUCAUUUGACCGAUUUACCCUUUUUAGGAUCGUUCGGCCGAUUUUUGAACAAGUCACUAAUUCAAUUUCAUUCAUUUGGCCAAUUUACCUUUUUUUAGGGCAACCGAGCCGUUUUUUGACCUGUUUCCCUUCUAGGGUAAUCCGGUCGAUUUUCAAUAAAUUGUCAAUUUCAUUUGACCAAUUAGGAUUUCAAUGUCGAAUUCCAAAUUGGGAAAUCUAGUCAAUUUUGAAGAAAACCGUCCAUUGCAUCCAAUCACUUGAUCAAUUAGGGUUUUUGACCCGUAAUUCACUGAGAAAUUUUAUCAACGAAUUCCAAUCUCUUCGAUAGGAGUUCGUCAAGGUCAAACCCAUGCGUUUUGCAAAUCAAAGGUGAUCAAUCUAUUCGGACGUUGUCCUCAUUUUGACAAAUCUCUUGCCACUCCAAUGGCCAAAUUUUUCAAAUUAUUUUUCACUCAAUGAGUUGAUCAGAUCCGUCAGGUAUGGUAUAGUGCUUCCCUAGAGGAUUGCAUUUUCAUGCUAGGCCUACCCUUGGCAUAAAAAGGGUUCCCCCAUAGGACAUGCAUACCGAUUUUUUUUUAUUCUUACUUACUGACUCUGGGUAUUUUUCUUUUUGUUUUCCCCUCCCCCUGCAUUUAUAAAAAUGUUUCAAUAAGGCGAGAAUAUUCUUCUAUAUCUGAUAAUUUUGAUCCAAUAAAGCUUGAAGAUUACAAGUAUUACUUGAUUUUUAGGUAGACAUUGCCGCGAAAGCAUAAAGGGGAAAUUCUAUUUAUUUGAUUUGUUAAUACAUUUUGUUCCAAAAGAAAAGGAGACAAAAAGUGUAUGUGUUGAGCUCUUUACGAGUUUCUCUCUUCUCAUUUGUAUCAUAAUUGAUUGAGCAAUUUUGUUUCAAACUUUUUCAACAAUAAAAUUUUUUGGAUAAUUUUUGUUUUGUGUAUAUUUAUGUACAUUUCAUUCUUUAUUCUUACUCAUUGGAGAUUUCAUGAUGAUUUUUGAGAAAUAAGACCCAAUUUGAGAUUUUUCAACCUAUAGCCUGAAUUUCACAAGUGUGUGCUUCCUAAAAUCCUUACACUCGAUUGGUGUUCCAACCUGUACAAUAAGAGUGCUCAGAAAGAAAGAGAGUGAACGGUCACUCAAAAGGCCCUAUGAGAUACCUUUCUCCUUCACUUAAUUCCAAAAUAAAAUCAGUCACAUUGAUUGAUAAAUUGUAAAUUGGGGUAACUUUUGCUUGAAAAUGUUCAAGGCGUCUAAUCUGGUUCAAUCACAUCUAAGUGAAAGCAAAAAUGUGCAUUAUUCUUAUUUGUUUGGAAAAUUUGGAAUGAUACUUCAAGCAUUCGUUUCAUUACCUGUACAGAUUUUUAUCAUUUGCUCUCCCAUUUGAGCUUCUAAAAGAAUAAUUUCGUUUCAAAUAAGGGUCUUAAUGAUCACUACCCGUCAUUGAAAAAUUUUCAAAUAUCAAAAGAAGAAUGGGUUUUCAAUGACCAUUUCGCUACUUCGGUUGUCAUGAGGUAUAAGAAUGAUACUUUGGCCGUCAGUUCUACAAUCUAAACACUGAUCAUCCCUUGCAUCCUCGUUUGAGCUAAAUUGGUGGUUCUUUUCGAGUGCACAUAUGAUCGCACCCCACAUUGGGGAAGGAGAUUGGGAAAUUUUGAAAAAAGGGAAAAGAAAAGGGGAAAAGCAAAAAAUGCUAGAAUAAGGAGGGAACCGCAAAUUUGGGGAAUUUGAUUCCACUUGGGUUCCAAUUUUGAAAAAAAAAAAGAAAAGAAAAAGAAGAAAACAAGUUCUAUCCGGUGGAUCACUUAUGUUUCAUAGACAUGAAUGAGCAAGGGUCUUCCUCAGUCAGUUAAUUCAGAUACAUGCCAAAAAUUUCCCAUUAAUGAAAAUUUCUUUUCAGAGUUAAUGUAAGGAACGGAAUACAAGUCAGGCCAUCUUCUUUUCCGAUCAAGCAUCUAUCCCUAGUUAUCCCUUUUGAGCAUUCAGAAUGAAAUACUUCGUUUGGCAACCCCUGAGAAUCGCAAACCCCACACUGGGGCAAGUUGGUUUGAAAAAGGAAAAUUUCAAGAAGCGGAAAAGUGAAAAGCCACAAAAUCAAAAGGCAAAGGAAGAAAAGAGAACCUCAGUUCAAAAAUAAACUGGGGCAAAUUUUGUGAAAGUUCGAAAAAAUGGCCGAAGGCCGAAAAAUCAAAAGAAAGAAAAUAAAAGUGAAAAAGCCUCAAUUGAGCAAAAACUGGGGCAAAUUCUGAUUUUACCCUAAAAUAGGGUUGACGCAACAAUGCGAUUUCAGAUUCUUCAAACCACUUUUGAAAUCCGCUUUCAAGCCUUAACUUUUCUAAGCACCCCACCUGACCCCAUUACAAAAGCCAAAAGUCCUGACUUCUGUUCUUUGCAAUGGCCCUGUCAAGAAAAUUUCUGAUGCCGGAAAAUUUUAGCUGUAUUGCUGAAUUGCUUGAGUAUGAGGUUGGCGCUACUCAUGUGAAAACCCAUCAGCUCGAGGGAAAAGAAAAGAGGCAAAAAGCAAAGCAAGAAAAGUAAAUGCAAGGAAAAUGCAAAAAGACUUGACGCUGAAGUCCCUGGGGAAUGAUGAGAAAAUCCAAACAAAGUCUGAAAUCUUUUGAGUUCAAAUAGGGGCAAUUUUGGAAAAAUGUGAUCUUCGGUGCAAUGUCCUUGAAAGUUUUAUUCUUUAGCUAUCGUUUUUCAAGCCAAAUUACAAGCUAAGAAAGUCCAUCGUUGACUUAUUCCUUCAUGACAAUCCAAAGUGAGGAUCAUACUCAUAAGAAAUUCAUCAAAUCAUUUGUGAUCAUAAGGGUAUAACCCGUUUCCACAUGUUUAGCUAUCACUUCUGUCCAUACGUUACAAGCCUAGAAAGCUGGUAUGUUGACUAAGUUUUCUUGAAAAAUAAGGGUGACAAACUCUUUGCUUUCACUAAGAUGUGACAUUGAAUGGAUUACAUACAAUUGGGGCACAAAAAUGAGACAGAUUCUGACCUCUCAUUUUCCUUCAGCCACUUCCAAAUCAAAAAUAAAGUCACUUGAUUGGUCCUGAAAAAUGAGCCAACCAGAAGUGGUGACCCGUUACCCUAAACACCAAUGCUAAAAGUGAGGAAGAAAUCUUCUUGAAUUUGGUGUUACUUCGAGGAAUUCAUCAUGAAAUUUCUGCAUGAGUUUCAAACUUGACGUUUAAAGUUUCUUCACAUUGUUGUAUAUGUGCACUCUUUUCUAAAUUUUAGAAAGUGCGGUUUUUCUUUGUUCAAAUCAAUGGGAAAUCAUCUGAACAAAUUUUUGCAAUUAAGGGAGCCCACACUGGGGCAAAAAUUUUAUUUGUGAGAUUUCAUGAAAUAAGCCCAUACUGGGGCAAAUUUUUUGUAAUACAUUUGAGAUUUGUGUCCAAAAAUCAAAUAAUAACAUUUUUCGAAACAAUCCCGCUGCUCUUUUCCUGGAAUUUAAGUGCAUGUCAUACUUUGAUGAACCCCUUGUACAGGUAUUCAUGAUUCAAAAUGACGAAAGGCAUCCAGUAAGGCGGAAGGCCGAUACUGCAAAGAGAAGCAAGAAGAAGGAGGAAAAAUGGACACUACACUUGGGGCAAAUUAUUUUUUUAAAAUUUUUGAAAAAAGGGAAAAAAGAAGGAAAAAAGAAAAAAAGAGAAAAAACCAAAAAUCAAAUCAAAAAGUCAAAAAUCAAGUUCAAAUUCUUGUUUCUUGAAAAAUCAAAUUUGAUUUCUUGUGGGCGAAGCUCCAAUGCACGCCGCGCAUCAUUCUGUUCCCCCCUUCUCUUGACAUUCCAAAUCAAGUUGGGCCUGGAUUUCGUGCCACCAACAUCAUUUUAUCACGUUGGGCCUGGACUUGGUGCCGCCAACAUCACUUUAUCACGUUGGGCCUGGACUUGGUGCCGCCAACAUCACUUUAUCACGUUGGGCCUGGACUUGGUGCCGCCAACAUCACUUUAUCACGUUGGGCCUGGACUUGGUGCCGCCAACUUCACUUUAUCACGUUGGGCCUGGACUUGGUGCCGCCAACAUCACUUUAUCACGUUGGGCUUGGUUUUCGUGCCACCAACUUCGCUUUGUCACGUUGGGCUUGGAUUUAGUGCCACCAACAUUACAAAAGUCACAUUGGACCGGGUUUUAUCCCGCCAAUCUCGGCAGGACCGGGUCUAAUCCCGCUGACCGCUUACAGGACCGGGUCUAAUCCCGCUGACAGGCAGGACCGGGUCUAAUCCCGCUGACCGCUUACUUCGGCAGGACCGGGUCUAAUCCCGCUGACCGCUCACCUCGGCAGGACCGGGUCUAAUCCCGCUGACCGCUCACCUCGGCAGGACCGGGUCUAAUCCCGCUGACCGCUCACCUCGGCAGGACCGGGUUUUAUCCCGCUGACCGUCCACACCCCGUCGGCCUCAGAUGUUAUCCCACCGACCAAUUCAUCACACUGGGGCAAAUUUUUUAGAUAAUUUUUCAAACAAGUCCUAUACAGUUCUCUAUUUAAUUUUCUGUUCGGGUCUAUCCCAUGGGUCUGUCCCAUCUACAUUUUUAUCCGAGUCUAUCGCAUUUACAUUCCUGUCCGGGUCUAUCCCGUUUACAAUUCUGUUCAGGCCAGUCCCAUGUUUGAAAUUCCUUGUUUAGGUCAGCCCUCCGAAUAGGGGCAACCGAAUGGUACAGGUAAGCAUUUGGUGUCUACUUCUUUGUCUCAAGUUUUUUCAAAACUCAGACAAAGAGGGGCAAACUGUAGACACCAAAAAUUUCAUCGAUUCAGUUUUAGCUUUAUUCAUUCAAUUUUGACUUCCUUUGAUUCAAUUUUUAGUUUUAUUAUUAUUAUUUAUUCUUGUCUCAUAUUUAUUAUUUUUAAUUGAUUGGAGGUUGCAAAUGGUAAUUGAUGUUCAUUCUUAUUUUAAAUGCAUUAAAAUUCAUCAUUUUCUUUUUAAAGCAAUUUUACACUAAAUUUUAGGAAAAUCCCGAAUAAAGAUCCAUUUUAUCUUUUUAAAAUUUGAUUUUUUCUUGCUAAGGCAUUUUGCAAGGUAAUUUUUAAAAAUUAAGCAUGUUAAACAAGUGUGUCAAUUGCAUGUUGAACAAGUGUGCAAAUAAGCAUUAGACAAGUGGUUGAGGAAUGGUAGGACAAGUGUAUAGGGGGUAGCUGUCAAGGACACUUGGGGGGUUUUUUGGGGGGCAUCGGAAAAAAAAGGAAGAAAAAACCCUCGAAGAGGCUUGAAAACAGGGGGAAGAGAAAAGAGCUAAAAACAGGGAGGGGGCUUCGGAGGAAAGGGGAGAGGAAAAACGAAAUCGAAAAAGGAGGGGAGAGUAGGGAAAAAUCUGGGGAGAGUCUGUGGGCUAAGAAAAACAGCGGAGAGAUAGCGGAAAAAAAGGAGAAAAAGAACGGCUGAGGGGAAGGCUAAAAAUCUGAAAAGAGAAGAAGGCUUCGGCUGGGAGAAGCUGGAGUGGAAAAAAUAGAAAAAGGGAGAACGGCUGCGGUUGAGGGCCGAGAGAGUGGAGAGCCGAGGAGGAAAAAUCAGAAAAGGAGGAGAAAAAUCAAGGGCGGCGGAUGAAGGGAAAAGCUGGGAAAAUUAGAAACAGAGAAAGAGAGGAUAGCAGCGGACAAAGAGCUUGCGACUGAGGAAGCAGAGCAGCUGGAACUGCCGUUCGCGGGAAGCUGUUGCCGCCCUCUUCCGUCACGCGCGACGCCAGCUUCAUCGCUUCUUCCAUCAUAGUUCAAGCUCCGCCCUCUGCCGGCACAAACAAGUGGCCAACCGCCCGCCCAAGCAACCAAAUCCGAGAUCAGCACCCGCAAAAUUUUACCAAGAAACAAACGGUAAGCCACCAUCAUCCUUCAAAUUUCAGUUUUCAUGUAAGUUUUCGAAGCGUGUUUUAUUUUUCACGUUGUGGCUUGUAGCCAUUUCUCUGUUGAAUUAUUCACUAAUUGGAAGUAUGUAUGCUUUGAAUGUCGAUUGGACUGGAGUUUUCUUGCAUUUGAUGAAAUUUUGGGUGCUGAUUCAUGUCAAUUGGGCGAGAAAUUGGUGAAGUUUUUUAAUGGCUGUUUGUUGUUCGACAGAAUGCUUCAAUGAAAGUUCGGCCUGAAGAAUGGAUUAAUUUCUGAUUUAUAUACGUUCGACUGUUUCAUGCUUGUCAAAAUAAUUGAUUCGAAUGGGUUUGUUUGGGCGUCCGUUUGUUUUGGCAAUCUGCUCCGCUUCUCGUUUGUUUGGUGUUCCUCUUGUAUGGAUUUAAAUUCAUGACAUAAAAUGGCGUGCGAGGGGAUUCAUGUGAGAGUCAUUUGUUUUGCUUUUGUUUUGUUUUGUUGAUUGGAGUCCGAAGUUGAAUUUUCUGGUUGCAAAGAGGAAUGAAAUAGCAGCGAACGUUGAGCCAAUUUGGGAAGAAGAGGAUUGCUUGAUUAAAUUCAUGAUUCCAGUCCCUCAAUUUCCCUUUCCAUUAUGAUUUAACCCCAGAAUUUUAGGACUUCAUAAUUUUUCCUCCAACACCUUCAUAAGUCCUUCAAUUAGGUCCCUGCUCUUGUUGCAUUUUAACCCCUCAGCUUCCCCUUGUUCUGAUAUGACCCGAAAAGUGGAAAAAGUGCGUUUGUUUCUCCCUUCUAGAUUUAAAUCAUCUUCUAAUAAGCAUGAAUAGUCCUUUUACUAGAUUAAUUCUUGUUUGUAGGUUCUAAUUGUGGUUCAAUAAUUUAUUUUGAUUUUAUCAUGUUGGGUUUAAUGAAACAAGUGCCUUGGGCUAAGAGGUUAUUUUUGUUUGGGUUUAAGAAAGUCGUUUUAGUUUAUUUUGUUUGGUUUUUUGGUUCGGGCUAGAGGGUCAAGGCCCAUCUAUUUGGUUGGCUAAUUUUUGGGCCAGGAUAUUAUACUAGCCCACUUGUUUUCCUUGGACUUUCGAUUGGGCCAAGUUAUCUUGGCCCAAGAAAGGUGAAGAUGGCCCAUUCCCUUUUUGUUUUGGAUUUUCGGUUGGGCUUGUAAGGCUUUGGCCCAAACAAAUAAAGGAAAUGGCCCAAUGGCUUGGUCCAUUAAGAAACCAGAAAACGAUUUUGCAAAUCAGUCCCUGAAUUUCUCCCUAAUUGUAUUGUGGCCCUGGACAUUUUCAACUUCUUUCAAUUCGGUCCUUGCUUUAAUUGCAAAUAGGUCCCUGAACUUUAUUUUUCUUUAAUUUUGACCUCCAAACUUUGUCAAUCUUUGCAAUCAGGUCCUUUCUUCUCUUGACUUCUUAAAUGUGAAUUGUCGACAUGAUUUAAUUGAUUCAAAUUCAUGCUUAUUUUUUAUCCUUUGUGAUUAUUUGCCAAAUAAAUUGGUACCUUGACCUUUUUAUUGUUUUGAAGCUAAUAUCUCAUUUACUCGAUUUCCGUUGCGAGGGAGGUAACUUCUAUAUUUUUGAGUUUAUUUUUUCCUACGUGCUCCUACGUGUUAUGUGAAUAUGCCUGUCUACUUUGCUUUCUUUGCCUUUCUUUAAUUCUUUUCAUUUUUUUUUACUUACUUUUGCUUUUUAUUUAAGUUAUUCAUUAUGGGGUAUGUGUACACCUCUUGGCUUGUAAUAGUUAGGGAUUUAAUUAUUUUAUUCUUUUCCCCCUUUUAGAUUGUAGUGGGGUCUCCCUAAUGUAAUAGAUAGGGUUUGGAGGAGCAUUCAAUGAAGACCUAUCGAAGACUUGUGCCUAGCUAGCAAAUGUAAUAGUUAGGGCUUUAAUUGUCUCAUGUGCCUUGCAUGCUUAGUUGCUACGUGUUAAUUUGCUUUGCUAGGGCCUUGCAUCUAGUCGAGCAUGCAAAAUGUUAUGUGCUAUGUGUUUAUAAGUGUUUGGCAUGUCUACUCGCUUUCCAUAGCCUGAAUAAAUGUGAUGGAUGAAUGUACGUCACCACACUAGUCCAAUGCUAGUUGUGGCUCAUUAUUUCAUUAGGAAUUCAUAGAAAGGGCUAGUCCAACGCUAGACCCAAUAGGAUUUUUCCUUUGUUUUUCAUUAAUGCAUUAUUUGCCUGUUCACUACAUAUCAUGCAUUUUUCCUUAGUUUUAUCAUCUGGCAUGCUCCUCGAUUCCCCUUUCCCCUCACUUUAGGAUUUUUGCAUUUCAUGCUAGUUAUAGGGUUCAUUUGCCUGAAGAGUCCCCUUCUGAUAAGGGAAACGAGCGAGUGUGGCUACUCGAUAGCCUUAGCACGCUAGUUUCGCCUUCUAAUCAAAGGGAAGAUUAAGUCACAAAGUUAGGACUCCCCGUUCCCGUCUUGAUGCAUUCCUAUAGGAUUCAUGCAUUCUAUUCAUUCACUAUCACAUACACUUACUUUAUAUUCUAACCCUUUUUCCACAUUCUCACUUCACACUACUUUUACACGUUUUCAUUUAACUACUCACACUCUAUGCCAUAUCACUCGCACACAUGCACUUUAUAUUAUUUUCACAUUAUCAUUCUUUACUCACCUUACCUUGUAAAUACAUUUGCACACCUCCACUUUUCUCACUUCACAUAAACUUACAUUUUCACAUGACAUGCACCCCAUUCAUUUUUACGUCAUUUAGGAUUACGUGUGACCUCUCCAAAGGAUCAUUAUUGGGCUUCACAAUUAAUGUGAUUGGCACCACUCAACCUUUGAAGAGAAAUUUCCCCCAAUACCCCUAGGUCUAGGGUUUUGCAUUCAUAUAGACAUAUCCAACACGCGAUACAUACCUUGGGUAGAAAAAUUAGGAAAAAUUGGUUUAAGUCACGCAACUAGCCUUGGCUAGGUCGAAGGGGUGCCUUGGAUUUUUUAUCCUUGCCUUCCCCUUCGUCAAAUGUGACCCCCGAUCCCUCUUUUUGGUUACGUAGACCCAAAAGUUCUUUAAAAGGGUUUAUUUACUUUUUUUAUUCAAAAACAAAAAACCAUUUUUUGGGUGACUUGGUACACCCUAACCCUAUACCAAGUGGCGACUCCAUUUUUGAUACAAAAAACCCUUUUUGAACUUUAUAUGGCCAAACCGUCGCAUUAUCAAGUCCCAUGGCCUUUUACUUUUCAUUUACACACGUUCACAUUCCAUUACACCACUCACAUCUCACACCACACACACACCACAACUCAUCAUCUUCGAAAAGUGGGGCGCGACAGUUGGCGACUCCACUGGGGAAGCUCCUAAGUGGGUCCGAGCAUUUGACUUAGCCAUUCGUUUCCUUUUUCUACCCUUUUUAUGCAUUGCACUUGGAUAUUAGGGUUGCAUUUUUUUUAUUUUAGGCCUUUUUGCCUCGUGCGCGUAUCCAACUAUUCCCUCACUCACGUACGUGUGAUUGGUUGAUUGGAUGUAUGUUUACUUGUUUAUCUCGCGCUUGCAUUGCAUUUGGGAGGGGGCGUGUCACCUUUAGAGCCUCACGUUGGUUCUCAACCCCUUCCCUCAAAAUAGGGGAGCACUUCAUACGUGCACGUUUACUUGCUUUUAUCCCAUUUUAUUUUGUUUUUCGUGGGCGUUUCCCACACCGCCUUGUAGGAUUAGGAUCGAUUGCCUUGGGUAGGCGGCUGGUGUGCUCUGCGCCCAUAACGCUACCUAAGGGAUCACUCGAGCCACCGAUCAAAGGCCUUGGGAGUGAUGACCCUUUGCCUUUAGGUCUGAAGGCUUGGGAGCCGAAGCUUUAUCGAGUCUAGGCAUUAAUGAACCAAACCUCAUGCAUCCAUGUUAGCAUUUGCCUAGGGUAGAGUCAGCCUCACCCUUUUUAAGCACAAUUAGGCACGAGGGAAGGGGUUCCACCCCUUUUUAUUGGCUUUUAUUGUAUUUCUUUUUCUUAAUUGCUCCCAAUAUGUUAUGUGUAUUACCAAUUGCACUAACCAUUCUUUUGUUUUCUUGGCUUGCAUUCAUAUGCCCUAGCAAUAAGAGGCCCUUUUGGCACUCUUUUAGUGACCUAUCCACUAGAUAACUCACAUGUUUAAAUUUCAGUCAUUAUACUUAAUAAAUACAUUUCAUUUUAGACCUUUUUUCCCCCGAUGCAUUAUUUAUGUCCCUUAGGUCAUAUUUGUCACAUAUUUACAUCGCUUUAAUAAAUGACAUCAUGCAUAAACCCUAGAAAGGGAAUGCCAUUUAGGGGAUCCCGUGUCAGGAAUAAGCCACCUUGUGUCUCGGAUACUUAAUCCAGUGAGACUUGCACGUUUACAUUUUGUACCAUCCAAAGGGGGUAGUGCACAAAGUAAGGUAGGAUCCGAUCAUUUUCAUAGAGUGAUCUUUGGGAUAUGAGCAUCUAAUAAUCACUUUUUGGCCAUUUUAUCAAAAAUUGGUAAAAAUUCCUUGCGUGAAGGACAGUAAUUUGAAGAAAUUCACAAAUGAUUCCUUCUAUUGAGACGAUAAAUAAAUUGAGGCCAAAAUUUGAUUUUUAGAAGCUCAUAGACUAAUGCAUCUCAAUCAUUUUGAAAUCACCAAUGGCCGGACAAUUCAACCAAUCCAUUUUACCCAUUCAUUCAAUAAAUCAUCAAUUCAUUUGAUCAAUUUACCCUUUUUAGGGUCAUCCGGUCGAUUUUGAAUAAAUCGUCAAUUCAUUUGACCAAUUUACCCUUUUUAGGGUCACCUGGUCGAUUUUCAAUAAAUCAUCAAUUCAUUUGAUCAAUUUACCCUUUUUAGGGUCACCUGGUCGAUUUUGAAUAAAUCGUCAAUUCAUUUGACCAAUUUACCCUUUUUAGGGUCAUCCGGUCGAUUUUGAAUAAAUCAUCAAUUCAUUUGACCGAUUUACCCUUUUUAGGAUCGUUCGGCCGAUUUUUGAACAAGUCACUAAUUCAAUUUCAUUCAUUUGGCCAAUUUACCUUUUUUUAGGGCAACCGAGCCGUUUUUUGACCUGUUUCCCUUCUAGGGUAAUCCGGUCGAUUUUCAAUAAAUUGUCAAUUUCAUUUGACCAAUUAGGAUUUCAAUGUCGAAUUCCAAAUUGGGAAAUCUAGUCAAUUUUGAAGAAAACCGUCCAUUGCAUCCAAUCACUUGAUCAAUUAGGGUUUUUGACCCGUAAUUCACUGAGAAAUUUUAUCAACGAAUUCCAAUCUCUUCGAUAGGAGUUCGUCAAGGUCAAACCCAUGCGUUUUGCAAAUCAAAGGUGAUCAAUCUAUUCGGACGUUGUCCUCAUUUUGACAAAUCUCUUGCCACUCCAAUGGCCAAAUUUUUCAAAUUAUUUUUCACUCAAUGAGUUGAUCAGAUCCGUCAGGUAUGGUAUAGUGCUUCCCUAGAGGAUUGCAUUUUCAUGCUAGGCCUACCCUUGGCAUAAAAAGGGUUCCCCCAUAGGACAUGCAUACCGAUUUUUUUUUAUUCUUACUUACUGACUCUGGGUAUUUUUCUUUUUGUUUUCCCCUCCCCCUGCAUUUAUAAAAAUGUUUCAAUAAGGCGAGAAUAUUCUUCUAUAUCUGAUAAUUUUGAUCCAAUAAAGCUUGAAGAUUACAAGUAUUACUUGAUUUUUAGGUAGACAUUGCCGCGAAAGCAUAAAGGGGAAAUUCUAUUUAUUUGAUUUGUUAAUACAUUUUGUUCCAAAAGAAAAGGAGACAAAAAGUGUAUGUGUUGAGCUCUUUACGAGUUUCUCUCUUCUCAUUUGUAUCAUAAUUGAUUGAGCAAUUUUGUUUCAAACUUUUUCAACAAUAAAAUUUUUUGGAUAAUUUUUGUUUUGUGUAUAUUUAUGUACAUUUCAUUCUUUAUUCUUACUCAUUGGAGAUUUCAUGAUGAUUUUUGAGAAAUAAGACCCAAUUUGAGAUUUUUCAACCUAUAGCCUGAAUUUCACAAGUGUGUGCUUCCUAAAAUCCUUACACUCGAUUGGUGUUCCAACCUGUACAAUAAGAGUGCUCAGAAAGAAAGAGAGUGAACGGUCACUCAAAAGGCCCUAUGAGAUACCUUUCUCCUUCACUUAAUUCCAAAAUAAAAUCAGUCACAUUGAUUGAUAAAUUGUAAAUUGGGGUAACUUUUGCUUGAAAAUGUUCAAGGCGUCUAAUCUGGUUCAAUCACAUCUAAGUGAAAGCAAAAAUGUGCAUUAUUCUUAUUUGUUUGGAAAAUUUGGAAUGAUACUUCAAGCAUUCGUUUCAUUACCUGUACAGAUUUUUAUCAUUUGCUCUCCCAUUUGAGCUUCUAAAAGAAUAAUUUCGUUUCAAAUAAGGGUCUUAAUGAUCACUACCCGUCAUUGAAAAAUUUUCAAAUAUCAAAAGAAGAAUGGGUUUUCAAUGACCAUUUCGCUACUUCGGUUGUCAUGAGGUAUAAGAAUGAUACUUUGGCCGUCAGUUCUACAAUCUAAACACUGAUCAUCCCUUGCAUCCUCGUUUGAGCUAAAUUGGUGGUUCUUUUCGAGUGCACAUAUGAUCGCACCCCACAUUGGGGAAGGAGAUUGGGAAAUUUUGAAAAAAGGGAAAAGAAAAGGGGAAAAGCAAAAAAUGCUAGAAUAAGGAGGGAACCGCAAAUUUGGGGAAUUUGAUUCCACUUGGGUUCCAAUUUUGAAAAAAAAAAAGAAAAGAAAAAGAAGAAAACAAGUUCUAUCCGGUGGAUCACUUAUGUUUCAUAGACAUGAAUGAGCAAGGGUCUUCCUCAGUCAGUUAAUUCAGAUACAUGCCAAAAAUUUCCCAUUAAUGAAAAUUUCUUUUCAGAGUUAAUGUAAGGAACGGAAUACAAGUCAGGCCAUCUUCUUUUCCGAUCAAGCAUCUAUCCCUAGUUAUCCCUUUUGAGCAUUCAGAAUGAAAUACUUCGUUUGGCAACCCCUGAGAAUCGCAAACCCCACACUGGGGCAAGUUGGUUUGAAAAAGGAAAAUUUCAAGAAGCGGAAAAGUGAAAAGCCACAAAAUCAAAAGGCAAAGGAAGAAAAGAGAACCUCAGUUCAAAAAUAAACUGGGGCAAAUUUUGUGAAAGUUCGAAAAAAUGGCCGAAGGCCGAAAAAUCAAAAGAAAGAAAAUAAAAGUGAAAAAGCCUCAAUUGAGCAAAAACUGGGGCAAAUUCUGAUUUUACCCUAAAAUAGGGUUGACGCAACAAUGCGAUUUCAGAUUCUUCAAACCACUUUUGAAAUCCGCUUUCAAGCCUUAACUUUUCUAAGCACCCCACCUGACCCCAUUACAAAAGCCAAAAGUCCUGACUUCUGUUCUUUGCAAUGGCCCUGUCAAGAAAAUUUCUGAUGCCGGAAAAUUUUAGCUGUAUUGCUGAAUUGCUUGAGUAUGAGGUUGGCGCUACUCAUGUGAAAACCCAUCAGCUCGAGGGAAAAGAAAAGAGGCAAAAAGCAAAGCAAGAAAAGUAAAUGCAAGGAAAAUGCAAAAAGACUUGACGCUGAAGUCCCUGGGGAAUGAUGAGAAAAUCCAAACAAAGUCUGAAAUCUUUUGAGUUCAAAUAGGGGCAAUUUUGGAAAAAUGUGAUCUUCGGUGCAAUGUCCUUGAAAGUUUUAUUCUUUAGCUAUCGUUUUUCAAGCCAAAUUACAAGCUAAGAAAGUCCAUCGUUGACUUAUUCCUUCAUGACAAUCCAAAGUGAGGAUCAUACUCAUAAGAAAUUCAUCAAAUCAUUUGUGAUCAUAAGGGUAUAACCCGUUUCCACAUGUUUAGCUAUCACUUCUGUCCAUACGUUACAAGCCUAGAAAGCUGGUAUGUUGACUAAGUUUUCUUGAAAAAUAAGGGUGACAAACUCUUUGCUUUCACUAAGAUGUGACAUUGAAUGGAUUACAUACAAUUGGGGCACAAAAAUGAGACAGAUUCUGACCUCUCAUUUUCCUUCAGCCACUUCCAAAUCAAAAAUAAAGUCACUUGAUUGGUCCUGAAAAAUGAGCCAACCAGAAGUGGUGACCCGUUACCCUAAACACCAAUGCUAAAAGUGAGGAAGAAAUCUUCUUGAAUUUGGUGUUACUUCGAGGAAUUCAUCAUGAAAUUUCUGCAUGAGUUUCAAACUUGACGUUUAAAGUUUCUUCACAUUGUUGUAUAUGUGCACUCUUUUCUAAAUUUUAGAAAGUGCGGUUUUUCUUUGUUCAAAUCAAUGGGAAAUCAUCUGAACAAAUUUUUGCAAUUAAGGGAGCCCACACUGGGGCAAAAAUUUUAUUUGUGAGAUUUCAUGAAAUAAGCCCAUACUGGGGCAAAUUUUUUGUAAUACAUUUGAGAUUUGUGUCCAAAAAUCAAAUAAUAACAUUUUUCGAAACAAUCCCGCUGCUCUUUUCCUGGAAUUUAAGUGCAUGUCAUACUUUGAUGAACCCCUUGUACAGGUAUUCAUGAUUCAAAAUGACGAAAGGCAUCCAGUAAGGCGGAAGGCCGAUACUGCAAAGAGAAGCAAGAAGAAGGAGGAAAAAUGGACACUACACUUGGGGCAAAUUAUUUUUUUAAAAUUUUUGAAAAAAGGGAAAAAAGAAGGAAAAAAGAAAAAAAGAGAAAAAACCAAAAAUCAAAUCAAAAAGUCAAAAAUCAAGUUCAAAUUCUUGUUUCUUGAAAAAUCAAAUUUGAUUUCUUGUGGGCGAAGCUCCAAUGCACGCCGCGCAUCAUUCUGUUCCCCCCUUCUCUUGACAUUCCAAAUCAAGUUGGGCCUGGAUUUCGUGCCACCAACAUCAUUUUAUCACGUUGGGCCUGGACUUGGUGCCGCCAACAUCACUUUAUCACGUUGGGCCUGGACUUGGUGCCGCCAACAUCACUUUAUCACGUUGGGCCUGGACUUGGUGCCGCCAACUUCACUUUAUCACGUUGGGCCUGGAUUUGGUGCCGCCAACAUCACUUUAUCACGUUGGGCCUGGACUUGGUGCCGCCAACUUCACUUUAUCACGUUGGGCCUGGACUUGGUGCCGCCAACAUCACUUUAUCACGUUGGGCUUGGUUUUCGUGCCACCAACUUCGCUUUGUCACGUUGGGCUUGGAUUUAGUGCCACCAACAUUACAAAAGUCACAUUGGGACCGGGUUUUAUCCCGCCAAUCUCGGCAGGACCGGGUCUAAUCCCGCUGACCGCUUACUUCGGCAGGACCGGGUCUAAUCCCGCUGACCGCUUACUUCGGCAGGACCGGGUCUAAUCCCGCUGACCGCUCACCUCGGCAGGACCGGGUCUAAUCCCGCUGACCGCUUACUUCGGCAGGACCGGGUCUAAUCCCGCUGACCGCUCACCUCGGCAGGACCGGGUUUUAUCCCGCUGACCGUCCACACCCCGUCGGCCUCAGAUGUUAUCCCACCGACCAAUUCAUCACACUGGGGCAAAUUUUUUAGAUAAUUUUUCAAACAAGUCCUAUACAGUUCUCUAUUUAAUUUUCUGUUCGGGUCUAUCCCAUGGGUCUGUCCCAUCUACAUUUUUAUCCGAGUCUAUCGCAUUUACAUUCCUGUCCGGGUCUAUCCCGUUUACAAUUCUGUUCAGGCCAGUCCCAUGUUUGAAAUUCCUUGUUUAGGUCAGCCCUCCGAAUAGGGGCAACCGAAUGGUACAGGUAAGCAUUUGGUGUCUACUUCUUUGUCUCAAGUUUUUUCAAAACUCAGACAAAGAGGGGCAAACUGUAGACACCAAAAAUUUCAUCGAUUCAGUUUUAGCUUUAUUCAUUCAAUUUUGACUUCCUUUGAUUCAAUUUUUAGUUUUAUUAUUAUUAUUUAUUCUUGUCUCAUAUUUAUUAUUUUUAAUUGAUUGGAGGUUGCAAAUGGUAAUUGAUGUUCAUUCUUAUUUUAAAUGCAUUAAAAUUCAUCAUUUUCUUUUUAAAGCAAUUUUACACUAAAUUUUAGGAAAAUCCCGAAUAAAGAUCCAUUUUAUCUUUUUAAAAUUUGAUUUUUUCUUGCUAAGGCAUUUUGCAAGGUAAUUUUUAAAAAUUAAGCAUGUUAAACAAGUGUGUCAAUUGCAUGUUGAACAAGUGUGCAAAUAAGCAUUAGACAAGUGGUUGAGGAAUGGUAGGACAAGUGUAUAGGGGGUAGCUGUCAAGGACACUUGGGGGGUUUUUUGGGGGGCAUCGGAAAAAAAAGGAAGAAAAAACCCUCGAAGAGGCUUGAAAACAGGGGGAAGAGAAAAGAGCUAAAAACAGGGAGGGGGCUUCGGAGGAAAGGGGAGAGGAAAAACGAAAUCGAAAAAGGAGGGGAGAGUAGGGAAAAAUCUGGGGAGAGUCUGUGGGCUAAGAAAAACAGCGGAGAGAUAGCGGAAAAAAAGGAGAAAAAGAACGGCUGAGGGGAAGGCUAAAAAUCUGAAAAGAGAAGAAGGCUUCGGCUGGGAGAAGCUGGAGUGGAAAAAAUAGAAAAAGGGAGAACGGCUGCGGUUGAGGGCCGAGAGAGUGGAGAGCCGAGGAGGAAAAAUCAGAAAAGGAGGAGAAAAAUCAAGGGCGGCGGAUGAAGGGAAAAGCUGGGAAAAUUAGAAACAGAGAAAGAGAGGAUAGCAGCGGACAAAGAGCUUGCGACUGAGGAAGCAGAGCAGCUGGAACUGCCGUUCGCGGGAAGCUGUUGCCGCCCUCUUCCGUCACGCGCGACGCCAGCUUCAUCGCUUCUUCCAUCAUAGUUCAAGCUCCGCCCUCUGCCGGCACAAACAAGUGGCCAACCGCCCGCCCAAGCAACCAAAUCCGAGAUCAGCACCCGCAAAAUUUUACCAAGAAACAAACGGUAAGCCACCAUCAUCCUUCAAAUUUCAGUUUUCAUGUAAGUUUUCGAAGCGUGUUUUAUUUUUCACGUUGUGGCUUGUAGCCAUUUCUCUGUUGAAUUAUUCACUAAUUGGAAGUAUGUAUGCUUUGAAUGUCGAUUGGACUGGAGUUUUCUUGCAUUUGAUGAAAUUUUGGGUGCUGAUUCAUGUCAAUUGAGCGAGAAAUUGGUGAAGUUUUUUAAUGGCUGUUUGUUGUUCGACAGAAUGCUUCAAUGAAAGUUCGGCCUGAAGAAUGGAUUAAUUUCUGAUUUAUAUACGUUCGACUGUUUCAUGCUUGUCAAAAUAAUUGAUUCGAAUGGGUUUGUUUGGGCGUCCGUUUGUUUUGGCAAUCUGCUCCGCUUCUCGUUUGUUUGGUGUUCCUCUUGUAUGGAUUUAAAUUCAUGACAUAAAAUGGCGUGCGAGGGGAUUCAUGUGAGAGUCAUUUGUUUUGCUUUUGUUUUGUUUUGUUGAUUGGAGUCCGAAGUUGAAUUUUCUGGUUGCAAAGAGGAAUGAAAUAGCAGCGAACGUUGAGCCAAUUUGGGAAGAAGAGGAUUGCUUGAUUAAAUUCAUGAUUCCAGUCCCUCAAUUUCCCUUUCCAUUAUGAUUUAACCCCAGAAUUUUAGGACUUCAUAAUUUUUCCUCCAACACCUUCAUAAGUCCUUCAAUUAGGUCCCUGCUCUUGUUGCAUUUUAACCCCUCAGCUUCCCCUUGUUCUGAUAUGACCCGAAAAGUGGAAAAAGUGCGUUUGUUUCUCCCUUCUAGAUUUAAAUCAUCUUCUAAUAAGCAUGAAUAGUCCUUUUACUAGAUUAAUUCUUGUUUGUAGGUUCUAAUUGUGGUUCAAUAAUUUAUUUUGAUUUUAUCAUGUUGGGUUUAAUGAAACAAGUGCCUUGGGCUAAGAGGUUAUUUUUGUUUGGGUUUAAGAAAGUCGUUUUAGUUUAUUUUGUUUGGUUUUUUGGUUCGGGCUAGAGGGUCAAGGCCCAUCUAUUUGGUUGGCUAAUUUUUGGGCCAGGAUAUUAUACUAGCCCACUUGUUUUCCUUGGACUUUCGAUUGGGCCAAGUUAUCUUGGCCCAAGAAAGGUGAAGAUGGCCCAUUCCCUUUUUGUUUUGGAUUUUCGGUUGGGCUUGUAAGGCUUUGGCCCAAACAAAUAAAGGAAAUGGCCCAAUGGCUUGGUCCAUUAAGAAACCAGAAAACGAUUUUGCAAAUCAGUCCCUGAAUUUCUCCCUAAUUGUAUUGUGGCCCUGGACAUUUUCAACUUCUUUCAAUUCGGUCCUUGCUUUAAUUGCAAAUAGGUCCCUGAACUUUAUUUUUCUUUAAUUUUGACCUCCAAACUUUGUCAAUCUUUGCAAUCAGGUCCUUUCUUCUCUUGACUUCUUAAAUGUGAAUUGUCGACAUGAUUUAAUUGAUUCAAAUUCAUGCUUAUUUUUUAUCCUUUGUGAUUAUUUGCCAAAUAAAUUGGUACCUUGACCUUUUUAUUGUUUUGAAGCUAAUAUCUCAUUUACUCGAUUUCCGUUGCGAGGGAGGUAACUUCUAUAUUUUUGAGUUUAUUUUUUCCUACGUGCUCCUACGUGUUAUGUGAAUAUGCCUGUCUACUUUGCUUUCUUUGCCUUUCUUUAAUUCUUUUCAUUUUUUUUUACUUACUUUUGCUUUUUAUUUAAGUUAUUCAUUAUGGGGUAUGUGUACACCUCUUGGCUUGUAAUAGUUAGGGAUUUAAUUAUUUUAUUCUUUUCCCCCUUUUAGAUUGUAGUGGGGUCUCCCUAAUGUAAUAGAUAGGGUUUGGAGGAGCAUUCAAUGAAGACCUAUCGAAGACUUGUGCCUAGCUAGCAAAUGUAAUAGUUAGGGCUUUAAUUGUCUCAUGUGCCUUGCAUGCUUAGUUGCUACGUGUUAAUUUGCUUUGCUAGGGCCUUGCAUCUAGUCGAGCAUGCAAAAUGUUAUGUGCUAUGUGUUUAUAAGUGUUUGGCAUGUCUACUCGCUUUCCAUAGCCUGAAUAAAUGUGAUGGAUGAAUGUACGUCACCACACUAGUCCAAUGCUAGUUGUGGCUCAUUAUUUCAUUAGGAAUUCAUAGAAAGGGCUAGUCCAACGCUAGACCCAAUAGGAUUUUUCCUUUGUUUUUCAUUAAUGCAUUAUUUGCCUGUUCACUACAUAUCAUGCAUUUUUCCUUAGUUUUAUCAUCUGGCAUGCUCCUCGAUUCCCCUUUCCCCUCACUUUAGGAUUUUUGCAUUUCAUGCUAGUUAUAGGGUUCAUUUGCCUGAAGAGUCCCCUUCUGAUAAGGGAAACGAGCGAGUGUGGCUACUCGAUAGCCUUAGCACGCUAGUUUCGCCUUCUAAUCAAAGGGAAGAUUAAGUCACAAAGUUAGGACUCCCCGUUCCCGUCUUGAUGCAUUCCUAUAGGAUUCAUGCAUUCUAUUCAUUCACUAUCACAUACACUUACUUUAUAUUCUAACCCUUUUUCCACAUUCUCACUUCACACUACUUUUACACGUUUUCAUUUAACUACUCACACUCUAUGCCAUAUCACUCGCACACAUGCACUUUAUAUUAUUUUCACAUUAUCAUUCUUUACUCACCUUACCUUGUAAAUACAUUUGCACACCUCCACUUUUCUCACUUCACAUAAACUUACAUUUUCACAUGACAUGCACCCCAUUCAUUUUUACGUCAUUUAGGAUUACGUGUGACCUCUCCAAAGGAUCAUUAUUGGGCUUCACAAUUAAUGUGAUUGGCACCACUCAACCUUUGAAGAGAAAUUUCCCCCAAUACCCCUAGGUCUAGGGUUUUGCAUUCAUAUAGACAUAUCCAACACGCGAUACAUACCUUGGGUAGAAAAAUUAGGAAAAAUUGGUUUAAGUCACGCAACUAGCCUUGGCUAGGUCGAAGGGGUGCCUUGGAUUUUUUAUCCUUGCCUUCCCCUUCGUCAAAUGUGACCCCCGAUCCCUCUUUUUGGUUACGUAGACCCAAAAGUUCUUUAAAAGGGUUUAUUUACUUUUUUUAUUCAAAAACAAAAAACCAUUUUUUGGGUGACUUGGUACACCCUAACCCUAUACCAAGUGGCGACUCCAUUUUUGAUACAAAAAACCCUUUUUGAACUUUAUAUGGCCAAACCGUCGCAUUAUCAAGUCCCAUGGCCUUUUACUUUUCAUUUACACACGUUCACAUUCCAUUACACCACUCACAUCUCACACCACACACACACCACAACUCAUCAUCUUCGAAAAGUGGGGCGCGACAGUGCAAAAAUAAUUAUUUUCUCUGAUCAUGCAGCCUUGAGGUACUUGUUAGUGAAGAAGGAUGCAAAACCAAGGCUCAUAAGGUGGGUUUUACUUCUGUAAGAGUUCAAUUUAGAGAUUAAGGAUAAGAGUGGGGCCGAGAACUUGAUGGCUGAUUAUUUGAGGCGUUUUCUUACGAAUAAGGAAGAUCUGUCAUUGAGAGAAUUGUUUUUCGAGGAGCAGUUACUAGCCAUUAAUUCGUCAGUACCUUGGUAUACUGAUGUUGUCAAUUUUUUGGUAACAAAUCAAUUACCUGCAGAUUGACCAAAGGCUAAGAGAGAUAAAUUGAGAAGUGAUGCCAAAUACUAUAUUUGGGAUGGCCCUUACCUGUGGAGGCAAUGCUCGGAUCAAGUGAUAAGAAGGUGUGUAAGUGCAGGUGAGUUCCAUUCUAUUUUAACUUUUUGUCAUUCAUUUGUACGUGGAGGGCACUUUAGACCAAAGCGAACAGCUCGUAAGGUGUUGGAGAGUGGUUUUUAUUGGCUUACUCUGUUUAAGGAUGCAUAUUUAUUUUGUAAAUCUUGUGAUAGGUGUCAAAGGGUGGGGAAUAUUUUUCGUAGAGACCAAAUGAUUCAAACUCGCAUGUUGUUUGUUGAAAUUUUUUAUGUCUGUGGUAUAGAUUUCAUGGGUCCCUUUCCCUCGUCUUUUGGUUUCUUAUACAUUUUACUUUGCUGUCGAUUAUAUUUCUAAAUGGAUGGAGGCAAAGGUCACCCGGACUAAUGAUUCGAGAGUGGUUGCAGAAUUUAUAAAGUCUAACAUUUUUUGUCCGCUUUGGAAUGCCUAGAGCUGUAGUUAGUGACAGGAGCACUCAUUUUUGCAAUAAAACGAUCGUUGCCUUGUUCCGUAAAUAUGGCGUACUCCACCAAAUAUCCACACCCUAUCAUCCGCAGACGAAUGGUUAGGCCGAAGUGUCGAAUAGGGAGAUUAAGUCAAUUUUGGAGAAGAUGGGGUGGCCUGAUAGAAAGGAUUGGAACUUGAAGUUGGAAGAUGCUCUAUGGGCUUACCGCACCGUGUAUAAAAUACCAAUUGGAACGUCCCCAUACAGAUUAGUCUUCGGGAAGCCGUGCCACCUCCCAAUAGAAUUUGAACACAAGAAAUUUUGGGCAAUUGAGCGGUGCAACAUGGACCUUGUGGAUGCCGGGGGACAUAGAAAGCUCCAAUUACAAGAGUUGGAAGAAUUAAGGAAUGAAGUCUAUGAGAACGCAACAAUUUAUAAAGAGAAGAGCAAAGUCUUUCACGACUAACAAGUCUCAAGGAAGUCAUUUGUAGUAAGGCAAAACGUCCCCCUAUAUCACUCGAGAUUUAAGUUUUUUUCCGGUAAGUUGCGUUCGCGUUGGAUUGGUUCAUUUGUCAUUUCUAAUAUUUUUCAUUAUGGUGCAGUGGAAAUCCAAAGUUUGAAAAUUGAGAAGAAGUUUGUGGUAUAUGGUCAACAUUUUAAACCCUAUUAUGAGAGGUUUAAUAGUGAGCAAGUGGAUGUCAUAUAUGUUGAUGAUCCAAAUUGUGUGGCUUAACUAGCUAUUACUGUGUCUAGCCAAAAACAUUAAAGAAAGACGCUACUUGGAAGGCAAUCCAAGGAUUUCAAUUGUGUUUUAUUUCAUAUUUGUGUAUUCAAGAUCAGUGGAUUUAGGUUCCUAUUGACAAACAAUCUGUAUUGUACGUCAUGGGUGUUUCUGUGCAGUUUUAUUCUAGGUUGGGGGCACAAAUUUGUGGGCAAGAGACUUCAUGUUACAAGGCGUGCUCGCGCCUUGUAUUCACCGCACAUGGACAUUUGUAAAAUUUGGUGAACAGAGGACUUACACCCCCAAGGCAUGCCCACGCCGCACAGCAGAUCGUGUCGAACAUAUUACAAUGGGAUGGGCAGACAGAGUCAAACGUGACCAGGACCUUCUCUAACCCCACUUUUCUACUUUUCUCUUUUCUUGUCUUGACUGGUCUUUUCAUUUUUUUUUGUCUUAGCCUCCCCUAGUUUUCUCCCAUCUUUGCUGAAAUCUCAGAGGCCACCGCCACUGCACACCUGCUCCGUUGAUGCCGCUGUCUCCACUAUCUGCGGUCAAGCUCCGGCCGCCAUCAUGCACGCUGUCCGGGCGCACAUCGGCAUCGCCAUAUGCGCCUCGCCGACGCUGCUCAUGCACGUCUCAUGCCGCACGCCAACGCCUCCGUACUUCCCUUCCUCGCCGUAGCGCGCCACCACCGUAGGCGCCAUCAGCUCUACCUAGGGCGCCACACCAAUCAUCGACCGCUCGCGCCCCGCGAUAUCUCACUGUUCCCCGCCGUCGCGACUGCUGCCCUCCGCCAUCGUCGUCAUUGAGGCUCCACUUCUUCCUCUCUGUGCACCACCAACGCUUGCUCCUUCCACGCCACCGCGCCGACCGCCGACUCACCCCUGACGCCCUUGCAGUCGUACCGACCGUCGCUUCCACCGGGGUCCCCUCCAGCAUGACAAAGUGGUACCCCUAAUUCAUUUCUUGCCAUUACUGCUUAAAAUCUGAAAUUGUUUCUAUGCGAUAUUACUCUAUUGUUUGAGCUGAGCUUGCUGAACCUCUGAGACUUUCAUAUGUGUUCUUUGCUUCGCGGUUGAAUUGCUGUGAUUGGUUGUUGGUGUUGGUGUAGAAUUGUUGUGGGGUGCUGAGGUUGUUGUUGUUUAUUUUGCUUUCGAAUUGGUUGUCGAGGGUUUGAUAGGUGAAGCACGUGGCGCAGUAUCAAUUCUGGUUUAAUGUUGAGUGCAUUGUUGACCAGUUAUUUUAGGAAUCUGUUUGUCUUUUUGCCUUGUUGUUGUGGUGGUGGGGUAAUUAUAUUUUUCUUUGCUAUUGGACUGUUGACUGUUGAGUGACACCUAUUGACUGUGGUCCCCUGUCCCCAUUUGGUGGUUGCUUCACUGUUUCUGUGCUUAUUCGUAUUUGUCCUGUGGCCUCCAAAUGCCUUCGAAAAAGCGCGUGUUCAGACACCCACUUCAUCUGGUCCAUCUAAGUCCCAACCUCGUAAGAGGCGAGCCCAAUUCAACCCCCCACUCGAUCCCGUUUAGGUCUCUCUAAAAGUACUAUAUCUCCUGGGACAUGGGGGGAACCUACCACUAACCUUACACAGGAACAAAAGGACCGAUUGACUAGCUUGAUGCCACGUCCUUUUGCUCCGUGUAAAUGUUUCCAUGCCCCAACCCUGGAUCAUUUGCAAAUUGCACGAGAAGUUGAACAGUUGUUCUCAGCAAUUGGUUGGCAGUGGUAUCUGGUCAUCGACUAUCCUACAUUUGAGGAGCUAUGUUAUGAAUUCUACUCCACUUUUGAGUUCAAUAAAAAUGAAUUCAUCACUUUGGAUGAGCGGGGGUGAUUACAUUUAGAUUAAGGGGUACCCCACAAGAUUUGUCCAUUAAUGACUUUAAUCUGAUUUUGGGGUUUUUCAGUGAAGAGACCCUUUCCUCCGGGACGUAUAUCAACAGUGCGUGUGAUUAUACCAGACCCUUUGCUAGUGAAUAUAUUGACAUAUGGAGGGAGUAGUUCACGGACCCUCAACUCUAUGAUCCGAGUCAGUCCAAGGCCUCUCAUCUUAAGAAUCCGAUCUUGAAGGUUAUCCACAGGUUCUUGGCCUACAAUUUCUCGGGUCAGAAGAACUCUUCCGGCACCCUUGCCAAGGUUGAAUUCUAUUUUCUUUGGUGUAUGCGCAACAAAGUACAUGUCGACUUUGGGUGUUGGGUGACCACUCAAAUGCAAUCCGUCAUUCAAAAGCGACAUAAGUAGGUGAUUAUGGAUUCGCUCAUUACUCACUUGGCCGUUCGGUUGGGAUUGCUUGACCUCGACAAAGAACACAAGUUCGCUCUAACUUGCGAGAUUGAGCCAUUGGAUUUGCGUAGCUUAGAAAGGAUGGGGGUUAUUUUCAAAGUAGGAGAUGUAUAUCAGAUGACGCUUCCUGGCGAUGGCAGGCUACAACCCCGGGUUCCUCCUACUAUUCCCCCUACUGGUUCACCAACCCGCACAGAUCAAGUGGGUCCGUCCUCCUACCAUGCUCCCCCUGCUUGGGAUUUCCAAUACCGUGCCCUCCAAGAUUCUAUUCGUGAACUAGGCGAGCUAGUUGUGGGACUGGAUGGCCGUCUUGCAGCGUUGCAAGUUUUUUCCCGUAUUCAGACAAAGAAUCAGGCAGCUUUCUUUGCUUAGAUUGGAUUCUAGCUGCCUCAUCCUCCUCCCCCUUAGUGUUUCGCUGCGUCGUCUCGGCUGUCAGGGAAGUUUCACCCCUUUACACUUACACACUAUUUAUUUUUGCUACAUUGAAGACAAUGUCGAUUUUAGGUGUGGGAGGGAUGGUUUCUAUUAUUUCUUUUUUGCUUGAAAAGAGAAAAAAAAGAAAUAAAAAAAAGAAAAAGAAAGAGAGGAAAAAAUGAAACAAAAAAAAAAGUAUAGUUAGUUGACUUCUUUAGUUCUAUAUUUGUUAAUUGCUAGAGCAUGUUGCUAUGAUGGAUUGCACAAUCAAGGUGCACGUGUAUGUAUCAUUUAUGCUAACUAUGUACUCUACUUUUCCUAGCCAAUGUAGCUGAGUGAUGAAUAUGCUGGACUUGACCCAUUCUUGAAACUUUUGGGAGUUUUUGAGCAGUGCACGAGCACAUUACUCUCGUUUGCUUCGUUUGUGUUGUUGAGUGGGUAUCACACAUGGUAUUAACAUUCUAGAACUUGCUAUUUUAUACAUGUCAAAGCCACAUCUUGUUGAACUGGAUGCAUUUGAAAUGAUAAAGGCAUUUAGGAUUUAACUUUCUUUAAUUUUCUACAAACCAUACCUUCAUCUUGUCUCCCAAUAGUGAAUCAAUUUGAGCUUUUAUUCUUCUCCUUUGUUUGUUAGCCGUGUUUGAUAACCCAGGACUUUUUUUUUUGACUUUCUUGUCCAACCUUGUGUCGUUAAGAGAUGUCUGAAUUUCAUUGUUUGUGCAAGGCAAAUAAAUUUAGGGUCGCAAGUGUUGUUAGAAUAGAAGUUGUAUGGUGUUGGUUCUGUGCAUCUGAGAUCGAAAAGAAAAAGAAAAAAAAGACGAGAAAAAGAGAAAAAAGAAGGAAAAAAAUGUCUACAAACUGGUGAGCAUGGGAUUCUGCUUACAGGGCGUGCCAUGCCUUGCAAGACGCCCUUUCAAAAAAAAACAGAAAGAGAGAGAAAAGAGUUUCGACACUUGCGCAGUUGGUAUAGCAAAUGGAAAUGCCUUGCUUGUGGAAGUUCUCCAGUAAAGCGUUGAGGUUAUGUAGUGGAUAUCGGACAUUAUCUUGACACAGUGCACCCUAUCUUUACCUUCUUAUCCCGCUUUGUUGGCCUAAUCAGCAACAUCCCUCAGAUUCCGGCUCGAAGGGACUAACCGCCCAACUCGUGGCACCCAGGGGUGCAGCCCCUCAUGCUGGCCAAGCGUGGUACGAUGCUUUUCGCUGCUAUUGUGGUUAAGGAAAUAAAGUUACAUCUUCACUAACAGCUAUAGCUUUUGGUGCAAUGGUAAGCGCUUGAUCCUGACAAGUGGUAUCGGAGCGAGGUCGCAGGUUCGAGUCUCCCUGGUUAUUGUUGGGGGAGGAAAUGUUGGCCUAAUCAGCAACAUUCCUCAGAUCCCGGCUCGAAGGGACAGCCCGUGGCACCCAGGGAUACAGUCCCUCAUGCUGGCCGAGCGUGGUACGGUGCUUUGCGCUGCCAUUGUGGUUAAGGAAAUAAAGUUGCGCUUUCACUAAUAGCUAUAACUUUUGGUGCAAUGGUAAGCGCUUGAUCCUGACACGCUUUUCAUCCAAGCCCCAUUACAACCCUAUUAAAGUCCCUUUGAUUUAUGUAUUGAGUUCAUUUUUGAAUGGUAGAGAUGUGAUAAAUGUGCAAGCCUAUGGUAAUGUCAUUCCGUGGUGUUGAUUUGAGCGUUCCUGGUAUCUAUACAUUUUCUUGAAAGUGAUGAGUAUUACUGCUCAUACUCUUUGGAUAACUACCUGUCCGGUGUGCUCUAACUUUGGCGACAUUGUCAGGAAUGCAGGAUGCUUGUGUUAGUGUAGAUCACCGCAUAGUAGUUGCUAUUGUGAUUGAACUUCUGAUCUUCGAAAUGCUUGAGAACAAGCAUUGCCUAGGUGUGGAGGGAUUUGAUAGAGCAAUGUUUGGGCAUCUUAUGUGCUGUUAUGUGGUCAUAAUUUUGGCUACUUAUUAUGCUAAAUAUUGAAAUUUUGCUCAUAUUUGAUAUUUGUGUAAAUUAUAGGCGGUUGGUGUCAAAAAGUGUCUCUGAAGGUGAAUUUCCACAAGACUUUUUAUUUCAGGGUGUGCCCACGCCAGAAACUGUAGAAGAGACGCCUCAAAGUCAGACCGCGGGACUAACUAACUAACUAAACUCAUCCUUAUUCCUGCGGGAUGCGGUUGGAAGUGCGUCAAAACAAAAAGACGGCAAUUUCCAGCGAAUUUGUGAUAGGGUAUUAAUUGUUAGUAAUUUUAUUGUUAAUUUUUUCCUUUGUCCUUACCAAAUAUUGUUUUAAAUUGUUAAUAUAUACUUGUAUUUGGUAUUUGGACCUAUCUACAGGAAGUGGAACUAAAAAGUGCUAAAAAGGGGGGACCUUUUGGAGAGAAUUGCUCCACACGUGGGAGACUUCAAAAAGCUUCACGAACCUGGCCCACAGGAUACUAAGCAACGGACUUCCUUUUCUUUUUGCUGAUAAAGAGUUGCUGACUAGGAGUCUUCCUAUCAAAAGGAAACGAAAAAAGUGGAAUUCGGAGAGCUUUCUUUUUGUACCUUUUCUUUCAAUUCGGCAGGGACAACGUAGGGAGCAUUAGUCAUUGUUUAAGAGACAGUUUAGUUUUCUUUCUUUUCUUUUUCAUGCGUAAGUCUUGUUCGAUAAAAGUCUCGACUGGAGAAAUAUCGUUUAUUUCUUGAUUAUCUAGUGAAAAACGUGAUGCCUUUGCAAUUAAUUAAUUUGCGUGGAGAUUUACUGAUGCGGCGUGGUUAAGUUUUUCAUCUAGUCAAGGAUCAAUGCGACAAUGCAAUCCCUAAUAUCCGUGAGAUCGAAUUAAUUUUCAUGCAUUCCUUAAUUUGUUAAUAUUUGCACGUUGUCUGCUUGAAUUUUCAUGGGAUUAUUUUGUUAAUUGAAUGUCAAGGGCCCGAUGUUCAAUGCGACUUAUUAAUCUCCUGUCAAAUUAGUUAAUUAAAUCUGUAAUUAUUUAAAUUGAUUGAUAUCAGUGGCAACUAACGUUUUUAUACACUAGGGGAGCGUUCAAUCUGUUUCAAAUAACUCUCGUAGCAUGUUAUUGAUUAGGGUUAGACUUUUCUAGUUUUUAAUGCAAUUAGAGAAUUAAAUCCUAUGAUCAUACCUAGGAGUGUUUCCGGGUUAGGGGUAAUCAACGGUCGUACCUUGGUUGUCAAUAAAUUAAGGAAAAGCUGGUCGUCAGAACUUAUUGGCGACUAUAACUAACCUGUUAAUAAAAUUAAGUAAGCCUCCCUUGCAUCAAUAAUCGGAUGAAUGGACUGUGUCGGUGAAGUUGUAUCCUUGGCUCGAACUUGUCUAUUAUUUAUUUAAUUCCUAUCUACAUUCGUGUUAGUUAAUCGUUUACUUUUGGUUGAAUUGCUUAAUUAUUUUUAGUUUCAUUCCGAUAAAAUCCCCCAUUGUUAACUUGAACUUUAGUAAGAAACGAAUUACUCCCAAUCUCUGAGAAUACGACCCUACUUGCCCUGUUUUCAAAGCAAUAAUUAUUUGUGAAUAAGCAAUCCCAUUCUGGUAUAUCGGGUCAAGCAAACUUUUUGGAAACAGGGUGAAUCAAGUAACCUAUUGCACACCUAGAGUCCCUACUCCAGUACUUAGAAUUGGAUUUUGAUUACUCCGAUUGGCAACUAGGUUUAUUUUUAUUAUUGCGCAGGUUCGGCCCUUGUCAAUUUUUGGCGCCGUUGCCGGGGACUGGCAUUAAUUAUUUGUUUCUUUUUAAGUUCAAUUUUGUUCUAAUUUUCUGAUAUUUUUCUAGUUUAUGCCUCGUUCUUCUUGGACAGACGAAUUAAUUUUUGACCCUGAAGUAGAGAAGACCGCGCGUAAAAAGAGCAAAGAGACAAGACAGCUUAGAGAGGAGUUGUCCAGUGUUGCACCUGAGGGACUUGAUCCAAAGGUUGAGUCAACAAAUUCGCAUGGUGAUAAUUCGAGUGAUUCAGACCAAGAGGAAGUCACCAUGGCGAAUGCACGAACAUUAAGGGGGUUAGCUGCCCCAAAUUUAAAUCAACAACCCUUAUGCAUUACUUUUCCGCAUUUAAAUGAUAACACAUCUUUCGAGUUAAAAUCUGGCCUGAUUCAUCUUUUACCAUCUUUUCAUGACUUACCAGGUGAGGAGCCCUACAAGCACUUGCAAGAGUUCAAUGUCGUUUGCAACAGUAUGAAGCCCUCGGAAAUUACAGAAGAGUAGAUAAAAAUGAGGGUCUUUCCCUUCUCUUUGAAGGACUCCGAGAAAAAUUGAAUGUACUACCUACAACCAGGUAGUAUCACCACGUGGGACCAGCUGAAAAAAAAAUUCUUGGACAAAUACUUUUCGGCGUCUCGAGCUGCAAGUCUAAGGAAGGAGAUAUGCGGUAUCAAACAACACCCAGGCGAGUCUCUCUAUGAGUACUGUGAGAGGUUUAAGAAGCUGUGCAUCAAAUGCCCUGAGCAUUAGAUAAGUGAGCAACUGCUCAUCCAAUAUUUCUAUGAGGGGCUACUCUUCAGGGACAGAAGUAUAAUCGAUAUUGCAAGUGGAGGGGCAUUGGUGAACAAGAUUCCUCGAGAAGCAUGGGAGUUGAUUAAAGGGAUGGCUGAGAAUUCACAGCAGUUUGGUUCAAGAGAGGACAUCCCGACGCGUAGGGUGAAUGAGGUAGAAACAUCCUCUAUCCAACAAUAGCUCUUCGAAUUGACAUCUUUUGUACUACAACUAGCUGUGAAAAAUGCUCCACAAGCCAAAGUAUGUGGAGUAUGCACUGCUUUGGGUCAUUUUAUGGAGAUGUGUCCACUAGUUCAAGAAGAAAGUGCAGAGCAAGUGAACAUGACUGGUCACGCGCCCGCGCCAAGAAGGCCAUAUAACCCGUGUUCGAAUACGUACAAUCCGGGUUGGAGAGAUCACCCUAACUUUAGUUAUAGAGGAAAUAGGCAGUCCAAUUUUGCACCAAAUAGAGAGCAAGGGCAUCAACAGCAGUACCAGUCUCGCCCACCACCACCCCCUUCGAACUCAAGUCCGUCCAUGAAAGAGAUGAUGAAGCAAUAAAUUGCUAAUCAACAAAAGACGGAUUCAGAGUUGUAAAGUAUGAGAAAUCAAUUGGGACAGAUGCAAUCAUUGCAAAAUCAAAUAAAUCAAAUGGCCAUAACGAUCAACCGCCUGAAAUCCCAAGUUCAAGGGAAGUUGCCAUUUCAACCUGAGUUGAAUCCGAAAAAUGUAAGUGCACUGACCUUGAGGAGUGGCAAGGAAGUCCAAGGAUCCGAACCGGUGAUUCUUAGGACAAGGACAAGGAACGAAUUGAGAAAGAGUUGGAAGAAGAGGGCAGAGACAACAAAGAUCCAAAGGUAACCUCGGACCAAUCAUUACAGUUAGAACUAAUCCACCUUCCUUUCCUAGCAGGUUGGAGAAACCAAAGAAGCAAUACAAAGAAAAAGAGGUCCUGAAGAUAUUUCGCAAGGUGGAGAUCAACAUUUCCCUACUGGACGCGAUUAAACAAGUACCCAGUUACGCAAAGUUUUUGAAGGACUUGUGUGUCAACCGAAGGCGGUUAAAAGGAGAUGAACGAGUUAUAGUGGGGGAGAACGUGUCAGCAAUUCUACAAAGGAAACUUCCCAUCGAAAUAUGGGGACCCAAGUAUGUUACUAUUCCCUGUAGGAUCGGUAAUACCUUGAUUGGAAAGGCCAUGUUAGACCUAGGAGUUUCGAUAAACGUCAUGCCAAAGUCCAUAUAUGCUUCUUUGAAUUUAGGUCCUUUAAAAGAAACGGGGAUAAUAAUUCAAUUAGCUGACCGAACUGCCCUGAUGGGUUGAUUGAAGAUUUUUUUAGUAAAAAUUAAUGAAUUGAUUUUUCAACUGAUUUUUAUGUGCUUGAUAUGGAUGAUAAAUACUCCCACGACCCCUUACCUUUAUUGUUAGGUAGACCCUUUUUUAGCACAGCCGAACCAAAAUUGAUGUUAACAAGGGUAUCUUGUCUAUGAAAUUUGAUGGUGAUAUUGUUCACUUUAACAUUUUUGAGACCAUGAAAUAUCCUUCAGAUUCAAAUGUCAGCUCUGUUUUCUCUGUAAAUGUUAUUGACCCUGCGGUACAGGAGGUUAUUGAAAUUGAAGGCAGGGAUGAGCUGGAAGUCGCCUUGACCAGGCACUUCGAGUCAGAGACGACCUCUGAGAUAGAGUUGAGUGAAGAGCUCAAAUGUGUGAUUGGAGCGUUGCAAUCAUUGUCAAUCACGAAAACAAGGUAUGGGCUUGCACCCAUUUUCACACCUGAACCUCACCAACGGUUACUUUCAUCUGUGGUGUAGGCACCUAUCUUGGAACUGAAACCCCUGCCGAAACAUCUAAAGUAUGCAUACUUGGGUGAAGGGGAGACUCUCCCAGUGAUCAUCUCUGCUAGUUUAUCGGAGGUCCAAGAAGACAAACUAAUUCGAGUUUUGAGGGAACAUAAGCAGGCGAUAGGAUGGACCAUCGCCGAUAUCAAGGGAAUUAGCCCCGCGGUAUGUAUGCAUCGCAUUCGACUCAAUGAGGGUUCUAAACCCGUGCGGCAGGCUCAGAGGAGACUAAAUUUCCUCAUGAUGAAGGUAGUGAAGAAAGAGAUCCUGAAACUGCUGGAUGUGGGGAUAAUAUUCGCAAUAUCAGACAGCCCUUAGGUAAGUCCAGUAUAGGUGGUUCCGAAAAAGGCAGGGGUGACGGUGGAAUCAAAUUAAGAGGGUGAGCUCAUGCCAGUUCGGAAGCCCACCGGAUGGCAACAGUGUAUCGACUAUCGGAAGUUAAACGUCGUCACAAAAAAGGAUCAUUUUUCCCUUCCUUUUAUUGAUCAGAUGGUAGAGCGAUUAGCAUGUCGAGCUUAAUAUUAUUUUUUGGAUGAAUUUUCAAGUUAUUUUCAGAUUGCUAUCGCACCCGAGGAGCAGGAGAAGACCACUUUCAUGUGCUCGUUUGGAACAUUUGCAUACAGGUGAAUGCCAUUUGGAUUGUGCAAUGCACCUACUACCUUCCAACGUUGCAUGGUAAGCAUUUUUUCGGAGUAUAUUGAGAAGAUUAUUGAGAUUUUCAUGGACAAUUUUAGUGUGUAUGGUGAGAGUUUUGAUAACUGUCUAGAUAACCUGAAACUAAUCUUAGUAAGGUGUAUAGAAACUAAUUUCGUGCUUAAUUGGAAAAAAUACCACUUUAUGAUCGAACACGGGAUAGUUUUGGGUCAUGUAGUGUCGUCUAGGGGUAUUGAGGUUGAUAAAGUGAAAAUAGACAUUAUAUCUACUUUACCUUACCCCAUGAGUGUGCGGAAAGUGCGUUUUUUUUGUCACGCAAGUUUCUAUAGAAGGUUCAUCACAGACUUCUCGAAAAUUAGAGCACCCUUGUUCCAACUUUUGCAAAAAGAGGUGCCCUUCGAAUUUGAUGAAGCGUGUAAGAGGGCAUUUGAUAGGUUGAAGGAGCUAUUGACCUCGUCAUCUAUUAUACAACCUCCUGAUUGGAACCUACCAUUCGAGAUCAUGUGCGACACCAGCGAUUAUGCAGUGGGCGCGGUGCUGGGUCAGAGAGUAGGAAAGACAGCCCAUGCUAUCUACUACGAGUAUCAAGCCUUGAACGGAGCUCAAUUGAACUGUUCAAUCACCGAAAAGGAGCUUUUGGCGGUUGUUUUUGCUUUAGAGAAAUUCUGGUCUUAUUUACUAGAUACCAAAGUUAUUGUCUUUUCAGACCAUGCAGCGUUGCGGUAUCUGUUGACCAAGAAAGAGGCAAAACAGUGACUGAUAAGGUGGAUAUUAUUGUUACAAGAGUUUGACCCAAAGAUCAGAGACAAGAAAGGGGCAAAAAAUCUGGUAGCAGAUGUAGACACCAAAUUUUUAGCCUUUCUUUUUCUUUUUAUUUUAUUUAUUUAAUUAGUUGAUUUUGUUUUAAUUUUUGCUAAGAAAAUUGUUUUACUAUUAUUAAUUAAUUCAUUGAAAAAAAGAAAAAGAAAAAGCUAUUCCAUGUGCAUGUGCUUGGCACGUGCGCCAUUUUCUUUUCUUUCAUGCAAAAAAUGCAAGCGGAAGGCGAAAAUAGGGACAGAAAUUUGCAGCUGCAUUUUUUUAAUCCCAGCCUCAUCUCAAAAAUGCCAUCCAAUGGCUCAAGUUUUCAGUAGAAACCCACCCUUCAUCCUCACCUUUGAGGUGAGGGUUUUAGGGACCUGGGGUUUCCUAUAAAAGAAAAAAGAGCAGCGGGGACAAAGGGUAAGAGGAGUCGGCAGCUGGGGCUGAGUAGAAACAACGGAGGAAAAAAGCAAAAAGGGGGGGUUCUUGGGGAGAGUAGUUGACGGCUGAAGGAAAGAGUGAAUGGAGAGUCUGAGGGCUAGAGAGAGUUUUGGAGAGGGUGACGGCCGAAAGAAAGAAACCAAGCGAGAGGAAACCAAGGAAAGGAGAAGCGACUUCAUCAAUGUAAAGGGCAUUUCGUGGGUCUUCGUUUCCAGAAACAACGUGUUUGUCCUGAGACUGGUAGAGAAACGAAUCAAGAGUCUGAGGAAGACACAAGGGAGGAUCGGGGAAUAAGCAAAGGAAAUCUGCAAAAUCUUGAAGAAGGCUUCGAAGCUGAGAGCGAGGGAAAGAGGACUGCUCGACGAGGUGGCAACUUCUGCAGCAAAAGUUCCCGAUCGCGUUCCUGGGAACCCGUAUGCGUUUCCGGGCAGAUCCCAAGGCCGCUCAACCAUGCUAGCAUUCUCAGGUAAAAAUGCCUCUUAUUUGGUGGAUUUUAACAUGUUUUUAUGAAAGAUAAAGCCAUCGGAUGUGAAUCUUUUUGUUUGCUAUUGGGUCAAGCUCUCGCUGGUUCUAUGAUUCUGCCAUUUUGCUCGUUUGCUAAGAUCUGAUUCAGUAGGAACCUAUGAGAUGAGUCUGAUUAAGAACAUGGGGUUUAGGGUUUUCUGUAGUGGUCACCUGAUGAAUCCAUGAGUUCUUUGCUCGAUGUUUAUGGUCAGUCUUUGUGUGCAUGAAUAAGCAAACCCAGAAAAGUGGCGUAAAGCUUCGGACAAGUCUGUUUUGAUGUUUCCUUGAUUGCUGCUUCUCCAUUUCUUGUUGUUUGUGUAAUAUUUGAUAUCGGGUUUCAGUGUUAAAUGGAGCAAAUGGUGAGUUUUGGUUGUUGGCUUGGAGAUUGAUCCAUCGGAUCCGAACAUUUGAUAAUAAAAAUGGUAGAAGGUUUUUUGAAUGCACCUGGUUCGAUGUUAGUUUUGUACUUGGGUUAUGUUAAUAAGGGUGAUUUGGAGAUUUAUGAGAGUUCUAGUUCACAAACAAAAUAAGUUUCAUUGAUUUCUUUUCAUAUAAUAUCAGCGUGGGUUGAGCUGCAAUUUUGCAGUAGAAAGUUGCGGCAGAAGAAGAAUGUUUUUUUCAUAUCAGGUUGCAUGAUCCUUUUGUAUGAGUGUCGGGUGCUUAAAUAUAAUGGUUUUAUGUUAGAAAACAGAGGGGGGAAUGUUUAAUAAUCCUGUUGCCUGGCUUCAGUUUGCAUUGCGCUUAUAGUUUGCGCAUAAGAAUGCUUGUUGCAGCGGUAUGGACGAAGUUCUGUUUUUUCCUUUUCCUGUUUCAAGUUCAAGUUUUGACUGUGGAAUAUGUGUGUUUUGUUGCUCAAUUUAAGUUGAAGUCUAGGUGAAAUGUUUUGGAUCAAGUCUGGAAUCCUUAUUUGAAAUGAAAGGGCAACAGCGUGCGUUUGUUCUUGAUUGCAGAAGCUUUAAGCUUCGGGAUUGUGCAUGGACUUGCAUGAAUAGCUUUCAAAAUUUGCACUUUGCUCCCCUUAGCUUCUAUCUAUGCUACAGAGGCCCAAUUAUGUUCUAAUUUCUUGCAAUUAGGUCCUAAAGUAAUUGCCAUUUGAACCAUUGCUUGACCUUUCCAUUACUUAUGGGCCUUUGAAGUUCCCAAAUAUUUUAAUUGGGCUUGAAUGAUUGGUUAAGGCUUGCUCUUGGGUCCUUAGUAGUUUUUUUCUAUUUUAGGAACUUGAUUGACAAUUUACCUUCCUUGCAAUUAUGCAUUAUUUGAUUACAUUCAAUUUGCAAUUGGGAAGGAUUAGGUGAUUUGUUGGUUUAACUUAUUUUGUGCUUUUGUUUAUAUGGUUAUUCGUGAUGCCUUGACUUUUUCUUUUAUUUUGGAGGGUAAAUAAGUAAUCUCACUCCAUUAGGGCCCCAAUUCAAGGAAGGUACACCCUAUCUCUUAUUUCUUACUUUAUUUGACUUUACGUGCCCUAUGUGACUUUACGUGUUUGAUUGCAUACCUCUUGAAUGUUUUUUUUAUUAUUUUAUUAUUUAUUUAUUUGUUUGCUUUAUUGACUUUAGUUUUGUAUAUCUAUUUUAGUUCAAUUUUGAUCAUUUGAAAGGCAAUUUAAUGUCAAAGUUGUAAUAACUAGGUUAUGAUUUUAUUUAUUUAUUUCUUUCCCCCUUAAAUUGUAGUAGGCGUUCCCUUUUGUAAUAGAUAGGGCUUGGGUGUGCCUACAUGCCUAUGUGUUUAAUUGCUUUCCCUAGGCUUCUGCAUCUAUAUAAGCAUGCUUAUGUGCUACGUGCUAUGUGAAACUAUGUGCUUUGCAUGUCUAUUUGCUUUAGUAUUAUAUCUGAUUAUGUGGAUGGAAUGCACGUUACCGUGACUAGUCCAAUGCUAGUCAUGAUCUUCCCCUCGAUCACUCACAAGUCCAAUGCUAGAUCCAAUAGGACUGUCCCUCACUAGUACAUACUUGCAUGCCUUCACUACAUCUUCAUUCAUUUUUUUCCCUUUUAGUUUUACAUUUUUGCAUGAUCCUUCACUCCCUUUCCCGCAUUUGAAACAUGAUUUUUAGGAUUUUGUAUUUCAUUCUAGUUAUUAGGGUCAUUUGCUUGAUUAGGUUAGGGAGUCACCCUUCUGGUAAGGGGAAUGGACGAGUGUGGCUACACAUAGCCUUAGCACGCUCAUUCUUUUUCUAAUCAAAAGGCAAAUCGUAAGUCACGAUUUAGGGUCUCCCCGUACACGUUUUGCUUGCAUUCCUCUAGGUCUCAUGCAUUUCAUUUUGCACACACACACACACUUUACACUCUCUCUCAUUUGCACACGUACACUUUACACUCUCUCUCAUUUGCACACGUACACUUUACACUCUCUCUCAUUUGCACACGUACACGUUACAUAUUCAUUUGCAUCCUUACACUUUAUACACUCCCUCAUUUGCACACAUGCACUUCUCACUAUCACUUUACACUCUUCCUCAUUUGCACACAUACACUUCACAUUAUCACUUUGCACACUACCACCUUACACUUUCUCACUACACACCCGUUCAUAUUGAUCACAUUUGCAUCCAUUCAUCUCACUCGAGCAUUCAUUUGCAUUUAUUCGUGGCCUCUUUGAGGGUUCACCAUUUGGCUAUCACAAUUCAUGUGAUUAGGACCAAUCGAGCCUCAAAAGAGACAUUUUGUUCCUUUCGAACCAAUAAUUAGAUUUAGGUUUGCAUUCACAUUAGACACAUCCAAAAUGCGAUACAUCUUUUGGGUAGAAAUUAGGAAACUUGUCACUAAAUCACGCAACUAGCUUAGGUUAGGGUAAAAGGGUGCCUUAGACUUCGUUUUUGCCUUCCCUUUUAUCAACCGUGACCCCCGAACUCAUCUCUUUGAUUUUCGUAGAUUAGGAGUCAUCUAAAAAGGUUUUUCACCUCAUUUUUCAAAAACUAUUUUUUGGGUGACUUGGUACACCCCAACUCAAUAACAAGUGGCGACUCCUAUUUUUCAUGUUAAAAACCCUUUUAGAUUAUCGUUUUGGCCAAACCGUCGCAUUUAAAAGUCCCAUGGCCUUUUCCUUUAAUUCUCAUAUUCACACACUUCACACACAAUACACAUUAUGACUUCAAAACAAACUUUCACUUUUUUCUUUAUAUUUUCUCAAAAAAUGGGGCGGGACAGCUUGGCGACUCCACUGGGGACUUCCUAAGUGGGUCCGAGCACUUGAUUUAGUUAUUCUUUUCCUUUUUUACCCUUUUCAUGUAUCGCAUUUGCGUGUUUAAGGUUGCAUUUUUUUUCUUUUUUAGGAGUUUUGCAUUCCGCGCGUAUCAACUCACUCCCUUACUCAUUUGCGUACAUUUGAUUUGAUGGAUGGAUGAUUUAUUUAUGUUAUCCCGCGCUUUGCAUUGCAUUUGGAUGGGGGGAUAUUACCCUAGAGCCUCGCGUUGGUUCUCGAUCCCUCCCCUCCAAAUGGAGCACUAGCAUACGUGCAUACGCUUUAUUUUUUAUCCCUCAUUUAUUUUUCUUUUUAGUGGCUUGUCACGCCACUCCACCCUACUAGGAUUAGACGACCCAUUUGGACGUGUGAUCGCGACACGAUGUGUGCGUAGCAUGAUCCAAGGGGUCACUCAAUCUUCCAUUUUAAACUUUGGAUUGAUAACCUUUAGUUUUUAGUCAAAGGUUGAGGAUUUUUGAUAGAUUCACUCAGAUAUGUAGCCGUGACACGAUGUGUGCGUAGCAGUGUCUGGAGAAUCGCUCGAGCCACCGACAAAGAACCUUGGGAUUGAUGACCUUUGGUUUCCAAGUCUGAAGGCUCGGGGACCUAAAACCUAUCGAGUCUAGAUGCAUUAGUGAGCCAAUACCGCAUGCAUCCAUGAUAGUUUACUUAGGGUAGAGCCUGCCUUACCCUAUUAGGAACACUAUUCACGAGGGGAGGGAUCCAACCCCUCUUUUCCUUUUAUUGCUUUAUCUCUUUGUAUUGCUUUGCUUCAAUGUGUUAUGUGUAUUUAUCUGAUUGAACUAACUUUUCUUGGUUUUUGUCUCUAUUGCAUUCAUAAAUCCUAGAAAAUAAGAGUUCUGGCAUGGUACUCUCUAGGAACUUACCCUAUUUGAUGUGACACGUUUAAAUUCAAUGCUUCGCAUUUGUAACAUGAAUACAUUUCAUUUUAGGCGUACCCCGGCAUACAAAAGGGGGUUCCUUUAGGUCACGUUUCAUUUGUAUACUGCAUAUUUAGUUGCUUUGAUAAAUUGACAUCAUGCAUGAACCAUAGAGGGAAUGCCAUUUAGGGGAUCCCACGUUAGGAAUAAACCGCCAUGUGUCUCGGAUAUACAAUCCAAUGAGACUUGCACGUCUAUAUUUCUUGUACCUUCCAAAGGAGUAGUGCACAAGGUAAGGUAGAAUCCGAUCUUUUUCCAUGAUUAUAGAACAAAUUUUGCACAUUAGAAUAUGAACAUCUAACAAUCAUUUUUUGGUCAUUUAUCUGGUAAAAAUCCCUUGCGUAAAAGGCAUUAAUUUGAAGAAAUUUACAAACGAUCCCUCAUUGUUCAGACGAUAAAUAUAUCGAGGCCAAAUCUUGAUUUUAGAAGACUCAUAGACUAAUGUAUCGCAAUGAUUUUUUUUUGAAACUACCAAUAGGUAGACAAUUCAAUAAAUCAUCAUUUUCAUUCAAUUCGUUUGAUCAAAUUAUCCAUCAAAUUCUUCCAAUCUAUUUGGUCAAUUCAUUCAUUUUAGGACAAUUCGGUCAAUUUUGAAUAAAUCAUCAUUUUCAUUCAUUCGACCAAUUUACCCUUUUUAGGGUGAUCUGACCAAUUUUGAAUAAAUCAUCAAUUCCAUUCAAUUCAUUGGAUCAGUUUAUCUAUUUUUAGGGUGAUCUAGUCAAUUUUGAAUAAAUCAUCAAUUUCAUCCUAUUCAUUUGACCCGCUUAUUCCGUUUAGGGUUUAACUCUAAGGUUCACUAAAUAAAUUAGUCGACACAUUGCAAUCCUUUCAAGAGUAGACUCUUUUACACAUCAUUUUAUGUGUUGAUCAAAACAAGCAAUCCAUUCGGACUUUGUCCUCAUUUUUAGGACAAAUGUCUCUUCUCACUCCAAUUGACCAAAUUUGUUAAAAUUAUUUUUUCACUCAAUAAGUUGAUCGGAUUCAUCAGGUAUUGUAUAGUGCCUACCCCAGAGAAUUGCAUUUUCAUGCUAUGCCUACCCUUGGCAUAAAAAGGGCACCCCCAUAGGACAUGCAUACCGAUUUUAUAGUCUUGCUUACUAACUCGGGGUAUUUUUCUUUUAUUUUCUCCCCUCCCCUGCAUUCAUAAAAAAUGUUUCAAUAAGGUGAAAAUAUUUUUUCUAUAUCUGAUAACGAUUUUAUCUAAUAAAUCUUGAAAAUUACAAUUAAUAUUUGAUUCUUGGAUAGACCCUACUAUUUGAAGAAUCUAUCUGGAGGCACAAGGCUAAAACACCUAAGAGACUUCAUAAUUGUUUGUCAAAGAAAAAAUUUUGUUUAUUUGAUUUGUUAAUACAUUUUGUUCCAAAAGAAAAGGAGACAAAAGUGUGUAUAUGUGGAGUUCUUUAGAAGUUUUUCUCUUCUCAUUUGCAUUAUGAUUGAACAAGAAAUUUUGUUUCAAACUUUUCCAAUAAUAAAGUUUUUUAUUUAGACAAUUAUUGUCUUGUAUAUAUAUUCAUCUAUAUUUCAUUCUUUAUUUUGCUCAUUGGAGAUUUCAUGAUGAAUUUUAAGAAAUGAGACUACAUUGAGAUUUUUUCAACCUCUAGCCUGAAAAUUCACAAGUGUAUGUUUUCUAAAAUCUUUGCAUACACUAGAUUGGUGAUCUGAACUAUACAAUAAGAGUGUUCAGAAUUAAAAAGAGGUCACUCAAAAGACCCAAUGGGAUACAUUUUUCUCCUUCACUGUACAAUUCAUAUUUUUGCCCAUUUCUAUUAGCCCCCCAAAAUCAGUCACAUUGAUUGAUAAAUUACAAAUUGGGGCAAUCUUUGCUUGAAAAUGCCCACUGUGUCUAAUUAGAUUCAAUCCACAUCUAAGUGAAAACAAAAAUGUACAUUAUUCUUAUUUGUUUUGAAAGUUUGGAAUGAUACUUCAAGCAUUCGUUUCUCUAUCUAUACAGAUUUUAUCAUUUGCUCUCUCAUUUGAGCCUUUAAAAGAAUAAUUUCGUUUCAAAUGAGAGCCCUAAUGAUCACUACCCCAUAUUGGAAGAUUUUUCAAAUAUCAAAAGGGAGUGGAUUCUCAAUGAGCAUUUCGUUACUUUGGUUGUCAUAAAACUUAAGAAUGAUGCUUUGGCCAUCGUUUCUACAAUCUAAACAUUAUUUAUCCCUUGCAUCCUCCUUUGAGCUAAAAUGGGUGGUUCUUUUUAAAAGCAUUUAUGAUCGUACCCCACACCGGGGAAGGAGAUUGGAGGAUUUUUCAAAAGAAGAAAAAAAGGAAGAAAAAGGAGGCAAAAAAUGCUAAAAUUCAAGAAGAAGAGAGGGAAUUGCAAAUUGGGAAAAUUUGAUUCUAUCUGGGAUUUAAUUUUGGAAAAGAAAGAGGAAGAGUUUUGUCCGGCGGAUCACUUAUGUUUCACAGAUAUGGAUGAACAGGAGUCUUUCUCAAUCAAUGAUGCGAGACGCGGAAGCAAAGACUGGAUUUCAGAGGUACACGUCGCGAUUGACGGAAUGGAACCCGACUUGGACCACUCAAGGACGGAUUCAACGGUAGAGGACGCCACAAUCAAGUGUGUGAGCUUGAUUGAUAAGUCAAUAAAACAGCCUAGGAACCACGCUCGGACAUUCAACUUAGCCUUCACAAGCUAAAGGAAUUUGCCACAACCAAUGGACGAAAUUCUGGAAUUUUAUUGAAUAAUAUCGGAAAACUGAAUGUAAAACAUGAUUUAAGGCUAUUUAUAGCCUUGACUAAACCCUAAUAAAGCUUGGAAAAUACAAAAGAAAAUUCGGCCAACCCAUUUCCUUCACUUGGCCGAAUAUUAACCCAACAACCUAUGGCCCGUAACUCAGCGUAGGUACUUAACUGCGGCCCAAUCAGCCGUUUGAAGCUUGACCACUUGCAUCCUCAACUGUAAGCAACACUUUAGUAGUCUCGCCCGGAUCUUCCAACUCAAUCCCUUCAAUGGGCGGUUUCUCUUGGGUUUGGACUGUGACGGCCCCACAUCUCCUUAAGGCGAACCAAAGGGUAUCCGCGGGACGCCUGCCCAACUCUCGCCAGGACUCAAGCAAUUCCAUUCCUCUUAAAACCAAACCGAACAUUUCGAAGAGAGUAACAUGAGUACAAAUAAUGCGGAAGCGUUCAACUUAACAAGUCACUUAACAUGUAACCAGUACAUCGGGUAAACAUAAUACGACUUAAAUUCUAAUUACACGUCAGGGCCCAAAUUUUACAUUUCAAUUCCAAAAGUACAGUCCAAACCAGGGCCUAGCCAAAAUAUAGAAGAAAUCCUAAACAAAAGUACAACGAAGGGUUUCUCCAUACUUCUCCGAGAUUCGGUCCUGUUAAGGAAAACAAAACUAUGGGGUGAGCUAAAUGCUCGUGAGGCCAAGAACACAUAUUCAAGCACAUUGUUCAAAUAGCAAUCCUAAAUUUAUUAAAUAAAACCGUGAUAUUUCAAUAAUCAACCAUUCGAGCAGGAAAAGUAAUCAGAAACAAUUCAAGGAUAUAGUAGCUCUCAGGAGUUAAGUUCCACUCGCUCUGCCGAUGUCAUUCGUAUACCUUCCCGCGAUGACCCUCCGUCAACCGGGUCGGUAUUUCCAUUUCCGUAGAUCACCACUUACUUCCCUCCGUCCACCGUACACCUCCAGGGCCCACAAGUCAUUUAUAAGGCGAUACUCCACGAGUAUGCCAAGCAAGACCUCUCAUUAGGUCAAGCUUAUAUAUCUCAUGGCUCGCCCAGGUUCCCGACCAAGCCCAUUGCCGGCUCGAGUCCAAGGUCGGCCUAUGAGUUUGGGCGUCCCCCAUUCAUUUGAAAGUCGAGGAGAUUCACUCCAACGACGUAUGUAGUUAUAACAUACCAUUGCAUUUCAUUCAUUCAUUCAAUACAUUUCAUUCAUUCAUUUGAAAUUAGAACGAGUGUGAUAAAAUACACACCCGCCCUUAUUUUUAAAAUCUCCAACAAUUACCACAAAUAAGCAAGUAUCAAGGAUUCACACACUUGACACUCACCGAGCAAUUCAAUAAGAAUUAUUUUCUGGAAGUUCAAGUGUCCACUGUAAGAUCCUCUUGAAGGUCUCCUUGUGCGCCUGGCAAUUAAUAGUGGAUAAUCACUCAAAUAUCAAAAUUAUCAAGGAAGAUUGUACACUAGUACAAUCUAAAGAAUAUUUCACAAAAAUGAACCUCAAUUACUCGUAAAUCGAGGUUCAACUUGCAUUUUAUUAAGUACAAUAUUAUUUGAGUUUUUAUCAUGAAAAUCGAGGGCAAAACGUUUGAAUAAUACUAAGAGAAUUAAGAGUUUUGGAAAAACUCCUUUGCCUUGAAAAUUGAAAAUUUUCAGUUUUAUUAUAAAUCUUUGAAAAUUCGUAUCUCUCUCGAUAUAAGUCCAAAAUUGGAAAACUUUAUCCCGUUGGAAACCUUUUGGAAAGUGUUAAAAGUUCGUAGAAGACACUUUUCCAUGAAUCUAAGUGGAAAGUACUUAAAAAUGAGCUUGAAAUCACUGUUCCAGAAUGUUCAGGAUUGAGUUAAGGUUGGUUUUUUUUGCUAACUUUGGAAAUUUGGCAGAAUUCACUCGUUGCAAGCUAGCCCUUGAAAUUUAUAACUCAAUUAGAGGUGUAAGUAAGGUUUAGGGCAGAACAAGCGGAUUGAGAAUUGGAGUUUCGAGCACCGAGAUACGGUAGCUCGAAGUUGGGAAAAUUCAAGUCUGGUGAACAAUUUCCAGAUUUGAGUUUCCAAAAAUUGGAACCUUAGCUAAGUGUCAAAACGAACUUGGAUUGGUAUAAACUUUUGUAGUAUGUUACUCCUAUAUGAAAGGUAUCUCUCUAUCAAAUUUCAGGAAAAAAUACCUUCGGAAAGAUAGUUAAUUAAUCAUCCAAAGUUCAGGAAAAUUUCUAAGGCAACCUGUCUUUUGACUUCAUUUCCCAAUUCAAAUCGUUUAAUCAACAAAGCUAUCCAACCAUGGUUCAUUUAUGAAAUAAAGGUCUAAGAUACAUCCAUGAUACCUUUGGUAGGUGUUUAGCAUCAAGAACUUCAAUUAAUAAGAUCACUCCCAGGUUUUGUCCCAAACCAGUCCAAGUAUUACGGUUUUUCCAAAACAGUGCAGUCCUCUUGUUUCGGUCACAACUCAGUCAAUUUAACUCAGAAUCGAGCAUGGUUUAUGUCGUUGAAAAAUACAUUCAUAGGGCUAUAAUAUCACAGAAGAAAUCAUUUCAAAAUUUGGUGCCCAACUAGUUCAAAAUUGGGCAUCAAUUUGCUGCCUUAUCACUUCAUUCCAGUUGAACAGAGCAACAGGACAGCGAUCUUAAAACGUUUGGUUCGGCUCACUCACAAAGAAUCAGAACGUGCAUUUUAUCUCAAAUUAAAGCCUGAAAUGUCUAGUUUCCAACGCCACCAACGGCACAUGAUUUCGACAUCCGAGGACGGAGUUAUGGCCGAAUCACCACCGCUGGUCAGAGCCAUACGUGAACAGUUUCCAGAUUUGCUAGUUUCACAAAAAAAAUUCGUUUGCCCAACCAAACCUCAUUAUUUUUCAAUGAAAUUUUUCACACAUCUAAUACGUCAUAUAAACAUCAAAUUCAAGCCAUUAGGUCAUUAAAAAUUGGCCUUAAAAUGGCCGAACAAGGCAGGGGCAAAAUCGGAAACUUUUGCUUCUUGCACCCAAUGAAGUUUCUAUCAAUUUCACACCAUUAAUCCAUCAUUUUAACCACUAAACCAACAAUAUAUCCACCAUCAAUCAUCAAAUCAGCAACAACCCAAGAGUGGGAGUUCAUAGAGCCCACUUUCACAUUUUUCCAACAAUAUCAAGUCAUCUACUUAUAUGCAAGUACUUAGAGAUGCAUAUCUACUACUAUAAAUCAAGUUUAAGGUGAUGGAUCAUGUUAUACCUUCUUAAUGUACUAGAACAGAAUUUUUGGCCCUUGAAAUGCUCCAAGAAAUCGUGAUUUCCAGCACCCUUUUUGCAGCUCAAAAUGAUCUCCUAGUGUUAAGCUAAGUGUGGUGCAAGUUUGGUUGAAUUUGGAGAUGUUUUGGUGGUGGUUUGAGUAAGCUUUGUGAAGUAAAAUGAAGAACAAUGAAGCUUAAGAGAGAGAGAGAGCUAGUCGGCAGUCUUGAGAAGGAAGAGAGAGAGAGUGAUCAGAUUUUUAAGCUUCCAAGAGAAGAUACUAACUUGUGGCUACAAAUCACCCAUUAGUCAACUCACAUUAGGGGGCAUUUGGCGCGAUUAGGGCUCGUUUUCACGCGCGUUUGGUUCACUAGUGCACUAAGUCUCUAAUGCACUUAUUUUCAUGUAAAUAUUAUUCACUCUUAAUUGUCCCGAAAUAAGGGUCUAAAGUCCCUCAAAUAAAGUCGCGCGUAUGAAAACGCGUACCGUCAAUUUUAACGCUAUAACGCGAAACCUCCGAGAAAUUCUUAUAACAACCGUGCUACUAACUAUCACUUGAGUAUUUAUUCAUAAGAUUACCUAUUUUAGGACCAUAGUACAAGUCUCCAAUAUUCCAAACUUAUUGUGCUCCCACGCGGUAAAAUCUCCGAGCACUGUUCACUAUUUUUACUAAACGCACUCCAGGAAAUUAAUUUUUGAGACGAGUCACUUUAAAAAUAUAACGAAGUUAUAUUAUCAUGUAUUUAGGUCUAAUAAGACUAGAAAAUAUUUCUCGUGGUAAAAAUCCAAUUAAAUAAUUUAUUAAGCCAUAAGUUAGGCUAAAAAAAAUAAUAGUUUUUACGAGUCCUCACAUGGACGGCAUAAACCAAGGCUUGAAGUGACUCCUUGAAUCUCUUAACUCGUGCUCGUGUCACUGGGCCUUGGGGCACCUUUACAGGGUCUACUUGAGCACCAUGGGCCUCGUCCGCAUCAAUCAAUUAAUUCAGAUACAUGCAAGAAAUUUCGCAUUAAUGAAAGUUUCCUUUCAGAGUUAUUGUAAGGAACGGAAUAAAAAGUUAGGCUCUCUUCUUUUCCAAUCAAACAUUCUAUCGCUAGUUAUCCCUUUCGAGCCUUCAAAAUAAAAUACUUCGUUUGGCAACCACUGAGGAUCGCAAACUCCACACUGGGGCAAGUUUGAGUUGCAAAGGGAAGGAAAGUUUCAAGAGGUGAAAAGUGAUAAAGUAACAAAAGAAAAAGAGAAAAUGAAACAAAAGAGAACCUCGGUUAAGCAUAAACUGGGACAAAUUUUGAAAAGUUCAAAAGAAUGGCAAAAGGCCAAGAAGAAAAUAGAGAGAAGAAAAUGAAAGAGAAAAGAGCCUCGGUCGAGAAUAAAUUGGGGCAGGUUUUGAUUUAACCCUAAAAAUAGGGUUGGCGCAACAAUGCGAUCUCAGAUCAUUUAAACCACUUUUGAAAUCCGCUUUCAAGUUUUAACUUUUCUAAGCACCCCACCAGACCCCAUUACAAAAGCCGAAAGUCCUGACUUCUGUUUUUUGCAAUAUCUCUGUCAAGAAAUUUUCUAAUUGGCAAGUGAUGCUCAUAUAUUGAUGCCAAGGAAUUUUUAAAUAUAUUUGAAUUGAUUAGGCGUGAGGUUGACACUGCUCUUCAUGUGAAAACCAGCAAGGGCACUUUUGAAAAAAAGAAGGAAAAAGGAAAAAGCAAGCGAAAUAAAUGCAAAAGAAAAAUGCAAAAAGAUUCGAUGCUGAAAGUCCCUGUUGAGUGAUUAUAAAGUCAAACAAAGGUCGAGAUUGGGGCGAUUUUUGGGAGGAAAUGCGAUCUUCAAUGCAAUGUCCUUAAAAUCUUAUUUAUUUAACUAUCGUUUUCAAGCCACAUUACAAGCUCAUAAAGUCCAUCGCUGACUUAUCUUUCAUGACAAUUCGAAGUGAGGAUUAUGCUUCUAAGGAAUCCAUUAAUCAUUCAGGAUUAUAAGGCAAUAACCGGUUUCCACAUGCUUAACUGUCAUUUCUACCCAUAUGUUACAAGUUUAUAAAGCUUAUAUGUUGACUAAGUUUUCUUAAAAAAUAAGGGUGACAAACUAUUUGUUUUCACUAAGAUGUGAUAUUGAAGGGAUUACAUACAAUUUGGGCACAAGAAUAAGACAAAUCCUGACCUCUAAUUCCCCUUAGCCCCCUCAAAAUAAAAAAUAAGAUCACUUGAUUGGUCCUGAAAGAUGAGCUAACAAAAAAGAGGUGACCCAUUACCCUAAGUCUCGAUGUUAAAGUGAGGAAGAAAUCUUCUGUAAUUUGAUAUUAUUUUGAGAAAUUCAUCAUGAAAUUUUUUGUAUGAGUUUAAGCAAGAUGUUUAAUUUUCUUCACAUUAUACGUUAGGAAACAUAGUUUCUUACUUUGUUCAAAUAAAUGGAGAGUCAUCGAAACAAAAUUUUUGCAAUUGAAAGGGCCCACACUGGGGUAAAUUUUUGUAAUGCAUUUGAGGAUUUCGUCCAAGAGUCAAAUAAGAUAUUUUUGAAUCAAUCAUACUGCUCUUUACAUGAGUAAUAGGUGCAUCAAUCAAAAAAAUAAUAAGAAAUUUAAGUGCAUGUUGUACUUUGGUAAGACCCCUAUACAGGUAUUCAUGGCUGAAAUUGAUGAAGAAACAUUUAGUGAUGUGGAAGGCCGAUACCGGAAAAAGAGAAGAAAGGAAAAGAAAAAGGGCUCUACACUGGGACAAAUUAUUUUUUGAAAAGAAUCUCUCAAUCAAAAAAAAAUCCCAAAAAAAAUCAAAAGAUCAAAAAUCCAAAAAAAAAAAAUCAAAAGAUCAAAAUUUUAAAAAAAAAUCAAUCAAACAAAAAAAAUAAAAAAUAAAAAAUCAAGUUUAAAUUCUUGUUUCUUGGAAAAUCAAAUUUAAUUUCUUGUUUCUUGAAAAGUCAAAUCUAAUUUCUUAUUGGUGAGUCUCAGCGUCCGCUGCGCACCCUUCUACCUCAUUUCUGGACAACCACAUUUAAUUCACUGACUUCUACCACCGUUAGCAUCGAGUCUAUCUCACUAACGUGUGCGUUUUUAUUCAACUACCGUUAGCAUCGAGUCUAUCUCACUAACGUGUGCAUUUUUAUUCAACCACUGUUAGAAUCGAGUCUAUCUCACUAUCGUGUGCGUUUUUAUUCUACCACCGUUAGCAUCGAGUCUAUCUCACUAACGUGUGUGUUUUUAUUCUACCAUCGUUAGCAUCGAGUCUAUCUCAUUAACGUGUGCGUUUUUAUUCAACCACCGUUAGUAUCGAGUCUAUCUCACUAACGUGUGCGUUUUUAUUCUACCACCGUUAGCAUCGAGUCUAUCUCACUAACAUGUGUGUUUUUAUUCUACCAUCGUUUGCAUCGAGUUUAUCUCACUAACGUGUGUGUUUUUAUUCAAAUACCGUUAGCAUCGAGUCUAUCUCACUAACGUGUGCGUUUUUAUUCUACCAUUGCUAGCAUCGAGUCUAUCUCAUUAACGUGUGCAUUUUUAUUCAACCACCGUUAGCAUCGAGUCUAUCUCACUAACGUGUGCAUUUUUAUUCUACCACCGUUAGUAUCGAGUCUAUCUCACUAACGUGUGUGUGUUUUUAUUCUAUCUUCGUUAGCAUUGGAUUCAUCCCACUAACGUUAUUCUAUCUCCGUUAGCAUUGGGUUCAUCCCACUAACGUGCCUUUCUAUUUUCGAUUUUUUCGGCAGGCUCGAGUGUUAUCAUACUGACCGACUAUCACGGCAGGUUUGGGUUUAUCCCACUAACCGAUUCUCAAGGCAGGCUCGGGUGUUAUUCCACUGACCGAUUAUCAAGAUUAUUAAGGCAGGUUCGGGUUUAAUCCCACUGACUGAUUAUCAAGGCAGACUCGGGUUUAAUCUCACUGAUCGAUUGUCAAGGCAUUUCAUUCAUCACUGCCACUAAACAUGGGUUAGUCCCACUAGUGAGCACUUCAUUCAUCAUUGCCAUUAAACACGGGUUAAUCCCACUAAUGUACAUUACAUCUUAUCGUUAGACAUGGGUCAGUCCCACUAACACUUCAUUUCACUUCACUUCACUUCAUCCCGUUGGGUUUGGAUUUUGUGCCACCAACCUCGGCAGGCUUGGGUUGUAUCCCACUGACCGAUGUCAUAGCAGCUUCGGGUCAGUCCCGUUUUAAAUUUCUUGUUCGGGUCAGUCACGUUUUAAAUUCCUCAUUCAGGUCAGUCCCGUUUUAAAUUUCUUGUUCAGGUCAGUCUCGUUUUAAAUUUCUUGUUCGGGUCAGUCCCGUUUUAAAUUUCUCGUUCGGGUCAGCUCCAUUUUAAAUUCCUUGUUCGGGUUAGUUCCGUUUUAAUUUUCUUGUUCGGGUCAGUCCCGUUUUAAAUUUCUCGUUCGGGUCAGUCUCGUUUUAAAUUAUUUGUUUGGGUCAGUCCCAUUUUAAAUUUCUUGUUCGGGUCAGUCCCGUUUUAAAUUCUUUGUCUGGGUCAGUCCCAUUUUCUAAUUUUUUGUUAAAGGGGUCAGUCCUCAUUUUGAAAGCGUCAGUCAUUCGAGUAGUUUGCAGCAGAAUAACCACAGGUGAGUAUUUGGUGUCUACGUCUUUGUCUCAAAUUUCUUCGAAACUCAGACAAAGAGGGGUAAACUGUAGACACCAAAUUUUUAGCCUUUCUUUUUCUUUUUAUUUUAUUUAUUUAAUUAGUUGAUUUUGUUUUAAUUUUUGCUAAGAAAAUUGUUUUACUAUUAUUAAUUAAUUCAUUGAAAAAAAAGAAAAAGAAAAACUGUUCCAUGCGCUCGUGCUUGGCACGUGCGCCAUUUUCUUUUCUUUCAUGCAAAAAAUGCAAGCGAAAGGCGAAAACAGGGACAUAAAUUUGCAACGGCAUUUUUUUAAUCCCAGCCUCAUCUCAAAAAUGCCAUCCAAUGGCUUAAGUUUUCGGUAGAAACCCACCCUUCAUCCUCACCUUUGAGGUGAGGGUUUUAGGGACCUGGGGUUUCCUAUAAAAGAAAAAAGAGCAGCGGGGACAAAGGGUAAGAGGAGUCGGCGGCUGGGGCUGAGUAGAAACAACGGAGGAAAAAAGCAAAAAAGGGGGGUUUUUGGGGAGAGUAGUUGACAGCUGAAGGAAAGAGUGAAGGGAGAGUUUGAGGGUUAGAGAGAGUUUUGGAGAGGGUGACGGCCGAAAGAAAGAAACCAAGCGAGAGGAAACCAAGGAAAGGAGAAGCGACUUCAUCAACGUAAAGGGCAUUUCGUGGGUCUUCGUUUCCAGAAACAACGUGUUUGUCCUGAGACUAGGAGAGAAACGAAUCAAGAGUCUGAGGAAGACACAAGGGAGGAUCGGGGAACAAGCAAAGGAAAUCUGCAAAAUCUUGAAGAAGGCUUCGAAGCUGAGAGCGAGGGAAAGAGGACUGCUCGACGAGGAGGCAACUUUUGCAGCAAAAGUUCCCGAUCGCGUUCCUGGGAACCCGUACGCGUUUCCGGGCAGAUCUCAAUGCCGCUCAACCGUGCUAGCAUUCUCAGGUAAAAAUACCUCUUAUUUGGUGGAUUUUAACAUGUUUUUAUGAAAGAUAAAGCCAUCGGAUGUGAAUCUUUUUGUUUGCUACUGGGUCAAGCUCUCGCUGGUUCUAUGAUUCUGCCAUUUUGCUCGUUUGCUAAGAUCUGAUUCAGUAGGAACCUAUGAGAUGAGUUUGAUUAAGAACAUGGGGUUUAGGGUUUUCUAUAGUGGUCACCUGAUGAAUCCAUGAGUUCUUUGCUCGAUGUUUAUGGUCAGUCUUUGUGUGAGUAUUGGAGCAGGGACUGAAACCCGAAUUGCCAUCUCAACCUGAAUUGAACCCGAAGAACGUAAGCGCGAUGAGUACUGGAGCAGGGACUCUAGGUGUGUAAUGAGUUACUUGAUUCAUCCUAUUCCCGAAGUGUUUGCUUGACCCGAUAUACCAGAAUGGGAUUGCUUAUUCGCAAGAAACUAUUGAUUUGUAAACAGGGCAAGUAGGGUCGCAUCCUCAGGGACUGGAAAAAAUUCGUUUCUUUUCAAAUCCACAAUAACAAGGGGAUGUUUUUGGUAUAAACGAUGACAAUCAAAGGAGUUUAAAUAAAGAUAAAUAGCUAACUAGGAAUUAAAUGACAAUUUACUAAAAUCAGAGUAAUAAUAAUUAAAGGUCUAGCCAAGAAAUAACUUCAGCAAUGGUUCACCUAAUUGAUCAUCGAUGCAAAUGCAAUUCCAGUUAUUUACUAAUAAAUAGGUUAUAACUGUCAAACAAGCAAUGACAGUCAACCCCUUCUUACUGUGUCGGUGACUAAGGUACGCCCGUUAAUCACUACUCUAAUUGAGAAAUAAUCCUAAGUACGCCCGUAAGAUUUAAUUUUCCAAUUGCCUUACGUAUUAAAGAAGCCCUAUUCUAACCAAAUAACACACUACCAGGGUUAUUUUAGAUUAGCCUGCGCAUUCCCCUGACACAAACCCAAUCAUGCCAGUUGUCACUAUUUUAGGGCAAUUAAACAAUUACGAUUUAAUGCUCUAAUUGACAAUAGGUUACUAAACUAAUUCAUUAUCUGGAUCCAAGACAAUCAAUUAAUUAAAUAACCAUAAGUACUACAAUCAGGGAAUAUGCAAAUACCAAUAAAUAAGAGGAAAAGAUAAAUUUAAAUCGAUCUCACAAUUUUUAGAUGAACCAAAACCUCCGUUGUUUCUUGACCAGAAAAGGGAAUUUAAUUCAUCCCGGAUAGGAAAGACCCACACAAAGUUGCAGCAAUAGUUGCGGCCAUUGUCUCCAAGAAUUGGGAAAAUUCAAUUCGUUCGAAUCAAUAAGAAAAGCAAGCUACAGAAAAUAAUUACUGGUCUUCACUUUGUCUUGACAUACGAAGAAGGAAAACUACUAAGAGCCCACAAGAAGAAAAGUCAAAAGCUAAAACUAAAAAGUAGUGCCCUCUUGUUUCUCUCUAUUCCUAUCUAAUGCCCCCUGCUUUGCAGCUGCCCCGCGGCAGAAAAAGAGAGAGUCCAGCCUUGUUCCGUCUCUUCCUUCUUCGGUAAGUACCAAAAGGGGAAAAGUUCCCCUUUUCCAAAAAUGCCACUGGGAUGAGGGCUGCUACUUGAACUCCUUUCCUAAUGACUAUCAAAUUGGCACUUGUUGUGGUAUUUUUGUUCUACUCCCUGUAAUAAAUGUAAAUUUUCAAAAGUGAGUAGAAUCUAACAAUUAAUCCACAUCAGGUCAAGUAAUAAGAGAAAUUAAUAAUAAAAGAAAUGAUAAAAUUGCGACCUAUCAAAAUGGGAUGGAUGUUUAGAUAGGAAUUCUGUAGAGGGCUGGUAGCAGCCAUCCAAAGAGAACAAGUCCAUUUGUGGACAAAAUAAAGUGAAUGGAGAAUAUAUAUAUAUAUAUAUACGCUACAUGAAUAUUCAACAUAUACAAAAAUGUGAUCAAGAAAAAUGAGGAAUCUGACAGCCUAAUGCUUACUUGCUGCUUUUUAUGGUUUAACUUUAAAGAGACUUUGGUGUCUUGGUAGUUCGUAAUUUGAUUCGAGGUUGAUAAAAAGAAAUUUUUCAGAAAACGUGAAAUAGGGUAAGUAUCCUAGUUUAUUUUAGGUAUUGAAAGUUAAUAAAAAUGGAAAUUAUGGCAGUAAUCCUCUUCAUUUUUCCCCACCAACCAAAGCAACGAUUUUUAAGAAUACAAACAAGAUUUUAAAAAAUAGUUGUGGAGAAAACUUUUAACAAGUUUAAAAUGCAAAGUGUCCAUCAUAAUGUAGAAGAGCACAAUAAUUAGAACUCCCACGUUGGCUAAGCAAAAAUAUAUGUUUGCUCUAAUAACAUAUUACAUAUUAAAUUAUUUUACUAUGAGGUAGGGUACAUUUUUUUUAUAGUUUAGCAAACUAGAACAAAAUUAUAAUAAUUUUAAAUUAAUAUAGUUGCGUGGUGAAAUAUCAUCUGCGGCAAUAUAUAUAUAUAUAUAUACACACACACAUGCGCACGCACACUACUUAUUCAGUUGAAAAAAAUACAAGAAUUUGACAAUAUUGGUUAAUCAAAGAGCACCUUUAGUGACAUGAGAAUGAAAAUUGCUCCUAGAAUAUCUUCCUGAACUUUGUCAUUGAACGAUUGCUCAAAGAGUCUGUAAGAAAUUUAAUUCAUUCUAAUUUUGUCAGUAUUUAAGAAAGUAAGGAUGAUUGAAUUUGACUGCCAUUGUUUUCGAAAGAAUGACUCCACUCAUUAAAGAAUCAAGCCAAAAUUGAGACAAGUAUGAACAAACAAGCAAUUAGUAAUUUAUAUUGUGGUAAUACAAGUUUAUACAAAAAAAAAAGUAGGCACAGUGUAUUUUUUCUGCACCUGUUGUCUAAUAAUAUUAUCACCUUCCAAACUUUGUGGGUUUGUAAAAUGCAUCAAUUAUGGAUCUUGGAGUAAAGAUAUUAAGUAUUAACUAAAUUAACUAAUUAUUGAACUUAUACUCAUGGAAUAAUAAUUUUUUUUUGUAAUGUGCUAAUCUCUAGAAUAUUUGACUUUUAAUAUCCAGGUCUCCCAAUGGUGUGGAAAUUAAGUUGUUCUUCAACAUGCAGCUUCGUGGGACUUCAAGCAUGCCAAGAGUUUCUGGGAAAGAAUAGGUCAAGAUAAGUGACUUGGAGGAAUCUUCAAAAUCAAUACACUUUGUUGAAAUUGAAACUCUUGGAAGUAGCUUGACUGCAUUCAUACCAAAAAGUAAUUUAACAUAAUACUUAUGGACUUUCUCCAUCUCUUUUGUCAUUUCUUUUUCGAAAUUUAUUGUUUAUAGGAAAAAGAAAAAGUCGAUUCAAGAUAUGAAUCUAUGAACAGUUCAACAAUCUAGAUAAUAUUACUCAUUAACGAGAGAGGUUAAUCUAAAAGGACUGAGAUUCGUAGACCAACUGGUCACUACUCAUUACUCAUUAAUAUUCUAAUGUUUGCUUGCUUCUUUUUCAUGGUUUAACUUUAAAGUGAUUUUGGUGUCUUGCUAGUUUGUAAUUUGAUUCAGUCCGGUUGAUAGAAAGAAAUUGCUCAGAAAAUGUGAAAUAGGUUAAAAUAUCCCAGUUUGGUUUGGAUAUUGAAAGUUAUAAAAAUGGAAAUUAUGGCGGUGAUCCUCUUCAUUUUUCCCCACCAAUCAAAGCAGUGAAUUUUUUAAGAAUACAGACAAGAUUUGAAAAAAUAGUUAUCUAUAAUAAUGUAGAAGGGCACAAUAAUUAGAACUCCUAUAUAUGUUGGCUAAGCAAAAAUAUAUUUUUGUUAUCAUAAGAUCUUACAUACGAAACGAUUGUACUAUCAGGCAGGGUAGAUUUUCUUUAUAGUUAGCAAACUGGAACAAAAUUAUAAUAAUCUUAUUUUAAUAAAAUUGCCAAAUGAAAUAUCAUUUGCAAUGACAAUGUAUAUAUUACUAGUUUAAUUGACAAAAUAUAAGGAUUUGACAAUGCUAAUUUGAUUAAUCAAAGAGCACUUUUAGAAGAUAUUACGUUUACACGUAAAACUUAAAAGCCAAUUUAUUUAUUUUUUUUUGCUUUUCUAAAUUUAAAUUCUUUUUGCACGUGCUUCCACUAUUAUCUUGCUCUACAUUUGAGAAGAACUUCUUACAACUUUCUUCAAAUAAAUACCUUUUCCAUACAAAUCCCGCGCCUUUAUAUAAACAAUUACGCUGGUUACAAAGUUUAUCAAGCAAUAAUGAAGAGGCCGAUAACAUUUUAUAGUACCUUACUUUUCUUCUUUCUUUUACAUCCUGAAGAAGUGAUCACUUUCACUUUCUUGGAAGAUCAUUUGUGCCAUCAUGAUGAGGCUCUUGCACUGCUUCAGUUUAAGGAAAUGCAUAGCACAUCAACUGAUGCUUCUCAUGAUUGCAAUUAUUUUGGUCAGUACUCAUAUCCAAAGACAACACAUUGGAAACCAGAUACAGAUUGUUGCAAUUGGGAUGGUGUCACAUGCGACAACAUCACCGGUCGUGUAAUUGGGCUAGAUCUGAGUUGUGGCCAGCUUCAGGGAGUCAUCCAUCCAUACGCUACCCUUUUCAAUCUUUUCCAUCUCCACAGUCCCAACCUUACUUUUAAUGAUUUCACCGGCUCACGGAUUUCAUAGUGAUUUGACUCGCUAAAAAGUUUGAUCCACCUCAAUCUCUCAAAUUCAAAUUUCCAAGGUGAGGUUGCUUCAGAAAAUAUCACACCUGUUCAACCUAAUUUCACUUGAUCUCUCUUUCAAUCUCUUGUGUAAUUCUAUGGGUUGCUCAUAUCCAAGAUAUGAAUUUAGUAAUUUUGAAGCGAUGCUUCAAAACAUAACCCAUUUAAGAGAGCUAUCACUUUCGUCAGUGAACAUCUCAUCCGAGUUAAGGGUGAAUUUUUCUUCAUCUUUGACAUAUCUAGAUCUCUCAUAUACUGGAAUAACAGGUAAUCUACUAGGCAAUGUUUUUCAUCUACCGAACAUGCAAGUUCUCUCGUUAGAUAGCAAUGAGAAUCUUACUGUUAGUUUAUCAAACUUGAACUGCAGCAUUUCUGAUUCUCUGAGGCAGUUGGACCUAUCGGCGACAAGUCUCUCUGCUGCACUGUCAGAUUCAAUUGGGUGCAUAAGGUCCUUAAAUUCUUUGGAUCUAGGAACUUGUCAAAUUUCUGGUGUCAUUCCUGAAUCAAUUGUCUUCGGAAGAUAACUAUCUUCUAGGGAAAAUUCUAGCUAAAUUUUCCUGUUCACAAAAGCUAAGUAGACUAUCACUUGGUCUUUUUAGAUCUCUCUAGUAAUCAACUAAGCGGUUCACUUCCUCCAACAAUUUUUACUAUUCUGACUCUAUCUUAUCUUGACCUUUCUUCAAACCAUUUUGCUGGGGUUGGGCAAGACGUAUUUGUGGACUUCAAUAAGCUUCAAAAGAACCCUCUUGAGAAUGAAGCCCCACGGAACACUAAAAACAAUGUGAGCAUUUCCUAUCCAGAUUUCUGGCACUUGGGAUUGUCUUCUUGCCAGAUAAAGGAAUUUCCUGAGUCGCAUAGAAAUUCAAAGAGCUUAAAAUUUCUGGACCUCUCAAAUAACAGGAUUCACGGCGAAAUUCCAAGCUGGUUCAUGUUGAAGAAAAGGGUUCAGAUUGGGAAAAACUUCAAGCGUAUAUUACUGAUUGCAAUAGUCUGCUGAUAUAGUUACAAGAAUUUGACAAAAAAGGGAAGAUACAAUUAUUCCUAAAAUCAUGUAAUGGAAAGCUAAAACUACUCCUACAAUCACGUCAUGACAAAAACUUAUAUGGUAACAAUAUAUACAGCUAUAUGAUUGAAUAUCUCAACACUCCCCCUCAAGUUGGAACAUGGAGAUUGCGAAUGCCCAACUUGCUCAACAAAUGGUGGAACUGAGCUUUCCCAAGUGCUUUGGUGAACAAGUCGCCAAUUUGAUCACAUGAGCGAACGUGAGCAGUCUGCAACUCGUUACUUAGUAUGCGAUCACGAAUGAAAUGGCAAUCAAUUUCAAUGUGCUUUGUACGUUCAUGAAAAACUGGAUUUGCAGCAAUGUGUAGAGCAGCUUGGUUGUCACAAAAGAGAGACAUGGGUGAUGCUAAUGAAACUUUCAAAUCUGCAAACAAAGAACGCAGCCAGAGGAGUUCACUAGUAGCAUUGGCCAUUGCCCUAUACUCUGCUUCAGCGGAUGAGCGGGAAACUGUAGUUUGCUUUUUGGACUUCCAAGAAACCGGGCUAUUACCGAGGAAAACGAUAUAACCACUAGUCGAUCGUCGAGAUGUUGGGCAGCUGGCCCAAUCUGAGUCACAAUAAGCAAUGAGUUGCAGCAAACUAGCAGAUGACAAGAAUAUACCUUGGCCUGGUGCCCUUUUGAGGUAGUGAAGGACUCGAUAAGCUGCAUCCAAGUGAGGAACACGUGGAUCUUGCAUAAAUUGAUUGAGAACUUGUACUGGAUAGCUAAUGUCAGGUCGAGUUAUCGUCAAAUAAAGUAGCCUUCCAAUGAGACGACGAUAUUGACCAGCAUCUUUAACUACUGCACCAACUCCCGCUGCCAAGUUGUGUCGUUGUUCCAUAGGAAAGUCAGCAGGACUUGCGUCGAGAUGACAAGUCUCUUCAAGGAGGUCUAGAGUGUAUUUUCGCUGGCUAAGUACAAUUCCUUCCUUAUUACGAGCCACCUCAAUACCAAGAAAAUAUUUGAGUUGCCCAAGAUCUUUGAUGCGAAAAGCUGAAUCAAGAUGAUGCUUCAUAUGAUUGAUGGUGGUUGAAUCAUUUCCAGCCACAAUAACAUCAUCUACAUACACUAACAAAGCAGUAAAGUGUGCUCCACUGGUGAAUGUAAAAUGUGAAUUAUCUGUAGCAGAUUGACUAAAACCAAUACUCUACAAGCAACUAGAAAAUGUUUGAAACCAAUUUCUAGAGGCUUGUUUAAGGCCAUAAAGGGACUUUCGAAGUCGACAAACCCGAUUGUCACCUGGUUUUGCAAAGCCUUGUGGUAUUUUCAUGUAUACCUCUUCACGUAGAUCUCCAUGCAGGAAGGCAUUAUUAAUGUCCAGCUGAUGUAAUUCCCAAUGUCGUACUGCAGCCACAACUAAUAGACAACGUAGAGUUGUAAGCUUUGCAACUGGAGCAAAAGUAUCAUGGUAAUCGAGUCCUUCAACCUGUGUAAAACCUUUAGCAACCAAACGUGCCUUAAACCGCUCAAUUGUGCCAUCAGACUUGUACUUGAUUUUGUACACCCACUUGGAAUCAAUGGCAUGCUUACCAGGUGGUAGAUGCUCUAAUGUCUAAGUUUGAUUCUCCUCCAGUGCCUUAAUUUCUUGCUGCAUAGCAAGUCUCCAACGAUGAUCCCUAACUGCUUGGGAAAAAAACUUUGGUUCGUCUAAUGAAGUGAUGGAGGCCAAAAAAGCUUUAUGGGCAUCAGUGAAAUGAGAAUAGGACAAGUUAUGAGAGAUAGGAUAAAUUGUACCUGAGUUUGCUGAUGGAGGGGACUCCCGAGAUGGUUCCAAGGAGGGUAACAACUUAUAAUCAAAACCAGAAAGCUUUGUGGAUACAUGCCUUACUCGAUGUGGACGCUGCAAGGAAGGAAUUAUAUUUCCACUAGGGCUGCCAGUAUCUGGUUGUAGUGUAGAAUUAUCUUUUUCAUGUUGGGUUUGUUGGGAAAAUGUAUGUUCAAUAGGAGAUGGUGUGGUGUCCAUCGAAGUGGAGUUUAUAGGAGGUGGAAUUGGGUCAGAUUGUGAGUAAUCAUGCUGAUCUAUAUGGGGUUGCACACUCCACAUUGAAGGUUUAGACUCGUUAUUUCAUUGAAAAGGAAAUUCUGUCUCAUAAAAUAUCACAUCCCGUGAUACAAAUACUUUUUCUCUUUCCAAAUCAUAGACUUUAUAGCCCUUUUGUCCAUGGGGAUAACCAAGAAAAAUACACCGAUAGGCUCUAGUAGAGAAUUUAUCUCGGUGUUUGUCAUGAUUAUGAGCAUAACAAAGUGAUCCAAACACCUUCAAAUGAUUGUAGUUGGGUUUACUUUUGAAAAGUACCUCAUAUGGGCUCUUGCCUUUGAGAGUGGGAGUGGGCAUCAAAUUGAUAAGAUGAACUGCUGUCAAAACACAUUCUCCCCAAAAUUUCAAAGGUAAAUGGGCUUGAAAACGCAAUGCUCGCGCAACCUCAAGAAUGUGGCGAUGUUUGCUCUCCACUCGCCCAUUUUGUUGUGGAGUAUCAACACAAGAGGUUUGAUAGUCAAUCCCUUGACUAGCAAAAAAAUCUCUCAUGGUCCUGAGACAAAUUCACUCCCAUUAUCACUUCUCACAACCUGUACUGGGUAACCAAAUUGAGUUUGUGUAGAUUGGCAGAACAUGGUUAGAAAAUCAUAGGCCUACAAUUUAUUUUUCAAAAGAAAGACCCAAGUACAUCGUGAAAAAUCAUCAAAAAUAGUUAAGAAAUAAUGAGCACCACUAAGUGAUAAGACAGAAUAUGCUCCCCAAAGAUCAACAUGAAUCAAAGCAAAAGGUUUAACACUUUUCUUAUUGCUGUUUGGAAAAGACAAUCUUGUUUGUUUGGCCCUAUGGCAUACAUCACAAAUGUGAUUAAAAUUGCUAGGAAAAGGAAUACUAGAAAUUAAUUUUAAUCGGCUAAAGGAAGGAUGACCCAAGCGCAUGUGCCACAAGGUAGCAUCAGAUUCAGUAACACUAAGACUUGCGAGCCCGUGGCCUCCUUCUAAUUGAUAAACCCCAUCUCGGAGCCUACCCACUCCAAUCAGCAUCCUCGUACACAGGUCCUGAAAAAAAACAAGAAUCAGGAAGAAAGGUUGCUGAGCAGUUUAAUUCCUUUGUAGCUUUGGCAAUAGAGAGGAGAUUGAACUUGAAACCAGGCACACAAAUAACAUUUUUCAAAUUGAUAUUUGGUGUUAGGUAGGCAUUACCAACGUGAGUUACAGGGAGACUAGAGCCAUUUGCGAUUCUCACAUUUGGAUAUGAAGAGAUGCAUUUAACAUUGUCAAGUAUACUUUUGUCUCCAACCAUAUGGUUAGAGGCACCAGUAUCCAAAAUCCAUGAGUUAUGGAAUGAAUUGCAUUUACCUGCAAAGUUGGCCAAGGCCUCAUUAUCAUGAUUUGGUGGUCCAAGGAUUUGCAUGAGUUUGUUGUACUGGUCCAUUGUCAAUCCAAGAGGUUGUUGUGACUGUGACUUCUCACUUGGGUUGAUAAAUUGGUGGUCAGUUGCUGCUAUGUUGCCAUAGAUUUGCAUCUGCCCUGAAUUGUUCUUGCCUCCACCACAAUUGCCACCUUUGCUUUGUUGAUUAUUCUUCCAAUUUGCUGGAUACCCUAUUAUCUCAAAGCAUUCUUCCUUGAGAUGUCCCAUUUUCUUGCAAUGUUCACACCUUUUACUUGAUCGACUUCUUGGGGCUUGACUCCUGGUAUUUUCGUUGCCCCUACGAUCAGUUUUUGCUGCAAAAGCCGCUCCUUCCAGGCUGUGUGAUGUUUGUUCAUUUACUUGUACAAAGGAUUGCUCUUCUUGUAAAGCCAAGGAAAACAGUUUACUGAGUGAAGGUGUAGGUUCCAUGGACAGCACAUUAGAUCUCAACCGAUCGAAAUUUCCAUUCAAUCCCAGUAGAAAUUGAAGGGCUUUUUCUUUUUCUCGGCGUAAUAAGUGAUCCUUGGCUGCCUCGCAUUUGCAAUAAGGCAAUGGAUCAUAGAUUUACAGUUCUUGCCAUAAGGUUUUGAACUUGGUAUAAUAUUGAGUUAAAGGCUGCCCAUCUCCUUGUAACAUGUUGGAAAAUUAUUUUUUUAUUUUAUAAAGUCGAGGUGCAUUACUUUGUCCAUACCUUUCACAAAUCUCAGUCCAAAUUUCUUGUGCCGUGCCGGUGUAGACAACGCUCUCUUGUAUGUCCUUGGCCAAGGAAUUCCUCAGCCAUGCUCUAACCAUUGCAUCAUUCUUCUUCCACCGUUGAAAGUCUGGUGACUUUAGAUCUGGCACUUCUAGACUGCCAUCAAUGAAACCACCCUUGCCUUUGGCAUAUAGGGCUGUUUCCAUGGUGCUUUUCCAUGCUGCAAAAUUUUCUCCUGCGAAUGGUGUGGAGACAAAUUGCAGCCCUGGAUGAUCUGAAGGUACAACACAUAGGGGGAGUCAUCAUAGAUUGUAACCUCUCCCCCUUUCGUUGAAUUCUCUGGAGUUGACAUAUUUUAUUGUCAACAAUUGUUAAGGCUCAACCUGCUCUGAUGCCAUGAAGAAAAGGGUUCAGAUUGGGAAAAACUUCAAGCGUAUAUUACUGAUUGCAAUAGUCUGCUGAUAUAGUUGCAAGAAUUUGACAAAAAAUGGAAGAUACAAUUAUUCCUAAAAUCAUGUAAUGGAAAGCUAAAACUACUCCUACAAUCACGUCAUGAUAGAAACAUAUAUGGUAACAAUAUAUACAGCUAUAUGAUUGAAUAUCUCAACACAUGUCCAAGACUUGGGAUAAUUUGCCCUACUUGAAUCUUUCGCAUAACUUUUUGACUGGUACCAUAGACCAACUACGGUGCAAACAUCUGUUGCAUCUAGAUAUGAGUUUCAACUCACUUCAGGGUCAAAUGCCUUCUUCUAUCUGUAACUCAACUUCUCUUUUCAUUCUUGAUUUGUCAUAUAACAAUUUGGUUUCCCGAAUCCCUCAAUGCUUGGGAAACUUCAGCCAGAAGCUCUCCGUUUUGGAUUUGGGAAAUAAUGGACUUUUUGGCACCAUUCCCACAACUUUUUCACAAGGUAACUCUCUGAAUAUUCUUAUGCUGAAUGACAAUCAACAAGAUUGAUGAUAGAUUUCCAAUUUGGUUGGAAUCUCUACCUAAUCUACAGGUUUUCAUAAUCGAUUUCACGGAGGAAUUGGUAAUUUUCAAACUGAAAGCCCAUUUCCGCAGCUGAGAAUCAUCGAUGCAUCCUGCAAUGAGCUCACUGGUGUUCUACCUACAGAACUCUUCAAAAGCUUAGAAGCUAUGAGAAGCUUAAAGGAUCACCCUGGGCAAUAUAGGUCAGAAACUGGCUAUGAGCUUGAUUAUUACAUCCAUUCCUUGACUUUAGUAAUCAAAGGGACGGAGUAUAGUCUUGAAAGAGUCCUGAUAGAUCGAACAGCCAUUGAUUUCUCAAGCAACAGAUUUGAAGGACAAAUUCCAGAAAUUAUCGGAACCCUUCAUUCUCUUCUUAUACUCAAUUUCUCUCAUAACAAUCUCAGUGGUCAUACUCCCCGGGCAUUAGGGAAUUUGAAUAAGCUUGAAUGUCUAGACCUCUCUUGGAACCAGCUUGAGGGAACUAUUCCUGUGGAGCUUCUGAAUCUGACAUUCCUUGAAUUCUUACACCUUUCAGAAAAUCAUCUGAUUGGACCCAUUCCUCGAGGAAGACAUUUUGAUACAUUUGGGAAUGAUUCAUGCAGAGGGAACUCGGCCUUGUGUGGAUCACCAUUGACUAAAGAUUGUGGAAAUACAGGGGCACCACCACCAGCCUCGCCAUUCGGAUCUGAGCAACAAUAUGAUCCAGAGUUCUUUGAUGGAUUCACCUGGAGAGCUGUUGUUCUGGGAUAUGGUUGCGGAUUAGUGCUCGGACUAACCAUGGGAAGUCUCGUGUUCUUAACUGAAAAACGAAGAUGGUUCAUAUAGAUUGUUGAAGAGUCGUACAAUCUGUGAAAAAGAUCGAGGAAAUAUGUCCACAUACGAACUUGAGAACAGCAAUGCAAUUUACAAAAUUGGUGGGCAAAACAUACUCUCUUCUGCAGCUGUUGUCUAAUAAUUUUACUUCCUCUGCAUAAUUUCCAUUUUCAUAAUCAAAUAUCCUUGGAAAUGAUAACUUUUUUCUAUGGCUAAUCACCAGAAAAUUUGACUUUUUAUGUCCAGGCCUCCCAUUGGAGUCGUAACUAGGAAGGAUCAGCAGUAAAACUGGCUUUGUUUCAGUUCCAGUUGUAUGUAUCUGCUAUGCACGUUUUAAGGUUCUAAUAGUUGCUUCUUUUUAUGAUUGUCAAGUUCCAGGUGCAAAGAGAUUCUGAUUCCUUGCAACUUUAUCUUUUGCUUCAUGGUUAAAAAUGAAAUCAAGAACAUGUUCAGAAAAUAUGAAAAAAGGGUAUAUCCCAGUUUGGUUUGCACAUUGAAAGUUGUUCGAUGAAAAUUAUGACAAUAAUUCUCUUCAUUAUUCCCCACCUGCCAAAGAAGUUAUCUUUGAGACUACAAACUAGGCUAGUGUGCUUUAAAAUGCUUUACAUUGACUAAUCAACAACGAAGAUGUUCUUCAACUUGCACCUUUGUGGGACUUGAUUUGGAACAGCUUUGCACCAUUCGAACUUCAAUCGUUUACUGCCACAGCUGGUAUGUGUGAACAGAGAGAGACUAAUCCAAGCCACUUUUCUUGACUUUGUGGAAAAGAACAAGUCAUCCUCAGUCUUUUGCAAUAAAUUAUAGAUAAGUGAAGCCUAGUCUUCAUCCAAAAUUGUCAAAAGUGAAAUUCAUGGAUGCAACUUGAACAUAACUUAUUCUUCACUGGACCUGAAAAUUAGAGCACCAGCGACCAGCUUAAUCUUAAUUGGCUUUGGAGCUUCCACGCCAAAUGGUACGACAAUUUUGAGAAAAGGGAAGGGAGAGUUAUAGAUUUCAAGAGAAUGAUCUUUUUUCACACUACCAAAUUAGGGUCUACUAACAAAAUUUAUAGUGAAGUUCUUCAAAUCAAAUGAUCAAUCCACGAGACAAAAUCUAAUAGCAUGAACUAACUCGAAAAUAAGGUUGAGAUCUCUAUUUUAAAUACAAAAGACAAUUCACAUAUCCGAGAUAAUGAGUCAAGGAUAACCAUAUAAUAAAGCACAUACAACCACAAACUUCAAACAGCAACAAGUAACCAUGAAAUGCUUCAUGAUCCAAUUAACACAAGAAAAGCAAGAUAGUUAAGUAAUCUUAACAGAAUGCUUAUUGACUUUCUACAUCUCUUUAAUCAUUUCUUUUUCCAAUUUUUUUUUUUGUUUUACAACAAAACAAAAGUGAAUUCCAGAUAUGACCCCAUUACAGGUUCAAAAGUACAGAUAAUACUCAUGAACGAAAAGGAAUGAGAUGGGUAGGCCACUUUGGCCCCAUAGCUGUGACAAUUAGUGGACUCGUUGAUCCAAAGGCAUUUAUGGUGGAAAUGAAUUUAGAACGUAAAUGUAGUUUCUUGGCAUUACAAGUCUUUACAAGCCUAAUGAAGAUAGCAAAUAAUUCAUAUGGAUGCUACGACUUUUCAGAGGAGCUAAGGCCCAUUCUAAUUAGCCAUUACUCAUGAAAGGGAUAGUUAGAUAGGAAUUUAGUAACAUAGUGAUAGAAGCCAUCCAAAGAGAACCGGUCCAUUUGUGCACAAAGCAAAGUGAGUUUAGGAUAUAUAUGCUACACCAACAAUCUGCACAUACAAAAUUUGAUCAAGCAAAAUGAGGAAUCUAAUAGUUUAUACACUAGUGCUCCUUUCUUUGCAAUCUCGAGAAAUUACCAGUUUGUCUUCCUUUUUACCUCAUUUGUGUCACCAUGAUGAGAGUCUUGCUCUACUUCAGCUUAAGCAAAUGUUUCAAAAAUCAACAGAUGCUUCUGCCUACUGUGAAAAUGCAUAUCCAAAGAUGAUAUCAUGGAGCAAAACUUCUGAUUGCUGCACCUGGGAUGGGGUAACAUGCCAUAGAGUUACAGGUCAUGUAAUUGGCAUAGACCUUAGUUGCUGCCAACUUCAAGGAUCCAUCUAUGCUAAUAGUAGCCUGUUCAAUCUUUCUCGCCUCCAAAAGCUUAAUCUAGCUUACAAUGACUUCAAGAAUUCACCAAUUUCUCAUGGCAUUGGUGGCUUGACUAGUUUAACAAACCUCAAUCUCUCCAAUUCCAAUUUCUACGCUCAAAUUCCAUCCCAAAUAUCUUUACUGUCAAAUUUAGUUUCACUCGAUCUCUCCCAAAAUCCUAUUGAGUUUGAACAUCAGGAUUUCCAACUGCUUCUUCAAAACUUAACUCAGGUUAGAAUACUUUCUCUUUCUGACGUUAGUAUCUUCUCCGAGUUCCCUAAGAACUUUUCUUCAUCUUUGACAAUUGUGGAUCUUGGUCAAACUCAAGUUUAUGGUAAGCUACCAGACCAUAUUUUCUAUCUAGCAAAAUUGCAACAACUCAUACUAAAUGGAACUCAAGUCACUGGAAGUUUACCGAACUUGAACUGCACUGCUUCAUACAUGUUGUCGUACUUAGAUCUUGCUUACACAAAUUUUUCUGGGGAACUUCCCAACACAUUUGGCUGCUUGAAGUCCUUGAACGCCAUGUUGCUCGAUGGAUGUCAGUUCACUGGUCGCCUUCCUGAGUCAAUUGGAAACCUUUCUCAGCUCACUACGAUGUCUCUGACUCAAAACAGUUUCAGUGGGCCUCUUCCAUCGGUGAUCUCAAACCUUGUCCAACUGGAAGUUUUAGACCUUACAGGCAACCAAGUGCAAGGCCAAAUACCAGAUUGUUUCACAAAUCUCCAAAAAUUAACUCAAUUGUCAUUGCGAGACAACCAUUUGGUUGGGCCUUUCCCAUCCACCAUUGCGAACCUUACCAAUCUCCAGACGCUAGAUCUACAAUCCAAUUCGAUAACAGGUCCUCUUCCAUCAAACGUGAGUGGCCUUCAGGAAUUGUCUUUUCUAUAUCUUUAAAACAACUUGCUCCAUGGCACAGCACCGACAUGGUUAUUUAGCCUGCAGUUACUCACAACUUUGCUUCUCAAAAACAAUCUCCUAACAGGACAAAUCGAAGAGCUCAAUGGAAUGUCACUGAUGAAAAUUGAUUUGAGUAAUAACCAAUUAUAUGGUCAAAUUCCUAAAUCAAUUUCAACACUCCCAUUUUUAGAUUUCCUUGACCUCUCAUCAAAUAAUUUGAGUGGCGUGCUUGAACUAUCCAGUGAUGGUCUUGAGUACCUUGUUCUCUCUAAUAAUCGAAUAUCAUGGAGCACCAGCGGAAAUGUCAGCAACUCUUUACCAAACCUUUAUCGUUUAGAGCUAUCUUCUUGUGAGAUGAAGGCUUUCCCAGAAUUUCUCAGAAGCUCAAAGAAGUUAGAAGUUCUACAGCUCUCUGACAAUAAGAUUCAAGGUCAGAUUCCCAGCUGGGUGACAUCCAUGCCUUGGGAUUCACUUCUGUAUCUAAAUCUAUCUUAUGACCACCUUUCUGGGAUGGAUGCAUUACCUUGGAAGAAUCUAAGGGUUCUAGAUGUUCGAUUCAACCAAAUCCAAGGACAAUGGCCUUUUUUCAUUUGCAAUUUGAAAGCUCUAGCAAUUCUUGAUUUGUCAAGGAACAAAUUUACUGGUGCAAACCUCGGUGUUUUGGGAACUUUUCUAGUUUUGUGGUCCUGAAUUUGGAAGGAAAUGGCCUGCAAAGGACCAUUAAUUCAAUGGUAUUUGCAAAAGAUAUCAGAUUGAGAUAUCUUGGUCUGAAUAGAAAUUUCUUGGAAGGGCCGCUGCCAGAAACUUUGGCCAACUGCAAGUCCUUGAUGUGGGGAACAACCGUCUGAAAGAUAUAUUUCCUGCAUGGUUACAAAAUCUUACGGAGCUCCAAGUUCUUGUGUUGAGUUCUAACAGAUUCUUUGGACCCAUAAGCAUUUUCAAGGCUAAGAGUCCAUUCCAAAAGUUGCAAAUCUUCGCCCUCUCUUGCAAUGAGUUCAGUGGUGUUCUAUCUACAGAACUUUGGAAAGCUUCAGGGCUAUGAUGAGCUUACAAAGCAACAAAUCAGAAUCUAAAUACUUGCAUGCAACCGGUAAUACAACAAAUUAUCUAUACUCUGUCAGCAUGACAUCCAAAGGCCAUGAGAUUGAGUUCACCAAAAUCAUUAGAACUCUCACAACCAUUGAUCUGUCAAGCAACAUGUUUCAUGGGAGGAUCCCAGACGUCAUUGGAAAUCUCUACUCCCUCAAGUUGUUGAACUUAUCCAACAAUAACUUUUCUGGCCACAUUCCACCAGCUAUUGGGAACCUGAAAUUUCUUGAAACAUUAGACCUUUCAAGAAACCAAAUUGGAGGAGAGAUUCCAAUGCAGCUAACGAAUCUUACAUCUCUUGAAGUCCUAAACUUAUCAUGCAAUCAUCUUAUUGGGCAAUUCCUCAAGGCAAUCAAUUGCGCACACUUGGUGAAGAUUCAUACAGCGGAAACUCAGGAUUAUGUGGAUUCCCAAUAACAAAAAGCUGUGAAGAAAUGCAUGUGCCACAAGCGCCCCCAGAUGAGGCAUUGGAACAAGGCGAGGAUUCGAGUUUCAUGGGUGGAUUUACAAGGAAAUCAGUGCUCAUAGGAUAUGGUUGUGGACUUGUUCUUGGCAUAGCUUCUGGUUUUCUAAUGUUUGCUACUGGAAAACCAAGAAGAUUGGUAAGAUUCAUUGAAGAAGAAGCAUAUAGUAAUAGUGUACUCUUGUUUGGAAAGAGAAAAACUGUAUAAUCAGCUGAAAAAACCAAUAACAUGUCACGAGCGCAUGGAAGAAGAAACUAAAUAUCCAGAUAAAUGAGGUAACUAGAACAUACAUUCUGUGAUUUUAUAUUGUUUCCUUGUACAACUUUGUUAUCUAUAUCAUCAAAUGUUUACAUUCUUAAGAUAAACUGUACUUCUUACAGUUGCCCAAUUUAUAUUCAAGCACUUACUAUCUUUGUGCUUAAUAAGCUAUUAUUCAUACAGCGGGUCUGGUUUUAUAUUUGUAUAGCUGAUAUCAAAUUUUUGGAGCAUGUCUCGUUGCCCCAUUAUUCAAAAAUAACAGCUUUAAGAUCUCCAGUCUAUGAACCAAGAUAUCACUCAAGGCCAUAACCAAAAGGAUGACCUCACAGGAUCCAAAGCCAUUUCUGAUAAUUAGUGAGACUGAUAGUUUCUUGGGUUUUCACUGAAUUUCUGAUUCAAUGAAUUAGAAUAGACAGCUUUAAGGAUAUGAUACCUUUCUUUUUAUUAUUCUCAUUUAUUGAUUUGAUCAAUUCAUCUAAGCAAUCACCAUUGUUGUAGUUUAAUGUGCUUACCUUUCAUUUUUGUAGGUGGAGAAAUUUGGGAAAGAGAACUUUUCAUUCCACGUUAGAUGUCUUAAGUAUUUGUGUUAGACCUAUUAACCUUUCACGGUUCUUCAAGUGCUGUCAAUUACUAAACUCAUAGAAAUCAAAAUCCGCUUCAAAAUUUCUCAUAUUAUGUCCUUUGUUCUUUUCAUGUGUGAAUCUUAGUGUGGUUUUGUAACACUUUGUAGAAGCUCAACAAUUGAUUACUAGAUUCAGGUUUCUAAAAGAUAGUCUCCAUUAAUUAUAUGAUUUAGGAAACCCAAAUUAAUGGUGAAAAUAAUAAUUACAUUUUUCAGAAGCUCCUAAAGGUAGGAACUAAUAUUGAAAUUCACCUUUAUGAGACGGUACAGACUCUAUACAUUGGCACAUCCCAAAAUUAUUCUGAAAAUGAUCCAGCUUUGUGUCAAAGUUCAUUAAGGGUACACAAGAAUGUCCAACCACAAGCUAAAAAUUAGUUUUACUAGAACUAAUUUUUAUUAAACUUCAAAACAUAAGCUAAAUUAUUUAACAACAAAAUAGCAAUGAAUUGAGAACAUAGGAUUUGUAAUUCAACAAAAAAGAGGAAAUUAAGGAUUAUGUGGAUUUGCACAAGUACAUGUAACUUGAUGUUACUGUUGGAUCUUUUAAUUGGAAAUAAAGGAUGGCUUACCUAAUUAAAUUUACCACUACCAGGUCAACCUUCUUGCAGUUUCAGCAUUGUUUUUUCAAUAACUCAGCUUCCCCAUGGAUUUUGCUGCAUUCAAAUAAUUUUGUCCUCAGCGUCAGAGAGAAGUCAUAGACAAGUAAUUUGAUUGAUAAGAAACCAACAUGUCAGGCCAUUCAAUUAACUUCUUAAUCAUGUAACUCACCGUUGUGCACAGAAAUAUGAGACUCUAAAAGACAAACCUUGAAAUAGCAUUUCUCCAUUCACGUUUAGUUUGAUUUUAUGAUCUAAAGUAACUGCUGGUGUACUUGCAACACAAAAUGAGAAGACUAACGUGCUUUGUGCAUCAGUUGAAUGAAGCUAAAGGAAAGCACCAACAAAGUGCCCUGCGUCUGGUGAACAAAAGCCACAUAUGGCAACACGAUGAACAUCUCCAGCUCCACGACAAACCUAGUUGCAAAGUUACCCAUUAAAGAACAUAAAAACGAAAGUUGAAAACUUUCUGAUCGAACAUCUUUAAAACCAACAGAACAAUCUUCCAGAAGGAGCAAGUCAUUCUGAUUCUUGUGCAAUCUUUUAUCAAUCCCACAAGGGUGGAACAAAACCUAGAAGUGGAUUCAAUUAAUAACUCUAUGGUGACAAAUUGUCAUCAAAAGAUUUAAGCUCUGAAGGAAACAACUAUAACCAAAAUUUUAAUUGUGGUAUAUACAUCUAAAUGAAAGCAAUUUCAAAGUUUGAGGAGCCAAAAACAUCAGCAAGAAUGAUGAUUGCUACCCAUAAAAGGAAAAAGAAAAAAAAGGAUAAGAUCAGCAGCUCUACUCAGCCACCACUCAAACUGAUUGCAACAUAGCUAGAACAUGUUGACACUCUGCCUAAUCUAAUUAACGAGAAACUGGCAUGUCAUACAAAUGCACUUCUGGACACGCAAUUGCGAGAAACUGGCAUGUCAUACAAAUGCAAUUGAUAUAAAUUUCUGCUGACAUGGGAACAAAAUGUUGAUCUCAGCAUCCUGGCAGUAUACUUCAUGGAUGGAAUAGUUGGAAAAUUGUAUUCAGCAAGUCAUGGAGCCUGAUGUUUCCAAGUCACUCUCUUCACUCCCAGCAAAUUUAAUAGAUCUGCCAAAAAGAGCCAUCUUCUCUGACAAAUUACGAAGAGCAUCCUGCCUAUUAGCCAAUUCCAUAAGCACCUUAAUCCUCCUAAAUGAAACAUUACUUGGUUUUUGCCCUUUCUCCACCAUCUGCAAGAAAGACCUCUCAGCCUCAUCCAACUUCCCCAUGUCACAAAGCAAAUCAAACAAAACGUCAGAGACCAAUAUAUAAGAGCCAUACCCCAUCUCCACCAUAUCAUUCCAUAGCUCAAGUCCCAUUUCAACCUUCUCGUGCCUUCUCAACAACCUGAUCAAAAACAUACAAGAUUGAGUGUUUGGUAGACACCCUGUUUCCCUCAUUCUCAGGUACAAGUUCCAUGAACUUAUCAAAUCAUUCCACCAAUAAAAGUCCUCAACAAAAUAUUUUAAGUAGUUGCAUUUGGGCUCAACACCUUCUUUACCAUCUCAUUCAUCAAACCAUAGGCAUCCCCAAUCCUCUUUGCAAUACAGAAAUUUCUAAUAGCAGCAUUGUAAGCUGCCACAUCAGGAUAGCAUCCAUACUCUCUCAUCUCUUCCAAAACAUCCCUUGCCUUAUCAGGUUGCCCCACAAGCCCCAAACCACCAAUCAAACUCGUAUAUGUAAUCACAUCUGGACUAAUAUCCCUCUCCCUCAUCUCCUCCACCACCCUAUACGCCUUAUCCAUUUCUCUCGUCUUACAAUACACAUCCACCAAACACUAUCAGGUUCAACCCCCAUUUCCCUCGUCUCCUCAAAAAAGCCCUCGGCCUCAUCAGUUGACUUCCAACCAGCCAACAAUAUAUUAAAAGUCUGCAAAUUCGGCCUAAAUUCAUGCUUCAAGUUAUGAUACACAUUCCUGGCAUCACUCAUCCUCUUCUCUUGACACAAUGUCCUAAACAGUGCAUUGUAACAACUAGUAUCAAACUCCAAAACAAGCCUUCGAAACCGCUUAAACGAAAUCACAGUCUGCUUAACUGAACAAACCUUAGCAAUCCUAGCUAAGACAACUUGAACAGUUCUUGAAGUGAUCGAAGAUUGAUCCUUUUUCUUCGCUUCCACCAAAACCUCCCAAAUAUUAUCAAAUUUUCUGCUCCUACCCAAAACAUACAGCAUUGUAUCCAAAGAAAAUGCAGAAUGCAAAAACCCCUUUUUCCUAGAUGUAAACUUAAAGAAUUCCAAAGCCUGUAAUGGAUUAGAAUGAGAAAAUCUGACCCUUUUCAGAACAUUAUCAAUUAAGUCAUUUGAGAAAGGGAUUGAAGCUGCUGCUGAUCUCAGUGACUGUCUGAGUUCAACUGAGGUUCUUGAACUUGUUAGUAUCCGAAAAACAGUCUCAACAUCGUCGUUUACAGCAGGGGAGGAAGAAGUAAAAGGCGGGAUUUUUUCAAUUUGGGGAAUGGAACUAAAGAAAAGAAGUGAAUUUAAACAGGCAUACCUUACUGUUGCCGUUGAUGAUGUACAAGAGUGAAGAAAAAUGGGAUUUCUGAUAAAAAGAUGGAGCAAUUUUUUUGGGAUGAAAUCUGAAUGAAGACAAGAACCAAAUAUUCAGACUCUAUGCUACUGCUGCUCCUGCAGGUUUUCCCUCAAGUAUUCGAAUGCAUGAAAUUUUUGGGAUUUUUGUGAUUUUGGGGUCAUUUUUUAUGCUGUGGUUUUGCCGCAAAGCGAUUCUUCCAGCUGAAUUGAAGUGAAAGUUACACUUCAGGGAUGCACCUCUGUAUUCUUUUGUUUUCCUCUUUUUUGCCUUUUUUUUUCCAUCGGCGAAAUAAAAAGAGAAAAAAAAAGUAGGCUAAUACCAUAAAAAUGACCAUAGUUUUAGAACCAUCAGAUCCAAUUACUUUUAAAGGUCAAACUAGGAGGGGAACACCGCGCGAUGCGCGGUGUAAUUUUCAAGUUUGCCCAGAAACGUUCAAUUAUUCAAACUGGGAUAUUCAAUAUAAAAAGUUACAUGAAGGUGCAUCCAAAUGUUUGUGAUUAUUUUUUAUAAUUUUAUUAUGCAAUGAAGAGAGCCACAAUUUCAGUCUAGUUGCUAAAUGACAGUCAUUUUUGGUAUGCUGACUAAUUGGACAGCAAUGGCAAUGUCAUUAGUUUGAAAAUAAUAUAACACUGUGUAAUGCUGCCUUAUAUUUUUUAUGUACACCAAAAUCUGUGACUUUGUAGCUAAAAAAAAAAAAGAGAGAGCAGUGUAGUAUUGCAGCAAGGCUUAGCCUUAUUUUUAGACUCUGAUACAACCAAUCCACUAUUUUCGUAAUUGCAUCAAAUUAACCCAAAGACUGAAAGAAAGACCUAUUACUUUGUAGUACAAUAACCAAAAUGGCUUCAUUAGCUUGUAACUUCAAGAAAUCUACGGAAAGCAAAAGAAUUGUGCUCACAUAUCAACCGUAGUGAGAUAAACUGCAUUUGACCAAAAACGGAGGAGGAUUACCUAAUGCAGGUGUAUCUUCUCAAUACAUCAAUAGUAUAGGGGAUGGUCAAGUACUCAAUACACAAAAAAAAAAGAAAAAAGGAAGUUUCACAGGCCUCGAUGCAAUUCUACCUUUGAUCAUUUGAUGCAUGUCAACAACCAGAAUCCCGUAAAAGGAAAGACAAGUACAUGAGAUAAUGUAAAAGCCUGCAUUUAUGAAACUUACUACCAGUAGACUGCAUUCCAGAGGUUCUCAUUACACAUCAAAGCUGUUCCAGCUCAAAAAGGAAUAUAAGAAAAAGAAGAAAAAAGAAAUGCACAGUGUGCAUCAAGCCUUUUCCUUGUUAUUAGAAUCAUACACUUCAAAAUAACCGAAAGACCGAAAAAUGCAUUACUUUGUAGUACAAUAACUAAAAAGGUUUUUAUUAGCAUAUAACUUCAAGAAAUCUAAUGAAAAGUGUGAAUUUCAGAGGAAGAGAAUAAAUUCCCCAUAUUUUUAUUCAUCAAUGGUAAGGGUAUAUAUACAGGUAUAGACAUCUUAUAAUAUGAAGAUAUCCUAUUACAAUAAAUCAGUCCUCUAAUUCCUAUAAUUUAGGCUACAAACUAGCCUACAUUUGUUAGCUAUCUAAUCCCUACAAAUCAGCCUAUAUCAAUCUGUGACAGCUAUCUAAUCCCUACAAAUCAGCCUGCAUAUAAUCUGUAACACUCCCCCUCAAGCUGGAGCAUAGAUAUUAAUCAUGCCCAGCUUGUUACAUAGAUAAUCAAUCCGGACCCCGUUAAGAGCUUUUGUGAAUAUAUCACCUAAUUGUUCUCCAGUCUUCACAUAACCUGUAGUGAUCAAACCUUGUUGGAUCUUUUCACGAACAAAAUGACAAUCAAUCUCAAUGUGUUUCGUUCGUUCAUGAAAGACUGGAUUGGAAGCAAUGUGAAGUGCAGCUUGAUUAUCACACCAUAGCUUGGCAGGUACUGAGACCUUAAUUCCUACUUCACUAAGGAGCUGAUAUACCCAUAUGACUUCACACACAGACUUGGCCAUAGCUCUAUAUUCAGCUUCCGCACUGGAUCGUGAGACGACAUUCUGUUUCUUACUCUUCCAUGAGACCAAAUUUCCCCCAACAAAAACACAAUAUCCUGAAGUAGAUCUCCUAUCUUCCUUACACCCUGCCCAAUCUGAAUCUGAAAAACAUUCAAUCCUAGUAUGACCAUGAUUGCCAUAUAGGAUUCCACGUCCAGGAGCACAUUUUAAAUAGUGCAAAACUUGUUCGACUGCUUUCCAAUGGUCAACAGUUGGUGAGGACAUAUAUUGGCUUAACACACUCACUGAAUAAGCAAUAUCAGGACGUGUCACAGUAAGAUAAUUCAACUUUCCGAUUAGUCUUCUGUACCUCUCAGGAUCUGCACACAAUUCACCUUCUUUGGUUAAUUGUAAAUUAGGAACCAUUGGGGUACUACAUGGUUUAGCACCCAACUUUCCCGACUCCGACAGUAAAUCAAGUACAUACUUUCUCUGUGAUAGAAAGAUUCCCUUCUUACUCCUGCUAACUUCAACUCCCAAGAAAUACUUUAACAUCCCCAAGUCUUUGGUAUAGAACUGAGUAUGAAGAAAGGACUUUAGAGACGAAAUUCCGCUAGAGUCGCUACCUGUGAUUACAAUAUCAUCCACAUAUACAACUAACAGAAUAAUACCUCCAUUAGAGUGUCUAUAGAAAAUAGAAUGAUCUGACUUGCUUUUCUGCAUCCCAAAUUUCUCAAUAGCUUGGCUAAAUUUUCCAAACCAAGCCCGAGGACUCUGUUUCAAGCCAUAUAGAGAUUUUUGCAGACGACAGACUUUCCCUUUCCCAUACCCCCCUUGAGCAACAAAACCAGGUGGUUGCUCCAUAUAUACCUCCUCCUGAAGAUCACCAUGAAGAAAGGCAUUCUUGAUGUCUAACUGAUGCAGAGGCCAGUCAUAAGCUGCAGCAAGGGAGAUAAACAACCUGACCGAAGCAAGUUUAGCAACAGGAGAAAAAGUAUCAUGAUAAUCCACCCCAUAAAUUUGAGCAUAUCCUUUAGCAACAAGUCGAGCUUUCAAUCGAGAAAUGGAGCCAUCAGAAUUCAUUUUGACAGUAAACACCCAUUUACAUCCAAUGGCUUGUUUACCUGCAGGUAAGGUAACCAAAGUCCAUGUACCAUUGACAUCUAGAGCAUUCAUUUCCUCAAUCAUAGCAGUCCGCCAUCCGGGAUGAGCUAAUGCCUCUCGAACAGUCUUAGGUACAGAAACAGUGUCUAGGGAUGUAAGAAAAGCACAAGAAGAGGAAGACAAAUGAUGGUAGGAAACAACUGAAGAGAUUGGAUAAGUACAUGCACGUUUACCUUUUCUGUGAGCAAUAGGGAGAUCAAGAUCAUCGUUGGCAGCCGGAUCUGAUGACAAAGAGACUGGUUCAUCAGGACAUGAUUCUGGAGACUCAAGGACCAAGUCAGAACUGGGCUGAUGUGCCCGACGUGAGUAGGUAUAUUUGAUGGGAGGCUUAACCGGUGUAGAAGGAGGCGGACCCAAAUUUGGUAUGACACUAUAGAUUAACAAAUCAUCAUCCUCCCCUGGACUCACAGAACUUGAAGAGCCUGAAGAUGAAGAUAAAGGUGUUUGUUCCAAAAAAGUAACAUCAGCAGACACAAGAUACUUACCAAGACUAGGACAAUAACAACGAUACCCUUUUUGCAUGCGAGAAUAACCCAGAAACAUACACUUUAAGGACUUAGGAUCAAGUUUUGUAACUUGAGGACGAACAUCCCGAACAAAACAAGUACAACCGAAUAUCUUUGGUUCUAUAGGAAACAACUGUUUAUUUGGAAAUAGAGUGUGGAAAGGAGUAUUACCAGACAAAACAGAGGAAGGCAUACGAUUGAUUAGAAAACAAGCAGUAGAUAGAGCAUCAGCCCAGAAACAUUUAGGAACCUUCAUUUGAAAUAACAAAGCUCGAGCAGUUUCAAGAAGGUGUCUAUUCUUUCUCUCGGCAACCCCAUUUUGAGAAGGGGUGUCAACACAAGAGGUCUGAUGAAGAAUACCCUGCUCAAGCAUGUAUUUCUGAAAACUGCUUGAAACAUAUUCUUUUGCAUUAUCACUUCGCAAAAUUUGUACAGGUUUACCAAAUUGGGUUCGAAUUUCAGCACAAAAGGAAGAAAAGUGAAGAAAUAGUUCUGAGCGACUUUGCAUCAAAUAAAGCCAUGUCAUUCUAGAAUAAUCAUCCACAAAGGUAACAAAAUAUCUGAAACCAGUUUUAGAGGUAACUGGACAAGGACCCCAAACAUCAGAAUGUACUAACUCGAAGGGAGCAGUAGCUCGCUUAUUGAUUCUAGGACUAGAACUAAGACGAUGAUGUUUAGCAAACUGACAAGACUCACAAUCUAAGGAAGUAAUGUUUGAAAACUGAGGACAAAGUUUCUUCAACAUAGAAAGCGAAGGAUGACCCAAUCGACAAUGUGCUUCAAAAGGAGAGAUUGUUCCAGCACAAGCUAUAGACCCUGGUUUCGGUGUAUCAAGAAUGUAGAGACCGUCAGACUCAUGUCCCUCACCAAUAAUCUUCUUCGUCAUGAGAUCCUGAAAUGAACAAUAACCAGGAAAAAAUGAGACACAACAAUUAAGAGCACGAGUAAGUUUGCUGACAGAAAUCAGAUUAAAAGAUAGUUGUGGUAGACUCAGAACAGAUGAUAAAUGGAGAGAUGAUGUGGGCUGAGUGGUUCCAGACCCAAUAACACUGGAUGUUGAACCAUCGGCUAAAGUAACAGGAGUGAUAGAUUUAUGUGGCUGAAAGUUAGAAAGUAAACUAGGAUUACCUGUCAUGUGAUCAGUAGCACCAGAAUCAAUGACCCAUUUUGGAGAAGAGGAAACAAGACAUGCAUUGGGUUUACCUGUCUCGACAGGAGCAGUAACAUGACCAGAUGGCUGUUUCACUGUUUCUUGAAACUGAGUCAAUCUAGCAUACUUAUCCGCAGAUAUUGUAACAUGCUUGUCAGAGGUGGCACAACUAGAUGCAAUAUGGGCAGAGUGAGCCUUCUUAUACUGCAGCUUCCGACAGUCUCGCUUGAUAUGACCUGGUUUAUGACAGUAGUGACAUACAAUCUCUCCUUGCUCCUGUCCAUGAUUGCUAGUAUUCUUAUCAGAGUGGUUGGGCCCCGACCCCAUGCUCGUACUGUUGCCAUUACUCUUGUAGUGUUGUCUUCCUGAAUCAGCUGUGGUAGUUCGGCUAAGAAGAACACUGUUAGGCUGAGUAGAUAGAACAGGUAACGUAUUCUCUGUACGGAGAACCCUUCGAAAAGCAUCUUCUAGACUGGAAAUUUCUGAACCGGAAAGAAUUUGAGAUUUAGCAGUCUCAAAUUCAGACGGAAGACCGGCUAGAAAACUCAUAACCGCCAUCUUCGCUCGCUGAUUUCGUUGUUCCUCCACAUCACAACUGAAGGGAAGCAGCAUAUUGAGCUCUUCAUAUGUUUUCUUGAAGUCCAUAAAAUAACUGGUGAGAGACUUGUCUCCUUUAUCUGCCCUGUAAAAAUCCUUGCAAACAUCAUAGAUACGAGAGAAAUUUCCUUUUCCAGAAUAUAAGAACUGUAAAUAGUUCAUUAAUUGUUUUACUGUCUUACAAUGAGUCACCAGACCAACCACCUCACUAUCAAUAGAAUUACGGAUCUGUAUAUACAAGCGAGCAUCCUCUCUCAUCCAAGACAAUUUAGAGUCAUCCGUAGGUGGAUCAUCAGUCAGAUGGCCAUCCAUAGAAAUACUGAGCAGAUAUAAUUCAAUAGUAUUGUUCCAAUCAAGAAAAUUAAUUCCAGUUAACUUAUGUUCCGUGAUUUUUGAAACCAGCGGAACUAUAUCAGAAACAACUCCAGGCUUUUUGUCAGACAUAAUUGCUAAGAAAAUUCAACAAGAUAACAGAUUACCCACAAGAAAAACCUGUUGUAGCCAAGUCCCACACCUAGAUCGAUGUUGACCCACAAACAGGUAUGCAAAUAGCGUCGAGAGACAGAGGAGAGGUGCUGGGUUCUGACCAAUCGGUACUACGUACCUCCCUGAGUUGGCGGUGUCUAUAAAGGAACCUCUAAAGCCUGUACCUUGAAUAUGGCAGCAGCUUCCCUCACACCCAACAACCCAGAAAAAAAAAAUUUAUGAACAAACCUUGCUCUGAUACCAUGUGAAUUUCAGAGGAAGAGAAUAAAUUCCCCAUAUUUUUAUUCAUCAAUGGUAAGGGUAUAUAUACAGGUAUAGACAUCUUAUAAUAUGAAGAUAUCCUAUUACAAUAAAUCAGUCCUCUAAUUCCUAUAAUUUAGGCUACAAACUAGCCUACAUUUGUUAGCUAUCUAAUCCCUACAAAUCAGCCUAUAUCAAUCUGUGACAGCUAUCUAAUCCCUACAAAUCAGCCUGCAUAUAAUCUGUAACAAAAAGAAACUGUGUUUACGUAUCAACCUUAGUGGGAUAAAUUGCAUUUGAUCAAAAAAGGAGGAGGAUUAUUAAUAUAGGCCAUACUUCUAUCCUCUCAAUACAUCAGUAGCAAAAGGGAUGGUCAAACUCUUGGCACAAAAUAACUCAUCCAGUUACACAAGAUUUUAAACCAAAUAAAAAUAUUAUGAUAACACCAUCCGCGUGAGAUAUAAUGCAUCAAGAGCUGACAUACAUAUAUAGCAGGUAAUGCAAAGAUCAGAUAGCUACAGUUAGUGCAAAAUCUAGUAUCCAGGGUCAUACGCUUCAAGGCUUUGAUCUUGAUAAAGCUUCAAGGGUGGCCGAUUCUGCUUCCCACAUAAAUAAACACGUAGUUUUGUUAAUCAAAUGGCAGAGGCAUUCUUGAGUGGUACUGCAAAAAUCCACUUCGUAUAGUUAAAUAUUAGUAACAAUUACCAUAUUCUCCAAAAAUAUAUCAUAGAUUUUUUUCUUUUAUCAUUGUCACUUCCAUUUUAAUCUAACUUUUUUCACUUACAGGAACAUCAUAAUUAGCGCCUAUCUAUGCAAUUACCUAUAUGGCAGACAAGUUUUUUCCAUAUAAUUAUCCCUGAAGGCAAAAGUAUGGGGCAAAGGAUUUUGUACAAUUCAUAGGUUAGGGCAUACUGCACCAGUGUGGCCAAAGAAUAAACGAACAAUCUUCAAUUACAAUAUAAAACAUGCAAUAACUACAAAUGAACAAUUUUCCAUUACAUUAUUAUAUACACAAUAUACACACUGUUGUAAAAAAAAAUUCCAUUCAUAGAGAUGGUUACAUUAAACCGAAAGGUGAAAGAAAAAAGGUUAGAAUCAGCACCUUAAAAGUAGUAGAAGGCCAUUAUUUGCUUUAUUAUAUGCCGAUAAUUUUAAUACCUAAUUCCAUCAUGAAGAGCCAGGUAGCCAUCUAAUUUAACGCCAAAUAAGGACACAAAGAAAUGGUUCGCAAGCUAAAUAGCAGAAAAGAUAAUUAACAGAAACUUAAUCAUUUUCUCAUAAUUAACAGAAACAUAAUCAACAAAGACAUCUACUAAUUAUUAGUAUACAAGCACAUCAAUUUGACUAAGAUAUUUUUUUAAAUAAAGUGUAAACAGCUUACUUGUCUAAAGCUGAACUAUGCUAAAAGGCCAAAGCUUGGGCUUAGACUGACUGGUACUAAACGAAGCAUUACCCCUAUAAAAUUCAACCCAAAAGUUAACAAAAAUAAACAGGAGCAAAAAUAAAUUGUUCAUAUGCAAAAUGGAAACAAGUAGCAAAAAAGAAGGCUGUAAAAUGUUACACAAAGAUAAUCACCAAGUUUUUAGCCAAAGACAUUGUGCUAAGAUUUAAACAACCCAUGAAUCCAAAACUAUAUGGUCAAAGAAGGAAAAGAGAUCUAGGGAUUUUUUCUUCUAAAUAAUAGGUUUUUUGGUAAACAUACACCUUUCAUAACAGCAUUUGUGGCCAAAGUGUUAUCUACCAACCAAUCUAACAAAUUUUGCCACUUUAACCUCCUUUCCCACAAUUAGUUGAAAAUUAUUCAAAACUAUAAUUAAAAACUUCAAACUAAAGUCAUCAAAAGAUGAAAUAAGUUCAAUUCCAUUGGAAAUUGACAAUGGCGGAGACAUGAAAAAGAAACAAAGAAAAUUGACAAUUUAAGUUAUUUCGAAAAUCCCAAGCAACAACUAAACAAGAGCUGGGAAAUUUGAGCAUAUAACAUCUCGAGUGAUAACCAAUGCAAUCUUGAUUUUGAGCUCCAAGACUCCAAAUGAUCAAGUAGUAUAGUACAGCAUAAACUGAAAAGCAUGAAACUUUUGCACUAAAAACCAAAGCCAACAGAUGAGAUAACUUAUUUAUGGCUUGGUUCCUAAGCUUAAAUGACACCACAAAUACAGCAAUAAUAAAAAAUCAACUUUAAUGUGCUCAAACUUCAAAGCUUGCGACGUCUGUGCAAUCACUCAGUUGAAAUUUUAGCUCAAAACACUAUACAACGGAAAAGGAAUAAGCAAAAGCACAAAAACACAUAAAAUCCGACAUUUUAAAAGCAAAAAAAAAAGAAUCCAUGGAAUUAAUGUUUGGAACCUUUUUUACGGCAUGCAGUGCAGCUCCAUGACCACUGACGCCAGCGCCAAUAAUGAUGAGAUCGUAAUCAAAGGAUUUGGGAGCGCUUCCAUUAUCAUCCGAAGAUGCAGAAACCUUCGUCGGACUCGCCUGCGCUUUUCUCGGAAAAAUUAGCCUCUUUGCUCGAAUAAACUGGCCGCGCUUCAGCUGCGAGGGAACUGAAAACCCAGAGAUUUCUAAUAUUUCACCUGCAAGAUCUAAGCAGAAGAAAAUAAAAAACAUACUACGGGUAGGAAAGCAGAUUUCUAAUAUUUCACCUACAAACUCAAAAGCAUACUCAACAAGAAAAUAAAAAACAGCAGAUCUCUGGGUUUAUAAAUACUUCUGACUUUCACUGCUUUUGGAUGAAGAUUUUACUACAGCUUUCUUUGUUUGCUCAAAGAAGGAGAUGAAAAAAUAGUAUUUCAGACCUCUAGGUUAUUAAUCGAAAGAUUAACAAAUCUUAGCAAGAAAAAUGUCUUUCUUUCUUGAAUAAAGGAAACUGUAAAACUUUGGGGAAAUAUUGGAGCUUACCAAUUAAGAUGAUUUCUGUGUCUCAUGCGUUCAGUAGCUUCAUAUCCAGACCAAUUCUAACAAGGGAAAAAAAUCAGUUAGAAUCAUAUAAUUGAAAAAAAAGGAAAGAGAAGAAAGGAAAAAGGGGGGAGGGGGGAAACGGGAAGGAAAAACAGAGAAAAAAGGACCAAAUAAAAACAACAAAAAGGAACAAAGAAAAGAAAAGAAAAGAAAAAUGGAAGGGGAGAGGAGAGGAGCUCUGGAGAGCAACGAAGCGGCGGACAUGAAUGAGGGGAAAGAAAACAAGGGAAGCCCUAAAACAAAAUUUUUGGCACGCGAGUCCCACGUGAUUGACGACCAAAUUCCAGCCAAUAAAACCCAGCCACGUCAGCAAAACAACAACCACCCUUAACAAUCCCAUUCGCGCUUUUACUAUAUAGGUAGAUUAGCAUUAUUCUUGUUCGGCUGGUUCUAGUUUCGAUUUCAGUUUCUAUCAUUUUCAAUUUUAGUAUUUUUCUAGGUAUAGUUUUCAGAUUUUCUAGUACAUUUAAUUACUUAUGAUUAUAAAAUUAAUUUUAAGAAAAUAUAAUAAUGAAUUUAGAGUAACGAGAAACUAAAGAAAAUGAAUGUAAAAAAAAAUAAGGCUUUUAUUGUAUUAUUAGCUUACAAGGAAGAGAAAGAUGAUAAAAAAAAAAUUUAUGUAAAACAUAUCUCAUAUUUAUUGAAUGUUUUAAAUAAAACAAAAGAUACAUAAUUUUCUAUCAAACUUGAAAAAAGAAAAAGAGAAAAACAUCUCAAUUUUCUCACUAACUUGCGCAUUGUUUUUCUUUUGACUCAACAUUUUAGAACUAGCUUAAUGCUGUUGAACUUUCGGUGAACCUCAACCAAAACCUUUAACCAUGGUUCCAACACCGAUUUAAAAUUUCCAAAUUAGUUAUAAUUUUUUUUUAACAAAUUGCUGAUUCAAUUCCGAUUUGAUUCCAAUUUGAACCUGAACUAUGGCCAUGGUUAUUACUAUUACGUAGAGGUGGCAAUUUGUCCCAAAUCCCAAUGAACUACCCAUACCCAAAAAGACUUUGGCGGGAUGGGUAUUGUAAUUUGAUAUUAGGUUUAAAAUGGGAUGCAUCCCAAUUAUACUCAUUAUUUGAUGGAAAAUGUUGGAAAAUACUUGGGUACCUAUUGAGCCCAAAUAUCUUCCCAAAAAAUUUCAUUUUAUCCAAAAAUUCAUCAUUAUUUUUUUUUUUUUGCAAAAAUCUGAUUUUUUUUCACUUCCAUUUUCUUUCAUUUCCUUUCUUCACUUUCCUACAAAAGAAAACCAGUUAAGUAAAAAUGAUUUCAUUUAAACAACUUUAAAAAAAUUAAAGAUAACAAUAAAAAUAAAAUAAAUUGGUAAAAUUUUGGUGUCUACAAGAUCAAUACUUUACUAACAACUGUUGGUACCCUAUAUGUUAAUUUUAUGCUAAUUGUUGAACUAUCUACAUAGAUUUCUAUAUGCAACCCUGUUAUCAAUUUUUAAUCAGCUUCUUCGUUUCUGUGCUAGCUUUAUUCAGCAUUUAAUGUGAAUUUCUUUUGUAUCAAAUUUUGAAAAUUUUAAGAAUGUCAGUAAGAAUGAAUGUGGUGUUAAAAAACUUGUUUCUAGUCCUUGUGUCAGACAACAUUAUGGGUAAGGUUGGAAUAUGGUUGUAUAUCUAUCUUUUCCUUUUUUUGUUAAUCCAAUUUUUGGUUUAAUCCAGGGAGAAGAUAUGUUCAUUCUUACCAAAAUAUUAUGUCUUUUAAAAGUAACUGCUGAUCGUUCUAAAGUGUAAAUGAAUUCAGGAAAAUAUAAAUUCACAAUAAGAUCAAAAGAAAUUUAAUAAAUAAAAAUAUUAAAGUUAUAUAAAAAAUAAAAAAGAAUUAAAGGAAAAAUAUAGAAAAUAGAUUUGGGUAUUGGACGGGAUCAAUCUAAACCUAUCCCAAAGUGAUCCCGCCCAAGUUAGUCCCAAAAUAUAUAUGGGUAAGAUUAGACCCAAACCCAUAUGAUUCGGUUCUAUUUCGAAUUCAAGCAAAUCACGUCCAUCCCGCCCAUUUUGCCACCUCUACUAUUACGAACCAAAUAGUGAAAAACUUGGGUUUUUUUUUUAUGGAAAUGAAACAACUUUGGUGCGAAGGAAGCUCAAGGGCUCAUGCAUCAAAAACAGAAACUGUUUCGUUGAAGCCCUUUUGGAUAGUGGAUAUUGCCGGCUCAGGCCAUUGAAUUUGAAUUGAAGAAGGAUUGCAUCGUGAUAUAAAUAAUUAGAUUGUAAACGAAUUGAAUCGAAUACAAAAUCUAUUCCCAGAUUGAAUUCUGGAUAUUAAGUCACACAACAAGUAGGAAAAAAUAAUAAAGUUAAAAUUGCCAUGUAUUGCCAAUUUUUCAUGUAAAUCCGAACUUUUUUUCAGUUUUCAUAUAAUGUUUUUAAAAAUUGAAGCCAAAAUCACUAUAUGUACUCGAAUUGUUAAUUAGGCAUUUUAUGACUAAUUUGAUUUAGCAAGUGCUCUAAGUUUUACUCAUCGUUAGCUUAAUUUCUUAAGAUUAUACUCGAAUGCCCAAAUGCACGUAAUUAGAAUGGUAUCUUAUGUACAUAUUAUUAAAAUGAUGUCUUAUGAAAUUAUUGCAGGUAUCAUGCAACAAAAUUUUAUCAAGUCCUAAAAAUGAUGUGAGUUCUUGGAAAAUAUUUUAAAAAGAAAAAAUGCAUGCAUUAUUAUUUUGGUAGUCCACUUAUAUUAAUUGCAUGAGCAAUUGAAGGCAGUCCAAAAUUUUUUCAACAAUCUUUACAAGUGCAAAGUGUUCAUUGUUCACAAUAACAAACAAGGGUGAAACUAUAAAAACUAUUCUUCCUUGGAAAAAUGUGAAAUGUGGGCAAAGAUAUUAUGAAAAUAACACAAAAGACUCGAUGAUCAUAAAAUCAAAUGUUCAAAACAACAUAGAAUAGUUCAUGAUCUUUGUAUACUUUAUACAUAAAUGCAUAAUUAAUGAGUUUUCUAUUAAAUUCCAUAAACUGCAUGGAGGAUAUUAUCAGUUUCAUAUGAGAUUAACUUGGGGUCAACUGGUCAUGGGUAGACCAUGAGAUGCCCUAAAACAUGACAUGGAGAAGAGAAUCUGCAUAUUAAGUGGCUCUUAGAGUCUCUUGCUACUAAUACUCUUGUUUAUGCCUUGGCUAAAAAGCUUGAGCUGCAGGUUAAAUGGCCUUAAUUUUAAGUACUCUUGUAACUUAGCUUAAUUUUGAAUUUGGCCCUGAACAAAUAAUUCAACUCUUGAUUCGAGUUCGAACAAGAAAUAUGAUUUGAUUAAAGUAUCAAAUAAAAUUCGAGUUGAAUAUUCGACUCGUACAUAUUCAAUUGAUUAAAGUUCAAUGCAACUCAACUAAUUUUUUAUAUUUUUAAGUUUCUUAAUAUUUUUUAUAAAAUUAUGCAUUUCCUAUUUUAUUAUUAAAAAAUUAAAUAAAAUUCCAAGCUCCGAAUUGAGCUCGAGCCUAGUGAGUACUAAAUUGAAUCAAACUCAACCUUAAAUUUUAAACUCGUUUAGGAUUCGAAUUGAGCUUUCGUUUGAGUCCAAAAAUUCAAAUCAAGUCGAAAAAUUAGAAUUGGAAUCUGAGUCUAACAGCUAAGAAGUUCGAGUAAAUUCGUUUGCUGCCCUAGCUUUAUGGAUUUGAAAUCCACGAAAUACAAGUUGAAAAGCCAAACAAUUAAUCAAGAAACCAGAGCAUCAAAAACUAUUCAAAAGUUUCCUUUCCUUUCUUCCUCAAUCUCCAUCCCUUGACCAAGACAAAAAAGGUUUUCACUAGUAACGACAUACAAGAAAGGUCUAUCAAUCCUUUAAAGGGCUAAGGGAAAGAGGAAAUGAAACCCCAACUCAAGGGAAGAACAACAGGGACAAUAAUUACAAAAACCUUUACAACUAUACAAAAUUCCUGUAGAAUUGAGGGAUUAUUUCCUCACCUCAAAAUUAGGGAAUGCUUUCUCUAUAACAUGAGUUGGCACUAUGUACUGUUAUGAUUUUUCUUUGUGUAUGUCAAAUAUGGAUCCUGAGCAAUGGUCAAAACAUCUGGCCUCUCUGCCUGAUUAUAUGUAAGACAACGACGAAUAAAAUCCUGCAAAACAUAAAAGGAGUUGCUACUUCAGCAUACAGGACAAAGGUGAUGAAAGAAAAGUUUAGCGCAGUCUAUAUACCAGUAUUCUUCAGCUUUUUGUCAGCAAAUGUCCUUUAACCACAUGUUAACAUCAUUCAUCGCAGAAAAUCCAAAAACUAAAAUAAACAUUGUAAUAAAGAAUCCAAGCUAAACAAGGAAACAUCCUAAAGGUAUAAAUUUUGCACCUUUGCCAAGCAAAUAAUUUAGAAAUCCAUCAACAGUAUUGUUAUCAAUUUUCAUGAGAAUCAGCAAUGGCAGUUUUAUUUAUAAAUCAUCAUCAUAGUUUCUUCAUUUUUGACAUACCUAGCAAGUUUCUCUAUUUCGUUUUGUUCCUUCAUCAAUCAUUUCCAUAUUAUGACUUGCAAUAUGAGUAAAAGGAAGCAUGAACAUUAUGUCUGAGCCAGUCAGCCAGAUGUUAAUCUGUCUCAGAAACUGCUAUAAAACAUUGAUACAAAUGAGAUUUUCAAAUUUGCAGCACAUCUGGCUUGGAGAAUUGCCAGAGACGAGUGGGGGGUGGGGGUGGGGGAAUAGAUUGACAUGUUUGUAAAUGGACACCCUCGAUUGAAUUUCAUACAGAAUACUUCCGCUAACAGAAAGUAUAGACAUUGACGAGUCAAAACCCAUUUACUGAAAUAAAUUUUGAAGCACUUCAAUACCACACAAAAAUUGACUCCACUAUGUUGGAAACAAUAACCAUUAUGAAACAAACAAGAGGAUAUCAAGAAUAAACUCAGUAGCAUCCACAUGAUUGGCAUGCUUAUCCAUUACAGAUAAAUUAAAGAGAUAAUUGUUGAAACUUUUGUCAAAUAAGAUUUACACAAGUGAAAACACAUCAAAUUGUAAAGUAUAAGAAAGAUGAUCGAUUUCACACCCCACUUUUACUGUUAUCAAAUUGUGGUAAUAAACACUAGCAAUUAGUGCUGGUGAUGGUGAUAGUGGUGGUGGUGGUGGUCAUAGUAACAAUGAUAUAGUCUCUCCUACGCAGACUCUCUUAGAGAAUUUACCCUACAUAAGGAUGUCGAAGAUUAUCACCCCAAGAAACAUUAGCAAAGAAGUUUACACACAAAUGAUUAGUGAACCUGCCUUUGCCUCGUUCGACACAGCUGGCCUUGAAGGAAAAUCCACCUUCCGGGCUUUAAUGAUGGUAUCUUCGCGUAAAACAAACAAAACAGACAGAAUUCAACCAAGAUCAAUCUAGCAAACGUCCGUGAUCUAUCCCCCAUUCUAACAACAACUCCCAAUUUUCCUUACUACGAGGAGCUUUAGCCCAUAAGAGACAAGUCAAGUUGAACAAUUUUAACCACUGUUGAUUUAAUAAAAUUUGGAGUGAAGCCCUCCAACGUGUACAGGGCUUGUCUUUCCAAAAAAACAAAAAACAAAAAACAAAACCGCUGCUGCAACUACUUCCAUUAUCAGUAUUCUGUAUUCGAAAAUCAACAUUUAGUCUUUCCCAAAUUUAGUAUAUUUUAGUGCAUAAUUGAAAAAUUCUCUUGGCGCAAGUGGAAAAUUAUAGAUUUGCAAUCAAUUACAAAUUUUCCUCGAAAAUAGAUGCCCAGUGAUCAACUAUGGCGCUUCAUAGUUCACCUUUUCCAGUCUUAUACUUAGGAGUUGGUCUUAAUAGUGCAUUAAUUUUUUCAUAGUUAAUCAGAAUUUUCUAUGACAAAAAAAAGAAGAAGAUUCAUGAAGAAAAAUAAUCUAUUGGCUGUACUUUUUUUCGAUUUAGACAUCAAUAGUGCAAUGGCAAAAGGACUUUGUAGAUGAAGCUAGUUGAUGUAAUGAAUUUAUGAUGAUUUAAUUAACUAAAAAGGCAAUCAAUUCGGUCUACUAAAUGUCAUACUCAAGAGGUCAUCAUCUUUGUCAAAGGGUCUAUACAUUCCAUACAUUAGUAGUAAAAGUUAGUGGAUUUGUUAGUAUUGAUGACCAUGUUAGCCACUGAUUUCUAUUAAAUCAUGUCUUCAGCUUCUUAUAAGCUUCUCUAUACCCUACCUAAUCUCAUACCAUUUUACUUUCUCUUGGAUUAUGUGGAAUGCCUACUUGACUGCCUGCAAUGCCUAUAUUUUAAUGAUUCCGGUGCAUUUUCAAAAUCUUCAAUUUAUUUUGUAAAGUAUCGAAGUUCAGUUCACUAAUUGGCCAUAAAAACAGAUCAAUAGCAAAGUUGAAAUAUGCCACUUAUCCUGAGACUUUGCAGAAAGUUUGGAAUGUUAAUGUUGUCCCUUGUAAUCCGAAUUAUCCGAUUAUGUGAAACUGAAGUUGUUGAAGGGUGAGAUGAGUUUUUCACUUGUAUACAAGCUGUUUAAUGGGGUUUUCAAUAAAAAACUUUAUCAUUUGCUCCAAAAAAAAAAAAAAAAAAGAAGAAGAAGGGUGAGUUGAGGAAGCUGAAUGCUAAGCAAUAUAGUUCUAUUAGUGAUAGAAUAAACAGGUGUGUAUGGCCAGUUAUGUGAAGUGCAAUCCUUUUCCUUCAUUCACCUUUUGAUAUCUCUUUGCAAUUUCAAGAACAAUCUCAGAGUAGUUGUCUCAACUAGGAGGCGACCAGCUAGGAUUUAUGUUUACUUUACGGGCCAAAGAUACUGGCCUGGCCACGUCUUCUUCUUCUUGGUUUUUUUUUUAAUUCUUCUUAUAGAUCUUUCAGGCGAGUAAGCAACCUUUUGGGGAAAUAAUGUGGUAUAUUUGGACAUUGGGAUAAUUUAACAAAUCUCCUCUGAGUUUAUAACAAAUUCAUCAUAGCUCCCCUCAAAUUAUGACAUGACGCUUGUGUCUAUUAGCUAUUGAUUUCCAAGGCAAAUACUGAAGUUUACCUCUAUGUUUACCAUUGACACUUUCUAUACAAAGCGAUACAAAUUAUAUAUAAGAGAUUUGUGAAAAUGUUAUACUUCCGAGCUAUAACUCAUAAACAAAGGCAUUCGUAAAACCCUUUUGAUUCAAAUAUAUAGAUAUACUCAACUAUACACUUAACAAUUUAAUGUGUGCUAAAGUGAGUAGAAUAGGCUUUUGAAAAAAGUACUCAAAAGUAUGCUACUUCCAUCAUUACCUUCUAGCACGCAUUGUGCAAACUCUUUUCAAAUAGAAAAAAGGGAACGGAAAGGAGAUACAAAAAAGGGUUACAAAUUCUUUAAAAUAUGGCAAGGGUAAGCAUGGAAGUAACAUAUAACAUGAAACAAACAUGUUAAGGAAACCUUAAAUCAAGAGAGGUAACAGUAAGUUUGAAAACUUUGGUGCAGCUAAAUGAAGUCAAAAACCUAAAACAAGGUUGAUGGAAUUAUCCUUUGUAAACUUUAUGUGUCCGUGGCCAAGUGAAAAAAUACUGUUCAAAAUUCUUAUUUCUAUCGGAACCAUUUCGAGGAACUCCAAUUUGGAUGUCAAUACUAAAAGAAAUUUUCCCUAUGGUACAACUGAUUUUGAAAUUUACUAAUUAUUUAUAUUUUUUUUCGGAGACGACAACUGUUAUAUAAUCUAAUCUAUCCUACACUAAAGGGGAGGGGGCGGACCUAAAGAGGCCCAGGGGUAUAUAGGAAGCAAAUGCAUUGUAUAUAGGAAGCUGAAAACCAAACAAGACUUUAUUAUUAGGUUAUCAGUAUUAUUAGUCGUAUCCAAGUGUCAUCAUGUUUUUUUUAUUCAAGUGUCAUAACGUUAUUGAUAGUAUAAUUGGGUUGCAUGAUUAUGGUUGAAAGUGUGGACUAUGCGAUUAAACUCCGUCUUAGGUGAUAGGGUGUUAAUUGUUAGUAAUUUUAUUGUUAAUUUUCCCUUUUAUCCUUGUCAAAUAUUAUUUUAAUUAUUAAUAUUUACUUAUAUUUGGUAUUUGGACUCAAUUUCAGGGAAUGGAGCAGAAAACUACAAAAAAUGAAGGACUUUCUGAAAACAAUGGAGACUUCAAACAAUCGGGCCCACAUGGUGCCACAAACGGAUGGCAUUUCCUUUUUGCUGAUUAGGAGUUGAAGUCUUUGAUGGGCAACAGGAAACGAAAAGUAGAGAAAAAUUCGGCAGAGCCUUCUUUUUGUACUUGGACUCCCAAUUCGUUGGGGACCACAGAGAGCAUUAAGGAGUCAUACUUUUGCUUGGAAUAAAAAGAACGUACAGAGGCUAGGGAUAGUUUUUAGCAAUAGUUUAGUUUUCUUGCUUUUUCCUUUUCAUGCACGCCUACUGUUAUCAAUGGUUGUACCUUGGUUAUCAAUAAAUUAAAGAAAAAUUGGUCGUUAGAGUUCGUCGGCGACUAUAACUAGUCUAUUAAUAAAUUAAGUGAACCUCCCUUACAUCAAUGAUCGGGUAAGUGGACUAUGUUUGAAUAGUUGUAUUCUUGGUUAGAAUUUAUCUAUUCUUGAAUUAAUUCCUGUGUAUAUUUGUGUUAGUUAAUUAUUCGUUUUAUUUGAAUUGCUUAAUUAUUUGUAGUUUUAUUCUGAUGAAACACCCCUUUUACCAAUUGGAAUCUCAAAGAGACAAAUAUCCUCAAUUCCUGAGGAGACGUGUGAGAACCCGUAUUUUCCCUAAUAAUUUUCCUAGGGUUUUUCCCCUUUAAUGGCAUGUUUUUUGCAUUUUCUGGCUUAGAAAAUUUUCCUGGUGAAUUUUAUGAGUAAUUAUAGUUUUUAGAUGAUUUUUCUAGCAUUGGAUAGUUUUUGAAAAAUUACGGAUAUAUAACGGACGUGGGGCCCACUAGUGCGAAAAGUUCGGAAAAAUUCGGCCAAUAAGGUUAAGUUUCGGAUACUGAGUGAAAUUUAUCGGGUGUUAAGAGAUAAGUAUAGGAUGUGAUGUGAUUGAUGUGAGAGGAAAACAAAAGGAUAGAAAUGCAUUAAUGAAGUGACACUUGUCAUGUUGGGAUUGGUUUCACUUGUUGACAACUAUUCAUUUUUUUUGACUUUUCUUACCAAUUGAUUAAAUAUCUCAAAAAUCACAAAAAAAAUCACUCUUGUCUUCACCUUCUUGGCCGGCCACCUUGAGCUUAAGAAGGAAGAAAACUCUUCAAAAUCUUGGCUACCAUCUAGCUCAAAUCCUCCAAAACAAUUGCUUGAUCUUGUUUCUACUCCAUAAAAUCUCUCCAUUUGGUACUAGUAAGUGAUUUGGUGAAGUGUUUAAGGAAGCUAAGGUGUCCAACAACUCUCCCUCUCUUGUUUACUAGGUGAGUGGUGAUUGAACUUCCUCCUACACUUAAUGAAGCUUAAGUUGUGCUUAGUGGUAGCUAAAGUGCUGAAAUUUGUGGUUUAUUUCUUGGUUUGAGAUGAAAUGAUGAAGUUUUCAAUUUAAUGGUGUAUUUUCUGGUUUAAUGUGAUCAUGAUGUUGUGGUUAUCUAUGAUGGUUGGUAAUGAAGGGUAAUGACUCUAGUAGGUGUACAUGAUUGGUAAUUGCAAGCAAUUUUGGGUUUGGAAGGAAUUUGAGAAAGUUAGGGUUUUAUAUCCCCAAUUCUGUCCGAUUUUGUAUCUCAUGGUUAGAGGCCGAAUUGGCCUUGUCUUAAAACAUGAAAGUUGUAGGUAUUGAUGUGUUUGAGGUGCCUGUAAAAUUUCAGGUUCAUCGGAGUUGUGUAGAGUGAGAAAAGUCGAUUUUACUGUUGCUGUUCUGGGUUCUUCAGGAUGGCCGAACUGCGUCUGUAAUUGGUGGUUUUGGCUGGAAUUGCUUUGGAUUUGGUUGUUGAGGCCUUCUGAUGAAAUGUAGCUUGAUGUCUUAGCUACCGCAUGCCUUUGGUAUGAAUGAAUUUGGACUUGUAUAGACUGAGUUGGACUAAUUACAGCAUAGUGUAUUUUGUAAACCUGCAAUUAAGGUUCUGGUUUGGUAUUUUGCAUAUUUGACCUAGUUGUGCUAGGAAUUGGACUGAGUGACCUUCUACAUUGUUGUAGCCCUGUUUCUUAGCUUCGAAACGGUGGGUCUUACACCCUCAUCCGAUAAGCGUAGUGCAAUUUGUGCCAUUACCGCAAACUGAGGACAAAACUGUUUUUUUUUCAGGGCCAAGUUAGUUACAUUUCCUGAUUUUCUGGUUUGCUAUAAUGCUUAUAUAUGAAUAUGAAACCCUAUUGGGGUUGUGAUUGGCAUGGCUUUAUGACUCGUUAUCGAGUCUCAUUGUAUUUGUUUACGUGUUUUAGGACGUGACGAGGGUUCACGACGACCUUUUAACGACGGUGCAUGAAACAUCACCUACUUGAGUAGUGAGUAUACUACUCACUUGAAUGUUUAUAAUGUGGCUUUGCUAUAUGUGAUUGUGAUGCCUUGAAGGCUUGUUUGGCUAUUGGACAUGGUUAAGGUGAGGGUGUACUUGACCGCCCUCAUCCUUUUUAUCUUGUUAAUGACUGUUUACCGUUUCACUGUAAUACUGCACUUGCUAUAUGAGAUAUUGAAUUCCAUUCAUGGGAAACUGUUUGGGUGUCGGUUGGACGAGUAUCCAACGGCCCUACUGCAUUACUGAGCUCGACCCCGUUGGUAGUUACUUGAAUCGAGCCAGCGAGGGCUUGGUCGUGAAAAUUGACUAGCCACGGGGACUGAAAUGGGAAUCUUGUGGUAAUGAGACCCUUGGUUCCGGUGUACUCGAGUAUCACCUAAAGCUACUGCUUGGAGUGCGGGCCCGGUUGGGGUAUGUUGGGUGGAAGGAAUGGAAGUGAAGUGAGGUCUACGGUCGGGUAUUCUUAAACAUUGACGGAGGGUCAAUGAGGUUGGAUCAAGAAUGUAAGCGUGGAAAUGGGCUCUUGAGAGCCGUCCGUAUCCUUUUACCGACUUGUUUUAUUUCUUAAUUGCGUACUUGAGAUGAAAGUUAAGUGAUCUUUGUUGAUUAUGUGAUAGUUGCUCACUGAGCUUUAGCUCACUCCGUUCCAUUUGUUUUCCUUACAGGAAAAAUGACUAUUUUGGGAAAGGUUGUGCUAGUUGGUUGUCAAGUUGAGCUCAUGUAAAUGUAUAUUUUGAAUAGCUCCUUGAGGGUGAAAACCCUAAGUGUUUUGUUUCAACCAAUGGUUGGUUUGUAAUUGGCCAAUUGCACAUGUGUGAACUUGUUGGAUAUUUUGGUAUACCGCUUUGGCUUGUAAAUGUUAAAUUUCGAUGUAUAUAUGUUGGAUUGAUGUUUGGUUGAACUCCGGAUUCUGACAUGGCCGGUACUGUUCAUCAUCGGCUUCGAUUUUCAUAUUUUUUUUAUUUUGUGAUUUUGACUUGUUUGCGCGCGUUGGUGUGUUCCGGAAUGUAGUAGAUCGACGUAAACUGAUCCGUUAGUCCUGGCGAGAGCUGGGCAGGCAGUCCGCUAACCCCUUUGGUUCGCCUUAGGGGAAGGUGGGGCUGUUACAAGACGACCCUACUUGCCACUGUCUGCCAAUUAGUAAAUUUUGUCAAAUAAUUAAUUCUGGUAUAUCGGAUUAAGCAAACUCUUCGAGAACAGGGUGAAUCAAGUAACCCAUUGCACACCUAGAGUCUCUGCUCCAGUACUUAGAAUUGAUUAUUGACUACUUUUGACGGGCGUAGGGUAUACAUAUAACAUUAAGCUCAUCCUAAUCAAGUUUUACAUUUAUAAACUCCUAAAUACCCUACACGCGAUUUAUCGCAAGUAUACGAAUCGUGAGCGAGUAUAGGGUAUUAAAAGUCGAUCUCACAAGGAAGAUUGCAAUUACCGGCACUACUAAAGCUUCUCUAUUAUUUAGACUAUCAAUGAAUUAUAACAAAUUUAACCUACUGAACUUAUGCAAGAAAAUAACAAAUGAAAGCUCCUUAAGUUGUGGUAUCCCUAACUACUCAUGCAAGUGCUAUAUUUGGAUCAUUGAAUACUACUAUCUAGGCUAGUUAUGGUGUAAUUUCCUUAAACAUGUGAAACCUACUUUCGUAGUGAAUCAACUAUAUUCAUAACUAAUCCAUACAUAUUCUCAUGGUUAUGAAAUUAGCUACAAGUUCAUUUCUUCAAUGAAAUUAAUCACUAAAAUCACAUAGGUGCACCUCUACUCUCGUGAGCGUACUCCCUAUGUUUAGCACUUCUUAAACUAGUGUUAAAUCUCAAUUUUCAUUGCAGAAACAACACCUUAAAUAAUCACAAUCAAUGGUACCAGAUUAAUCAUGAUUUAAAGAGCCAAAGUACUAAAUAACUUGCUCAAAUCAUAGCAAUCAAAUAACCAAAUAAUAAAUACUAACAAUUAUAGAAAGUUCAACCAAACCCAAGGCAUAAACGUUAGAGACACAUAUUAAACACAAAAUCCAGAACUUGCAUAUCAACUAAACUUAGAAUCCAAUACAAAAGAUAAAGAGUUGGAAAAGAGAUAACCAUUGUCACAUGAGCUUCAACUCCUCCUUUUUCAUCUCCAUUUUCAUCCUAAUCUAGCUAAUAUACAAGAAUGGAAGAGCUAUACUAUUCUAAACUAAACUAUCCUACUACUCAGAAAGUGCAAGAGCUACAUCUCUGCACUCCAAGUUUCUCCUGUAUGUCUCUCUAUUCUCCCUUCAAUCUUGCAAGCUUUGGCUAUAUAAAGGUGAAAGUUGGUCAAGAAGUGAGGUUUACACCUCCCUUUUACAGCUGGGAAUGUUUCUCACAUGUCUAGCAUCACCUGUGACUUAGUGGAGGUGAAAUUGAGUUUCCCACGUAAAGAGCAGCCUUCUCUGACCACAAUCCGGCCAGAAAUCUGGCCAAGUUCCGGCCGGAUUGCUACAGUGACAUUUUGGUGCACUUUUGUUCAAUUUCCAGCUCUGCUCCAAUUUUGUGUCAAUUUCAACUGAACUUUUGUUGAUGAUAAAAGCUGAUUUAGCUCUUGAUCAACAUAAAACUUGUAGCCCUUUGAGUUAGCUUUCCAAUGCAUCAAGAAUCACCUCAUUUGGAUCUGUGUAGGCUGAGAAAUGACCGAAAUACCUUUGACUGCUCACUGCCCUAUUUCAGCUUCGACCAAUAGAAAUUAGCUACUGUAAUUCGGCUUUUUAACCUGGAAAACCUUCAAAAUAGAUUCAGAUGUCUUCACCAAAGUUGUAGAUCUAUCUCUUAUCUUCAAAUUGGUUUAAGAAUCAUCUCAAUCCGAUCAUUAUAGCUCAAGUUAUAGCCAAAAUACGAAAAUGUGUCAAAACUGUCAAAAUGCACAAAAUCCAAGUAAAAAGUGAUAAAAACCUCAUUUAAUUACUUAAAAGCAUUUUUCACCAAUUAUAGCCAAAAUGAAUCAUUUUCUUCCAAUAAUGUAACCAAAGUGACUAACAAUAAUAUAAAAUAUCAUACAAUUAUUACAUAAAUUAGUCACUUAUCAGCUUUUAUUGGCAAUUAGGUUUAUUUUUAUUAUUGCACAGGUUCGGCACCUGUCAUUAGGAGUACUGGUUUUGCUGUGGGAUUUUUCGUUUUCUUUGUCAGCUGCGUCAGCUGCAUGGUGCUUUAGAGCAUAAGCCUUUGUUUUGUAUCGAAACAUCACGGCCAAAAUUGCCAAAAGCAUAUCGAAACAUGAACACAAAAUGAAAGAUGUGAGGAAACUUUAAUGAAGAUAUGCCUUGAGAUUUAAACACCAAAGACAAAAGCUCAAAAAAUAUUAUCAACGGAUCAAAAUAAGAACUUGAUUAUUGGUAAAACACUCCAACAAGUUAAGUCGAACCAAGAUCAACAUAAUCAAUUAUUUGAUUUCAAGAGUCAUAACUUUUGCUUGUAAAGAACAAAUAAAGUUAAACAAUUUAUUGCUUUUUUCCCCCCAGUCAGCUGUGUACCUCAACAUUAUUUCACGUCAAAAACUUGUUUUUCCUCGGAUUAAAUACCCUAGCAUCUGAGGUUAUCACCAGUCUCGACACCCAAUUGUCUACAAUAUUCAGUAUAAUACUCAACUCGAGCACUAACUGUGUUUGGAUUUGCACCAUCACAUUCAAGCCGACCAUUAAUGGCACGAAUUGUAGCCCCAAAACCCUGGCCAGAAGUGAUAAGAUCAUGACAAUGGUUCAUCCAAUACCACAAGCCAGUUUUGAAUGAAAUAACAUUAUUUGUAGCUACAGUUUCAGGUUGGCUGAGUCCAUUGAAUCCAAUGCUUUCACCUGCUGGUCCAUAGUUAGAGUUCCAUGAUAACUGUAUUGGACCCCUGCCGUAAUAUCCCUUGCCUGGCACACAUGGAUACUGAGUGUUGCUCUCAUCACAGUAAUCUCUGGAGGGGCCGUCUAUCUCUUCUAUGUAGCACAAAUCUGCGCAAUAUAAAGAAAUUUUGUCACUCAAUUGAAAUGAUUGAUAAAGGGUUAGAAUCAAAGAAAAUCAGGAGGUCUGGAAUUUUUUGUAAAUUUUUAGAUUUGAUUGUUUUACUAAUGAAUUCAAUUGGUGAGAAAAGACUUUAUCCCAUUUUGUAAAAAUUGGGUUGGACAGACCUAAAGUAAACACUCUUUUUAUGAGGUAAAAUUUUAGAAUGAUUUAACAUUAUAGGGUUAUACGAUAGAUAAAUAAAAAUUGGCAAUAGCAAGAUUAAGAAGGGACCAACAGUGAUAUAAAAAUUACAAAGGUAUCAUGGACGUCUAAAAUAUAUUUGGCUAAUAAAUUUGAACUAAUUUACGGCCAAAUUUAGGUGAAAUAGUUAAUUCUACUUGGUAAAUUGGAAGUUCGGAAACGUGUAUCUGUCAGUUGUCAUACUCAUGAGCGAGCCAAUCUUAACUUAAAAAAGAAAAAGAAAAAAAGAAAAAGAAAAAAGGAAUCCAAAAGAUAAAAGUAGAAAAGGCAUGAAUUUUAAAACGUAAUCGUAAUACCUUGUACCCGAAACAAAUAUGUGCAAUACUUAUUAAGCUAAGCAAAGCCACAUGAUCUACUCUUAGAUGCAGCAAAAUAUACAACCACCUUAAGCUUGGAAUGUAAAGGCAGAAAAACUUGCUUAUGUAGAUAUAAAAGUGACCACUACAAGAAAAGUAAAAAGAAUAUGGAGAUAAUAAUCCUUCUGUUCAUCAUGAUAAAUUAUUUAACAGUAAUAAAUCUUUCAUAUUCAAGUUUUAUUUUUUGAAGAAAAAAUUCUUGGAUAAUAGUGCACAGGAGAUUCCAAGAUAUACUAUCUAGAAAUUCACAGGAGCUACUAAAAAAGUAGAAAAUAUCUUCAAAAUUUAAUUUCCAAGCUAGUGUUAUUCAAAACUUACGUCCAGUCUCAUGAGUGACAUGAGCAAAGAAAGCAGCAAUCUCCCUUUUAGAAUCAUCAACAGAACCAGCGGUUCCAAACUGGGGAUACGAGUUCAGAGCUUCAAGAAAAGCUGAUCGAGUAUAGAACCCUUUUCCAGCACAGCUUGAAGCAGCUUGAUCAGCAAUCCCAUUAAAGAAAGCGUCCGUCACAAUAUCAGCAACUGAAACGCCACUAUUACCACUGCUCGGAGCAGCGGUGCAAGGGCCGGAUUGACAGCCAGAGCCGCAGUAGUCGUUGCCGGUACCGCAAUAGCCGAAUUUGCUGCAGCACAAGUCUGGUGCACAGCCGCAGUUUUGGCUUGAAAUCAGCUGUGGAAAGGCUCCUACAAGAACUACAAUGGAGAAAAUGAUGGUUGGAAAACUCUUCAUUUUUGGAUUUGAUAAAGGAGAGAAGCUUGUGGGCAGCAGUUGUAUCAGAAAAAAGGGUAUAUGUAGGGAAGAGAACUGAAAACUGAUCAGCUUGUGUGAAGCAUGCACAGCUGCUAUUGUUGAAAAUAUUGAAUUUGAGCAAUUAAAGAAAACAGAACAGAAGACGAAAGCGUGAAUGGUUGACUUCUAUCGAGAGUAUUGACUUUGACAUUGUCAAUGAAGCGGAAACUUUCUUUCUUGGCUUCUAGAAUGGGAAAGGUCAAAAAGAAAGAUUUUGGCCAAUUCGUAUGAACAAUUGUGAGAAUAAGGCAUGUAGACUCACAAGUCCCCACUAGAAUGUGUGCAAAAAUAUAAUUUGAAGUUGCCUAAAUCAUUUAAUUUCAUGCUUGUUAUUGAGUUUAUUUGCCUAACUGUGUUUUAGUAAUACUUCAAAAUUGUGUUUGAGUUAGAACGGAAAAAAAUAUGAGACAUUUUUUUUUUAAUUGCAAUUCCAGAAAUAAAAUCUUAUAAAACAUGUAUUAGAAAAAUUUUGAGGGUAAAUGAUAUGAAAAAAAAAAAGAAGAAAUAGUUCUAUAAAUUGACAUAAGUGUUCAUCGGCUUUUGGAAAAAUUAAGAAAGAAUAAAGCAGCCGACAUAUCUAUCAUGCAUAACAACAUUAUGUGGCUUUUGUUAGUACACGCUAUGACCAUAUAUGUUUCAUUUGAGAUGCUUGUCGGACGUGUUGAAUUGUUGGCAAUGAAAUGCUCCAAAAUGUCAGCACUAUAGUUUAUAAAUAGUAUUAGGUCAUAGUGAAUUAUCGACAUAUCGUUACAUGCAGAGUCGUGAAAAUAUACAAGUCUUUCCCUAUCAUUAAUUAGUUGGUCAAAUGACAAUUUUAGAGUGGCUGCUGACUAUGUCAAGAAACAUCUUGCAGUAAAUUGGGCGAUUUAAUGUACUUUUCUUUUUCUAAAUAUUUGCACUUAAACUCUCAAAUCGACCAUAGUUUUAACUAAUUUUGCUCUGGCUUUAUUCUUGAUUCGCAAAAUUCAGAAAAACCAAAACAAACCCUUGUUACUGAAGAUAUCAAAAUGGUAACCCAACUAAGUAAUUGAUUUUGAAAAACAUUCUGAACCAAAUUUCAAGUUUUGGUUUCUUUGCUCUUUUUCUACUGAAAGGCAACUUCCCCGGGCCAAGAAAUUGAAACAAAUAGUACGAUGCUUAAGUUUUCUAUGCUCUUAUGAUCAAGUCAAACCAUGCUUAUAAUCAAUUACAUAAAAAAUUACGGGCAAUUUCGUCAUUAUUUGGGAGGAGGAGGAAUAUUAAGCAAAAAAAAAAGUUCUAUUAAGAAAACGAUUAAGCAUAUUAUUUUCCAGGAAUAAAAAAGAACGAGCAGAGAAAUACAUUAGUUUGGAUGACAUUACAACAUUUAGCAACAUGAUUAGGGAUGCAAUGGGAUGGGUGCCAAUUGGGAAUCAAUGGGAUGGGAGAAAAUGCAGGAGGGGAUGGAGGGAUUGAAGAAUAUUUCUCCUCCAACAUUAAAUGGAUACCUCCAUCCCAUCCCCUAAAACCCCUUGUUGCUAUUCCUAAACAGGAUGCUACUUAUAUCCUCUCUCUAUGAGCAUGUGUGGCUAGUGAGGAAUGCAGGAUUUUGAUUUUGGCGGGGGGAGGGUGGGGCAAAUUGACAAUCAAGAAACAAUAGAAAAAAAACCUUAGCAAAUAAAGCACACAAACUUAAAAUGAAAGUUUAAUAUACGAUAAAUAAAAUAUAAAUAUUUUUAAUAAUAAAAUACACCAUAUAAAUAAAAUGAUAGAGCAAUAAUUGGGCACCAUAAGUGCUGUUAUUUGGUCAUAAUGUUGGCUACUUAUCAUGCUAAGUAGUGCAGCUUUGCUCAUAUUUGAUAUUUGUGUAAAUUACAGGCGGUUGGUGUUGAAACUGAUCUCUCGAGGCAAAUUUUCAGAAGACUUUUUAUUUCAGAGCGUGCCGACGCCAGAAACUAUAGAGAGACUCCUCAAAGGUGGACCGCGGGACUAAUUAACUAAACUUACCUUUAUUCCUGCUUGACGCUGCUGGAAGUGCGUUAAAACAAAAAGGCAAUAAUUUCCAGCGAAUUGGGUAACAACCAAUAAGGAGGAAAAUUAGGGGCACUAGCCUACAAAGCCGGACCCCGCGAGACUGGUAGACAAAGUGGGGAAUUAGGAAGUCUUCAAAGCGGCUAUUUUCUCGUGGGCUGCAGAGGUGAAAAGGACAAGUAGUUUGAGUCUUGCAGAGAGCUUUUGAGUUCUCUUACGUUUUGUCUUGCGGUAGCCACCCGGGGGAGGAUUGAAAAAGCCAUAUUCACGUGGGAUUAGGAGAUUAGCUUUAGUUUCUUGUAUCCCUGGGUAGACGAUCUGCUCUCUGCUUUGCUUUUGGCGACUUUCUUUAGACCUUUUUCUUUACUUUUCUCCGGCACGAACACGGAACCAAAAAAGAAGCAAGACUUUUCGUUUGUCUCGUCGUUAUUUCAUCUUUCCCAACUUUUUGGUAAUUAAGUGGAUGGAAUCAAUCAAAUCACGCGAGAUUGAUGUGAUGAGGAGUGGCUAGGUUUCUCUGCUACCCAAAGGUCGACGCGAAGGCGCGGUCCAUAACAUCUGUGAGAUCUAAUCGAACUUUCACUAUUUCUUCCAAUCCGUUACUAUUCGUGCGUUUUCUGGAUUAACUGUUUAUGAUUAUUUUAUUAAUUGAGUAUCAACAGCCGGAUAUUUAAUUUAAUCUAAUAGCCUACUGUCACGUUAACUAAAUUGAAUCCGUAAUUAUUCGUUUAGUUGAUAAUUAGUGACAACCAUCAUAAUUGGCUUUAUGUUGGGAAAAACGUAAGAUCUAAUUUAGAUAAACCCUCUUAUAGCGUGUUUAUUGGUUAGGGUUGGAUUUUUCUAGCGUUAAUGCAACUGAAUAAUUAAAUUCCUACGGUCGUAUCUAGGGUUAUUUUCUGGUUAGAGAAACAGUCAACGGUCGUACCUUGGCUAUCGAAAAAGUAAGAAAAAACUAGCAGUCAGAGCUUGUUGAUCGCUAUAACCAACCUAGUGACGAAUGAGUGAAAUAUCUUUGCAUCGAUGAUCAUUUAAUUGGACCGUGCCUGAAAAGUUGAUCCUUUGGAUAGAAUUUUGCUAAUUGCUAUUUUCAGUGAAUUGUACUUGGCGAGUUAGCUUUUGAAUUUUGUUUAUUUUAUUUUCAUUUUCAUUCCAUUAAAUAUCCCCCAAUUUUGUUCUAUUGACUUGGAAAGAAACAACUUCUUACCCGUUACUUGUGGAAUCGACCCUACUUGCCAUUUUCAGAAACAACUUCUUAAAUUUUAAUCCUUAUGAAACCCAGCUUCUCUCUCAAUUUUCAGAGGUUUCUUUUCCUUCAUCAUGUCAAAGUUGCUAUUAUAAUCACUGUAAUUAGACAGCUAAACCUGUCAUUCCAAUUAUACCCUUGGUCCGCCGUGGGAAAUACAUAAAAUGUGGUAGCGCUGCCCAAUAAGUCCCACAUUGGACCAUAUAAAAUUGUUUAAGGACUAAAUUGGUAAAAAAAAUCGUAAAUGAUGAAAUUGAUUUAAGUGAAAAAGUUCAAGGACCAAAUUGGCAAUUUUUCCUUAUUAUGAUUAUGAUUAUGAUUAUUAUUAUUAUUAUUAUUAUUAGUCUGAGAUGCCGAACAAGUUGUGGAGACUUAUUUCACCUUUACAAGGUCAUUGGAGGGCUUGACGAGGUGCGAUGUGGUAAGGAAAGGCACAAAAAACUCUUUUUUCUUUAUUAAAAAACAUACAAAUUGCACUAAUAAUGGCUGAAAAUGCAUCCAACAUGCAAUAGUGAAAAAUCGUUAGAUGCAAGAUAUAUAAAAGUUAACAAAAAUUAUCUUAGUACCUCUGAUAUAUUCCAAAUUCAGAUAAAUCAUCUGCCCCCAAUGAAUAUAUGUGCAUAUCAUCAUUGUCAAAAAAUAUUUAUGCAUAUCAUUGCCGUUAGAUUUUAUAUUGAAGUGGUUAAAGCUCCAAAUCUAGUAGAGAAGAAAUUCAACACUUGAGAAAAUAAGUUAAGAAAUUCAAGAUUUGACAUACAAAUCUGAAAAGCUCUCAAAUCUAACAAAACAAGAUAUAAAAUUAUCUGAAUAAAACUCUCACUAGAAUAUCUUAGUAGAGAAGAAAAUUCUCACUAGAUAGUCUCACUAUACUUUAUUAGACAUAAAAAAAAAAAAAAGAGAAGUCAAACAGAGGGAGGAAGGCAAUCCUCCAUGGAGGAAAUAAUAAUUGUCUUGAAGGUUGUGUAGAGAGAUGGUGGAGAAACUUCUUUUGUUUUAUCUAUUGGUUAUCUUUCUAAUUGCUAGUUAACGAACAAUAAACUCUAAAUGAAACUACUAAAUUUGCAACCGAAGACAUUUUUGGGCUUGUAUCUUAGUAUCGUAAUCGUCACCCAAUUAGAGCCGCCCAUGACGGCUUCAUUAAAUAUAUAAUUUGGGGGAACCAGGAUUUAAGGCCAAAUUUCGGCAACCUUCAAGGCACUUCAUUGUUUUCUCACAAAUUUUGUUUAUUUAUUGUAAAAGAUUAACUUUAAAGUGUCCUCAAAUUUCUUCCCUAUCUUCUCUCAAACUUUACCAGUGAAAAUUGUUUGUCUUCGGGUUCGUUUGUUUCGGGUGAAAAUGUUUUCCAGAAAAAGUAUUUUCCUAAUUUCCCGUGUUUGAUUGCACAAAAGUUACUGAAAACAUUUUACAUAAAUUUUCACUCAUCUUAUGGAAAACAACUUCCCUUCCAAACUUACUGAAGUUGUUUUCCGAAAUGCAUGCAUCCCGCCUGUAGUAUGUUCCAAACUUACUGAAACCAUCUUGUAGUAUGUUCUUUUUUUUUUUUAGUGUAAACAGGAGGACUCGAACCAAGACCUCUUCCUUACACUCCCUCCCCCGUACCAUCCAACCCAACCCAACCCUCCCCCUAGUAUAUUCAAAAUAAAAAAAAACCUCAUCCUACUCAUCCUAUUCUAGUAAUUAAUUAUGUAUAAUAGGGACAUUCUUUUCUAGAGAAACUUUCAGCAAUGAUAGUGCAAGAUAUAUGUCACAAUAAGCAUUGCAUGUGAUUGAUAUUUGACACUAAAUGGCCAGCAAUUUGUUUAUUGCUUAAGGAGAUAUUUUUUAUUCAUAUAUACAUUUCUCCAAGAUUUUUUAAAGUUAAACAAUGAGAUAAAUUUUCUUAUUUUGCAUGGGAAGAAGUAUGUAGUUAUAAUGUGUAGAAAGUAAAGAUAGAGAUAAAAGUGAAAAUAUUUCAAAAGUUAAACAAACACCAAAAAAAUGAAGUAAGAAAAUAUUUUCAAUAAACUAACCAAACACCUGAAAAUGAUGAAAGAGAAAUGAUUUUCAUGGAAAAUUACUUCCACGGAAAAUAUUUUCCCAAGAAAAACAUUUUACUUCCAACCAAACAGACCCUUCAUCUCGUUGAUUGUCUCCCCCAGUGCAUACAAAUGUAUUAUGGGCAUUUUGGUGAAAGAAAGGCAUAAACUGAGUUCUGCACAACUAAAUUUUGCCAAUAGCAUAUGAAAAUAUGAAGAAGAAUAAUAAUAAAUGAAGGGUCUGUCUAAUAAGUAUUCAUAGGGAACCAUUGAAAUAUAUCUCAAGUGUCAUGUUUUUGGAAAUGUAAAAUUAAUAGAAAAAAUAAAUAAAUACAAGAGAGAGUAGAUAAAAUUAAAUAAGAAAAGUUAAUAAUUGUUAAUAGAUAUAUAUACAUAAUAGAUUAGAUGAACGUUAAAUAUGUUAACAAGUACCUUAUUAGCACCCGUUAAAAAAAGCUAUAAAUGAAAGAUGUGAUCACCAAAUCAUUGACAAAGAAAUGUGUUGAAAAUGAAACAAGAAAGUCAAACAUGAUAAGGGAUCAAAAAUGGAAUUUAAUAAUUGCAGAUACUCCAAGAAGUUGAGUUGAAAUCAGUUAUCCGAUUUCAAAUUCACAACUUCUGCUGUCAAAGAACUACAAAGGGACUCAACUUCUGCUAAUUUAUAUUAGUUUCGAAACUCUUACAAGUACCCUAGCAUCUGAGAUUAUCACCGGGAUCAACACCCAACUGGUUACAAUAUUCAGCAUAAUACUCAACACGAGCACUAACAGUGUCCGGAUUUGCACCAUCACAUUCAAGCUGUCCGUUAACGGCACGAAUUGUAGCCCCAAAACCCUGGCCAGAAGUGAUAAGAUCAUGACAAUUGUUCAUCCAGAACCACAAGGCAGUUUUGAAUGAAAUAACAUUAUCUGUGGCCACAGUUUCAGGUUCAGUUAGUCCAUCGAACCCUAUGCUUUCACCUGCUGGUCCAUAGUUAAAGUUCCAAGAUAUUUGUAUUGGACCCCUGCCGUAAUAUCCCUUGCCUGGCACACAAGGGUACUGAGUGUUGCGCUCAUCACAAUAGUCUUUGGAAGGGCCGUCUAUCUCUUCUAUAUAGCACAUAUCUGCACAAUAUAGAGAAGUCUGUAUCAAUUAUCACUGCAUUCAAUUGCUUAUAUGAAAGCCACUCAUUGAUACAUUAUGGAUUUUAGAUAUUUUUACUAUUAAAAAACCUAUAAUCUAAAUACAAAAUAAAUGAGAACAUAAAAAAAAUUAAUUAUUUAAAAUCAGAAUCUAUAGUCAGUUAUAAUAAUCAAUCAAGAACAACCCCAAAAAAUGUCAUCAAUAUUUAAGAAGGGACCAUAUGUGAUAAAGAAAUUAUAAAGUUAUAAGUAAUCACAGACUAAAUAAAUAACCAAUACAACAAAGUAGAAAAAAUUAACGUCAAAGUGGGACGGAGGGAGUAUAUGUUUUUCUUGGUAUCCUAGCAAUAUGAUAGUUGGAGCAAUAACCAUUGUCAAAUUUUGGUGUUUGAUUGUUGCUCUCAUGCUUGAGGGCAAGCAUGGUUCAGGUGUGAGGAGAAUUGAUAGGGUGUUAAUUGUUAGUAAUUUUAUUGUUAAUUUUCCCUUUUAUCCUUGCCAAAUAUUGUUUUAAUUAUUAAUAUUUACUUAUAUUUGGUAUUUGGACUCAAUUUCAGGGAAUAGAGUAGAAAACUACAAAAAAGGAGGGACUUUAUGGAGACAAUGGAGACUUCAAACAACCGGGGCCACAUGGUGCCACAAACGGAUGGCAUUUCCUUUUUACUGAUUAGGAGUUGAAGUCUUUGAUGGGCAACAGGAAACGAAAAGUAGAGAAAAAUUCGGCAGAGCUUUCUUUUUGUACUUGGACUCCCAAUUCGUUGGGGACCACAGAGAGCAUUAAGGAGUCAUACUUUUGCUUGGAAUAAAAAGAACGUAUAGAGGCUAGGGAUAGUUUUUAGCAAUAGUUUAGUUUUCUUCCUUUUUCCUUUUCAUGCAUGCCUACUGUUCGACAAAAGUCCCAACUGGAGAAAUAUCUUUCACCUCUUGAUUAUUUAGUGAAAAACCCGAUGCCUUUGCAAUCAAUUAAUUUGCGUGGAAAUUUAUUUAUGCGGCGUGGCUAAACUUUUCAUCUAGUCAAGGAUCAACUCGACGGCGCAGUCCCGAAUAUCUGUGAGAUCUAAUUAGUUUUCACGCGUUCUUAAUUUGUUAAUAAUUGCGCGUUGUCUAUUCGAAUUUCCAUGGGAUUAUUUUGUUAAUUGGAUGUCAAGGGAUCGAUGUUCAAUGUGACUUAUUAAUCUCCUGCCAAAUUAGUCAAUUAAAUCCAUAAUUGUUUGAUUGGUUAAUAUUAGUGGCAACUGGCGUGUUUACACACCAGGGGAACGUGCAAUCUAAUUUAAAUAACCCUCGUAGCGUGUUAUUGAUUGGGGUUAGGUUUUUCUAGUUAUUAAUGCAAUUGAAAAAUUAAUUCCUACGGUCGUACCUAGGAGUAUUUUCUGGUUAGGGGUAAUCAAUGGUUGUACCUUGGUUAUCAAUAAAUUAAAGAAAAAUUGGUCGUUAGAGUUCGUCGGCGACUAUAACUAGUCUAUUAAUAAAUUAAGUGAACCUCCCUUACAUCAAUGAUCGGGUAAGUGGACUAUGUUUGAAUAGUUGUAUUCUUGGUUAGAAUUUAUCUAUUCUUGAAUUAAUUCCUGUGUAUAUUCGUGUUAGUUAAUUAUUCGUUUUAUUUGAAUUGCUUAAUUAUUUGUAGUUUUAUUCUGAUGAAACACCCAUUUUACCAAUUGGAAUCUCAAAGAGACAAAUAUCCUCAAUUCCUGAGGAGACGUGUGAGAACCCGUAUUUUCCCUAAUAAUUUUCCUAGGGUUUUUCCCCUUUAAUGGCAUGUUUUCUGCAUUUUCUGGCUUAGAAAAUUUUCCUGGUGAAUUUUAUGAGUAAUUAUAGUUUUUAGAUGAUUUUUCUAGCAUUGGAUAGUUUUUGAAAAAUUACGGAUAUAUAACGGACGUGGGGCCCACUAGUGCGAAAAGUUCGGAAAAAUUCGGUCAAUAAGGUUAAGUUCCGGAUACUGAGUGAAAUUUAUCGGGUGUUAAGAGAUAAGUAUAGGAUGUGAUGUGAUUGAUGUGAGAGGAAAACAAAAGGAUAGAAAUGCAUUAAUGAAGUGACACUUGUCAUGUUGGGAUUGGUUUCACUUGUUGACAACUAUUCAUUUUUUUUGACUUUUCUUACCAAUUGAUUAAAUAUCUCAAAAAUCACAAAAAAAUUCACUCUUGUCUUCACCUUCUUGGCCGGCCACCUUGAGCUUAAGAAGGAAGAAAACUCUUCAAAAUCUUGGCUACCAUCUAGCUCAAAUCCUCCAAAACAAUUGCUUGAUCUUGUUUCUACUCCAUAAAAUCUCUCCAUUUGGUACUAGUAAGUGAUUUGGUGAAGUGUUUAAGGAAGCUAAGGUGUCCAACAACUCUCCCUCUCUUGUUUACUAGGUGAGUGGUGAUUGAACUUCCUCCUACACUUAAUGAAGCUUAAGUUGUGCUUAGUGGUAGCUAAAGUGCUGAAAUUUGUGGUUUAUUUCUUGGUUUGAGAUGAAAUGAUGAAGUUUUCAAUUUAAUGGUGUAUUUUCUGGUUUAAUGUGAUCAUGAUGUUGUGGUUAUCUAUGAUGGUUGGUAAUGAAGGGUAAUGACUCUAGUAGGUGUACAUGAUUGGUAAUUGCAAGCAAUUUUGGGUUUGGAAGGAAUUUGAGAAAGUUAGGGUUUUAUAUCCCCAAUUCUGUCCGAUUUUGUAUCUCAUGGUUAGAGGCCGAAUUGGCCUUGUCUUAAAACAUGAAAGUUGUAGGUAUUGAUGUGUUUGAGGUGCCUGUAAAAUUUCAGGUUCAUCGGAGUUGUGUAGAGUGAGAAAAGUCGAUUUUACUGUUGCUGUUCUGGGUUCUUCAGGAUGGCCGAACUGCGUCUGUAAUUGGUGGUUUUGGCUGGAAUUGCUUUGGAUUUGGUUGUUGAGGCCUUCUGAUGAAAUGUAGCUUGAUGUCUUAGCUACCGCAUGCCUUUGGUAUGAAUGAAUUUGGACUUGUAUAGACUGAGUUGGACUAAUUACAGCAUAGUGUAUUUUGUAAACCUGCAAUUAAGGUUCUGGUUUGGUAUUUUGCAUAUUUGACCUAGUUGUGCUAGGAAUUGGACUGAGUGACCUUCUACAUUGUUGUAGCCCUGUUUCUUAGCUUCGAAACGGUGGGUCUUACACCCUCAUCCGAUAAGCGUAGUGCAAUUUGUGCCAUUACCGCAAACUGAGGACAAAACUGUUUUUUUUUCAGGGCCAAGUUAGUUACAUUUCCUGAUUUUCUGGUUUGCUAUAAUGCUUAUAUAUGAAUAUGAAACCCUAUUGGGGUUGUGAUUGGCAUGGCUUUAUGACUCGUUAUCGAGUCUCAUUGUAUUUGUUUACGUGUUUUAGGACGUGACGAGGGUUCACGACGACCUUUUAACGACGGUGCAUGAAACAUCACCUACUUGAGUAGUGAGUAUACUACUCACUUGAAUGUUUAUAAUGUGGCUUUGCUAUAUGUGAUUGUGAUGCCUUGAAGGCUUGUUUGGCUAUUGGACAUGGUUAAGGUGAGGGUGUACUUGACCGCCCUCAUCCUUUUUAUCUUGUUAAUGACUGUUUACCGUUUCACUGUAAUACUGCACUUGCUAUAUGAGAUAUUGAAUUCCAUUCAUGGGAAACUGUUUGGGUGUCGGUUGGACGAGUAUCCAACGGCCCUACUGCAUUACUGAGCUCGACCCCGUUGGUAGUUACUUGAAUCGAGCCAGCGAGGGCUUGGUCGUGAAAAUUGACUAGCCACGGGGACUGAAAUGGGAAUCUUGUGGUAAUGAGACCCUUGGUUCCGGUGUACUCGAGUAUCACCUAAAGCUACUGCUUGGAGUGCGGGCCCGGUUGGGGUAUGUUGGGUGGAAGGAAUGGAAGUGAAGUGAGGUCUACGGUCGGGUAUUCUUAAACAUUGACGGAGGGUCAAUGAGGUUGGAUCAAGAAUGUAAGCGUGGAAAUGGGCUCUUGAGAGCCGUCCGUAUCCUUUUACCGACUUGUUUUAUUUCUUAAUUGCGUACUUGAGAUGAAAGUUAAGUGAUCUUUGUUGAUUAUGUGAUAGUUGCUCACUGAGCUUUAGCUCACUCCGUUCCAUUUGUUUUCCUUACAGGAAAAAUGACUAUUUUGGGAAAGGUUGUGCUAGUUGGUUGUCAAGUUGAGCUCAUGUAAAUGUAUAUUUUGAAUAGCUCCUUGAGGGUGAAAACCCUAAGUGUUUUGUUUCAACCAAUGGUUGGUUUGUAAUUGGCCAAUUGCACAUGUGUGAACUUGUUGGAUAUUUUGGUAUACCGCUUUGGCUUGUAAAUGUUAAAUUUCGAUGUAUAUAUGUUGGAUUGAUGUUUGGUUGAACUCCGGAUUCUGACAUGGCCGGUACUGUUCAUCAUCGGCUUCGAUUUUCAUAUUUUUUUUAUUUUGUGAUUUUGACUUGUUUGCGCGCGUUGGUGUGUUCCGGAACGUAGUAGAUCGACGUAAACUGAUCCGUUAGUCCUGGCGAGAGCUGGGCAGCCAGUCCGCUAACCCCUUUGGUUCGCCUUAGGGGAAGGUGGGGCUGUUACAAGACGACCCUACUUGCCACUGUCUGCCAAUUAGUAAAUUUUGUCAAAUAAUUAAUUCUGGUAUAUCGGAUUAAGCAAACUCUUCGAGAACAGGGUGAAUCAAGUAACCCAUUGCACACCUAGAGUCCCUGCUCCAGUACUUAGAAUUGAUUAUCGACUACUUUUGACGGGCGUAGGGUAUACAUAUAACAUUAAGCUCAUCCUAAUCAAGUUUUACAUUUAUAAACUCCUAAAUACCCUACACGCGAUUUAUCGCAAGUAUACGAAUCGUGAGCGAGUAUAGGGUAUUAAAAGUCGAUCUCACAAUGAAGAUUGCAAUUACCGGCACUACUAAAGCUUCUCUAUUAUUUAGACUAUCAAUGAAUUAUAACAAAUUUAACCUACUGAACUUAUGCAAGAAAAUAACAAAUGAAAGCUCCUUAAGUUGUGGUAUCCCUAACUACUCAUGCAAGUGCUAUAUUUGGAUCAUUGAAUACUACUAUCUAGGCUAGUUAUGGUGUAAUUUCCUUAAACAUGUGAAACCUACUUUCGUAGUGAAUCAACUAUAUUCAUAACUAAUCCAUACAUAUUCUCAUGGUUAUGAAAUUAGCUACAAGUUCAUUUCUUCAAUGAAAUUAAUCACUAAAAUCACAUAGGUGCACCUCUACUCUCGUGAGCGUACUCCCUAUGUUUAGCACUUCUUAAACUAGUGUUAAAUCUCAAUUUUCAUUGCAGAAACAACACCUUAAAUAAUCACAAUCAAUGGUACCAGAUUAAUCAUGAUUUAAAGAGCCAAAGUACUAAAUAACUUGCUCAAAUCAUAGCAAUCAAAUAACCAAAUAAUAAAUACUAACAAUUAUAGAAAGUUCAACCAAACCCAAGGCAUAAACGUUAGAGACACAUAUUAAACACAAAAUCCAGAACUUGCAUAUCAACUAAACUUAGAAUCCAAUACAAAAGAUAAAGAGUUGGAAAAGAGAUAACCAUUGUCACAUGAGCUUCAACUCCUCCUUUUUCAUCUCCAUUUUCAUCCUAAUCUAGCUAAUAUACAAGAAUGGAAGAGCUAUACUAUUCUAAACUAAACUAUCCUACUACUCAGAAAGUGCAAGAGCUACAUCUCUGCACUCCAAGUUUCUCCUGUAUGUCUCUCUAUUCUCCCUUCAAUCUUGCAAGCUUUGGCUAUAUAAAGGUGAAAGUUGGUCAAGAAGUGAGGUUUACACCUCCCUUUUACAGCUGGGAAUGUUUCUCACAUGUCUAGCAUCACCUGUGACUUAGUGGAGGUGAAAUUGAGUUUCCCACGUAAAGAGCAGCCUUCUCUGACCACAAUCCGGCCAGAAAUCUGGCCAAGUUCCGGCCGGAUUGCUACAGUGACAUUUUGGUGCACUUUUGUUCAAUUUCCAGCUCUGCUCCAAUUUUGUGUCAAUUUCAACUGAACUUUUGUUGAUGAUAAAAGCUGAUUUAGCUCUUGAUCAACAUAAAACUUGUAGCCCUUUGAGUUAGCUUUCCAAUGCAUCAAGAAUCACCUCAUUUGGAUCUGUGUAGGCUGAGAAAUGACCGAAAUACCUUUGACUGCUCACUGCCCUAUUUCAGCUUCGACCAAUAGAAAUUAGCUACUGUAAUUCGGCUUUUUAACCUGGAAAACCUUCAAAAUAGAUUCAGAUGUCUUCACCAAAGUUGUAGAUCUAUCUCUUAUCUUCAAAUUGGUUUAAGAAUCAUCUCAAUCCGAUCAUUAUAGCUCAAGUUAUAGCCAAAAUACGAAAAUGUGUCAAAACUGUCAAAAUGCACAAAAUCCAAGUAAAAAGUGAUAAAAACCUCAUUUAAUUACUUAAAAGCAUUUUUCACCAAUUAUAGCCAAAAUGAAUCAUUUUCUUCCAAUAAUGUAACCAAAGUGACUAACAAUAAUAUAAAAUAUCAUACAAUUAUUACAUAAAUUAGUCACUUAUCAGCUUUUAUUGGCAAUUAGGUUUAUUUUUAUUAUUGCACAGGUUCGGCACCUGUCAUUAGGAGUACUGGUUUUGCUGUGGGAUUUUUCGUUUUCUUUGUCAGCUGCGUCAGCUGCAUGGUGCUUUAGAGCAUAAGCCUUUGUUUUGUAUCGAAACAUCACGGCCAAAAUUGCCAAAAGCAUAUCGAAACAUGAACACAAAAUGAAAGAUGUGAGGAAACUUUAAUGAAGAUAUGCCUUGAGAUUUAAACACCAAAGACAAAAGCUCAAAAAAUAUUAUCAACGGAUCAAAAUAAGAACUUGAUUAUUGGUAAAACACUCCAACAAGUUAAGUCGAACCAAGAUCAACAUAAUCAAUUAUUUGAUUUCAAGAGUCAUAACUUUUGCUUGUAAAGAACAAAUAAAGUUAAACAAUUUAUUGCUUUUUUCCCCCCAGUCAGCUGUGUACCUCAACAUUAUUUCACGUCAAAAACUUGUUUUUCCUCGGAUUAAAUACCCUAGCAUCUGAGGUUAUCACCAGUCUCGACACCCAAUUGUCUACAAUAUUCAGUAUAAUACUCAACUCGAGCACUAACUGUGUUUGGAUUUGCACCAUCACAUUCAAGCCGACCAUUAAUGGCACGAAUUGUAGCCCCAAAACCCUGGCCAGAAGUGAUAAGAUCAUGACAAUGGUUCAUCCAAUACCACAAGCCAGUUUUGAAUGAAAUAACAUUAUUUGUAGCUACAGUUUCAGGUUGGCUGAGUCCAUUGAAUCCAAUGCUUUCACCUGCUGGUCCAUAGUUAGAGUUCCAUGAUAACUGUAUUGGACCCCUGCCGUAAUAUCCCUUGCCUGGCACACAUGGAUACUGAGUGUUGCUCUCAUCACAGUAAUCUCUGGAGGGGCCGUCUAUCUCUUCUAUGUAGCACAAAUCUGCGCAAUAUAAAGAAAUUUUGUCACUCAAUUGAAAUGAUUGAUAAAGGGUUAGAAUCAAAGAAAAUCAGGAGGUCUGGAAUUUUUUGUAAAUUUUUAGAUUUGAUUGUUUUACUAAUGAAUUCAAUUGGUGAGAAAAGACUUUAUCCCAUUUUGUAAAAAUUGGGUUGGACAGACCUAAAGUAAACACUCUUUUUAUGAGGUAAAAUUUUAGAAUGAUUUAACAUUAUAGGGUUAUACGAUAGAUAAAUAAAAAUUGGCAAUAGCAAGAUUAAGAAGGGACCAACAGUGAUAUAAAAAUUACAAAGGUAUCAUGGACGUCUAAAAUAUAUUUGGCUAAUAAAUUUGAACUAAUUUACGGCCAAAUUUAGGUGAAAUAGUUAAUUCUACUUGGUAAAUUGGAAGUUCGGAAACGUGUAUCUGUCAGUUGUCAUACUCAUGAGCGAGCCAAUCUUAACUUAAAAAAGAAAAAGAAAAAAAGAAAAAGAAAAAAGGAAUCCAAAAGAUAAAAGUAGAAAAGGCAUGAAUUUUAAAACGUAAUCGUAAUACCUUGUACCCGAAACAAAUAUGUGCAAUACUUAUUAAGCUAAGCAAAGCCACAUGAUCUACUCUUAGAUGCAGCAAAAUAUACAACCACCUUAAGCUUGGAAUGUAAAGGCAGAAAAACUUGCUUAUGUAGAUAUAAAAGUGACCACUACAAGAAAAGUAAAAAGAAUAUGGAGAUAAUAAUCCUUCUGUUCAUCAUGAUAAAUUAUUUAACAGUAAUAAAUCUUUCAUAUUCAAGUUUUAUUUUUUGAAGAAAAAAUUCUUGGAUAAUAGUGCACAGGAGAUUCCAAGAUAUACUAUCUAGAAAUUCACAGGAGCUACUAAAAAAGUAGAAAAUAUCUUCAAAAUUUAAUUUCCAAGCUAGUGUUAUUCAAAACUUACGUCCAGUCUCAUGAGUGACAUGAGCAAAGAAAGCAGCAAUCUCCCUUUUAGAAUCAUCAACAGAACCAGCGGUUCCAAACUGGGGAUACGAGUUCAGAGCUUCAAGAAAAGCUGAUCGAGUAUAGAACCCUUUUCCAGCACAGCUUGAAGCAGCUUGAUCAGCAAUCCCAUUAAAGAAAGCGUCCGUCACAAUAUCAGCAACUGAAACGCCACUAUUACCACUGCUCGGAGCAGCGGUGCAAGGGCCGGAUUGACAGCCAGAGCCGCAGUAGUCGUUGCCGGUACCGCAAUAGCCGAAUUUGCUGCAGCACAAGUCUGGUGCACAGCCGCAGUUUUGGCUUGAAAUCAGCUGUGGAAAGGCUCCUACAAGAACUACAAUGGAGAAAAUGAUGGUUGGAAAACUCUUCAUUUUUGGAUUUGAUAAAGGAGAGAAGCUUGUGGGCAGCAGUUGUAUCAGAAAAAAGGGUAUAUGUAGGGAAGAGAACUGAAAACUGAUCAGCUUGUGUGAAGCAUGCACAGCUGCUAUUGUUGAAAAUAUUGAAUUUGAGCAAUUAAAGAAAACAGAACAGAAGACGAAAGCGUGAAUGGUUGACUUCUAUCGAGAGUAUUGACUUUGACAUUGUCAAUGAAGCGGAAACUUUCUUUCUUGGCUUCUAGAAUGGGAAAGGUCAAAAAGAAAGAUUUUGGCCAAUUCGUAUGAACAAUUGUGAGAAUAAGGCAUGUAGACUCACAAGUCCCCACUAGAAUGUGUGCAAAAAUAUAAUUUGAAGUUGCCUAAAUCAUUUAAUUUCAUGCUUGUUAUUGAGUUUAUUUGCCUAACUGUGUUUUAGUAAUACUUCAAAAUUGUGUUUGAGUUAGAACGGAAAAAAAUAUGAGACAUUUUUUUUUUAAUUGCAAUUCCAGAAAUAAAAUCUUAUAAAACAUGUAUUAGAAAAAUUUUGAGGGUAAAUGAUAUGAAAAAAAAAAAGAAGAAAUAGUUCUAUAAAUUGACAUAAGUGUUCAUCGGCUUUUGGAAAAAUUAAGAAAGAAUAAAGCAGCCGACAUAUCUAUCAUGCAUAACAACAUUAUGUGGCUUUUGUUAGUACACGCUAUGACCAUAUAUGUUUCAUUUGAGAUGCUUGUCGGACGUGUUGAAUUGUUGGCAAUGAAAUGCUCCAAAAUGUCAGCACUAUAGUUUAUAAAUAGUAUUAGGUCAUACUGAAUUAUCGACAUAUCGUUACAUGCAGAGUCGUGAAAAUAUACAAGUCUUUCCCUAUCAUUAAUUAGUUGGUCAAAUGACAAUUUUAGAGUGGCUGCUGACUAUGUCAAGAAACAUCUUGCAGUAAAUUGGGCGAGUUAAUGUACUUUUCUUUUUCUAAAUAUUUGCACUUAAACUCUCAAAUCGACCAUAGUUUUAACUAAUUUUGCUCUGGCUUUAUUCUUGAUUCGCAAAAUUCAGAAAAACCAAAACAAACCCUUGUUACUGAAGAUAUCAAAAUGGUAACCCAACUAAGUAAUUGAUUUUGAAAAACAUUCUGAACCAAAUUUCAAGUUUUGGUUUCUUUGCUCUUUUUCUACUGAAAGGCAACUUCCCCGGGCCAAGAAAUUGAAACAAAUAGUACGAUGCUUAAGUUUUCUAUGCUCUUAUGAUCAAGUCAAACCAUGCUUAUAAUCAAUUACAUAAAAAAUUACGGGCAAUUUCGUCAUUAUUUGGGAGGAGGAGGAAUAUUAAGCAAAAAAAAAAGUUCUAUUAAGAAAACGAUUAAGCAUAUUAUUUUCCAGGAAUAAAAAAGAACGAGCAGAGAAAUACAUUAGUUUGGAUGACAUUACAACAUUUAGCAACAUGAUUAGGGAUGCAAUGGGAUGGGUGCCAAUUGGGAAUCAAUGGGAUGGGAGAAAAUGCAGGAGGGGAUGGAGGGAUUGAAGAAUAUUUCUCCUCCAACAUUAAAUGGAUACCUCCAUCCCAUCCCCUAAAACCCCUUGUUGCUAUUCCUAAACAGGAUGCUACUUAUAUCCUCUCUCUAUGAGCAUGUGUGGCUAGUGAGGAAUGCAGGAUUUUGAUUUUGGCGGGGGGAGGGUGGGGCAAAUUGACAAUCAAGAAACAAUAGAAAAAAAACCUUAGCAAAUAAAGCACACAAACUUAAAAUGAAAGUUUAAUAUACGAUAAAUAAAAUAUAAAUAUUUUUAAUAAUAAAAUACACCAUAUAAAUAAAAUGAUAGAGCAAUAAUUGGGCACCAUAAGUGCUGUUAUUUGGUCAUAAUGUUGGCUACUUAUCAUGCUAAGUAGUGCAGCUUUGCUCAUAUUUGAUAUUUGUGUAAAUUACAGGCGGUUGGUGUUGAAACUGAUCUCUCGAGGCAAAUUUUCAGAAGACUUUUUAUUUCAGAGCGUGCCGACGCCAGAAACUAUAGAGAGACUCCUCAAAGGUGGACCGCGGGACUAAUUAACUAAACUUACCUUUAUUCCUGCUUGACGCUGCUGGAAGUGCGUUAAAACAAAAAGGCAAUAAUUUCCAGCGAAUUGGGUAACAACCAAUAAGGAGGAAAAUUAGGGGCACUAGCCUACAAAGCCGGACCCGCGAGACUGGUAGACAAAGUGGGGAAUUAGGAAGUCUUCAAAGCGGCUAUUUUCUCGUGGGCUGCAGAGGUGAAAAGGACAAGUAGUUUGAGUCUUGCAGAGAGCUUUUGAGUUCUCUUACGUUUUGUCUUGCGGUAGCCACCCGGGGGAGGAUUGAAAAAGCCAUAUUCACGUGGGAUUAGGAGAUUAGCUUUAGUUUCUUGUAUCCCUGGGUAGACGAUCUGCUCUCUGCUUUGCUUUUGGCGACUUUCUUUAGACCUUUUUCUUUACUUUUCUCCGGCACGAACAGGGAACCAAAAAAGAAGCAAGACUUUUCGUUUGUCUCGUCGUUAUUUCAUCUUUCCCAACUUUUUGGUAAUUAAGUGGAUGGAAUCAAUCAAAUCACGCGAGAUUGAUGUGAUGAGGAGUGGCUAGGUUUCUCUGCUACCCAAAGGUCGACGCGAAGGCGCGGUCCAUAACAUCUGUGAGAUCUAAUCGAACUUUCACUAUUUCUUCCAAUCCGUUACUAUUCGUGCGUUUUCUGGAUUAACUGUUUAUGGUUAUUUUAUUAAUUGAGUAUCAACAGCCGGAUAUUUAAUUUAAUCUAAUAGCCUACUGUCACGUUAACUAAAUUGAAUCCGUAAUUAUUCGUUUAGUUGAUAAUUAGUGACAACCAUCAUAAUUGGCUUUAUGUUGGGAAAAACGUAAGAUCUAAUUUAGAUAAACCCUCUUAUAGCGUGUUUAUUGGUUAGGGUUGGAUUUUUCUAGCGUUAAUGCAACUGAAUAAUUAAAUUCCUACGGUCGUAUCUAGGGUUAUUUUCUGGUUAGAGAAACAGUCAACGGUCGUACCUUGGCUAUCGAAAAAGUAAGAAAAAACUAGCAGUCAGAGCUUGUUGAUCGCUAUAACCAACCUAGUGACGAAUGAGUGAAAUAUCUUUGCAUCGAUGAUCAUUUAAUUGGACCGUGCCUGAAAAGUUGAUCCUUUGGAUAGAAUUUUGCUAAUUGCUAUUUUCAGUGAAUUGUACUUGGCGAGUUAGCUUUUGAAUUUUGUUUAUUUUAUUUUCAUUUUCAUUCCAUUAAAUAUCCCCCAAUUUUGUUCUAUUGACUUGGAAAGAAACAACUUCUUACCCGUUACUUGUGGAAUCGACCCUACUUGCCAUUUUCAGAAACAACUUCUUAAUUUUAAUCCUUAUGAAACCCAGCUUCUCUCUCAAUUUUCAGAGGUUUCUUUUCCUUCAUCAUGUCAAAGUUGCUAUUAUAAUCACUGUAAUUAGACAGCUAAACCUGUCAUUCCAAUUAUACCCUUGGUCCGCCGUGGGAAAUACAUAAAAUGUGGUAGCGCUGCCCAAUAAGUCCCACAUUGGACCAUAUAAAAUUGUUUAAGGACUAAAUUGGUAAAAAAAAUCGUAAAUGAUGAAAUUGAUUUAAGUGAAAAAGUUCAAGGACCAAAUUGGCAAUUUUUCCUUAUUAUGAUUAUGAUUAUGAUUAUUAUUAUUAUUAUUAUUAUUAGUCUGAGAUGCCGAACAAGUUGUGGAGACUUAUUUCACCUUUACAAGGUCAUUGGAGGGCUUGACGAGGUGCGAUGUGGUAAGGAAAGGCACAAAAAACUCUUUUUUCUUUAUUAAAAAACAUACAAAUUGCACUAAUAAUGGCUGAAAAUGCAUCCAACAUGCAAUAGUGAAAAAUCGUUAGAUGCAAGAUAUAUAAAAGUUAACAAAAAUUAUCUUAGUACCUCUGAUAUAUUCCAAAUUCAGAUAAAUCAUCUGCCCCCAAUGAAUAUAUGUGCAUAUCAUCAUUGUCAAAAAAUAUUUAUGCAUAUCAUUGCCGUUAGAUUUUAUAUUGAAGUGGUUAAAGCUCCAAAUCUAGUAGAGAAGAAAUUCAACACUUGAGAAAAUAAGUUAAGAAAUUCAAGAUUUGACAUACAAAUCUGAAAAGCUCUCAAAUCUAACAAAACAAGAUAUAAAAUUAUCUGAAUAAAACUCUCACUAGAAUAUCUUAGUAGAGAAGAAAAUUCUCACUAGAUAGUCUCACUAUACUUUAUUAGACAUAAAAAAAAAAAAAAGAGAAGUCAAACAGAGGGAGGAAGGCAAUCCUCCAUGGAGGAAAUAAUAAUUGUCUUGAAGGUUGUGUAGAGAGAUGGUGGAGAAACUUCUUUUGUUUUAUCUAUUGGUUAUCUUUCUAAUUGCUAGUUAACGAACAAUAAACUCUAAAUGAAACUACUAAAUUUGCAACCGAAGACAUUUUUGGGCUUGUAUCUUAGUAUCGUAAUCGUCACCCAAUUAGAGCCGCCCAUGACGGCUUCAUUAAAUAUAUAAUUUGGGGGAACCAGGAUUUAAGGCCAAAUUUCGGCAACCUUCAAGGCACUUCAUUGUUUUCUCACAAAUUUUGUUUAUUUAUUGUAAAAGAUUAACUUUAAAGUGUCCUCAAAUUUCUUCCCUAUCUUCUCUCAAACUUUACCAGUGAAAAUUGUUUGUCUUCGGGUUCGUUUGUUUCGGGUGAAAAUGUUUUCCAGAAAAAGUAUUUUCCUAAUUUCCCGUGUUUGAUUGCACAAAAGUUACUGAAAACAUUUUACAUAAAUUUUCACUCAUCUUAUGGAAAACAACUUCCCUUCCAAACUUACUGAAGUUGUUUUCCGAAAUGCAUGCAUCCCGCCUGUAGUAUGUUCCAAACUUACUGAAACCAUCUUGUAGUAUGUUCUUUUUUUUUUUUAGUGUAAACAGGAGGACUCGAACCAAGACCUCUUCCUUACACUCCCUCCCCCGUACCAUCCAACCCAACCCAACCCUCCCCCUAGUAUAUUCAAAAUAAAAAAAAACCUCAUCCUACUCAUCCUAUUCUAGUAAUUAAUUAUGUAUAAUAGGGACAUUCUUUUCUAGAGAAACUUUCAGCAAUGAUAGUGCAAGAUAUAUGUCACAAUAAGCAUUGCAUGUGAUUGAUAUUUGACACUAAAUGGCCAGCAAUUUGUUUAUUGCUUAAGGAGAUAUUUUUUAUUCAUAUAUACAUUUCUCCAAGAUUUUUUAAAGUUAAACAAUGAGAUAAAUUUUCUUAUUUUGCAUGGGAAGAAGUAUGUAGUUAUAAUGUGUAGAAAGUAAAGAUAGAGAUAAAAGUGAAAAUAUUUCAAAAGUUAAACAAACACCAAAAAAAUGAAGUAAGAAAAUAUUUUCAAUAAACUAACCAAACACCUGAAAAUGAUGAAAGAGAAAUGAUUUUCAUGGAAAAUUACUUCCACGGAAAAUAUUUUCCCAAGAAAAAUAUUUUACUUCCAACCAAACAGACCCUUCAUCUCGUUGAUUGUCUCCCCCAGUGCAUACAAAUGUAUUAUGGGCAUUUUGGUGAAAGAAAGGCAUAAACCGAGUUCUGCACAACUAAAUUUUGCCAAUAGCAUAUGAAAAUAUGAAGAAGAAUAAUAAUAAAUGAAGGGUCUGUCUAAUAAGUAUUCAUAGGGAACCAUUGAAAUAUAUCUCAAGUGUCAUGUUUUUGGAAAUGUAAAAUUAAUAGAAAAAAUAAAUAAAUACAAGAGAGAGUAGAUAAAAUUAAAUAAGAAAAGUUAAUAAUUGUUAAUAGAUAUAUAUACAUAAUAGAUUAGAUGAACGUUAAAUAUGUUAACAAGUACCUUAUUAGCACCCGUUAAAAAAACCUAUAAAUGAAAGAUGUGAUCACCAAAUCAUUGACAAAGAAAUGUGUUGAAAAUGAAACAAGAAAGUCAAACAUGAUAAGGGAUCAAAAAUGGAAUUUAAUAAUUGCAGAUACUCCAAGAAGUUGAGUUGAAAUCAGUUAUCCGAUUUCAAAUUCACAACUUCUGCUGUCAAAGAACUACAAAGGGACUCAACUUCUGCUAAUUUAUAUUAGUUUCGAAACUCUUACAAGUACCCUAGCAUCUGAGAUUAUCACCGGGAUCAACACCCAACUGGUUACAAUAUUCAGCAUAAUACUCAACACGAGCACUAACAGUGUCCGGAUUUGCACCAUCACAUUCAAGCUGUCCGUUAACGGCACGAAUUGUAGCCCCAAAACCCUGGCCAGAAGUGAUAAGAUCAUGACAAUUGUUCAUCCAGAACCACAAGGCAGUUUUGAAUGAAAUAACAUUAUCUGUGGCCACAGUUUCAGGUUCAGUUAGUCCAUCGAACCCUAUGCUUUCACCUGCUGGUCCAUAGUUAAAGUUCCAAGAUAUUUGUAUUGGACCCCUGCCGUAAUAUCCCUUGCCUGGCACACAAGGGUACUGAGUGUUGCGCUCAUCACAAUAGUCUUUGGAAGGGCCGUCUAUCUCUUCUAUAUAGCACAUAUCUGCACAAUAUAGAGAAGUCUGUAUCAAUUAUCACUGCAUUCAAUUGCUUAUAUGAAAGCCACUCAUUGAUACAUUAUGGAUUUUAGAUAUUUUUACUAUUAAAAAAUCUAUAAUCUAAAUACAAAAUAAAUGAGAACAUAAAAAAAAUUAAUUAUUUAAAAUCAGAAUCUAUAGUCAGUUAUAAUAAUCAAUCAAGAACAACCCCAAAAAAUGUCAUCAAUAUUUAAGAAGGGACCAUAUGUGAUAAAGAAAUUAUAAAGUUAUAAGUAAUCACAGACUAAAUAAAUAACCAAUACAACAAAGUAGAAAAAAAAAAGGAAAACAAUAAUCCCUCUGCCCAGUUAUAAGAGACACACCCUCAUGAUAAAUUUCUUUUUUUUCUUUUUCAGUUAUGUCAUUUUAAGUUAUUUGACAAUAGAAAGUAUUUCAUAUUAAUGUCGUUAUCUUUGAAGAAAGUUCUUGGACAAUAGUGCACAGGACAACAUCCUACGUAGAACUGUACAAAGAUUUAGUAAAUAGGAUCUAAGACGUAGAAAAGUUGCUAAAAAUUUCAAAAAAACUAAAUCUCCUUGGUGGAGUUGUUCAAAGCUUACGUCCAGUCUCAUGAGUGACAUGAGCAAAGAAGGCGGCAAUCUCCCUUUUGGAAUCAUCAACUGAACCAACUGUUCCAAACUCAGAAUACAAAUUCUGAGCUUCAAGAAACGCCGAUCGAGUAUAGAACCCUUUUCCAGCACAGCUUGAACCAGCUUGAUCAGAAAUCCAGCUAAAGAAAGCGUCUGUCACAACAUCAGCAACUGAAACACCAUUAUUACCACCAUCUGAUGAAGCGGUGCAAGGGCCGGACUGGCAGCCUUUGCCACAAUAGUCGUCGCUGGUGCCACAAUAGCCCCACUGGCUGCAGCAUAAAUCUGGUUCACAGUCACAGUUUUGGCUUGAAAUCAGCUGGGAAAAGGACCCUACAAGAACUGCAAUGGAGAAAAUGAUGAUUCGAAAAUUCUUCAUUUCUGUACUUGAAGAAGGAGAAAAGGAUGUGGACAGAAAUUGUUUGAGUAAGAAGGAUAUUUAUAGCAUGGAGAACUGGAAAAGUGAUCAGCUUGUGUGAAGUAUGGAGAACUGCUAUUGUUGGAAAUCUUGAAGUUGAGCACUGAAUGGAAUGGAUAUAAAAUGCAAUAUUAGUGCUUGACUUUCAAUUAAUCUAUUGACUUUGGCACUGUCAAAAAGUAGCAACCUUCUUUCUUGGCAUUCGGAAUGGGAAUUGUGGAAAAGAAAAAUUUUGGCCAAUUGAUAUCAACAAUUGUGAGUACAAGUCACAAGUCACAAAUAUAAUGCGUGCAAAAAAGAUAACUUGAUGUUGUCUGUAUCAUCUGAUGUUAAUAAAGCCUAACUCUGUUGUAGUCCUAUUUCAGUCUCGUAUUUGAGUCAGAACACAGAUGAUAUUUGUACCAUUCUAGAUCCACGGGCUGCCCUACUACAAAUACUUUUCAUUUGGCUUAAAAAAAACAUUUUAAAGGGUGUAAGCUUUACAAUUAAAGCACGAUCUUUACCUUAUCAUGCAAAGUAUUGGACAUAUAAAAUUUUAUCAAACUGUUGUAGUGAAAAGAACUCAAAUGAUCAAAUUUUAUCCAGUUGAUAAAUAUAGAAUCCUAAAUAAAAUGCAUAGUCCUUUUUUUUUCCUUUAGAGUUCUUAUUGCAUACUAUAUGAAUUAAUUGGUAAAAUUUUGGUAGCGUAUAGGAAAUGAUACCAAUAUAAAAACUACAUUUACUACUCGAGGGCUUAUUAUGCUGCCCAAUUUUUUGGUUUCUACCAUGAGCUGAAAAAAAAUCUUUUCGAAGCAUAAGUUUCCCCAAAUUCUCAUAGACUUUACAAAUGAAAGUUAUUUGUUUCUUGUCGUUCAUUGACUCACCAUGCGUGUGCAGAUGAAUUAUUGAUUGGCCUUUUUGUGGCAGAAAGAUAAAACAGAAUUGAACCAAAGACCUCAUAAUUCCCUAAUUAGUCACUUCAGCCAGUUGAAUUAGAUCUUAUUCACAAGUUUUUUGUACUUCGGUAUAAUAGCGCUCCUGUUCCUUAGUCUCUUAUGCUUCGGUUUACUCCCAAUCUUAAUUGCCUUAACAUUGGUGCAUUUAGACCCUUGCAUUUGGUAAUUCAUAAUCUUAGUAUAGUUAUGAUCCUCAAAUAUCAUACCUUGAGAAACAUCACGGCUAAAAUUACCAACAGCAUAUUGAAACAUGAAAAGUAAAUGAAAGACGUGCAGAAACUUCAAUGGAGAGGCUUGUUGAGAGUGGAAACACCAAAGUCGAAAGCUCGACGAAUACGAUCAAGGGUUCAAAACUGGAACAUGCCUAUUCGUAAAUAGUCCAAGAAAUCGAAACAAGACCAACAAAAUCAAUUAUAUGAUUUCAAAACUUAACAACUUUCGCUUGUAAAGAGCAAGAAAGGUAAACACCUUUUGCUAAUUUUUAUUAAUUUCCAAUCAGUUUUAAGCCUUUAUAGCUCAACAUAUUACUCCCUUCCGAGCACUUUCGGCUCUCCAGAAGUACCCUAGCAUCUGAGAUUCGGACCAGGAUCAACACCCAGUUGGCGACAAUAUUGAGUAUAAUACCCAACACGAGCACUAACAGUGUUUGGAUUUGCACCGUCACAUUCAAGCCGACCAUUAAUGGCACGAAUUGUAGCCCCGAAACCCUGGCCGGAAAUGAUAAGAGAAUGACAAUGGUUCAUCCAAAACCACAAGGCAGUUUUGAAUGAAAUAACAUUAUUCCUGGCUACAAGUUCAGGUUGACUUAGUCCAUUGAACCCAAUGCUUUGUCCUGCUGGUCCAUAGUUGUAGUUCCAUGAUAUUUGUAGUGGACCGCGGCCGUAAUACCCCUUGCCUGGCACACAUGGAUACUGAGUGUUGCUCUUGUCACAGUAGUUUCUGGACGGGCCGCUUAUCUCUUCUAUAUAGCACAUAUCUGCAUGAUAUAGAGAAGUGGUAUUAGUUAUCAUUCCGUCGAAUUGCCAAAAAAGGAAAAAAUGAACGUUAGGUAAGACAAGGAUUGUCGGAUGAUAUGAUAAUGAAAAAUGUAGCAAAAUUUUAUGAGUUCUAAUAACAAUUAAUUGCAAAAUUAUAGAAUUGAAAGGAUUUAAGAAUCACAAACAAAAAUAUUUAUGUGGGAGAAAAGAGAAUAAAUAACUUAACUCAAAAUGUCAUUAAUAUUUCAAACAAAGAAGAAAAUCUCACCACAAUAAAAAUCUAAUAAAUUUUCUAUAGACUAUUUUAGGCUCUCUUAAAUUUUUAGAAAAUACUCCACCUAAUACUCUAGUGCUAAUUUAUGAGAAUCAUUGAAUAAGAAACAACACGAUUAAUUAUGAAAUAAAACACCAAUCACUAAAUAAUAAAAUUACUAGAAAUUGACUUCAAUAAAACUAAUGAUAAUUAAAUAGAAAAUUUUUGAAGCUUGGUUUAUUUUGCCAAAAAAAGAAAAGAAAAGAAGAGCCAUCAAUAUUUAUGAAUAGACCACAAGUGAUUUAAAAUUUACAAAGUUGUAAGUAAUGAUUUAAAAUUUACAAAGUUGUAAGUAAUCACAUGCUUACUAAAUUAUAAAGUUGACUACUACAACAAAGUGAAAAGAACGGAAAAUAAUAAUUUCUCUAUCCAAUUAUAAGUGGCACCCAUAUUCAUGAUAAAUUAUUACAAUAAUAAGUAUUUCUUGUUAAAAUUUUAGUUUUUGAAGAAAGUUCUUGGAUAAUAUUGCAAAGAAAAAUAGUCAAAACUUGGGGACAUCCGGUUUUCAAAAAUCCAAUAGACCAAAGUGUGCUAUACUUUCUCACCAAGUGGUUUAACACAAUUUGGACUAUUGAAUUUUUGAACAUGGGACUUACCCAAGUGUGAGUCCAGAAAAAUAAUCUAUAUAUUACUGUACCAACAUUUAGAAAAGUUACUAAAAAUAUUUUAUAGAAAGUUCCAAAGUAAUUCUCUUUGGUAGAGUUGUUGAAAACACUUACGUCCAGUCUCAUGAGUGACAUGAGCAAAGAAAGCAGCAACCUCCCUUUUAGAAUCAGCAGCAGAACCAGCAGUUCCAAACUUAGAAUACGACUUCUGAGCUUCAAGAAAUGCCGAUCGAGUAUAGAACCCUUUUCCAGCACAACCCGAAGCAGCUUGGUUAGCAAUUCCAUUAAAGAAAGCGUCUGUGACAAUACCAGCAACUGAAGCACCAUUAUUACCACCGCUGGGUGCAGCAGUGCAAGGGCCGGAUCGGCAGCCGGGGCCACAGUAGUCGUUGCUGGUGCCGCAAUAGCCGAAUUUGCUGCAGCAUAAGUUUGGUGCACAGCCACAGUUUUGACUUGAAAUCAGCUGUGGGAAGGCUCCGACAAGAACCAUAAUGGAGAAAAUGAUGGUUGGAAAAUUCUUCAUUUUUGUGCUUGAAGGAAGAGAAAUGGAUGUGGGCAGAAGCUGUUUGAGAAAAAAGGGUAUAUAUAGGGAGGAGAACUGGAAAAUGGAUCAGCUUGUGUGAAGAAGGGAGAGCUGUUAUUGUUGAAAAAAUUUAAGUUGACUAAUGAAUGAAAACAGAAAUCACGUUUGACUUUAAUUCGUGCAUUGACUUUGACAGUGUCAAUAAGUGGGAAUUUUUGUUCUUGGUUUCUAGAAUGGUAUUUGUGAAAGAUUGAUUUUGAUCAAUUGAUAUCAAUAAUUUUGGAAUUGAAUAAUGUAGACUCACAAGUCGCAACUACUGUGUGUAUUUUUAUGACUUGAAGUUGUCUACAGCAUUUAAUUUAGUGCUCAUUAAUUCAUUAACUUGCCUAACUAUGUUUUAGUCAUACUUCACAUUUGCAUUUGAGUUUAAGCACUCAAAAAUAUGAGACAGAUCAAUUUGUCAGUUACAAUUCAUGAAAUAAAAUAGUGUAGAACCUGUGUUAGAAUAAUUUUAGGUUAAAUGGUAAAGAAAAGCAACACUUUUACAUAGCAAUAUAAGUGGUAGUCAGUUUUGGAAAAGCUAAGAAAGGAUUAAAGCCCCGCUUGAUAACCUAAUUCAACACUUAAAUUUAUUGAAUUCAAAUUUUAAUAUAUUCAGACCAUUUGAUAACCAAAGAUUGAACAUCUGAAUUAAUUAAUUCGCACUGAAUUUUCUAGGUAAAACUUAUUUCCAAAAUUAAGUGAUAAGCUAUUCACUUAUCAUUGAAUAUGAUAUGCACUCAAAUAUAUUAGAUUUAAUACUUAACAACUCAAUAAUUUAACGGAUUUAAAUUUAAAUUUUCAAUUUUCAAAUUUGAGACUUCAAUUUUCACGCUUAACUUUUGUCAAACGCAUCCUAAUUAGGCCACUUGCAUAUCACGAAUGACAAAACCAUGUGGCUUCUGCUAGUACACGUUUCGACAGUAUUCCACUUCACGUGUUUGUUGGGCAUACUGGCAUGUCCAUUUGCAUCAUGUCCUAUUUCAUAACAAAAUAUUAUAUUCUAAAUAUAUAUGAAAUAUUUAAUUUAUAUAUGUUAAUUUUUUAAUACAAUAAUAUAAUGUACUUGUAAAUCAAAUAGUAUUAAGUAAAAUAACUACAUAGAAGCAGAUAAAAAUAUAACUGCAGUGCCCCUGUUAGAUUGAAUCUUUAACAAAUUGAAUGCUUUGAACUUUUUUCAUUCAGGAUUUCAGUGCUAUAAUUUAUAAACAGUAUUUCCAAAAAAGAAUUGUUAGUGAAGAUAUCAAAUUGGUGCCCCUAGUAAGUAAUUGUGUUCAGAAAACAACUAGAGUCAAAAGUCAAAUUUUCGUUUCUUUCCUGUUCUUGUCUAAAGACAAUUCUGCAGACAAAGAAGUUGGAAAAAAAAAUAUGCUCACAAUUUGGCAGGGCAAACCUCCUUGCCUAAAAAUUAAGAAAAAUCCACGCCUAAAAAUUAAGAUAAGAAAAAAAAAUCAGUUCAUUUUCUCCUCAUGUUCACUAUUAUCUUAUUAAAUUAAAGGAAACCACGCUUAUAAAUUAUAAUCACUUGCAUCAAAAUCCAACGGCAAUUUUCUCCAUUUUUUGGAAAGAAGAGGAAGGGGGAAAAAGGAAGAAGCUUCCGUAGAAAAGGAAAGAAUUGAGAAAUGUGAUAGGUACUCUGUCUCCCUCUCGGCAAGUGCGGCUUAAGCCAAGCACAGCUCACAGAAGUCCAUUGUUGAAUUAGUCUCCCUGAAAAUUUCUAGCCAUAAAAAUUUUAACUUUUCCUUUUAGUAUAAAUGGAAGAUCUCGAAGUGGGGACCUCUUAUUUACAUUUUCUCUCCUCAUAUCAUUCAACUCAUUUUUUCCCCGAAUUUCAACUUGCUACUCCAUAACUUAGCUUCAUGGAUCUAUAUUUAUGUUCUCAGAAAUGUGAUGUCAUACUUCUAGAUACAUUCAAAAGCGAUGAAUAGUCGAUCAUUUGGACAAUUGUAGUUUAAAGAACUAAGAAUUAGUGCAAAUAUCUAGUUCAUUGAAAACGUAUGGCCCUUAAUUUUUGUAUUUUGACGAUAUACAAGUCUGAAAUUCUAGAAAACAAAGAAAACUGCCAUCCUUGAACAAUUCUUUAGAGAUUUUUUGUUCUUUUUAUUUUUUGAGCAAAUGAAACAUCUUCCCGUUUAUCAUUGGAACAUAAGCUUUACAAAGGAGCAAAACCUCUUACUACAACAAAAAAUCUGGAGCGAGCUAUACCCAUUAUACAAUACUAUGCAUGUGAAAACAAACAAAACAGACAGAAUUCAACCAAGAUCAAUCUAGCAAACGUCCGUGAUCUAUCCCCCAUUCUAACAACAACUCCCAAUUUUCCUUACUACCAGGAGCUUUAGCCCAUAAGAGACAAGUCAAGUUGAACAAUUUUAACCACUGCCGAUUUAAUAAAAUUUGGAGUGAAACCCUCCAACGUGUACAGGGUUUGUCUUUCCAAAAAAACAAAAAACAAAAAACAAAACCGCUGCUGCAACUACUUCCAUUAUCAGUAUUCUGUAUACGAAAAUCAACAUUUAGUCUUUCCCAAAUUUAGUAUAUUUUAGUGCAUAAUUGAAAAAAAUUCUCUUGGCACAAGUGGAAAAUUAUAGAUUUGAAAUCAAUUACAAAAUUUCCUAGAAAAUAGACGCCCACUGAUCAACUAUGGCGCUUCGUAGUUCAGCUUUUCCAGUCUCAUACGUAGAAGUUGGUCCUAAUAGUGCAUUAAUGUUUCAUAGUUAAUCAGAAUUUUCUAUGACAAAAAAAAAGAAGAAGAUUCAUGAAGAAAAAUAAUCUAUUGGCUGUACUUUAUUUCGAUUUAGACAUCAAUAGUGCAAUGGCAAAAGGACUUUGUAGAUGAACCUAGUUGAUGUAAUGAAUUUAUGAUGAUUUAAUUAACUAAAAAGGCAAUCAAUUCGGUCUGCUUAAUGUCAUACUCAAGAGGUCAUCAUCUUUGUCAAAGGGUCUAUACAUUCCAUACAUUAGUAGUAAAUGUUAGUGGAUUUGUUACUAUUGCUGACCAUGUUAGCCACUGAUUUCUAUUAAAUCAUGUCUUUAGCUUCUUAUAAGCUUCUCUAUACCCUACCUAAUCUCAUACCAUUUUACUUUCUCUUGGAUUAUGUGGAAUGCCUACUUGACCGCAAUGUCUAUAUUUUAAUGAUACCAGUACAUUUUCAAAUCUUCAAUUAGCUUUUAAAGUAUCGAAGUUCAGUUCACUAAUUGGCCAUAAAGACAGAUCAAUAGCAAAGUUGAAAUAUGCCACUUAUCCUGAGACGUUGUAGAAAGUUGGAAUGUUAAUGUCGUCCCUUGUAAUCCGAAUAUGUGAAACUGAAGUUGUUGAAGGGUGGGGGAGAGUUGGGUUGGGUGGUACGGGGCAGGAAGUAUAAGCAAGAGGUCUCGAGUUCAAGUCCUCCCGCUUACACUAAAAAAAAUUAAAAAAAAAAAGAAGCUGUUGAAGGGUGAAUGAGUUUUUCAGUUGUAUACAAGCUGUAUAAUGGGGUUUUCAAUAAAAAGUUUAUCAUUUUCUCAAAAAAAGAAAAAAAAAAGAAGAAGGGUGAAUUGAGGAAGCUGAAUGCUAAGCGAUAUAGUUCUAUUAGUGAUAGAAUAUAACAGGUGUGUAUGGCCAGUUAUGUGAAGUGCAAUCGUUCUCCUUCAUUCACCUUUUGAUAUUACUUUACGGGCCAAAUAUAAGAAUGAGAUCUCUUGGGCUGGCCACGUCUUCUUCUUCUUCGUUUUUUUUUUCCAUUCUUCUUAUAGAUCUUUAGGCGAAUAAGCAAUCUUUGGGGAAAUAAUGUAGUAUAUUUGGACAUUGGGAUAAUUUAACAAAUCUCCAUUGAGUUUUAUGACAAAUUCAUCAUAGUUCCCCCUCAAAUUAUUGCAUUACACUUGUGUCUAUUAGCUAUUGAUUUCCAAGGUAAAUGCUGAAUUUCCCCUCUAGGUUUACCAUUGACACUUUCUAUACAAAGCGAUACAAAUUAUAUAUAAGAGAUUUGUGAAAGUGUCAUACUUCCGAGCUAUAACUCAUAAACAAAGGCAUUCGUAAAACCCUUUUGAUUCAAAUAUAUAGAUUUUUUUUUAUCCAACACCAAAAUUAUAUUGCCCAAUAAAAAAAGAAAACCUUUUUUUUUGGUUAAACCAAACUAUUAUUAUUGCAGCCCCAAAAAAGUACAAAGUUCGGGACCAGCCCUUCCCUAAGAAUACAAGCUCACACACCCUGCCCCACCUCUAAUUAACCCCUACCGCCGGCAUCUACGAAAAUUUGGAUACCCACACACAUCUAAUAUAUAGAUAUACUCACCUAUACACUUAACAAUUUAAUGUAUGCUAAAGUGAGUAGAAUAGGGUUUUGAAAAAGUACUCAAAAGUAUGCUACUUCCAUCAUUACCUUCUAGCACGCAUUGUGCAAACUCUUUUCAAAUAGAAAAAAGGGAAUGAAGAGGAGAUACAAAAAAGGGUUGCAAAUUCUUUAAAAUAUGGCAAGGGUAAGCAUGCAAGUAACAUAUAACAUGAAACAAACAUGUUAAGGAAACCUUAAAACAAGAGAGGUAACAGUAAGUUUGAAAACUUUGGUGCAGCUAAAUGAAGUCAAAAACCUAAAACAAGGUUGAUGGAAUUAUCCCUAGUAAACUCUAUGUGUCCUUCACCAAGUGAAAAAAUACUGUUCAAAAUUCUUAUUUCUAUCGGAACCAUUUCGAGGAACUCCAAUUCGGAUGUCAAUACUAAAAGAAAUUUUCCCUAUGGUACCCCUGAUUUUGAAAUUCACUAAUUAUUUGUAUAAUUGUAUCAUAUAUAUGCUUUUAUGUAUUGUGUAAUGAUUCACAUCAAAUUCAUGAGAAAUUUCGCAUCCCUCUCACAAAAGUUAGCAAAUGCAUUGUAUAUAGGAAGCUGAAAACCAAACAAGACUUUAUUAUUAGGUUAUCGAUCAGUAUUAUUGGUCCUAUCCAAGUGUCAUCACGUUUUGUUUAUUCAAGUGUCAUAAUGUUAUUGAUAGUAUAAUUGGGUUGCAUGAUUAUGGUUGAAAGUGUGGAAUAUGCGAUUAAACUCCGUGUUAGGAGUACUGGUUUUGCUGUGGGUUUUUUCGUUUUCUUUGUCAGCUGCGUGGGGGCUUUAGAGCAUAAGCCUUUGUUUUGUUUCUAAACAUCACCGCCAAAAUUGCCAAUAGCAUAUCGAAACAUGGACACUAAAUGAAAAGAUGUGAGGAAACUUUAAUGAAGAUAUGCCAAAGACAAAAGCUCGAAAAAAUAUGAUCAAGGGAUCAAAAUAGGAACAGGCGAACACCAACAAGUUAAGUCGAACCAAGAUCAACAUAAUCAAUUAUUUGAUUUCAAGAGUCAUAACUUUGCUUGUAAAGAACAAUUAAAGGUAAACAAUUUGUUGCUUUCCCCCCCUCCCCAAUCAGGUGUGUACCUCAACAUUAUUUCACGUCAUGAACUUGUUUUUCCUGGGAUAAAUACCCUAGCAUCUGAGGUUAUCACCAGGCUCGACACCCAAUUGUCUACAAUAUUCAGUAUAAUACUCAACUCGAGCACUAACUGUGUUUGGAUUUGCACCAUCACAUUCAAGCCGACCAUUAAUGGCACGAAUUGUAGCCCCAAAACCCUGGCCAGAAGUGAUAAGAUCAUGACAAUGGUUCAUCCAAUACCACAAGCCAGUUUUGAAUGAAAUAACAUUAUUUGUAGCUACAGUUUCAGGUUGGCUGAGUCCAUUGAAUCCAAUGCUUUCACCUGCUGGUCCAUAGUUAAAGUUCCAUGAUAACUGUAUUGGACCCCUGCCGUAAUAUCCCUUGCCUGGCACACAUGGAUACUGAGUGUUGCUCUCAUCACAGUAAUCUCUGGAGGGGCCGUCUAUCUCUUCUAUGUAGCACAAAUCUGCGCAAUAUAAAGAAAUUUUGUCACUCAAUUGAAAUGAUUGAUAAAGGGUUAGAAUCAAAGAAAAUCAGCAGGUCUGGAAUUUUUUGUAAAUUUUUAGAUUUGAUUGUUUUACUGAUGAAUUCAAUUGGUGAGAAAAGAAUUUAUCCCAUUUUGUAAAAAUUGGAUUGGACAGACUUAAAGUAAACACUUCUUUUAUGAGGUAAAAUUUUAGAAUGAUUUAACAUUAUAGGGUUAUACGAUAGAUAAAUAAAAAUUGGCAAUAGCAAGAUUAAGAUGGGACUAAAAUAUAUUUGGUUAAUAAAUUUGAAUUAAUUUACGGCCAAAUUUAGGUGAAAUAGUUAAUUCUACUUGGUAAAUUGGAAGUUCGGAAAUGUGUAUCUGUCAGUUGUCAUACUCAUGAGUAAGCCAAUCUUCACUUAAAAAAAAAAGUAAUCCAAAAGAUAAAGCCGCAUGAUCAUCUACUUUUACAUGCAGCAAAAUACACAAUCACCAUAAGCUUAGAAUGUAAAGGCAGAAAAACUUGCUUCUGUAGAUAUAAAAGUGACCACUACAAGAAAAGUAAAAAGAAGAUGGAGAUAAUAAUCCUUCUAUCCCCUUAUAAGGAUUAAACCUUCGUCAUGAUAAAUUAUUUGACAGUAAAAACUCUUUCAUAUUCAAGUUUUAUUUUUUGAAGAAAAAAUUCUUGGAUAAUAGUGCACAGGAUAAUUUAGAUUCCAAGAUAUACUAUCUAGAAAUUUACAGGAGCUACUAAAAUAGUAGAAAAUAUCUUCAAAAUUUAAUUUCCAAGCUAGUGUUAUUCAAAACUUACGUCCAGUCUCAUGAGUGACAUGAGCAAAGAAAGCAGCAAUCUCCCUUUUAGAAUCAUCAACAGAGCCAACGGUUCCAAACUGGGGAUACGAAUUCAGAGCUUCAAGAAAAGCUGAUCGAGUAUAGAACCCUUUUCCAGCACAGCUUGAAGCAGCUUGAUCAGCAAUUCCAUUAAAGAAAGCGUCCGUCACAAUAUCAGCAACUGAAACGCCACUAUUACCACUGCUCGGAGCAGCGGUGCAAGGGCCGGAUUGACAGCCAGAGCCACAGUAGUCAUUGCCGGUACCGCAAUAGCCGAAUUUGCUGCAGCACAAGUCUGGUGCACAGCCGCAGUUUUGGCUUGAAAUCAGCUGUGGAAAGGCUCCUACAAGAACUACAAUGGAGAAAAUGAUGGUUGGAAAACUCUUCAUUUUUGGAUUUGAUAAAGUAGAGAAGCUUGUGGGCAGAAGUUGUAUCAGAAAGAAGGAUAUAUAUAGGGAAGAGAACUGAAAACCGAUCAGCUUGUGUGAAGCAUGCACCGCUGUUAUUGUUGAAAAUAUUGAAUUUGAGCAAUUAAAGAAAACGGAAGACGAAAGCGUGAAUGGUUGACUUCUAUCGAGUGUAUUGACUUUGACAUUGUCAAUGAAGCGGAAACUUUCUUUCUUGGCUUCUAGAAUGGAAAAGGUCAAACGGGAAGAUUUUGGCCAAUCAUAUAAACAAUUGUGAGAAUAAGUCACGUAGACUAACAAGUCCCCACUAUAAUGUGUGCAAAAAUAUAAUUUGAAGUUGCCUAAAUCAUUUAAUUUGAUGCUUAUUAUUGAGUUUACUUGCCCAACUAUGUUUUAAUAAUAUUUCAAAAUUGUGUUUGAAUUAGAACAAAAAAAUAUGAGACAUACUUAUUUAUUUAAUUGCAAUUCCAGAAAUAAAAUCGUAUACAACAUGUAUUAGAAUAAUUUUUAGGGUAAAUGAUAAAGAAAAGAAAUACUUCUACAAAUUGACGUAAGUGAUCAUCAGCUUUUCGAGAAGUUCAGAAAGAAUAAAGUGGCCGAUAUAUAUAUCAUGCAUGGCAAACUAUGUGGCUUUUGUUAGUACACGUUAUGACUAUAUGUAUGUUUCAUUUGACAUGUUUGUUGGACGUGUUGAAUUGUUAGCAAUGAAAUGCUCCAAAAUGUUUUCAUGCAAGAUUUCAGCACUGUGGUUUAUAAGCAGUAUGAGGUCAUAGUGAAUUAUCGACAUAUCGUCACAUGCAGAGUCGUGAAAAUAUACAAGUCUUUCCCUAUCAUUAAUUAGUUGGUUAAAUGACAAUUUCUAGAAUGGAGCUUCAUGGUUGGCCAUGUCAAGAAACAUCUCGCAGUAAAUUGGGCGAGUUAAUAUGGUCCUCUUGUUUUACACAGGAUGUACUUUUCUUUUUCUAAAUAUUUCCCCUUAAACUCUCAAAUUGAUCAUAGUGUUAACUAAUUUUGCUCUGGUUUUAUUCUUGGUUCGCAAAAUUCAGUAAAACCAAAACAAACCCUUGUUACUGAAGAUAUCAAAAUGGUACCCCAACUAAGUAAUUGAUUUCGAAAAACACUCUGAACCAAAUUUCAAGUUUUGGUUUCUUUGCUCUUUUUCUACUGAAAGGCAACAUCCCCGGGCCAAGAACUUGAAACAAAUAGUAUGAUGCUCAAGUUUUCUAUGCUCUUAUGAUCAAGUCAAACCAUGCUUAUAAUCAAUUACAUAAAAAAAAAAAAAUCACGGGCAAUUUUGUUACUAUUUGGGAGGAGGAGGAAUAUUAAGCAAAAAAAUAUUCUAUUAAGAAAACGAUGAAGCAUAUUAUUUUCCAGGAAUAAAAAAUAACGAGCAGAAAAAAACAAAUAGUAUGAUGCUCAAGUUUUCUAUGCUCUUAUGAUCAAGUCAAACCAUGCUUAUAAUCAAUUACAUAAAAAAAAAAAUCACGGGCAAUUUCGUCACUAUUUGGGAGGAGGAGGAAUAUUAAGCAAAAAAAUAUUCUAUUAAGAAAACGAUGAAGCAUAUUAUUUUCCAGGAAUAAAAAAUAAAGAGCAGAAAAAUACAUUAGUUUGGAUGACAUUAGAACAUUUAGCAACAGGAUUAGGGAUGCAAUGGGAAGAGUGCCAACUGGGAAUCAACAGGAUGGGAAAAAAUACAGGGCGGGGUGGGGGGGAUUGGAGAUAUAAUAAAUCUAAAAUUUUGUUUCUUUAGGAAACUUACAUAAGUGAACUUAAUAUUUCCUAAAAUAAUAUUUAAAAGUUAUAUUUAUUGUAAGGAAAAUAGAUUUGCUUUAUUUUGAGAUACUUUUUAACUUAAGGAAACUAGAGUUAAUUUAUUUUAGGACACUCUUGUUAAGGAGAAAUUAAAGGAAAUUAACAAUCUAACUAAUGAUAAAUAUGUUUUUUUUAGGGCAUUCGGUUGGUGCUUGAGAACACACCCGAGUACUGCAGCGUCUGCUGGAGAUUAGAGCAUUCGGUGGAGGAGUGCAGGAAGGAUACUCAUAACGGUGCAGGAGCCUUGGUUAAGGGCAACCAACCGCAAUUUGUAUCGCAGAGUGAUACUGUUGGGGCUGUCAUGGAGGCAAAAGGCAGUUCGGUUGGUGCGUCGAAGCCGCCCGGGGGGGGGAACACUCCCAGCAGCGCUGAUGGAGGCUCCGCUCUCCAUCCCUGGUCGAGAUGGCAAAAGCCCAGCGGCAGCAGCUGCGGUAACAGGGGUGGUGCCCAGGGAGGCAGAGCUGACCCACGAGCAUCAGCCUACUCGGGUUGCUGGUGUGAGUGUGGAGCUCCUUGAGGGAAGCGGGCAGGAUGAUGGCGCGCCAGAGGGGGAGCGUUCCACAGCAAGGGAAGGAGCCUCGCUUGCGCAGGUGAAUGCUAGAGCGGAGAUAAUGGUGGAGGGGCGACGUGCGGCUGAGCUUCCAGUGGCAGCAGGCUCGAAGGACAGUGGGCAAGCUGUUGGCGCACCAGAAUGGGAUCAGGCUGAGCAGGUGGAUGCUAGAGUAGAGAUCAUUUUGGAGGGGUGCAGUGCGGAUGUCCAGACUGCAACGGGCAAUCUGUCUCCGCGGCCCAGCGCCUAUUAUGGGGAGUUGGCAGCUUCUCCCUUGGAGGCGAUGAAUGUAGAUCAGUCACGGGCAUUGGAGCCGGCUAUAAAACUCGGAAAAUCAAAGGGAAUAAGAGCGAUUUUCCCUUCCGACAGGUAGCUGCGUUCCACUUCAACAUCCUCCAAAAACGGAUUCCAGGUUCUUUCCCAUGAUUAAUAGCAUAUUUUGGAACAUUAUGGGGGUUUCCAAACCUCCUAAUUUGAGACGGUUGAAAAACCUUAUUCGAUUACAUAAAGUUCAGCUGGUAGCUAUAUGUGAACCGAAACUUGAUGUCACAAAUAUUGAGAGCAUCCGCUUAAAUUUAUCGUUUGAUGCUGCUGUUGUUAACUUGUCAGCAGAUGUUUGGGUCUUGUAUAAUUUUCCGUUAGUAUGCUCUAUAGCUGGGAAUUCUCAGCAACAUAUCUCCUUGAAUGUCCAUCAUCCAUGGCUACCUCGCUCCUUGCGAUUUUCUUUUGUGCAUGCCAGGUGUACAUUGGAAGAACGACGGGGGUUGUGGCAAGCACUUUUGGUGGACAAACCACGCGACCAGCCAUGGUGCAUCUGUGGGGAUUUCAAUGUGAUCAUAUCCCCUAGCGAAAAAAAAGGAGAUCGGCCUUUUCGUGUCUCGGAGAGGUUAGAGCUUCUGACCUUCAUGGAGGAGGCGGAAGUUUUUUAUGUGGGUUUUUCCGGCUCGAGUUUCACUUGGUGCAACAAUAGCCAUGGCCGGGCUCGGAUAUGGAAGCGAUUGGAUAGGCUAUUGGUUAAUGGAGAAUGUUCUGAAUUACCGUCAGCCGUGUCGAUCACUCACUUGGCUAGACAUCCAUCCGACCAUGCACCGCUACGAGUUUCUUUCACAUCCUGUGUAGAGAUAAACCUCAUGCGUUCCGCUUCCUGAAUGUGUGGACAUCCAGAGCAUCUUUACUUGAUGUUAUUUGAACGACUUGGCAACAGGAGUGUCGGGGUUCUCCCUUAAGGAUCUUAUGCUCCAAGUUGCUAGCAGCAAGGAGAGCUAUCCAAGAGUGAAAUAAGUCCUCCUUUGGGAAUAUAUUUGCAGUGUCUCGCGAAGCAGAGGCUUCGGUGCUUAGGGCGGAAGCACGGGUGGAAACUGAGGCAUCGGAGAAUGCUCAGAUAGAGCUUCAUAGGUCUCAAGCACAGCUCAACCGUGCUUUGUCAGUGGAGGAGGAGUUUUGGAAGCAGAAGGCUCGUGUCAAGUGGCUCCGACAUGGCGACUGUAACUCAAAGUUCUUCCAUGCCACCCUGAGACAGAGGAGGAUGCAAGGGCAAAUCCACAGGAUUAAAGAUGAGACUGGCAUAUGGGUGAAGACGGAUGAAGAUAUAUCACGUGAAGCGAUACGGUAUUUUUCUGAUUUAUUCUCUGCUCCGGCGGAAUCCUCAUCAGACUUGCUGCAUGUUAUCCCUGCCAACGUCACGGCGGAGGAAAACAUGAGCUUAGAGGCCGAUCCGUCUUUCGAUGAAGUAAAAAGAACUAUCUUUGCAAUGGACGGUGAUAGUGCAGCAAGCCCCGAUGGUUUCAUGGGUAAGCUUUUUACUUUUGCUUGGGAGGUGAUUGGUCAAGAUGUCUAUAAUGCAGUUUUGAGCUUUUUCUGUAGGGCUGAGCUCCCUCAUUUUAUUACAUCUACUUCUAUUGUCCUUCUCCCGAAGGGACCGAACCCUCAGGAUUUUUUGAUGUUCAGACCGAUUAACCUCUGCAAUUUCUUUAAUAAAGUAUUGUCCAAGAUCUUGGCUGAUAGGUUGGCUAAUAUUCUGCCAAGAAUCGUCUCACCCCAACAUACAGGCUUUGUUAAGGGCAGGAAUAUAUCAGAGAAUUAUUUUCUCGCCCAGGAAAUAAUGUCAGGGAUGCGUAGAUCGUACAGGGGUGGGAAUGUAGCAUUGAAGUUAGACAUGUCCAAGGCAUAUGAUCAUGUAUCGUGGGUAUUUCUCAUGAACGUAAUGCGGCAGUUUGGGUUUGGAGAAAGGUUUCUUGACAUGGUGUGGAGGUUGAUUUCUAAUGCUUGGUUUUCGGUUAUAAUUAAUGAAGCGUCUUAUGGCUUUUUCAAGUCGGGUAGGGGAUUACGGCAGGGGGAUCCGAUAUCCCCCGCGUUAUUCGUAAUUGGGGCGGAGCUUCUCUCACAGGCUUUAAACAAUCUCGUGUUACAUUGUGGCUAUAGGGGUUUUAAGGUCCCACGGGGGUGUCCCCAAGUCACGUACUUGGCCUUCGCUGACGAUGUAUUGAUUUUCGCUAAUGGGUUUGCUCGAGCUUUGCAGGAUAUUGUGCGGGUAUUGGAGCUUUACCAACAAUCCUCGGGUCAGUUGGUGAAUAGGCAAAAAAAUGGGUAUAUCGUCCAUCUCUCCGCCUCGAUUGCUAGACGGAGGGUGAUUGAGCAUCUCACUGGCUUUUCUAGGCAACAGGCGCCUAUUCGAUACUUGGGCUUCCCAUUGUACUUGGGCCAAAGUAAGGCUUAUUAUUACGGUGAGGUGAGUCAAGCAAUAAUCGGAAGAAUCCUCUCAUGGAAGUCCAAGUUUUUGUCUCAGGGGGGUAAGAUCAUCCUCAUCAAACAUGUUCUCUCUUCUAUCCCACUGCACUUACUAUCUGCUGCAGUAAUGCCGACUUCGGUGUUCAGGGUAAUUAAAAAGGUUUGUUCUGACUUUCUAUGGAGUUCGACGGAGAGGGGGGCCAGGUAUUACUGGAUCCACUGGGAGUUGUGCUUUUCAAAGGAGGAGAAGGGAGUAGGCUUCAGGCUUCUAAAGGAUGUUUACACAGCUUUAUCUCAUAAACCCUAGUGGAAAUUCCGCACGGGGACGUCUUUAUGGGCAAGGUUCUUACGUGCUAAGUAUUAUGGGGCUUGCCACCCUUGUCAAGUGGAGCUUAAAGUGGGCGUAUCAGCAACUUGGAAACGGAUAAUCAAUGUCAGCAGGGAGGCGGAGUUGUCUAUGCGAUGGUUGGUGAAUGCUGGGACCUGUGACUUCUGGUAUGAUAACUGGCUAGGGAAUGGAGCUCUUUUCCUUAAAGCUCCUGUUCAGGGGGAUUUAUCGUUCAGAGACUUUAUUGUUGACGGGAAGUGGAACUCGGUGGGACUUGCAGAAUACCUCCCAAGGGACAUCACAACUAUGAUCCUGCAACACUCGACCCCAGAGGGUGAGAGGCCCGAUGAGGUGGUAUGGGUGUCAACAACUUCAGGAUCAUUUUCGUUAUCCUCUGCUUUUCGUGAGGUAAGGCAAGCUCGGAAUCCCUCUUGGAUAUUUUCCCACAUUUGGCUCCCCCAACUCCCUGUAAAAGUUUCUUUAUUUAUGCUCCGUCUUUUGAUGCGGAGGCUCCCCCUGGAUGAUAUCUUGGGUAAGUUUGGCUUUCAAUUACCUUCCAAAUGUUUUUGUUCUUCCAUGGCAGCGGCGGCGGGAGAAUCUAUUGAACACAUUUUCUCAACGGGACAACUAGCGGUAGAGAUUUGGGGUGUCUUUGGAUCCUCGUGCGGUAUAUGUCUGCCGGCCGUAUCAUUGCGAGAGCGACUGGUCGCUUGGUGGUUGUCCCCGCACUCAGAUGCUCAAAGACGUCAUGUUGUUUCCAUCCUGCCAAGUUUCAUCUGUUGGCAUAUCUGGAAGGCACGGAACAAAGCAAUCUUUGAAGGGGUUGAACUGACUAGGGGGGAGAUUUGCCAUGGCAUUCUCCGGGAUAUUUUCGCAACGGUUGAGAUUAAAUUUCGUCAUGGGAUUGUAGCGCAAACAUUUGAUCAGUUUUGUGAAAGACUCUCUUAGCCGCCGCUAGUACUUCGGGUCCAGUUGGUCAAGUGGUAGGCAUCUGGAAGGGGGGUUUUCUCCCUUAAUACGGAUGGGUGCUCAAAGGGGAAUCCAGGGAUGAGUGGUGGUGGAGGAAUAUUACGGGAUUCAAAUGGUCAGGUGCUAGUAGCAUUCUCAGCCUCCCUGGGGGUCAAUACAAGCUUGCACGCUGAAGCAUUGGCACUUUUAACGAGGCUUCGCGUAUGCUUCCAGCAAGGGUUUGUACAGGUGCGAGUGCAGACAGAUUCACUGGUUCUAGUAGAUAUAUUACAACGGAGGUUCCAGUGUCCAUGGCUCAUUCGAAGAGAGGUACACCAAAUAUGGCAGCUAGUCGCGAAUCCUACACACUUUUCGCAUUGUUUUAGGGAAGCCAACAAAGUGGCUGACAUCUUAGCUAAUGUAGGUAUCUUGCAUCCGCAGGAUCAUGUAAGGGUGUAUCACCAACUCUGCUCUCUUUCACAGCUAGCAAGGGGGGAAGUUAGGUUGAAUAUGCUAGACUUUCCUUCUAUUAGACUUAUCAAAGGAUCGUCGUGAUGACCGGUCCUGGUCUCGGCUUGUAAUCUUCUGAUUGGGCAAUAAAAGUUUUUUCAAUAAAAUAAAUAAAUAAAUAAAUGUUUUUUUUGGGAGGGGGAUUGAUAAAUUUUUAAUCUGAAACAAAACUCUAUAUUGUUGUUUUGGGUGAGGGGAGGGAGGAGGGGGGACUGCCCCCACAAUAGAUCUUUUGUUUCAUUCUCUGUGUUAUUUUCUGUUUCACUUUUUAUUAUAUCAUUAUUUUUUCUUCAUAGACAUCAUAUUUUAUUUUCUUUAUUUCUUUAAGAUCUAAUAACUAUUAACUAAGUAAAAAAUAAAUACAACAAUCUAAAAAUAUAUAUAUAAUAGAAAAUUAGAAAAUAUAGCAAAAAAUUUAUUAAAAAAUCUCAUUUUUCAUGCAUUUUAAUUUUUUGAAUUUGUUAAAUUUGGUGUAUUACUCAGUUAAUAGUUAUUGGAUCCUAAGGAAAUUAAAAAAAAAAACUAAAAUAUGAUGUUUAUGAAGGAAAAAUAAUAAUAUAUUAAAAAAUGAGACGGAGAGUGGCACAAGGUGUGAGACAGAAAAUCCAUUGCAGGCUGCCCUGCUGGCCCUUUCUUAUGUCCGUCACUAUAUGGCUAGAAACAAGUACCUAUUGCUGAAUUAGUCUCUCCCUUCUAACUUCUAAGAAUUCCAAGGUUUUGUAAUGAUUCCGCAGGAAAUAAGACAAAAAUAGUUAGCCAACUAUUACCUUGCUGGAAUUGUUAUAACGGCUACCACUUGCAGAAAGAAGGUUACUGAUUAGUUAGUGGGGAAGCUUUCUAUUAAUAGGCCAAUACUAAUGUAAAGGGGCAUGCAAAUUCUGAUCAUUGAGAAUACAACUUUCCCGCUUCUUUCCCAUUCAUUCUGCUCCCUCUCUUUUCUCUCAACCUUUUUCUCUCUAUUCCUUUCUAUAUUUUUGUUCCUUAGUUGAAUCAACCAAUUCCCAACCAUUACAGUUUUUUUUUCUUGUCAAUCGACAACUUCUACAUUUAUCCUACUCCUACUCCUACUUUUUCUCCUAUUCUAACCUAUCUAAAGAAUGGCCUAACAGGGCCAAAAAUCCUAUUCCUAGUUCUAUUUCCACUCCCAUUCUAACCUAUUUAAGGGAGGGUCUAGCUGGAUCAAGGGGACCUAGAGAGAGUAGUCCCCAUCUCUAGACCAACGUCUGGAUUUGGAGGAAACUACAUACUAGUCACAAUUGCUAGAAAGUAAGAAUUGAAUUCUUGAUCUCUUACUCCAAGGCCUUUGACAAGUGACUAAUUUACACUAUAUUUGAAUGAUAUCUUAUGUUAUUUUUAGUCACUUUGGCUAUAUUAUUGGAAGAAAAUGGAUCAUUCUGGCUAUAAUUAGUUUAAAAUGCUCUUAAGUGAUUAAAUGAGAUUUUUGUCACUUUUACUUGCAUUUUGUCCAUAAUUUGUAUAGGAGUUGGAAAUAUAUUUCCUUUGGAUGAAGAGGAAGUUGACAGCUUUGACACAACUUCGUAUUUCGGCUAUAACUUGAGUUACAAUGAUCGGAUUGAGAUGAUUCUAGAACCAUUUUUAAGAUAAGAGAUAGAUGUACAAAUCUUAUGAAGACAUUGAAAUACAGUUUGAAGGUUUUCCCUAUCAAAAAUCUGAAUUAUAGUGCCAAUUUCUAUUGGUCGAAGCUGAAACAAGGCAGUGAGCAGUCAAGGGUAUUUCUGUCAUUUCUCCAUCUACACAAAUCCAAAUGAGGUGAUUCUUGAUGCAUUGGAAACAUAACUAAAAGGGUUACAAGUUUCAUGUUUUGGUCAAGAGUUAAUUCAACUUCUAUCAUCAAGAAAAGUUCAGUUGAAGUUGAGGCAAAAUUGGAGCAACAUUGAAGACUGGACAGAAAUUGCUAAGAAUGGCAGGGGAGCAAUCCGGCUGAAAAUCCGUCCGGAUUCUGGCCGGAUUCUAGUCAGAAAUAGCUGCUCUCCACUUGCACAACUUAUUUCCUCCUCCAAUAUUCAUAGCUAUUGAUGGACGUGUAACAACAACUUUGCAGCUGUAAAAGUGAUAUUUGAAGCCUUAUUUCUUGACUAAAUUAUCUAUAAAUAGCCAUGGACUUAUAAGGAUAAGGAGAGCUUGGGGGAGUGCAAGAAACACCACAAAAAUGUAGUUCCUUGGUUCUUUAGUGUAGAGUAGUGUAGGAUAGUUUAGUUUUAGAUAGUUUAUCCUUUCUUGUAUGUUAGCUAAAUGAAGAUGAAGAUGGAGAUGAAGAAGGCAAGGAAAGAGCUCAUGUGACAAGGAUUACUUUACCUUUCCAACUCUUUAUCUUUUGUACUUGAUUCUAAGUUUAGUUAAUAUAUAAGUUUUGGAUUCUAUGUUUAUUAUGUGUUUCUAAAGUUUAUGCCUUGGGCUUGGUUGAACUUUCUAUGAUUGUUAGUGUUUAUUAUUUGGUUAUUUGAUGCUAUUAUUUUGAGCAAGUUAUUGAGUACUUUACCUCUUUUAAAUCAUGAUUAACUUGGUACCAUUAAUUGUAAUUAUCUAAAGGUGUUGUUUCUUCAAUGAAAAUUGAGAUUUAACAGUAAUUCAAGAAGUGCUAAACCUAGAGAAUACACUCACGAGAGUAGAGGUUCACCUAUGUGGCUUUAGUGAUUCAUUUCAUGUAAUUUCAUAGAAGAAAUGAACUUGUAGCUAAUUUCUUAACCACGAGAGUAGGUAUGGAUUAGUUAUAAGUAUAGUUGAUUCACUACGAAAGUUGGUUUCACAUACAUAAGGAAAUUUCGCCAUAACUAGCCAAAAUAGUAGUACUCAAUGAUCCAAAAAUAACACUUGCAUGAGUAGUUAGGAAUACCAUAGACUAAGGAGCUUUCAUUUGUUAUUAUCUUGCAUAAGGUUAGCAUAGUUUUAUCUCUUUUAAUUCAUUGAUCGUCUAAAUAAUGGAGAAGCUUUAGUAGUGUCGGUAAUUGUCCAAUAUCAUUUGCAAGGGUAGUGAGGAAUUCCAUAUCUCUAGAAGCUUUCUAGUACUGAUUUUCAUUACUUUUAUAUUUAUGGUAAUCUAGAUAAUAAAGGAGUUCGAAAAACACCGGUAAUUGCAAUCUUCCUUGUGGGAUCGACCCUUAAUACCCUAUACUCGCUCACGAUUCGUAUACUUACGAUAAAUCGCGUGUGGGAUAUUUAAGAAUUAUAAAUGUAAAACUUGAUUGUGGAUAAACUUAUUGUAUAUGUAUACCCUGCGCACGUCAGCCUUUAUGGUGGCCAACAGCCCAAUAGGACAUUGGUUACAUGACAUCAUACUUCUAGUACAUGAGAAUACAUUAAAAAUCAAUCGCUUUCACAGUUCCACUUCAGACAAUUAAGAAUUACUAUCCAUUGGAUAAAACUAGUUUUAACCUUCAAAUAUCUUAUUGCAAGUAAGCCUUCUAAAAUAUGCUCACGAUUACUAUAUUUUUAGCAUUUUCACUAUGUAUAAGUCUAGAAUUGUAUGAUGAAAAGAAUUUCCAUCAAUCAAUAACUACUUAAGACUUUAUUGAGCCCAAUGACUAGCUUCUGAUAUAUUUUUGAAAGUGUACACUUUAGGUCGUUAAACCAUCAUUUUCAAGUAAAAUUACAGACCUAUUAAGCAACAGUUAAGAAAUUAUAGAUUGCACAAUACUAAAUUCACAGAAAAAUGAAAGAUUACUAAAUGAGGAUAAAUAUAUAGUUGGGAGGUGGAGCUAGAAACAAAAUUCAGUACGGAUAAACAUACUGUUAAAUUAUACUACUUUCAGUGUAUAAAAAAAGUUACAAUAACUUUUCAAAUGAAUUUCUUGUGUGUUGGGAGCACAUCAAUGAUGGAUCUAAGGGGGGGCUGGGGCCCCCCUCGACCCAUGUUUUGAAAAGUUUAAUUCAUAGUGUGUAAAUAUAUAUAUAAAAUAAUGUUGGCCCCCCUUAAUUUUUUCCAAUUUUAAUUUAUAUUAUGAGAGUUUAUAUUUAUAUAUAUAUAGUCACCUUUGAAUUAAUUUUUUUAUUCAAAAAAGUUAUUUAUUUUUUACUAAUUACUUAACUUUCAAAAAAUUAAACAUACUAUUUGAUGAUCCAUAGUAAAUUGAUCCAAUUUGACAUAUUAUAAUAAAAAGACCCAAUUCACAAUAUCAAUGGGUUAAAACAAAAAUAAUAAUUUUAUUGGCCCAUAUGCAAAUAUACAACUUAACCCAAUUGAAUGAUUGUCUAAGUAUAUACAUAGAUAGGGGUGGCAAUGGGGCGGGGAUGGGGCAGGGGACACCUCCCCCAACCCCCGCCCCCGGCUUCCCCCGCCCCGCCCCGCUUCCCCCCACGGGGGCACUCGUAGGGUUAAAAAAAUUUUAUUAUGUAAUUUCAUUAUAAUUAAAUUUGAGCAAAUAAUCAAAUAUUAAAAUAUCAACACAUCACCAAAUUAUUAUUCAUUGUAACUUCACAAUUGAAACUCAUAAAAAUAAUUAAACAAAAGUUAUUUGAAUACAAUCUAAUAUGAUAAAACAAAUAUAACUAAAAUAAUCAAGUUUUCACUUUUGAUACAAAUACAAUCACUAAAUUAUUAUUGUGUUUUUUUUAGAAAAAAGUGUUAUUGUAUUAAGUGUAGUUAGAAAUUUAACAUAAAUGUAUUAAUAAAUUUAGUAUAAAUAAUUAAUAAUUUUUAUUAAUAGACAUGUAUAAUUAGUAGUAUAAUUGAUAAUAUCAUUAUAUAUAUAAUUAUGUACAUAUAUAUAUAUAUAUAUUUUUCAAACAGGUGGCGGGGCAGGGGUGGGGCGUACUCCCCUGCCCCCCGCCCCGUUUCUAAACGGGGGGAAAAAUUCCCCCCCCCGGCCUUCGCCCCAACCCCCACCCCACUAAUCCCCCGCGGGGCGGCUGUCCGCCCCCGUUGCUAUCCGUAUACAUAGAAAAGAAAAUUGCUGAAAAAUUUAUCAUUGAUUCAAUCAUAGAUGAAUUUAGUUCUAUGAAAGAAUGUAAAGCUCAAUUUACUUUAAAAUAAAAGGUUCAAAUUUUAAGUUAUAUUAACAUAACUUUUAUCUUGUUUUAAUUGAAAAUAGAUAUAUUUAUAUUGCAUAGUUAUAUGCUUUCUUUUCUUUUUGCAUAGGUGACAUAUUGGAGUUUAUGUUCAUAAUGUGCAUCUUGGAUGGUUUGCAAUGCUAUAAGACAUUUAAUCUAAUGUUAUUUCUUGUCUUAAUUUUCGUUAUGACUAUAUUGCAUAUUUAUGAAAUAGACAUACACUUAUAAUUAAAGUUAAUAUUGGAUAUUUUUAGAUAAUAUAUAUUUAAAUAGUUGAAAUUUAUUUUGAACAUAACAUAUUAAGAUAAUUUUGUUAGAAAAUCCCCCCCCCCUCACGAAGAAAAAAAUCCUAGCUCCAUCACUGGAGCAGAGAAAAAGAAGGAAAAGAGGAAUAAACAUAAAGUUGAGUUUUUGUUAGUUAUUUUUUAUUUAUUUGUAAGAGGUGAAAUGAGUUGUUUUUUAUUUUUAAUCUAUUGAAAUGGUGAGGACAAAGUGAUAAACAAAGGAUAAUAUUAGAUACAUAUUUUAUUAGAACAUAGUGGGGAAAAUAUUAUCUAACAACGACAUGAAUUGUAUAUAAGUUAUAUGCUUUUGGUGGGUCAGUGGAGGUUAUUGUCUCCAUUGUAUCGUUUCCUAGAAUCAGUAUAUUCUAGUAAAUGAUUCUAGUUAUAUGUAAGUGAUUUAUAUUACUAAUUUUUUGUUACAAUUUUUAGAGAAUAGUUGGUUGAUUCUUAAAAAUAGAGCGAAGUCAACAACUAAUGCGCUUCAUAGUUAAUAGAAGUUUCCAAGAGGGCACCAAGUAAUAUUUUCAUAAUUGAUUAGCUUGGUUUUCAAGUGCAUAUAAAAAGAUAUCCAUGAAGACCUCCCCACCCAAGGGAAGACUGUAAGUUACGAAAACGUUUACUUUACUCUCAACAAAAUGUUGAGCAUACUUUAUUUUACUUUCGACAUCAUGCAAUGAUUAAAGGAUUUUGUAUAGGGACCUAGUUAAUUCAAUAAGCUUUAUGAUGGUUUAAUUGACUAACGGAGGAAUUUGCUCAGCCUAGUAACUCUGGUACUCAAGUAAUCAUGACCUUUAUCUAAAGAUCUACACAUUCCAUAUUGAAGUAAAUGAUAAUGGAUUUAUUACUUUUGUUGACCAAGUCAAGCAAAAAGCUGUUAUCAAAUCAUGGUUUUAGCGACUUAUAAGUUUCUUGAUAUCCCAACUAACCUCAUAGGAGGGCUACUUUAUUUCUUUUUGGUUACUUUCUAAUGCCUAGUUGCCUGUCGGAUAAAAUAUUGCCUUCACGGAUUGAUUCCAAAACUUGCUCAAAAACAUCUAUUUAUUUUUAAAAUAUUGCUUAUACUAUAUUUUGAACCAUUCAAUUGCAAAACACAAACAAUUUUUCUUAUGGUGCCUUCUUGUCGUUGAAACUAGGAAGCUAACCAAACAUUUGAAGCAAAGUGAUAAACAAUUAAUAGCAAACUAUAUUGGAUCUUCGAAAGGAAAAUUGAGGCCUCAUCUAUGAAUUUAACAUUUUCCGUUGUGAUGACAUCCGAAAUUGAUUGUGAGAAGAUUUUACAAACGCUAAAAGAGUAUCUCCAUUUAAUUGUGGAAAGGAAUUUGAUUUUGUCAAAUGCACAGAUAAUGGAAAUGACAAAAUAGCAGCACUAUCCUUGUCAUUAGGAAGCACUCAAAAGUUACGUAUUAAAUGGGAGUCUAACGUACAAGCAAUGAAACACUAUUGUAUUUGCGAUAGUAUUGAUAAAAAUUAAGAUUCUAUAGUCUUUGGAUCAUAAUGAAUUCAACGUUGGAUGACACAAUAAGUAUUCUGAAUUCUUAAAUUAUAAUAAUGUUAAAUAUUUAAAAUAGAAGCUGAUAUCGUUAUUAAGAAAUACACAUUGAAGGAAUAGUUCUCUAAGCGAUAAAAAUUUUCCAAAAGUAAAAGAAUGAAUGAUCAAAGUUUUCCAUCUUUGCCCGAUGACUCGUCUCUUUCCAUUUUACUUUCCCAAAGGAUAGCAUUUAAUAGCCUCGUGCCUGCUCUCAUUUUAAUCCUAAAAUAAGUGAUCAUGGGCUUCUUUGAGAAUGGGCUUGGUCUAAAUAUUGAACGCUCAAAACAGACUUCUUUUGUUGGAGGCGGCUUUCACUAGAGAGCGUGGGACUGAUUCAGAGUUCUUUUUUUUUUUGUAGGAAAAGGGAGACUGAUUCAGACUUCUUGCUAUCAUAGUUAUUAAACCUACCUUGGAGAGGAAUCCGGUGAAGGAGGUGGGUCAACGGAUUAUUGGUUCAAUCAGUGGAUGAGUAGUUGAAUUGGUGGGUUACUAAAUAUAUUUAAAUAUUAUGUCUCAUAAUUUUUUCAUAUAGGGUAUCUGGUUUAAACUACAAUGAACUAUACCAAGCAAAUGGUUAUUUAGGGUGUGUUUAAUAAAAUUAAAAUUUGAAAUUAAAAUCUGAAAUGUGAAUCUAUUAAGUUAUUAAAUUGUUAAGUGCUAAAUCUGAUACAUUUGUGUGUGUGUAUAUAUAUAUAUAUAUAUCAUAUUAAGUAAUAAGUGAAUAGUUUAUCACUUAUUUUUAGGAAUAAAUUUUGCCUAGAAAAUUCAUUACUAUUUAAUUAAUUCAGAUGUUCAAUUUUUUAAUAUGUUAAGAUCUGAAUCCAUUAAAUUAAAGUGUUGAAUUGGAUUAUCAAACAGGGUUUUAGUCUAAUUCAUUAUAGUCUAAUUCAUUAUAGAAUGAUUAAUUAUUAUAAAAAUCUAUAAAAUCAAAAUUAAAUUAGUAAUCCACCAAAUUUCAAGUGCAAAUAUUUACCUAUAUUUAGUGUAAUUAUUUAGUUUAUUUAUGAAUUUUAAGUGCAAGAGGUUAUUAGGAACAAUAUUUGCCUUUAAAUGAAUUGUAUACUAUGUUAUUUUUGAAAUCCAUUUCAGAACUUAUAGAGUUUGAGAAAUAAUAAAUUUUAUUAAAAUAUCCCAAAUAAUUUUUAUUUUAGAGAAAUUAUAAAAAUAAAGAAACAAUUGACUAACAUAUAAUAUAAGACAGGUGAAUAACUAGCAUGUCAGCUGUUCACCUAGCGGUAAGUACUCGUUGUUUAUAUGCAUGAGGUUUUGAGUUUGAACCAUUAAAAAAACACAAUCUUGUCUAAUUUUUCCAAUAGCAACUAAUGUUCUACCUGAUUCAACCGGUCGGAUUUUCGAUUUAAUCCGGUUGAACCAUUGAUUUGUUGACAAGUCAAUGAGACUUGUUCACAUUCAAUCCAAUUAGAGACCCGAUGUUGUUUACUGAUCAGGCUUAAUAACUAUGCUUGCUGUGUUUCCUAGGUUUGCAAGAUUGAAUUCAAGGUUAAUUGUAUUCAUCUCCUUUUUGGUUAAACCAAAUUACAAAAAUCUUUUAUAUUGUUUGACCAAAUUAAGAGUACAGGCAAAGCCCUUGACCAAAUUACAAAAAUCUACCAUAUUGUCUGACCAAAUUAAGAGUACAGGCAAAGCCCUUGAUGGCAAAACAUUUAUCAAAUGCGCCCUUAUAUCAAUAGCUGUUAAAAUUGAUGCUUACAUUAACAAAAACCACAUAUUUGAAAGCCCCAAAAUAACCUUUUACACCUUGAGUUAAUUACACUUAUCUUUAUAUUUGGCAAUUGGGUGGGUUGAACGGAUUUUGGGCGGGUUAAUAUUGGAUUUUCACUUAAAUGGAUUAUACCCAACCCGUCCAACUUUAGAUUUGGUUGAUUUUGGGUUGGGUCAUAUUGGGUUAUUUCAAACCCAUGACCCAAAAAUAACCUAUUAUAUUAAUUAAUACAUAACCUUUUUUCACAUUCAUUUUAACAUACAAAAAAGAUUUUUUUCACACAUAUAAACACAUUUUCACAUACAUAAAUGUAUUUUCAUACACACUCACUUCUUAAGUUCCUUGAAAACACAUCAUAAAUAGAAUAAUAUUUUAUAUUACUUGUAUUGUAAAUUUUAGAUAAUAAAUGAUGGGGGUUGGGUUCUGCAGCAGGUUGCGUGAUGAAGUCGUAGAUGAUGUUGGGAGUACUGGGAAAGGAUGGAUGAUGAUGAUGGAGGUGAUGAGGAGGUGGCUCCGCCAUUAUACACACAGAGUAUACAUGAAUGAGGAUGGCGCCGAUGAUGACUGCACUCACUUCUUAUUAUAUGUAUCCACAUUAAUAAUUCCUAUGUACACAUGAAACUCUGUGUGUGUGUGUAGAUACAAUAUAUAUAUAUAUAUAUGUAUGUGGCGGGACUUAAAUUAUAUAUAUAUGGGACAUAGAGCCACUGCUACUGGUCUAUAGUAUAGUUCAACAACAACAGCAGCAACGGCAUUCGACUACUCUGUUAGUGCAGUGUAUCAGCAGCUUGAGGUUAAAAAAGGUUAAAAAAGAAAUUUGUACAAUAUUAUAUGUACACGAAAUAUUGACAAACAAAAGCAAUCAUGAAAUAUUAAAAAAGAAUGCAAUUAGAAUAAAUUUAAAACUCUAUUUUACGUACACGAAAUAUUAACAAACAAAAGCAAGUAGCAACUUGAGAACAACCACAAAAAAAAAAAGAAAAAAAGAAGGAGGAAAAUAACAUACUCUUAAAAGGCAUAAUAAAUUAUUAUAAAAGUUGAGUAAGUUUAACUACUGUUAUAAAAGUAAAAUAGCUAUGAGUUUUUAUUUCAAGUUUCUUUUUUCUUUUAAAUAAAAAUUAAAAAAAUUGAUUGAAAAAAAAAAAUAUAUAUAUAUAUAUAUAUAUAUAUAUAUAUAUAUAUAUAUAUAUGAGAAUUUUGAAUACAAAUUAAUCAAUGAAUUAUUAACACAUGUCCAAAUGCAAAUAGUUAGAUAUAUGUGUAUUGAAUCUUGUAUUUAUUAUUUUCAAUUACUUUUAAACAAGUUAGAUAUUGAGUACCCAAAUAAAAAAUUCAACCCGUCCAAUGAAUAAAUUGGAUUGUUCUUACCCAACCCAAUAAAACCCAUAACCCAAUUAACCCAACCCAUCAUUUAAAAUUAAUGGACGGAUUUUGGGCUUUUUUGCUAGCUCCACUUAUCUUCCUUGGAUUUUGUCCAAACUACUUUCAUCUCUCGUGAGGGUUGUACAAAUGACAAGUAAAGCCUAUUAUUGUCCAAAUCAAUUCAAAGCUAUAAAUAACCCAAUACUUUUCAAAUACACCAUAGUCAACUUAAUUAGUUGCAACAAACUUCUAAAACAAUUCUCAAAUACCGAUUAGUUACUACCUUUUUCUUUUACCAUUUUUUCUCCUCGUAGGUUAUAGUGUUACUCCACCUAAAAACUUGAAUUCGAUUUUCGCACAUCGUUGGGCCUUGCAUGAUGUCAAAUAUCAACAGUAUUUUCGGCAAUUGAUUCUUUAGUCGCAACUGCUAUGUACAAAAUUGAAACUUUUCUCCUUGUUAGCAUGCAAAUUAUCAAAAUCCAUUUUUCAAAUAAAAGACAGUAUAAACUUAAAUCCACCUUAGCACUAAAAUUUAAGGUUUCUAUAUAAACGAUAUUUUGGAAUUCAUUAGUAAAAGUCCAAGAAAAAAUUAUCUAGAAAUUUUAGAAUAAAAGCUUAACAUCUUAAUAUGGAUAAAAAGAAGACAAUCUAAAAAGAAAGUUCCGUCUAAGCUAAGUCAAUCCUUGCUGAUGGUUCAUGAUUUUGGAGGAAAUUGCUCCAAAUGCGAGACCUGGCAAGAUGAUAUAUUCAGGCUGUAGUAGGCAGUGGGCGCGCUAUACAUAUGUGGCAGGAUUCAUGGCAUCCACAUGGACCUCUGUUACAAUACUAUGGGUAUGAUAUUGUUAAGGGUAAAAAACAAAAAAAAAAAAUUCUCCUGUAGCAAACCUAAUACAUAGAAAAGCUCUCCGUAAUUUUAAAACGUACAACAUGACACCUCAUGUUUUGAACUAAAUUGUAAAGGUGAAUGCCUUAUUGGAACCUAAAAAAAAUUUUAUACCUAAUUUUUAACAAAUAUACAUGUUCUCCCUCUUAACCCUCAAUUCUCUUUAUAUAGAAAAUAAAACGAAUGAUUUUUUUGAACUGUUUUUUACUUAAUUAUAUGAAGGCAUUUUGGUCACUUCAUCCAUUUCUGUUAAGUUUAACGGAUUCCGUCACUUUUACAAUUUAGUUCAAAGUAUGGAGUGUUGUGUUGUACAUUUUGAAAUUACGGGGAUUUUUCUAUAAAUUAGAUUUACCACGGGGGCUCUUUUGUUUUUUACCCUAUUGUUAAACAAUUUAAUAGGUUUGAGAAUGCAAGACUGGCUUCAAUUGUGAACACAAGUGCUUGGUGUUGGCCACAUGGUAGAAGAAGAACCUCUCAAGCGGAGGAUUUGAUCCAUAAACUUCCCUCUGCUUGUGUACCUCUCUACCCAGGGAAGAUGAUACCUUCUCAUGGUUAUGAGAUAAAACUGGAAUGUUACUACAAAGUCUGUUAUUGCUUCUUUGAGAGAACAUUGUAUGAAUGUCGAGUGGUAUAAACUGGGGUGGUUUAAGCAACAUAUCCUAGACAUACAUUUAUCGCUUGGCAACAUAUUCCUAGACAUGCAUUUACAAACAAGCAACAUAUUGUUUGUAAAAAUAGUUUGGCUACAAAAGAUAGGUUACUUAAAUGGGGUAUGCCAGCUUAUGUUUGGAGUAGGAUACAACAGUGCUAUUUGCUUUAUGGAGGCGUAUAUGGUUGGUCUGUAGGAUUGGCAUUGUGGGUUGGUUUCCUGUAGAAUGAUGAAUUUGUUACCUCAGUCAAAAGAUUGGCUCUUGGGGGUUUUUAUUUAUUUCCUUUGGCAUGAGCGCAAUCAAAGGCAGUUCAAUAGUAAGGUGUCGAAUGCUGAUUAUGUGAUACAGCAUAUAAUUACUACUGUUAGGCAAACUAUAAUAGGCUGGCGAAGGGUGCAAAGGACACAUAGCAGCUGGGAGUUUGGCAUUGGCUGGAAUUUUGAAUAGCAGUUUUUUUUCUUAGAUUAAUAUUUCAUGGUUAUAAUAUUUGUUUUCAUUAUAGUAUGGUGUCUUGUUCCGUUAAGCUUGUAUAGGGCAGCUUUUCUUGUUGUUGGAACCAUUCCUUGCUUAUCUAAUGAAAAGAGUUAUUUUGCCUAAAAAUAUAUAUAAUAUUCUUCUUUAUUUUUCUUACUUGCCCAACCCUUCUCACACCCUUCCCAUCCCCAAGUGCUAGGUUAUACUAUUCACUUAGGCCCUGUUUAAUAACUAAUUCAGUACUUAAUAUUAAUUGAUUCAGAUCUUAAUAUGUUCAAAUGCAUUUGAUAACAAAAUAUUGAACAUUUGAAUUAAUUAAGUGGCAUUGAAUUUUCUAAGCAAAACUUGCUUUUAAGAAUAAGUGAUAAGGUAUUCACUUAUCAUUGAACGUGAUAUACACUACAAUGUAUUUAAUUUCAUACUUAACAAUUCAAUAAUUUAAUGGAUUCAGACUUUAGAUUUCAGAUUUCAGUUUUCAAAUUUUAGUUUUAUCAAACACACCCUUAAUCUAAAUAAAUUUAUUUUUUUGAAACCAAAUUAUAUAUCUAAAAUGUAGCGGACACUUGUCAUAUGGAGAAAUUGGGUUAGGUGAGCUUCGUAGCGGCCACAAUGAGCUGUAGCAAAGAAAAAGGGGAAGAGGUUUUUUUUAAAAAAAAAAUUUUAUCUUUUAUUUGUCAUUUCUUAGUAUUGAGCAAUUAAUUAUUUUCUUUUAAUUUGGGAUUCAAUUUUUCUUGGAUGAUAUCAUGAGUUUUCUUAUGAAUUGUUUGCUAUUCAAAUGAUUAAAUUUAUAUGGCCAAACUAUAUGGUAACUCUUGUAAUAUAGACAAACGUCAAGACAAGAAAAUGUUGGUUUUUCAAAAGGCAUUUUUUGUCAUUUCGCUCAUUUUGUUGGCUGAGUUUAGACGCUGUCACUCAUGGGUAAAUGUAGAUGCAUCACGUGCAAUUUUAAGUUGACCAUAACAAAUAAAGAAAUCCAAAAACAUGAAGUUUCAAAUAUUAAUGAAGCUUUUUGAAAAUAUAAAUAUGAACCGUCACAAAAUAAUUAUUAAUACCCAUAAUACUUCAAAUACUAAUAAUUUUGGCACUCAACAAUAAGGUUUCAGCCAAUCCUCCACUAUUUUUUACUCCAUGAAAAUGACUUUAAUGAUAGACAUUUGUGUUUUUUUUAACCUCCCACCCCUCUCCACGCUCUUCCCACCCCCAACUAUCAGGGCCAAAAUUCGAACUCUCAACUUGACACAUAUGUUUAUGUAUUUGUUAAGUAUAUGGUUUACUGCCUUGGCAAAGAAAUAUAUGAACUAAUGCACAUGUCAUGAUUUUCUAAGUUAAAUUAUCUUGGCGUUUUAAAUUCUUUAAGCAAUGUGAUAAAAUACAAUUUUAUUGGUUUAAAAUAUAUAUAUUUCUUACAUAUCUGUUAUCACUUGUUGUUCAAGAUUAUUUUUAAUGGAAAUAGUUUAUUCAAGUUUUUUUCUUCCUCGUCUCUUUGGCCAGGUUUGGCAUAUAAAUUAUGAGAAAACAUAGAUUAUGUAUCUUAGUUAUUUUGGUGAAGGCAAAGUACGAAUUGAGUGUCUCAAAGUCAAUUUGGAGUUCCAAAUUCAUUGGUUCAUUGGUUCCAAGUUCCAUUAUUUUUUGGACUCUUCUAGGAUCACAUACUUUAUGCAUGAUUUUGGAACUUGCAAGUAUAAACAAAAAGUGUUACUCUCAAAUGCAAAAGAUUUUCAUAUAUAUAAUAGCCCAAGUGUCUAAAAAAUAACUUGUGGAUAUGUCUAAAUUGUAAGAAAAGGAACGAAAAAAGCAUUUAGUUUGGGAGGUUGGAAGUACUUCCAAAUCACAUGUUUGAGAAUAUGUUAUUGCCCCUCUUUUCCUACAUGAAAUUCAUAUUGGAAUUGAUAUAUCAUUUUUCCGGUGCGAUGUUUAAAUUAUUGUUCAUGCAUGCUGAUGCGUGGAACCAAAGAAGAAAUUAACAAAAAUAGCAAAAGAAACAAACUCAAACUUAAUCCAUAGUACAAUACGUUCAUAGAUAGGAUGUCAUAGAUUACACAUCUUGGUUUACAGAUCCACUCAAACUCAAGCAUAAUUACAAUACAUCAGACUUUUAUUCCCACCAUCUUGGUUGAUAAAAGCACACACAAACCAAAUAGAAACACAUGAACACUUAAUUAAGCAGAGAAUAACAGCUUCUGCAAUCUGCGUAUCGCAGCUUGAUAGUCUGAUUAGUUCUUUCCUUGAGAAAUGAAAAUGAGAUCACUUUGAGACAUCCAAUGGCAUGCUUCACUUUGGCCAGGAGAAGUUUUCAAUAUCUUCAAGGCCACAUGAUCAGGGGACCAGCCUGAAGUAUCCAUAUGACAUACCACCGUGACUGUAUUAACUGGAACUUUGGUCCUAGGUUCAACAACAUCUACUGCAUAGACUUCAAUAUUGGACAGCAAAUGGCAGAAAUAUGUUGCAAAAGGAAGAAAUAAUUGAUGACAUGCCACAGUUUUUCCAUAUUUAAGCUUUUCCACGCGUCCAACCAUCAAUUCUUUUCUAGAACCCUCUGUGUUUUUCGAUGCCAAUGCCACCAAAUUCUUGUCACCUAUGGCAGUUUUUGAAAAUUCAAUCAUUUCCUCAAGGGAUUUUGCACAGCUCUGAGGCUCUUCCUUAAGAGCAGGAGUAUUGCAAUAAAUAAGGGUGUAUUGAAUGGCAUCUUUUGUUUGCGGGCUUUCAAAGGAUUGAGGAAAUAAUUUUCGUAGGUCAUUUUCCGUAACAGAGAUCUUUGAUGCCGUUUGAGAAGGAAGAAAUGACUGUUGGGGCAAUUGGUUUUCCAAGCUUGAGAGAUGCACCAUGUUUCCUUGUUUGAGAAGUGAGAGUCUGAAGAAAGAAAAAGGAUCAACAUGUAGGACAACAUUUGGGCUAAUUCUGCCAUAGCCGUAAUUAUUCUUGUCCAAGAAACUAUCAACACGUGCUUUGGAUAAACAAGCUAGGUUUGCAAGAGAGCAAAGAUUUGCAUCAAAUGGAAGAUUUUUCUCGGACGCUAAUGAAGUGAAAUGUUCAGCUUGUUCCUUGCUCAGUGGAGAUAGUUUGGACAGAAGAUUUCCAGGCAUGGUGCCUUGGACAUUUUCUGACCAAUAUUUGAGCUGAUUCAAUGCAGUGAAUGAAGAAGAUGAAAUGUGUGCAGCAAAAUGGGACGUAGGAAACGUGAGGGCAAUGACAAAGAGAACGAUAGCAAACGUUGAAGAGGCCAUUGGUUUCAUCAACACUAAUAUUGAGCUAAUUUUCUUCAGUGGAUGAAGUGCUGAUGACUUUGCUAGUGCAGCUUCUAAUUUAUACUAGUGCUCGAGCCUGGACACAGGGCCUCACCUGCCCAUUUCAGGAUAAAAUGGUUACUCUAAAUUUUUUUUACAUCUUGUUUUAGUUGGUAUAUAUCUUUACUUCAAUUUAUUUACAUCCCACUCCAACUUAUUUGUACCUUAGUCUAAACUGGUUGGAAAUGGAACUUGUGAGGCCUCAUCCCCACUCUAGCCUUGUGUUUGCUCCCGCUAUAAUCUCUAAAGGGAAACCGUUCAAAAUGUUCCUUACAUUUUGUCAUAUAAAUUUUUUCCUUCUUGUUGUCCCUAAAAAUUAUCAAUCCUCAAUCAUUAUUUUCCCUAAAUAAGUAGAAUCUAAUCCAUACCAUGUUCAUUUUUCUCCAUAAAAAAGUGGAAUAUGAUCUAAUCCAUAUUUAUUUUUGCCACAAAAAAUGGGAUCUACCCUUUUUGGACAUAAAAAAUAACUAUAUAUAGGUCACAUGGUGAUUUCAAACUAGUCAGAUAUUUAGGUUGGAACUAAAUUUUGCUAAUUUGAAUUUUUAAAUGACUUGAAGUUUAUAUUUUAAAAGUGACGAACGAAAAAAUUCAUUUGAUAAAAUGUGUGGCAUGUUUUGAAUGAUUUUCUCAUCUUCACAUGUAUAUAUUGUACAAUUAAUCCAAAACAAAACUCCAAAUGUACCUGUGUUUACUAAUCCAGAAAAAAAGAAACAAAAUUGAAAAAUAAAUUUAUUUGAAUAGACAAUUUGCAACUUGUUCCACGUUCGCAUUUUUUUUUUUUUUUUUUUCUGACGGAGUGGGUGUCCGGGUCAAGUCCGUAAAGGCGGCCCGACUAAUCCCACUCCGGCCCGGCCCAACGCUCCAACCAGACCUAGCACGGUAUUUGCACGGAGAGCUGAUGUUGCUGCGGAGGUUCGACCCCAGGACCUAACGGUCCCGAGGAAGAGGCGCCAACCACCAGCCCAUUGACGUGGGGGCUCCACGUUCGCAUUUGAAUGGGUUAAAUACACUAAUCAUUCAUAGCAUUUGGACAUGGUCCAGGACAUUAUUUGUCCCAUUUUAUGCUCUCAGCUUGCGGUCCAUAACCUGAGAUAUGUGGUAGUUAAAAAGACAUUAGUAAUCUCGAAAGUGAUGGACAAUACGGUCCCGCACAUUUAGUGCGUCUUGUAGGUAUACAUGGACAACCAUGAUUGAUUCCGCGGCAAGGAAUUACAUCUCCAAAUACGAAAAUUUCAUGAACAAUAGGAAGGAAUAGCCUUACAUUCUUUGACAAAAAGAAAGAAAGUAAAAAUCCCUAGCUACAUUAUUUGAGUUCUCAAGUACUACUGAUUAUGGAUGGAGAAAGAUUGCUCAAAAUUGCUGUCCUUUUGAAAUUCAUGAAAUUAUUAAUCAAUUGGCAACUUUGGUUGACUGGUCUUUUAUUGGGCAAUUUUUUGACAGAAGUUUGUCGGAGAAUAUCCUCUCCUACAAUUUAAAAGAAGAAAAUUUUGAAGUAAUUCCUCCUACACUAGCCAAAAAUCUUUUCUAUGUUCUUCAGCUUGGGCUGGAUAGUGACCUGAUCGAGUUUAGGUAUUAAGAGUCAAUGAGUUCGAUCGAUUAGUUCGGGAUCUAGCUGAAUGAUGUCAUAAAUAUAUUUUAAUUAUCUAUAAAGUAAAAAUUAUAUAUAAAUUACACAUUAGCUUGACAUAUUUGGUGAGUUUAUAACAAAUAUGAAGAACUCAUUCAAAUAGUUGUACAAAUUUAGGCUGGAAAUAUAAUUUGAUAAGUAUUUGUGGUUUAAUAUAUAAUUUUUUUGAAACAAUUCAGUGUCAAUUCUUGAACUUAAAGUCCAAAUACACAUUGAUGUGCCUAAAACUUUUUAAUAGGACAAUUCUUCAACAAAAUUGAGGUUUGUAUGUAAAAAUACAAAAGUUAGAGUUGCGUAGAGUAAUUAUAAAAGAAGUUUGGGAGUAUAUUUAUGAUUAUAAAAAAGUGGAGGGUCAAAACAAAAUACUAGAAAAGUUUUAUAUUUAAUUGGCAAUUUCUUCUCCACCAUGCAUCUUCAUCAGCCAGGAAUCGGGAGGUUUCAACCUUCAUCUGCAUUCCCCUUUUUUUUGGUUUCUUUUUGUAAUGAUUUCAUUGUUUUUUUGUCCCUUUUCUUCAACUGGGUAAGAAUCUUCCCCUUAUUCUUUAUUUUCGUUCUCUCCUGUUUUCUUCUCUUUUUAUUUAGAUCUAUAAAUCUUUGAGAGAUGACAAUGAUAGAUUUAUAGAUCUAUUUUCUCUUUUCCUUUUUUCUUCUCUUGCAGUAAUUGAAACUUUUUAUUAUGAUUUGUCAAAUAUCUUACCACCUUUUUUUGGAGAGAUAAAAUUAGGCUUUAGAAAUGAAGAAAAUUUUUGAAAAAAAUUCACAAAUCAGCAAUGAAGAAAUUCAGGUAUAAUGAGGUUUUUCCCGAUUUUAUUGAUUCCCAGUUUAACACUCGAUUUUUUAAGGUGACUUGGACCGAAUGCUUGAUCGGUCUUGAUUUGCCCGGUCAGACUGAUUAGUCUAAUCCAAAUUUUAAAACAUAGGAUUUAAAAGGACAUAUUUGACUUGUGGAUCUAGCAGCAGAGCAUUUGAGACUGAAAAUAUAUAUGGAUGUUAAACAGGGGCAGCAACGGAAAGAUAGUCUAAUCCUAUACCAAAGCAAGGAAACAAAAAGAAAAAGGAUUAAAAGUAAAAUGAGUUGUGACCAAAUAAAUGUAGCCAACUUGAACAUGGUAUAAAAGCAAUUGAGCAAAUGCCUUGUUCAAUUCAAGAUAAUUGAGGUACAACAUCUAGAUUAACACGGCAAAUUAGGUUGCAGAAUGUUGGGUGUGGGCCAGCUCAUUUGUGAGCCAAACUAGAAAAUCAAAUAUUUUUAGGUUUAAGUCAAAAUUUUGACUUAAAUAAAAAAGGCGAGCAGCCGCAUGAAGUAUGAUUCUUCGGUCCUUGUGCGAGAAAAAAGAUUUCAGCCGCCGCUCUUGCUGGCUUGUUGAAGAAGGAAACGAGAAAAAUAACUGGGAGAUCUUGAUUGGAAGGUGAUUCGAAUCCCGAUUGAGAUAAAAUUUUACAUACGCGAUCCUCUCAUCAAUCUCUACUCAUCUACUGGUCUAGAUUUUAGAUUUCCUUUUCGUUUGGUGACACCUUUCUAAACUCACUUCUUUGACAGUUGUAAUUUUUGGGGGUGAUUUUGUAGUAAUUUCGCUUGGUUGGUAUUGGUGAUAUUAUUGUCAUCCGAAUAUUUUGGGUAGACCUGUGUAUUCCUAUUGUUGUGAUAGUGAAGAUUUUUGACUGGACUAGAUCCCGUGGUUUUUCCCAAUUUGGAUUUUUCACGUAAAAAUCUUGGUGUCCUGUGCCUUUUAUUUUUCUUGCAUUUUAUUAUCACUACUGGUAUUAUUACUUGGUGAUUUGAUUUAUUCCUAUUUUUAACCGGUACAUAGAGAAAGAGAAAUUUGUUUUGGAUUAACUCUGAUAUUGUGUGUCUGUACCCAUACCCCUUUCCCAACAAAUGGUAUAUUAGAUAAUCUUCACAUUUUGCACUUUCAUAAAGCAAUUACACCAAAACUAUUCAGUUUUAGAUCGACAACUUUGUAUGCUACAGUUCCUUAGGCUGUCAACCACGUAAAAGAUGUCUUUCCGCAUCAUAUUGAAUGCGUUAGUUACUUUGUUUAGCAAAUUUAUAAUUAUUGAGAUGCAUGAAAUACUUUUUUUUUCUGCAAGAAGAAUGGUUAAAUUCUCAAUUACAAUGAAAACAGAUAAUAUAGUAAUCCCACCAAUAUUGUUUCUUUAAACAUUUUGUUGUAAUACUCUCAACCUUUUGCUUUUCUGGUAAUAUACUUUCUUUUCAUUUCCUUUCCUUCAAUUCAAAAGGUAACUAAAUUUUUUUCCUCAAAUGGCGCCUAAAUUACUUUAAAAGCAAAGAUAACUAGUGAGAUGCCAAAAAUUUCCAAUCAAUUAUAUGCUUUACUUUGAAACUUACCGGUAGUUCCACUUGUUUUAAAUUUGUAUUAUUUAGGUAGGUUAAAAGUCGAACCAAACUAUUUGAUAUUUGAAAUAAGUUUGGUUUAGUAAAAACUUGUUCUAACUUGAUUUACGAAUUAAUCAAACAAAGUUUGAACAUCAUUUUGUGUUCAAUUAACUUUUAAACUCUAUUUAAUCUUGGUACAAUUAGCAUAAAACUUGAUUUUAUAAGUAAAAAUUCAAGCUACUCGAGCUCAACUCAAAUCUGGCUUGACUAAAGCUCAUUUGAGUUUAGUUCAAUAAAUAAAUAAGUCAACAUUAAAUAUAAUUUCAAAUUUACUAAAAUAAUUAAACAAAAUUGAACGCUAACUUGUCCUCAAUCUUACUAUUGUCCUUAAAUGCAGCCAUGCUGCAAAAUACCUAUGCAUUAUUAGUGGCCACUUACUUCGACAUCUUCUUAUCCUCAACUUCUUUUGCCUUUCUUUCCUUUUUUUUCUUCUUUUGUUUUUAUGUUACUGUACGGUACACCUACAAAAUUAUAUUGCUACCCACUUUACCCCACUAUACAACACGGAUGAAGGUUACUAAAUACAAAUUAGGGACAUGAGAUUUAUUAAAUAGAGGGCGUAGAAAACAAAUGGGAGAACAAGAAAUCUAUAUUGUCUUUUGUUUACACUUUAAUUGAUCAUUUUUCUUUCUUUCAGCUUGCAAUACUCAAUCUCCUUCAACUUCAAUUUCCUUCAAAGUUUCUUUUAAUUUUUUUCUUGGUGCUUUAAACAUGACACAUUCCCUACUACUUUUUCUUAAAAAAAGAAAAAACAUUGGCACGUGAAGUUGGCAAUUGGCACUUAUCAUACAAGUGGCCCUGGAUGUGCGGUAUCGUUUGUUUCUUUUCUUUCCUGGGUAAGAGUUCUUGGACUUGGACCACUCAUAAAUAAAGUUGUUUUCUCCUGUGCGGUAUUUCUUAUCAUGGUUGCUCUUACAAUACAGCCAGCCAAUGAAAGUGAAUGUGAUAGAGAGAUAUACGCACGGAGACAAAGACAAGGCUGUUCGUGUUCCAUCGUAUGAUCCAAUACUUUGGGAAUUCAAAAAAUCUAAAAGCAAAGGAGAAAACAAAUGUAAAUGUGCAAAUUUACAAGUAACCAGUAUUGGUGUAAUCAAUGCAUAAAUGUGUACAUUACAACUGAUAACAUGCACAAACAAGAUAAACUCACAUUUAAUAAGACUUGACUCAAUGGUUAUGAUUGUUGAAUCUCAACCGUGAUUUUCUAGACGAAGAUCUCACUGUACAAAUUAUUUGAAUUGCUAUUUUUAGAAGUUUUUGUAGAAAAAUAUAUUAUAAUGAUUUGAUAUAUAUGAGAUAAAAAGAUGAUUGAAAAAUUUGUUUAUGAAAAAUAUAAAAAAUUAUCUAAAGAAAAGAGUAAUGGAAGCAAAGGUUUUUGAAUUAUUGGAGCACCCCUAAAUUAGGAAGGACGAAAAUUCAAUAUCACAUCAUAGGAUCAGCUAGUCUAUUAUUCGACAAGGUGAGAUAAUUAUGAAAUUGACAUGAAGAAAUACUUCCUACACGAGUCAUGAAUCGAUGAGAUGUGAGACUGGUGGCGGCCGCCAUCUCAGAAAUUAUUAGGGGUGGCAAUUUUCGAUACGAUCUGAAAACACGACAUGAACCUAACACGAAAUUAAUGGAUUUGGGUUGAGGUUUCGUGGGCUCGGGUCAGAAUCGAGUCAAUCCCGAUGAACCCGAAAAAAAAAGGGUCGAAUUCGGGUCUACCGGUGGGUGACCCGAUAACCCGUUUACGAAUUAAAAAUAAUUUAAUAAACAUAAAAAUUAUUUUAUCUAACUAAACUAAGUUAUUCUUUUUUCCAAAGGCAUUAAUCACUUAAUCCUAAAUGCAUUUAUUUAAUUUGUGUGAAGUUGAAAUUAUUAUAUUUGGACAAAUAAUGUAUUACAUUAUUUUUUACUUUUAUACUGUUUUAAUUUAUUUUAGAUUUGGUUUGGGAUUAUUUUAUUUAAAUUUUAUUACUUAAUUAUGUAAUUAGUCUUGUGCAAAAUUGAUUUUAUUAGAAAUUAUAGUGGUAAAUUAAUAAAUUAAAAUUCAGUUUCGGGUCAUUUGGGUCGACCCACCAACCCGCCAACUCGAAAUUUUUUGGUUCGGGUCAGGUAUCCUGCCCCGUUUCGGGUUAACGGGUCAGGUUUAGAUCAACGAGUUUUCAAUUAUAUCCGGAUUUCAACCCGACCCGUCAAACCCGUUUCGAACUCGAUUGCCACCCCUAGAAAUUAUCAUACGACAAGACAUGUUUCAACACCAUAAGUUGCUUUCGAAGAAUAUUAAAAAUAAUGUUCUGCUCAAUCAAUUUGGACAAGGUCACAAGAAUGGAUCAAGGCCUCUGGCAUCUACACAAUCCAAUUGAUUAUCUCAAGUUGAUCUGGGCCAUUCAAAUUUAAUUUUGCUUUACAAAAAUUUUUCUUUUAUAGUUGAAGGCCCAUAUCUGGUCCACAUAAAUUCGGCUCAAUUUUGGCAACUAGGAGUGUCAAUGACAGUAAUCAAGUCAAAUAUCUUAAUAUUCAAGGUUGUUUGAUUGUUAUAACGAGUUUAAAAUUUUGUUUAAAUUUGACUUGUUUAUUUGUCAAAUUGAGUUUAAACGAGUUUUUUUUAUUGAAUUUAAAAGUUAUCGAACAUAAAAUAUAAUUUAAGUUUAGUUUAACUAGUUGGCAAACCAAAGUCGAACAAACUUUUAUCAAGGCAAAUUCGAUUCAAGUAUUAAAUAGUUUUUAUUUAUUUAUUAUUUUUAAGUAGGGUGUCUUAAGUAUAAUCUCUUCUCUCUUACCACUUAAUCCAACCCUCCUCGAAUAUCGAGUGAUUUGAUUCAUGUUUCAAUCCUAACUGUAAUUGCCCGCCCUUAUCUAUUCAAAAGAAGCAACCCAUCCCAUAGUUCUUGCCACUGCUUGCCUGUUACUCAUUCUGCAUCAGAAGACCACCAAUGUAGAAUCAUCCCUUACUUCUCCAUUUCCAAUCCACAACUUUGCCAACAAAUCAAGCUAAAUUGUCUAGUUCUAUCCUUUUUUUUCUUUUCUUCCUACAAUCUCCUUCCACUCAAAUCAAAGAAUACCCAUGAAAUAUUCUUUUGGGAUAAGAGCAAGUUUAUAUCAUAUAUGAGGUGUCCUCAAUAUAUAAUAUCACCUAAUUUUAGAUUUUGGUUUUGAAACAAAGUCAAUUUUUUUAAAUUUAUCAUUUGCUUUUGCUUCUAAAAUUUAGAUUUUUUUUUAAAGGUAAAAAGUCAAAAUCUAAAAUCUACCCAAGAGUAAUUUUGUUGAUUUUGAUUAAUCUGCUUUUUGUAAAGUUUACAGCUAAUAAAAUUGCAUCAGAGUGAUUAGAGAUCCAUAAUUGGGUUGCAUAUUUAUUACUAUUCAAACAUUAUUACAUAAGAGAAUAAAAUGAUAUUAAUUGCUUCUAAGAAAUAAAAUCUCAAAUUUACUUAUCUUUAAAGUAAAUUUGAUGUAGGAAGUUUUUGGAAGUCAGAGACUUGGCUUAUAUUUCUGGUUUUUUUUUUUGUGCCUGCGGGUCUAUAGAAGGGCUAGUUUGUUGGAGAAGAAAGAUGUUGGAAGAUGAAGGAGACAGCCUAAGUAGGAAAGGGAGAAAUAAGAAGCGGCGUUGUUGAGGGAACUGCUUUGAAACUUAAACUAGAUUGAAUGGC